UCCGCAGCCUCCUCGUAACCUUGCUCAUGAUAUCACUUGUUAGAAUAAAUUCGAGGCGCUCCGUCGAUCUACCAAGGACCAAGCAAUCACACUAGGCACGACACCGAGAUUUGUUAACGAGGUUCAUCGAUAUGGCUACAACCCCGGGGCCUGACUACGGGCGCUCCUCCCCGUGACACCGUCACAAUACCGCACAUCGGCCACCCAGGCGCCGGCACACCCCGCCGCCUCCCCUGCGUACCUGUGCUAUUAUGUUGGCAUAGGUUACAUCGUGUGUCUAUCCUUGUUAUAUAUGAGAGACCUAGGAUAGAAGUGUCCUACUAGGACACGACUCCAUACCUCGUCUACACACCGUAUGACUCGAAGUCCAACUGUAACCUAACUUGUACAAUAAUAUUCGACACAACUCUAACACUCACGGUAGCUCAGGAAGGUAGCAUUGAGGAUCUAGCUGCUUUGUACUUGGACGGGGCACCAAUAAAUCCAUGGCGGCAGCCUCGGCUGGUGGAUCAACGCUUUCUCUACAGUGACCGGUACUCGUCGAUUCCGCCGUCCUCCUCGGACGUGGGUGCGGCGAAGUGGUCAUGGUUUGUGCUUGUGCUGUGGGUCUCCUUGGGGGAGGCCGAACCCGAUCUAGAGCCGUCCAUCUUCUUCAACCUUGGCAGCCUCCACCCAAUCUUACCUUUGGUGGCCUGCGGUCACCGAAGCCGGUCAUUUAUGCACCAGAGAAAUCCAAGGCCAGUUGUGCUGACCACGACGACCCUGCUUCAUGUAGGCGUCGUCCAGGUUGUCCCCUUACCCCCUCCUCAUUCCCACUUCUCGUGUAGAAGGUGAAAACCUAGAUCUUGUCCAAAUUGGGCGGCAACAGAGCUCCGAGUGGCGUCACCCUGAUGGGGGUGCCAUCAUUGGUGCGCAUGGGGUGGAUGUGUACUUUUCUUGUUGUAUGGAGGUGGAUGGUGGCUUGGUCUUAGCUCUGUGUAAGCUCGCUCUUGUUCGUCUUCUUUUGGUGCUCUGUCCCCCUCCCCGCUCAUCCGUUUGUGUUAGGAUCUACGGUUGUUGUGGCUUCUGAUCCGGCGUGCAUCGUUCGCUAGGUUUCUGUGGGUGCAACCCAGCCAGCCCUACUUUGCAUGGACCUGCUCCUCGUGGGCGAUGUGCCCUGUUCGGUUGGGUCGGUAUCCCGGCCUCUCGGUUGAUUAAGUCAUUCCGGAAGCACUUUUUGUGUUUUGCAGAUACCAACUGAUUCUAGUUAACAAUGUAACAUGCAAAUUGAACUAUUUUCAAUCAUGUGGCUAUUCUACUGGUGUUUAGUUUUGAUUGCUUGUUAAUGUACGUUGUAGUCAUGCGUACCAUCACCCCACUACAAAGUAAGAGCAGAGAGUAGUCAAAGUUCAGUAGAGUAGCAUGUCGUUUCCUUCCCUGUUCAGUCUUAUUUAGCCUAACUUGCUUGUUUUUUUUUCUUUUUGCUGAGCUCCUCUAUACUGGUGCAUGUUCGAUGAAAAGAAUGUGUGAAGUGAGAAUCAAAUAACUUUAGCUAAGUUAACUCCGCUUUUCAGGUUAGCAUAUCAUAGCAAAGAAACCUAGACAAGAAAAAUUGAGAAAAUAGAAGUUUGUAUAGGUAAAUUACUACUCCCUCCUAUCUGUAUUAAUUGUUGCAGAUUUACUACAGAUAGGAGGGAGUAAUAGCUAAUGAUUUUCACUGUAGAAAUUCAAACCAUUUGUCAUUGUGAAGCAAACGAGUAGUUUGAGGAAGGCUCUAAAGCAAGUCUCUUGACCAAACAAGUCUCCACUGCACGAAACUGUAAUAAUCUAUGUGUCACGGGAGUGCUACUAUUCUGAAACAGAACAAUGUGGUGUGGUAAUAUCUUGUGAAGUACUCCCUCCGUACCAAAAUAUAUGAUAAUUUCCGGUUUAAAUGGAACUGCAAAACCGUCUUAUAUUUUGAUACAGAGGUAGUACUACUUUUCAAUCGUGAGGGAGGCUGGAAGUAAACAUGGUGUGGUAACAUCUUGUGAAGCACAUUUAUCUAUUUCCCUGAAUUCAAAUGUUGGUGAGGCACAAUCCUACUAGAGCAUGUACAAUGCACAUGUUUUUUCUACUGUGAGUGCUAGAGAGAAUCUUUUUUUCUUUGUUGUAUCAGAAUUUCUCGGUACUGAUUUCCUUCAUCUUUUUGCCUUCCCAUUAUACCCAACUAGUAUUACCGCCUUUUGCAUUUGAGAACAAAAAUGGUCACAUGAGUGCCUAUUGUGCAGCUAAUUUUCCAUGAAGCAUAUGUAAAGGGAUUUUCCAUUUGAGAGAAUGAGUUGUAAAAAAAUCCUCAUCGCUAGCUCUGCUCUAUUUUGAGACUCACUUGAAUGCACUUUGCUUCGCGUGUGUGUGCCCUUACAAGUUCAAAGCGCAGUGCUUGUGUAACUGCAAGUCAGGAAAGAAGGAGCAUUACAGGCUUAAUUUUGUGGCAAACAUUGAGAGUAUCAUGGCCCAUGCUUUGUCACCCAAAUAAUGUUGGAGAGUUUCUAGUCCUGCAAAAUAUCGUGCAACCUUUAAAUAUGAUGGCAAAACAUGAAACUGUAAGUAGACAUCGGGAAAGGAAACUGUUAACCUUUGGAACUAUCCACUCUCGAGAUUGGCCAGGACACCGCAUCGGCAAUGGGAUCUGGAAUUAAGAAAAGCUUUUGGACGUGAGUAUCUAAGAAAAUAGUAGUUGGAAACAACACUCUAUUUUCAGUGUCACGAGCCAAAAUAGAUUUACAGUCAGUAAAUGUUACCAUGGUAUUUUUGUUUUCCUCCAAUAUUGUGGACGAUUUGAAGUUGGAUAAAGAGAUAAACAAAUUAGUAUUCAUAUCCCACUCACUUAAUUGGGUAUCCUAAGGCAGAAGGUAUAUAUAGGACUCCCAUACAGAAUCAUGUGGUAGGUGUGAGCUAACCAUCCAGGAAACAUUGUUCACAUCAUUUGCUACACGAGAGUGCGCUACAAAAUCAUGCAUGUGGCCAUUUAACUUGUAUGUUUAGUUAUCGAUCCAUUUCCUAGGAAGUAUGGCUAUGAACAGAGUGAGUAGAAACAUUGUGUUUGAUUGGAGGAUAAUGCAACACAUGUUCACGAGAUAUAUACCUGUUGCAUCAACUGAGGAAAACAGGAUUGAGAUUAGCCUAAACUGCGGAGGAGAACCAUCAACUGAGGCCGGAAUUAUGAAUGGUAGAACAGAUUUGCCGAAACAUCCACUGCAUGUAACUGACUUUUGAAAAAAGGAAACUGCUAUAAUGUCUUCGUCUAGCGAUUCACGAAGCAAUGUUGCGCGAUCGAGGUUCAAAUUUACACAUAUGUUGAAUGUGAAAAUUGACACACAUCAUUGCUCCAAAGUUUAGACAACUGGAGAUAAGAAUGCAUCUCUCACAGAUGGUUAACUAAUUACCUACCAUGGCACCGUUUUCCUUAGCAUCUUUUGCCAUAGACAGAGUAUCCCAACUUGUACAAAAUUUGGGGGAAUGGUGAAGGAGAUAAUACACCCACAUUACAACAUAUCUGAACAAGAAAAAAACGUGAAGUUCACCAAAGCCGAUAAUAAUCAUGACACAGCCUAGUGCAUUAUUUAAAGCAAACACAUUUUUUUCCAUUUCCAUGCGGUAUUCGUCCUAUUUUCCUCCUAUAAAAAUAAUCUGAACAAGAUUAUUUGAAGCAAAACACAAUUCCCCUUUCCUGCAUCAUAAGGAGAAACAUUUCAGACACCCCAAACGGAUCAAGUGUAUUUCAGACAUCGAUGACAUACUUUUAACUAAUAACAUGAAGAUAAGAAUGCAUGCACUGUGUUCUACUCUACAGAAGACAACCCGAUAAAGUCUGUCAUGCUAGUUAGUUAAACAGUAUCCAAAUGCAUGCAAUGUGUUCUACUCUACAGAUGAUGAUACCUAAACAUACUAGAAAAAAUGGUUAAACAGGAGCUGACACCGCUGGUGCUUCACGACAAUUAAUUGAACAAACAGGUCACGGCCUGACGUUAAGUAGCUGCCAGUACAGGCAUAUAAAGCAGAGGAACAUGGCUCUCCUCUCGGGUGGCCGUCUUUGGCGGCAGCUUGCCACAGCUACGGCUAUGGCUACUUUGUGGAGCAUUACAAACAAGACAAUACUAUAAAGCCAGAAGUAAUCAUACUAUAAAUCUCAAUCACGCCUAGUCUGAUGUAACUUAAACGCUGGUUCAGGAAUAGCAGGGCACAUCACUGACCGACCCACUGACUACUGGAGGCUGUUCUGUAAAGAAACGGGGCUAUAGAAGCAUGUUAGCUAAUCUAGUCGCUGUAGUUUUUCUUCAGUUAGUUUGCUUUCGUCAGACAUAACGUAGCCAGGCGCAUGAGCUCGCGAGUCGUUGUGCGAGCCACGCGCGUAGGCGAUCUGGGUACGAUCGAUGCCCGAUCGAUCGGGGUGGUCAGCCACGAAACCCACUCGUGGGAUGGCACGAGAAUUCGGGAUCAUGGCGCUAGGACCGGGCCACUCUUUCUCUCUGUAACAGAAUAAGUAGAGGAGAUCAAAAACAGAAAAGUCACAAGGUUGUCCGUGACGCAAAAACUCCUGUCUCUCCUCUCAGUGAUCGCAAGCUGUGAGAGAUCGAGCAACCCUGACAAUUGGCAUCAAAGCCGGUUUAAGGUGAUCCCGACGCCCAUGGCUGACACCGGAGCUCAGCCGGACCAGGCGGCGGCGGCACCCCGCAACGGUGGCGGGGGUGGGAGCCGCUCGCGCACUCCACCACAGGAGCGCAGCCGCGGACGGAGCCACGUGAGAAGGGAGUGGCGGGUGGUGAUCCACCAGGCGGUGGCCAUGGAGCGCGCGCCGCUUGUGCCAAGCGCGGGCACCAUGUUCCCGACGCUCACAUCCACGAACUACAUCGAGUGGUCUCUCGUGAUGAAGGUGCACCUGGAGUCUUGGGGGCUCUGGGACGCGAUCGAGGGUAACGCACUGCAUGUGCGUGACGACAAGACGGCGCUCGGCGUCCUGUUCCGAGUCGUCCCCCUAGAGAUGCUUGGCGUCCUCGUCGUCAACGAGACGGCGAAGGAGGCCUGGGACACGAUCAAGGUCAUGCGCAUGGGGAUGCACCGUGUGCGCGAGGCCACCACGCAACGCCUGCGCGCGGAGUUCGAGCAGAUCACCUUCCGCGACGGCGAAACUCUCGACUCCUUCGGCAUGAGGAUCACCGCCCUCGUCAACCAGCUGCGCACGCUGGAGGACAACGUCGAAGAGGUACGCAUGAUCCCGAAGAUGCUCCGUGUCGUCCCCGCCCGCUAUGCCCAGAUCGCAGUCGCGAUAGAGCCCCUCCUUGAUCUGACCACGAUCUCGGUCGAGGAGCUGAUCGGUUGACUGCGCACCGCUGAGGAGCGCUGCGGUGGCGGGGCGGCUCAAGCCAGCGGCGGCGGUCGGCUGCUCAUGUCGGAGCAGCAGUGGGAUGCCUGGCGCCGCGAGCGCGAGCAGGGCCAGGGGUCCAGCUCAAACGGCGCCGGCAACGGGAACCGCAACGGGGGCGGCGGCAAUCUCCGCCGUGGCAAGCCGCAGAACCAGAAGUGCGGCAACGACACUCAAAGCCAAGGCGGCGGCAACGGCCGCGACAGCGCCGGCAACGGUGGGCGCGACAUGUCUAAGGUGAAGUGCUACAAUUUUCUCAGCGCUGGACACUGGUGUGCGCGGCGCCGUGAAACUCGGCGACGGCUCGGUGGUUCAGAUCGAGGGGAGAGGAACGAUCCUCUUCCAAUGCGGCAACUGUGAGCUCAUGGUCCUGUCUGAUGUGUAUUACAUCCCAAAACUUUGCAGCAACAUCGUCAGCAUCGGACAGUUGGACGAAAUCGCCUACGAGACCAAUAUUAGUCACGGGGUGCUCCAGCUCCGUGAUCCCAGUGGGCAGACUCCUCGCGCGAGUGCAACGUAACCAGGGGAGGCUGUACGUGCUGCAGCUCACGCCGGCCCAGCCAGUGUGCUUCGCGGCGCAUGCUGGCGAGGAUGCAUGGUGCUGGCAUGCGUGCUACGGCCACGUGGACUUCCGGGCUUUACGUCAACUCGCCCGGGACGAACUGGUGCACGACCUCCCGCUAUUUGACGAGGCGGAUCGUGUCUGCGAGGCGUGCCUCGCCGGCAAGCAGCGUCGAGCACCCUUUCCUUAGCAGGCUCUCAGCAGAGCCGACGAGGUGCUGGAGCUCGUGCACACGGACCUCUGUGGUCCAAUCUCCCCUCCAACGCCAGGAGGGAAGCGUUACUUCCUGUUGCUGGUUGAUGACAAGAGCAGGCACAUGUUGGUGUACCUGCUCGCGACAAGGACGAGGCGCAGCCCGCUCUGAAGCGCUUCCAGGCGAUGGCGGAUCUCGAUUUCGGGCGGCAGCUCAAGUUGCUGCGCACGGACCGCGGCGGGGAAUUCACCUCUGCCAGCCUCGGCGAGUACUACGCCGACAAGGAGGUCAAGCGCCAGCUCACGACGCCCUACACGCCCCAGCAGAACGGCGUGGUCGAGUGCCGAAAUUAGACGAUCGUGGGCAUGGCGCGCAGCCUGUAGAAGACAAAGGGUGUGCCGGCGCAGUUCUGGGGGGAGGCCGUGAUGACGGCGGUCUACCUCCUGAACAGGUCUACGACCAAGAGCGUGGCGGGGUCGAUUCCGCACGAGGCCUGGUGCAGGCGGCGCCCAAACGUUGAACACCCGCGCGUGUUCGGAGCGUCGCGCAUGUCAAAGUGACGCGUCCGAAUCUGUCGAAACUCGACGACGGGAGCACGCCCAUGGUAUCCUGGGCUACGAGCCAGGAUCGGCGGCUUACCGCGUCUACCACCCGCCGUCGAACCGUGUUCUGGCCUCCAGGGAUGUCGUGUUCGACGACGAAGCAGCGUGGGACUGGUCUCAGGUCGCGGCGACAAACAAGGAGCCGUGCUACCUCUUGAGCAUGCAUUGGUUUUCCCUUAAAGAGGAAAGGGUGAUGUAGCAAAGUAGCGUAAGUAUUUCCCUCAGUUUUUGAGAACCAAGGUAUCAAUCCUGUAGGAGACUACAUGCAAAUCGCCUAGUACCUGCACGAACAAUCAAGAACCUUGCAACCAGCACGAUAAAGGGGUUGUCAAUCCCUUCACGGUCACUUGCAAAAGUGAGAUCUGAUAAAGAUAAUAAGAUAAUAUUUUUGGUAUUUUUGUUGUAUAGAUUGGAAAAGUAAAGAUUGCAAAAUAAACGGCGACAGAAAUUGGCAAGUUGACGGGAGAUUAAUAUGAUGUAAAAUAGACCCGGGGGCCAUAGGUUUCACUAGAGGCUUCUCACAUGAUAGCAUAUCUUACGGUGGGUGAACAAAUUACUGUCGAGCAAUUGAUAGAAAAGCGUAUAGUUAUGAGAAUAUCUAGGGAUGAUCAUGAACGUAGGCAUCACGUCUGUGUCAAGUAGACCGAAACGAUUCUACAUCUACUACUAUUACUCCACACAUCGACCGCUAUCCAGCAUGCAUCUAGAGUAUUAAGUUCAUAAGAACACAGUAACGCAUUAGGCAAGAUGAUAUGAUGUAGAGGGAUAAACUCAAGCAAUAUGAUAUAAACCCCAUCUUUUUAUCCUUGAUGGCAAUAAUACAAUACGUGUCGGUUCCCUUUCUGUCACUGGGAUCGAGCACCGCAAGAUUGAACCCAAAGCUAAGCACUUCUCCCAUUGCAAGAAAGAUCAAUCUAGUAGGCCAAACCAAACUGAUAAUUCGAAGAGACUUGCAAAGAUAUUAAAUCAUGCAUAUAAGAACUCAGACAAGAAUCAAAUAUUGUUCAUAGACAAACUUGAUCAUAAACCCACAAUUCAUCGGAUCUCGACAAACACACCGCAAAAUGUAUUACAUCGAAUAGGUCUCCAAGAGAAUCGAGGAGAACUUUGUAUUGAGAUCCAAAGAGAGAGAAGAAGCCAUGUAGCUAAUAACUAUAGACCCGUAGGUCUGUGGUAAACUACUCACACAUUAUCGGAGAGGCUACGGUGUUGAUGUAGAAGCCCUCCAUGAUCGAUUCCCCCUCCGGCAGAGCGCCGGAAAAGGCCCCAAGAUGGGAUCUCACGGGUACAGAAGGUUGCGGCAGUGGAAAAAGUGUUUCGUGGCUCCCCUGGAUGUUUUCAGGGUAUAAGAGUAUAUAUAGGCGAAAGAAGUAGGUCGGUGGAGCUGCGACGGGCCCACGAGGGUGGGGGCGCGCCUCCCUGCCUCGUGGCUUCCUCGCUGCUUCCUUGACUUCCACUCCAAGUCUCCUGGAUUGCGUUUGUUCCAAAAAUGAUCCUCGCGAAGGUUUCAUUCCGUUUGAUAUUCCUUUUCUGCGAAACACUGAAAUAGGCAAAAAAAUAUCAAUUUGCACUGGGCCUUCGGUUAAUAGGUUAGUCUCGAAAAUAAUAUAAAAGAGCAUAUUAAAGCCCAUUAAACAUCCAAAACAGAUAAUAUAAUAGCAUAGAACAAUCAAAAAUUAUAGAUACGUUGGAGAUGUAUCAAGCAUCCCCAAGCUUAAUUCCUGCUCGUCCUCGAGUAGGUAAAUGAUAAAAACAGAAUUUUUGAUGUGGAAUGCUACCCAACAUAAUUUUCAAUGUAAUUUUCUUUAUUGUGGCAUGAAUGUUCAGAUCCGAAAGAUUCAAGAUAAAAGUUUAAUAUUGACAUAAAAAUAAUAAUACUUCAAGCAUACUAUUUAAGCAAUUAUGUCUUUUCAAAAUAACGUGGCCAAAGAAAGCUCAUCCCUACAAAAUCAUAUAGUUUGGCUAUGCUCCAUUUUCGUCACACAAGAAUGCUCUCAUCAUGCACAACCCCGAUGACAAGCCAAGUAAUUGUUUCAUACUUUAGUAUUCUCAAACUUUUUCAACUUUCAUGCAAUACAUGAGCGUGAGCCAUGGACAUUGCACUAUGGGUGGAAUGGAAUAUGAUAAUGGGGGUUGUGUGGAGAAGACAAAAAAGGAGAAAGUCUCACAUUGACGCGGCUAACCAACGGGCUAUGGAGAUGCCCAUCAAUUGAUGUCAAUGCAAGGAGUAGGGAUUGCCAUGCAAUGGAUGCACUAGAGCUAUAAAUGUAUGAAAGCUCAACAAAAUAAACUAAGUGGGUGUGCAUCCAACUUGCUUGCUCACGAAGACCUAGGGCAUUUGAGGAAGCCCAUCGUUGGAAUAUACAAGCCAAGUUCUAUAAUGAAAAAUUCCCACUAGUAUAUGAAAGUGACAAAAUAAGAGACUCUCUAUCAUGAAGAUCAUGGUGCUACUUUGAAGCACAAGUGUGGAAAAAGCAUAGUUGCAUUGUCCCUUCUUUUAUUUUCUUUUUUAUAUAUUUUUUUGGGCCUUCCUUUUUUUAUCUGGCCUUUCCCUUUUUUUAUUUGGCCUUUUUUUUCAUGGGACAAUGCUCUAUAAAUGAUGAUCAUCACACUUCUAUUUAUUUACAACUCACUGAUUACAACUCGAUACUAGAACAAAAUAUGACUCUAUAUGAAUGCCUCCGCCGGUGUACCGGGAUGGGCAAUGCAUCAAGAGUGACAUGUAUAAAAAAUUAUGCAAGGUGGAUUUGCCACAAAUACGAUGUCAACUACAUGAUCAUGCAAGGCAGUAUGACAAUGAUGAAGCGUGUCAUAAUAAACGGAACGGUGAAAAGUUGCAUGGCAAUAUAUCUCGAAAUGGCUAUGGAAAUGCCAUAAUAGGUAGGUAUGGUGGCUGAUUUGAGGAAGAUAUAAGGGGGGUUUAUGUGUGAUAGAGCGUAUCAUAUCACGGGGUUUGGAUGCACCGGCGAAGUUUGGACCAACUCUCGAGGUGAGAAAGGGCAAUGCACGGUACCGAAGAGGCUAGCAAUGAUGGAAAGGUGAGAGUGCUUAUAAUCCAUGGACUCAACAUUAGUCAUAAAGAACUCACAUACUUAUUGCAAAAAUCUACAAGUCAUCAGAAAACAAAGCACUACGCGCAUGCUCCUAGGGGGAUAGAUUGUUAGGAAAAGACCAUCGCUCGUCCCCGACCGCCACUCAUAAGGAUGACAAUCAAAGAACACCUCAUGUUUCAAAUUUGUUACACAACGGUUACAAUACGUGCAUGCUACGGGACUUGCAAACUUCAACACAAGUAUUUCUCAAAUUCACAAUUACUCAACUAGCAAGAAAGAUGAAUCUAGUAGGCCAAAGCAAACUGAUAAUUCGAAGAGACUUGCAAAGAUAUUAAAUCAUGUAUAUAAGAAUUCAGAGAAGAAUAAAAUAUUGUUCAUAGAUAAUCUUGAUCAUAAACCCACAAUUCAUCGGAUCUCGACAAACACACCGCAAAAAGUAUUACAUCGAAUAGAUCUCCAAGAGAAUCGAGGAGAACUUUGUAUUGAGAUCCAAAGAGAGAGAAGAAGCCAUCUAGACAAUAACUAUGGACCCGAAGGUCUGUGGUAAACUACUCACACAUCAUCGGAGAGGCUAUGGUGUUGAUGUAGAAGCCAUCCGUGAUCGAUUCCCCCUCCGACGGAGCGCCGAAAAGGCCCCAAGAUGGGAUCUCACGGGUACAGAAGGUUGCGGCGGUGGAAAAAGUGUUUCAUGGCUCCCUUGGAUGUUUUCAGGGUAUAAGAGUUUAUAUAGGUGAAAGAAGUAGGUCGGUGGAGCUGCGAGGGGCGUGCCUACCCCCUGGGGCGCGCCUCCCUGCCUCGUGGCUUCCUCGUUGCUUCCUUGACUUCCACUCCAAGUCUCCUGGAUUGUGUUUGUUCCAAAAACGAUCCUCGCGAAGGUUUCAUUCCGUUUGAUAUUCCUUUUCUGCGAAACACUGAAAUAGGCAAAAAAAAUAGCAAUUUGCACUGGGCCUUCGGUUAAUAGGUUAGUCCAAAAAUAAUAUAAAAGACCAUAUUAAAGCCCAUUCAACAUCCAAAACAGAUAAUAUAAUAGCAUGGAAGAAUCAAAAAAUUAUAGAUACGUUGGAGACGUAUCAAGCCGCAGUGGGACACCUUCUCCAUCGAUCUCGAACCGGUGCCCGCCAAGGUGGUCGGCGGCACCCCAUGCAGCGCAACAUCCCCUGAGGCGUCGAGCUCUCCUACCAUGCCGACAUCGACGCACACGAGUGCGGCCAGGACACGGCCCGCGAUGCUGAUCUGUGCCACACCAAGCCCAGACCGCUCUGGCAUGCAAUUCAUGUCUCCACUGCCGGGGGCGUCAGUGCCGCCGCCCGACAAGGAGGCUCCGCGGCGGUACCGCACCUUGGAGAAUCUGUGAGACACCACUGAAGAAGGGACAAGUGAUAACAGUCAGUACAGUUACCUGUGUCUCUUCGCAGGGGAGGAGCCGACCUCCUUCAAUGAGGCGCAGAAGGAGGGAGGAUGGAGAAACGCCAUGAACGAGGAGAUGCAGAGCAUCAUCGACAACGACACGUGGGAGCUGUGCGAGCUCCCUCCCGGGCACCGAGCGAUAGGCCUCAAGUGGGUCUACAAGCUCAAGAAGGACGCCCACGGCACGAUGGUGAAGCACAAGGCGCGGCUGGUGGCAAAAGGCUACGUCCAAGUCCAAGGAGUGGACUUCAAGGACGUGUUCGCUCCGGUGGCACGCAUGGAAUCGGUGCGCGUGCUGGUCGCGCUCGCCGCGCACCACGUGUGGCCAAUUCAUCACAUGGACGUCAAGUCCGCCUUCUUGAACGGGGACCGGCAGGAGGAGGUCUACGUUGUUCAGCCACCCGGGUACGUUGAGCUCGGCGACGAGGGGAAGGUGCUGCGUUUAUGCAAGGCACUGUAUGGGCUACGCCAAGCCCUGAGAGCUUGGAACGCCAAGCUGGACGAAAGCUUGCGUUCUCUGGGCUUUGAGCGUUGCCCCUCGGAGCACGCAGUCUACCGACGCGGGGAGGGCGACAAGCUCCGGCUCAUCGGUGUGUACGUCGACGACCUUGUCAUUACAGGGGCGGACAAGACGGAGAUCGACGCAUUCAAGUGUCAGAUGACCACGCUCUUCCGCAUGAGCGACCUCGCCGAGCUCAGCUACUACCUGGGCAUUGAGGUGCGCCAGGAGCGCGACCGCAUCACACUCUACCAAGCGGCCUACGCAAAAAGCUGCUGGAGCGUGCUGGGCUCAAAGAGUGCAACACCGGCAACGUGCCGAUAGAAGCUCGACUGAAAUUGAGCAGGGACAGCAAGGAGAGGCCGGUGGACAGCACUGAGUACCGCAGCAUCAUUGGAGGGUCGCGCUACCUCGUGCACAUGAGGCCGGACAUCUCCUUCACCGUCGGCUACCUGAGCCGUUUCAUGGAGGCACCGACUUCAGAUCACUACGCGGCUGUGAAGCGUCUGCUAAGGUAUGUAGCAGGCACUCUGGACCACGGUUGUGCCUAUGUCCGGGGGAAGGGCACGCCGGAGCUGGUGGGGUACAGCGACGCGGAUCACGCCGGUGACAUCAACGACAGGCGGAGCACGACGGGAGUGCUCUACUUCCUCGGCACGGCGGCAGCCCAGUGAGUUGGCAGUCGCAGAAGCAAAGGGUGGUGGCACUCUCCUCAUGUGAGGCGGAGUACGUGGCUGCCACCACCACCGCUUGCCAAGGGAUUUGGCUGGCUGGGCUGAUCGGAGAGAUGCUGAACAUCGACGUCUGGCCACCACGACUUCUGGUCGAUAACAAGUCAGCAAUGUGUCUCCAAGAACCCCAUCUUCCAUGAUCGAAGCAAGCACAUUGAGAUACGAUACCACUUCAUUCGUGAUUGUGUGGAAGAAGGGCGGAUCGACAUCGACUACAUCUGCACCAACGAUCAUCUUGCUGACGUCCUCACCAAGGCACUUGGACGACUCAAGUUUCUGGAGCUUAGGGGGAGGAUCGGCAUGACAGAAAUAAUUCGGCGGCGAUGAGCUUAGAGGGAGAUUUGUUAGCUAAUCUAGUUGAUGUAGUUUUCCUUCAGUUAGUUUGCUUUCGUCAGACAUAACGUAGUCAGGCGCAUGAGCUCGCGAGUCAUGCGAGCUGCGCGCGUAGGCGAUCUGGGCAUGAUCGAUGCCCGAUCGAUCAGGGUGGUCAGCCACGAAACCCACUUGUGGGAUGGCACGAGAAUUCGGGAUCAUGGCGCUAGGACCGGGGCACUCUUUCUCUCUGUAACAGAAUAAGUAGAGGAGAUCAAAAACAGAAAAGUCGCAAGGUUGUAGGUGACGCAAAAACUCAUGUCUCUCCUCUUUGUGAUCGCGAGCUGUGAGAGAUCGAGCAACCCUGACAAAGCACAUGACGCCUAUAGUCCAUUGUUAAUUCCUCUCUGUACCUAAUCUUGUUAAUUUCCCACACCAAAGAUGCUAAUCAACUGGCAUUCUAAAACUCUCCUAACAAGUAACAACAGCCGCGCCUAUGGACGAUCGAUCCCACCAGUGGCAACCAAUGGAGGUGCCAACGGUGGUGAUGCAACUUGUUUCCAUGUACAACAACUACGGCAAUCCGUCCUCUCCUACCUGCAUUGUCCUCGAAGGAAUGGAAGCGGACGAGAGAGAGCGUCGACCUGACUUAUAACAUUUUUCUUUCAGCAAUCUCUACAAAAAAUCAUGCCUCUCUUGACUUGGGGUCAAUAGCUCCUGUGCGACAUCUUUCGUGGGAAUUGGACAGAGUGCGACAUUGUUGACGAAAAUGGCUUUGGGGCGACACUUUUGAGCGACAAAAUAGCCCAGACACGACAUGGCCCUUAAACUGAUCUGAUGCCCUCAUUAGCUGUUAUGGGCUGGACCCACAACUUAUCCACGUAAGCGCGGGACCCACCAUUUGUCCAGUAAGCGCGGGACCCACAACUUAUCCACGUCAGCAUGGGACCCACCACUUGUCCAGUAUGCGCGGGACCCACCUCUUUGCAGCUAGAAGAGAUGACUGAUGACCCACAAGUGUAGGAGAUCUAUCGUAGUCCUUUCGAUAAGUAAGAGUGUCGAACCCAACGAGGAGCAGAAGGAAAUGACAAGCGGUUUUCAAUAAGGUAUUCUCUGCAAGCACUGAAAUUAUAGGUAACAGAUAGUUUUGUGAUAAGAUAAUUUGUAACGGGUAACAAGUAAUGAAAGUAAAUAAGGUGCAGCAAUGUGGCCCAAUCCUUUUUGUAGCAAAGAACAAGCCUGGACAAACUCUUAUAUAGAUAAAAGCGCUCCCGAGGACACAUGAGAAUUAUUGUCAAGCUAGUUUUCAUCACGUUCAUAUGAUUCGCGUUCGGUACUUUGAUAAUUUGAUAUGUGGGUGGACCGGUGCUUGGGUGCUGUCCUUACUUGGACAAGCAUCCCACUUAUGAUUAACUCCCAUUGCAAGCAUCCGCAACUACAAAAGAAGUAUUAAGGUAAACCUAACCAUAGCAUGAAACAUAUGGAUCCAAAUCAGCCCCUUACGAAGCAACGCAUAAACUAGGGUUUAAGAUUCUGUCACUCUAGCAACCCAUCAUCUACCUAUUACUUCCCAAUGCCUUCCUCUAGGCCCAAACAAUGGUGAAGUGUCAUGUAGUCGACGUUCACAUGACACCACUAGAGGUGAGACAACAUACAUCUCAUCAAUAUAUCGAACGAAUACCAAAUUCACAUGACUACUAAUAGCAAGACUUCUCCCAUGUCCUCAGGAACAAACGUAACUACUCACAAAGCAUAUUCAUGUUCAUAAUCAGAGGGGUAUUAAUAUGCAUAAUGGAUCUGAACAUAUGAUCUUCCACCAAGUAAACCAACUAGCAUCAACUACAAGGAGUAAUCAACACUACUAGCAACCUACAGGUACCAAUCCCAGGCUAUGAGACAAAGAUUGGAUACAAGAGAUAAACUAGGGUUUGAGAGGAGAUGGUGCUGGUGAAGAUGUUGAUGGAGAUUGGGCCCCUCCCGAUGAGAGGAGUGUUGGUGAUGACGAUGGCGAUGAUUUCCCCCUCCCGGAGGGAAGUGUCCCCGGCAGAACAGCUCUGCAAGAGCCCUAGAUUGGUUCCGCCAAGGUUCCGCCUCGUGGCGUCGGAGUCUCAUCCCGAAAGCUUGCUUAUGAUUUUUUCUCAGAUGAAAGACUUCAUAUAGCAUAAGAUGGGCACCGGAGGGCCACCAGAGGGCCCACGAGGUAGGGGGCGCGCCCCCACCCUCGUGGCCAGGGUGUGGGCCCCCUCUGGUAUUUUCUUCGCUCAGUAUUUUUUAUUAUUUCCAAAAAUAACUUCCGUGGAGUUUAAGGACUUUUGGAGUUGUGCAGAAUAGGUCUCUAAUAUUUGCUCCUUUUCCAGCCCAGAAUUCCAGCUGCCUGCAUUCUCCCUCUUUAUGUAAACCUUGUAAAAUAAGAGAGAAUAAGCAUAAGUAUUGUGACAUAAUGUGUAAUAACAGCCCAUAAUGCAAUAAAUAUCGAUAUAAAAGCAUGAUGCAAAAUGGACAUAUCAACUACCCCAAGCUUAGACCUCACUUGUUCUCAAGCGGAAGCCGAUAAUGAUAAAUAUGUCCACAUGUUUAGAGGUAGAGGUGUCGAUAAAAUAAAAUACGGACAUGAGGGCAUCAUGAUCAUUCUUAUAACAGUAACAUAUAUGGAUAUUGUCAUAUUAUUUCUUAUGAUAAAGUAACAAUCUAUCCACAAUGUCAAGUGUGAAUCAGAAACUUCAUUGAGAACUAACAAACGAUAAUCUCAGUCAUUGAGGCAAUUGCAAUUUAUCAUAACAUCAUAAAGAGUCUAUGUAAGAGCUUUUCAGCAAGUCCACAUACUCAACUAUCAUUUAGUCUUUCACAACACUCACGCAAUACUUGUGGUUAGGGAGUUUUAAUCGGACACAGAGAAAGAUAGGGGCUUAUAGUUUCGCCUCCCAACCUUUUACCUCAAGGGUAAUGUCAACAAUAAUAGUUCAUUCUAAUUUGCAUCCAAUUAUAUAUAUAUAUAUAUAUAUAUAUAUAUAUAUAUAUCAGGAUCUUUCCAACACAAGGUGCUUGCCAAAGGAUAUAAAAUGUAAAAAGGAAAGGUGAAGAUCACCAUGACUCUUGCAUAAGGUAGAAAAUAAAAGUAAAAGAUAGGCCCUUCGCAGAGGGAAGCAGAGGUUGUCAUGCGCUUUCAGGGUUGGAUGCACAAAAUCUUAAUGCGAAAGAACGUCACUUUAUAUUGCCACAUGUGAUAUGGACCUUUAUUAUGCAGUCCGUCGCUUUUAUUUCUUCCACAUCACAAGAUCGUAUAAAGCUUAUUUUCUCCCACACUAAUAAGUCAUACAUAUUUAGAGAGCAAUUUUUAUUGCUUGCACCGAUCACAACUUACUUGAAGGAUCUUACUCAAUCCAUAGGUAGAUAUGGUGGACUCUCAUGGCAAAACUGGUUUUAAGGGUAUUUGGAAGCACAAGUAGUAUUUCUACUUGGUGCAAAAAAUUGGCUAGCAUGAGGGAGAAAGGCAAACUCAACAUGUUGGAUGAUCCAUGACAAUAUACUUUAUCUCAGAUAUAAGAAAACAUGACCCAUUAUGUUGUCUUCCUUGUCCAACAUCAACUCUUUAGCAUGUCAUAUUUUAAUGAGUGCUCACAAUCAUAAAAGAUGUCCAAUAUAGUAUAUUUAUAUGUGAAACCUCUCUUUCUUUAUUACUUCCUAUUAAUUGCAACGAUGACCAAAACUAUGUUUGUCAACUCUCAACAACUUUUAAUCAUCAUACUCUUUCUAUGUGAAGUCAUUACUCUCCAUAAAAUCAAUAUGAUCUCUUUUUAUUCUUUCUUUUUCUUUUAUUCACUCAUAAUCAUAGCAAGAUAAUCAAGCCCUUGACCCAACACUAAUCUCUAUUAUAUAGCUCACGGACUUGAUUACAUAGAGGGAUCAUAAAGCAAAACUCAAAACUAAAUCAUAUUAAAACUUUAUUCUACUAGAUCAAGAUAUUACCAAAAGGAUCGAACUAAGAAAAACGGUAAAGAUAGGAGUGUGAUGGUGAUACAAUACCGGGGCACCUCCCCCAAGCUUGGCAGUUGCCAAGGGGAGUGCCCAUACCCAUGUGAUUAUAUCUCCUUUGCUGGCGAAGGUGAUGGUGGAGUUGUUGAUGAUGUGGGCUUGUCGUCCAUCGAGCGUAAGAGGUCCUCCAACUUGCAGAUAAUGCCCUUGAGUGCGAUUUUAUAUGCUCCCUCAACAAAAUAUUUUCACAUGUGAGAUACUUCUUUUUUAUACGAGCUAACUCAAUCAUCUUGAAAGCUUCGAUCUCAGUUGGGGUAAGAAGAUUGUGAUCAAGUUGAAGGAUGUCUUCUGCUGCCGGAGCUUGGUCCUCUGUGGCCUUAUUGAUCCCUUCAUCUUUGUUGAUCUCCAUGGGUUCUUCCCUCUUCAGCUCUAUCUUCAUUAGCCAAGCAUCGUUGUCACCAUUGUUGGAGGAGGAGGACGACAUGAUGCCUGGCCUAGACAACCCUGACAGAAAAUAAUGCAACUCGAAACAAGAACAGAGGAUAAUUGCGUGAUACGGGAGUCAAAAUCUUCGGGAGUUUAUAUAAUGAAUUUUUACCGACCGAAAGAAGUAUCGUGCAAGAAAACGGAGUCCGGAGAGCACACGAGGUGCCCACGAGGCAGGGGGACGCGCCCAGGGGGUAGGGCGCGCCUCCCACCCUCGUGGAAGCCUCGUUUCCUUCCCGGACUGCUUCUUAUUUUCCUAUUUUUCUAAAUAUUCCAAAACAGAGAAAGUUUGCAAUUAGAACUGUUCUGUAGUCGGUUUACUUACCGUACCACAUACCUAUAACUUUUCGGGGUCUGAAACGUUCUAGAAAGUGUCUCUUAUGUAUUCCUCCGGUGUUACGGUUUCAACAACAUUAGUUUCAACAUUUAUAGGGUUACCUGAGAUAUAAUGUUUGAUUCUUUGACCGUUCACCACCUUCGGACUUGUGCCUUCAAAGUUGUUGAUUUUUAUGGCACCGGAACGAUAGACCUCCUCGAUAACGUAAGGACCUUCCCAUUUAGAGAGAAGUUUUCCAGCAAAAGAUCUUAAACGAGAGUUGUAUAACAAUACAUAAUCACCUACAUUAAACUCAUGCUUUUGUAUCCUUUUUUCAUGCCAUCUUUUAACUUUUUCCUUAAACAAUUUGGCAUUCUCAUAGGCUUGGGUUCUCCGUUCAUCAAGUGAGCUAAUGUCAAAUAACCUCUUCUCACCAGCAAGUUUAAAAUCAUAAUUGAGCUCUUUAAUGGCCUAGUAUGCCUUAUGUUCUAGUUCGAGAGGUAAAUGACAUGCUUUUCCAUAAACCAUUUUAUACGGAGACAUACCCAUAGGAUUUUUAUAUGCAGUUCUAUAGGCCCAUAAUGCAUCAUCAAGUUUCUUGGACCAAAUCUUUCUAGAUCUAUUAACAGUCUUUUGCAAAAUUAAUUUGAGCUCUCUAUUACUCAAUUCUGCUUGACAACUAGACUGUGGGUGAUUAGGGGAUGCAAUUCUAUGAUUAACAUCAUACUUAGCACGCAUUUUACGAAAAGCACCAUGAAUAAAAUGUGAACCACCAUCGGUCAUUAAAUAUCUGGGGACUCCAAACCUGGGAAAAAUAACUUCUUUAAGCAUCUUAAUAGAGGUGUUAUGAUCAGCACUACUAGUCGGAAUAGCUUCUACCCACUUAUUAACGUAAUCAACAACAACUAAAAUAUGUGUAUACCCAUUAGAGGAAGGAAAAGGUCCCAUAUAAUCAAAGCCCCAAACGUCAAAUGGUUCAAUAACAAGUGAAUAAUUCAUAGGCAUUUCUUGACGUCUACUAAUGUUACCAAUUCUUUGACAUUCAUCACAAGAUAAGACAAACUUACGAGCAUCCUUGAAGAGAGUAGGCCAAUAAAAACCGGAUUGCAAUAACUUAUGUGCAGUUCUAUCUCCAGCGUGGUGCCCUCCAUAAGCCUCGGAGUGACACUUGCGUAGGAUCUGUUCCUGUUAAUGCUCAGGUACACAACGCCUAAUAACACCAUCUACUCCUUCUUUAUAAAGAUGUGGGUCAUCCCAGAAGUAAUGUCUUAAAUCAUAGAAAAACUUUUUCUUUUGCUGGUAUGUGAAACUAGGUGGUAUAAAUUUAGCAACAAUGUAAUUAGCAUAAUCAGCAUACCAUGGAGCAGUACGAGAAGCAUUUAUAACAUUUAAUUGUUCAUCAGGAAAGCUAUCAUCAAUAGGUAGUGGGUCAUCAAGAACAUUUUCUAACCUAGACAAGUUAUCUGCAACAGGGUUCUCAGCUCCCUUUCUAUCAAUAAUAUGUAAAUCAAAUUCUUUUCGCAAGAGAACCCAUCUAAUAAAUCUAGGUUUAGCAUCUUUCUUUUCCAUAAGAUAUUUAAUAGCAGCAUGAUCAGUGUGAAUAGUUACUUUAGAAUCAACAAUAUAAGGUCUGAACUUAUCACAAGCAAAUACAACUGCUAAAAAUUACUUUUCAGUAGUGGCAUAAUUUCUCUGGGCAUUGUCUAGAGUUUUACUAGCAUAUUGAAUAACAUUUAAUUUCUUAUCAACUCUUUGCCCUAGAACAGCACCUACAGCAUAAUUGCUAGCAUCACACAUAAUUUCAAAAGGUAAAUUCCAAUCAGGUGGCUGAACAAUAGGUGCAGAAAUCAAUGCUUUCUUAAGUAUUUCAAAUGCUUCUACACAAUCAUCAUCAAAAACGAAAGGUAUAUCUUUUUGUAAGAGAUUAGUCAGAGGCCGAGAAAUUUUUUAGAAGUCCUUAAUGAACCUCCUAUAAAAACUAGCAUGACCAAGGAAACUUCUUAUACCUUUGAUGUCCUUGGGACAUGGCAUCUUUUCAAUAGCAUCAACUUUAGCUUUAUCAACUUCACUACCUCUUUUAGAAAUUUUAUGCCCCAAGAAAAUACCUUCAUUAACCAUAAAGUGGCACUUCUCCCAAUUCAAGACAAGGUUAGUUUCUUCACAUCUCUGCAAAACUCGAUCAAGGUUGCUCAAGCAAUCAUCAAAAGAGGAUCCAUAAACGGAGAAAUUGUCCAUGAAAACCUCACAUAUCUUUUCACAAAAGUCAGAAAAUAUAGCAAUCAUGCAUCUUUGAAAGGUAGCAGGUGCUUUACAUAAACCAAAAGGCAUACGUCUAUAAGCAAAAGUACCGAAAGGGCAAGUAAAAGUGGUAUUUGCUUGAUCAUCAGCUGACACAGGUAUUUCAGAGACACCAGAGUAACCAUCUAGAAAGCAAAAAUGUGUAUGUUUGGAUAAUCUUUCUAGCAUUUGAUCAAUAAAAGGUAAGGGGUAAUGAUCUUUUUAGUAGCCUUAUUUAAUUUGCGGAAAUCAAUUACCAUCCUAUAACCUGUAAUAAUUCUUUGCGGAAUCAAUUCAUCUUUAUCAUUGGGAACGACAGUAAUACCUCCCUUCUUAGGGACACAAUGGACAGGACUUACCCACUGACUAUCAGCAACGGGAUAAAUUAUACCUGCCUCAAGGGGCUUUAGUAUUUCCUUUCUUACCACUUCCUUCAUCUUAGGAUUCAGACGUCGUUGAUGAUCAAUAACUGGUUUGGCAUCUUUCUCCAAAUUUAUUUUGUGUUGGCAUAGAGUGGGACUAAUGCCAUUAAGAUCAUCAAGAGUAUAUCCAAUAGCAGCACGGUGCUUCUUCAGAGUUUUCAGUAAUUUUUCUUCCUCCUUCUCUGAAAGGUUAGCACUAAUAAUAACAGGAUAUAUCUUCUUUUCAUCAAGAUAAGCAUAUUUAAGAGUAUCAGGCAACGGUUUAAGCUCAAACACGGGAUCACCCUUGGGUGGAGGAGGACCCCCUAGGAUUUCAACAGGAAAAUUGUGUUUCAUAAUAGGUCCAUGUUUAAAGAAUACUUCAUCUAUUUCCCUUCUUUCAUUCAUAAACAUAUCAUUCUCAUGGUCUAGCCAAUAUUGUUCUAAAGGAUCACUAGGAGGCACGGCAAUAGAAGCAAGACCAAUAAUUUCAUCCUUACUAGGCAAUUCCUCAUCACGCGAGGUUGUCUACGAAAUUUAGAGAAAUUAAACACAUGAGACAUAUCAUCCAAACCAAUAGUAACAACAUCCUUUUCGCAGUCUAUCUUAGCAUUAACAGUGUUCAAGAAGGGUCUACCAAAUAUAAUGGGACAAAAGCUAUCUUGUGGGGAACCAAGAACAAGAAAAUCAGCAGGAUAUUUAGCCUUCCCACACAAGACCUCAACAUCUCUAACAAUCCCAAUUGGUAAAAUAGUAUCUCUAUUGGCAACCUUAAUGGUAACAUCGAUAUCUUCUAUCUCAGCCGGUGCAAUAUCAUGCAUAAUUUCUUUGUAUAAGUAAAUAGGUAUUGCACUAGCACUAGCACCCAUAUCACACAAGCCAUGAUAACAAUGAUCUCCUAUUUUAACAGAAAUAACAGGCAUGCCUACCACAGGUCUAUGUUUAUCUUUAGCACCAGGUUUAGCAAUUCUAGCAGUAUCAUCACAGAAGUAUAUAACAUGCCCAUCGAUAUUAUCAGACAAGAGAUCUUUAACAAUAGCAAUAUUAGGUUCAACUUUAACUUGCUCAGGAGGUGUAUAAGUUCUAAUAUUACUUUUACGAACCACAGUUGAAGCUUUAGCAUGAUCCUUUAUACUAACAGGAAAAGGUGGUUUCUCAACUUAAGCAGUAGGAACAAUAGGAUCAUUAUAAGUGAUAGUCUUUUCUUCAACUUUAAUAGGUUCAACUACUUUUACUUCUAUGGGAGGAUGAUAUUUAAACCACUCUCCUUAGGGAGAUCAACAUGAGCAGCAAAAGAUUCACAGAAAGAAGCUACUAUCUCAUAGUCAAGUCCAUAUUUAGUGCUAAUAAAUUUACGGAAAACAUCGGUAUCCAUAAAAGAUUUAACACAAUCAAACUUAGGUGUUAUACCCGACUCCUUACCUUCGUCGAGAUCCCAAUCUUCAGAGUUGCGUUUAAUUCUUUCCAGUAAAUUCCAUUUGAAUUCAAUAGUCUUCAUCAUAAAAGAGCCAGUACAUGAAGUAUUGAGCAUGGAGCGAUUAUUGUGAGAAAGCCGAGCAUAAAAAUUAAUAAUCAUUUCUCUUGAGAGUACAUGAUUGGGGCAUGAAUAUUACAUUGACUUAAGCCUCCCCCAAGCUUGAGCGAUGCUUUCUCCUUCGCGAGGCCAAAAAUUAUAUAUAUAAUUACGAUCACGAUGAACAAGAUGCAUAGGAUAAAACUUCUGAUGGAAUUCCAAUUUCAACCGUUUGUAGUCCCAUGAUCCCAUAUCAUCACAUAGCCGAUACCAUGUCAAUGCAUCUCCCUUCAAAUAUAAAGGGAAGACCUUCUUAUUGAUAACAUCAUCGGGCACACCUGCAAGCUUAAAUAAUCCACGAACUUCAUCCACAUAGAUUAAGUGUAAAUCGGGACGCAAUGUUCCAUCUCCUGCAAAAGGAUUAGCCAGUAGUUUCUCUAUCAUACCCGAAGGAAUUUAGAAGUAAACAUUUUCAUUUUCAGUAGGUUCAGUAGGUUGAGGAGCAACUCUUUGCUCUACUGGUCGAGGUGAAGAUACCCCGAACAAGCCCCUCAAAUGAUUACUUUCCAUAGUAACAAGUGACAGUAAAUUUCAGCACACUAUAUAAAAUUUUCAUUACCAAAUUCCACCUACCAAAGGCGCUUCACUCCCCGGCAACGGCGCCAGAAAAGAGUCUUGAUGACCCACAAGUUUAGGGGAUCUCUCGUAGUCCUUUCGGUUAGUAAGAGUGUUGAACCCAACGAGGAGCAAAAGGAAAUGACAAGCGGUUUUCAGCAAGGUAUUCUCUGCAAGCACUGAAAUAUAGGUAACAGAUAGUUUUGUGAUAAGAUAAUUUGUAACGGGUAACAAGUAAUGAAAGUAAAUAAGGUGCAGAAAGGUAACAAGUAAUAGAGAAAAGCGCUCCCUGAGGACACAUGGGAAUUAUCGUCAAGCUAGUUUUCAUCACGUUCAUAUGAUUCGCGUUCGGUACUUUGAUAAUUUGAUAUGUGGGUGGACCGGUGCUUGGGUGCUGUCCUUACUUGGAAAAAUAUCCCACUUAUGAUUAACUCCUAUUGCAAGCAUCCGCAACUACAAAAGAAGUAUUAAGGUAAGCCUAACCAUAGCAUGAAACAUAUGGAUCCAAAUCAGCCCCUUACGAACCAACGCAUAAACUAGGGUUUAAGCUUCUGUCACUCUAGCAACCCAUCAUCUACUUAUUACUUCCCAAUGCCUUCCUCUAGGCCCAAACAAUGGUGAAGUGUCAUGUAGUCGACGUUCACAUGACACCACUAGAGGAGAGACAACAUACAUCUCAUCAAAAUAUCGAACAAAUACCAAAUUCACAUGACUACUAAUAGCAAGGCUUCUCCCAUGUCCUCAGGAACAAACGUAACUACUCACAAAGCAUAUUCAUGUUCAUAAUCAGAGGGGUAUUAAUAUGCAUAAUGGAUCUGAACAUAUGAUCUUCCACCAAGUAAACCAACUAGCAUCAACUACAGGAGUAAUCAACACUACUAGUAAUCCCAGGCUAUGAGAAAAAGAUUGGAUACAAGAGAUAAACUAGGGUUUGAGAGGAGAUGGUGCUUGUGAAGAUGUUGAUGGAGAUUGGCCCCCUCCCGAUGAGAGGAGCGUUGGUGAUGACGAUGGCGAUGAUUUCCCCCUCCUGGAGGGAAGUGUCCCCGGCAGAACAGCUCUGCCAGAGCCCUAGAUUGGUUCCGCCAAGGUUCCGCCUCGUGGCGGUGGAGUCUCGUCUUGAAAGCUUGCUUAUGAUUUUUUCUCGGACAAAAGACUUCAUAUAGUAGAAGAUGGGCACCGGAGGGCCACCAGGGGGCCCACGAGGCAGGGGCGCGCCCAGGGGGUAGGGCGCGCCCCCCACCCUCGUGGCCAGGGUGUGGGCCCCCUCUGGUAUUUUCUUCACUCAGUAUUUUUUAUUAUUUCCAAAAAUAACUUCCGUGGAGUUUCAGGACUUUUGGAGUUGUGCAAAAUAGGUCUCUAAUAUUUGCUCCUUUUCCAGCCCAGAAUUCCAGCUGCCGACAUUCUCCCUCUUUAUGUAAACCUUGUCAAAUAAGAGAGAAUAAGCAUAAGUAUUGUGACAUAAUGUGUAAUAACAGCCCAUAAUGCAAUAAAUAUCGAUAUAAAAGCAUGAUGCAAAAUGGGCGUAUCAACGACCGCCCGUCCCCGUCGGCCCGCCGCCACCCAUUGCUUCCCCUUUCCCCAUUCUUCCUCUUCUCUGGCGAGCUGGUGCAGAUGUCCACCUCCUCCGCCACGCACUGAAAAUGGCGUCAGUAUGGUCCAGUGCCGCUCACAAGGUGCCCUGACUGCCCACGCCCAGAGCCUCUAAAACGGUGGGUCAGUAGAACUGAUGAGAAUGGAAAUCUUGGGCGGGAAUUUGUGAAGUGCUUGAGCAAAACAAUGGCAGAAAGGGAUGGCAAGGUUAGAUCUCAGUUCUUAGCCCAUUCUUUCACUGUCGUUUGCUCUGAUUUAUCCAUAUUUUGUUUUUUUCCUCGAAUUUGGAAUUUAGGGUUCAUGUUGUUGUUUUUUCCUCGAAUUUGGAAUUUAGGGUUCAUGUUGUUGAUUUAUCCAUAUUUCAUGUUGUUGAGAGGAUUCAGUUCGAGGGCUACAUUGAUUCGAGCGGGGCCGCAACCUGGGAGCUCAAUUUGGGGGGAGGGGUGCCGCAGAUGGAGAAUUUGGGGUCGAGCUUGGACAGAGGGGCGGGCAGAGUCGUGUCGAUGGCUAGGUAUGCGCGCAAUGCUGAACUGCACUUGGAGUCUGAACUAACCGAGGAACUGAAGAUAAUCAAGAAAUCAAAUGGAGAUGAUCAAUCUGCAGAAGCAAGCAAAUAUCAUGGCAGGGGGGGUUCUAUUGUUGUGUCAUUGCUCUGUUUUUGUUUUACUUGUUGUUCAUCCGUCAUUAGAGGGAGCAUUUAGGUCUAUCAGGGCAGAGGAUGCGAUCUGUGCGCCAUGCCAAGUUCAUGUAACUGAAUCGAAGCAGAAAUAUUCUAUGUUGAUGCUUUGUUCUUGUUCUUCAGUUAACAGAGUGCACACCCCCCAAAUUCAGUUUCUAGUAAGAAAAUCUUGCUGCCGAAUAGAUGUUGGGCCAUGAAAAAACAACGAGGCCCAAAUAGAGACAAGCCCACCCGCGUAGGGGCACCAGCCCAGUUUUAUAGCAUAGAGGCACCCAUGUUUAAAAAAAAUGUUCGACUAAAAACUCAAAAUAAAAUAUUGCUUCGGCAAAUAAACCUUUAACAAACAUAUACUUCUUUACAUAUUUGUUGCUUGUCCACGCUUGCACAAAAUAUUGGCCAGAGGUAAAAUUCAAACUAAUAUUUUUAGGAGCACAGAAAUAUUUCUUUUGUGACCAAUAAUUGUUUGCAUGAACUAAAAUAGUUGCAUUUCCAUGGUUGCAAAAAAAAUUGCACCGUACACCUAAUAGCUAGGGUGAUCCUAUUUGCAUGAACUAAAUUAGUUGCAUGUCCAUGGUUGCACAAAAAUUAUCACCGUACACCUACUAGCCAGGGCCUAGAUACAUGCAAGCACACAUGCAUCACACCAAGAUAUGAAAAAAAAUUGCAAAAAAAUUUGGGUACCCAUACACUUGCAUGUCCGUAGUGGAAGCUACCUUUUAUUAGUAAGACAUAGAUCAAAUAGGGAUCCAAUCAACUAGAUAUAACAUGGGUACCCAUAGAACAUCAAGCACCAUAUAUAUCAACUAACCAAUAUCAACUAGAUAGAAAAAAAUAACAGAUAGAACAUAGUAGCAUAAGUAGUAGCAUUGCAUAGAUAAGGGUAGCACGACAUAUAUAGUACCACUACAACAUAGAUAAUUCAUAGUUCAACCCAACACGACAAUAAUAAAACACCACCAGCUUGUUUGCUUGCUUGCUCAAAGGCCAAAUCCUCCAUGGCCAACUCCUUCACUCGUCGCCGUUGGUGGGGUACGGGAGGGUGUGCAUGCGCUCAUCGGCGGGGAAGGCACUGUCGAAGUCCGUGAAGAUGUUGUACAUGGUGAAUGCGAUGAACUCGCAUCCACAUCAAAAAACACGACCGAGGAGGUAGUAGGCGUCGAAGGGGUUGGUGAACCUCACGAUGAGCCCGAUAGGAUGGCCACUGCUACUGACCUCUUUGACACGGAACAUGGCCGGAGAGCCCCUCGGGAGGUGCCGGUAGCCGGCGGAGAGGAAGAACUCGGUCAGCCCCCUUGCCCCCCUCCACCUCGAGAUCGCCCACACCCGUAGGGUGUUCUCCACCCGGACUCCGGUAGGGUAGAGCCUCUCAGGGAAGGUGCGCGGCACACGGUAGGUAGCCCCGGUGAACUGCAUCUUGCUUGCUAGCUUUGAGUGGAUCUUGGAAGAUGGGAGAUGAAGGAGAGUGAGAGGAAGAUGUGGGUAGAGGAAGAUGUAGGCUUGGGUGUGCUUAAAUAGCCGAGGUGCAGUGUUUUAACGUUUUGUUUUCCUCUCCCUCGUAAUGGCAUGGGAAACGAGCAAUGUGGCAUCGAGUCACCCGAGCCAACCCGUGUGUACACGCGCAUGCAUUGUGGUAGUAAUGCCAAUGACCCGCGUAGCACUCUAGCAAUAAAAAUGCGUCGAGAGAUGAGCUCGAUGCCAUGCAUGCAGCGGCUAGCGGUCGGGCAUCUAGACCCAUCUAGAAUGGGUAAAUAGCCAUAAUGCUACGAGGGUGUCGGCGGGCAUGCUCGCCCGCGAUGCCAUCCAUGCAACGUCGAACGCUGAGAGGGCGGCCGCAGGAGGGCUACACGCGCGUGCAUGCUUUUCAGGCCGAAUGCAGCGUCGUGUCCAUCGGUCCAAUGGGUGGGCCGCUUUAAUUAAGCCCAACAACACAUGGCAGGCCUGCUUAGUCUUACAAUGUAAAAAAUGGGCUAAAACGACCAGCCAAUGAAAGCGCAACACGCGGAUCUGUGACGUGGCUCCUAAUCCAGACUGUUGCUUAUGUUCACAUCCAUCCAAUGGUCCAGAAUGCUACGUGUUAUAAUAUUCAGCAUCUUCGAAUCAGCCAAUCAGAGUGCUGCCUGCAGAUCGCUGACGUAGCCCUGGUGCCUGAUCCAGACCGUCCAUUCAUAGCGAUCCAAUGGCCGAGAGGAGUGUGGGGUUUCAAUGGGGUUUUGAGUGGUUUUCAGCGGUUAGGGUUGAGCAUAACUAAUUCAAAAAAAUCAAAAAAACUAUAAAACUUGUGUCGAUCAUCGUUCUAUGUGACUAAGUAUCUAGGAAAAAUAAGAAACUUGUACUACGGAUAUUUUCAUGAAAAAACCUUCACAAAAGAUGGCUAUCAAGAACGACCUUGUAGGGUUUUGAAGAGAAGUGAGCUAGGGUUUAGUGUCAAACAUGUCAUACUUUAUCGAAACAAUCCAAUAUCAGGAAGGACUCUUAUAUACACACACUAGAUGUCAAGUUUCCUUUUUGGGCUCAUUUAGAGAAGGUCGAAAAAAGCUUGCUUACAAAUGGGUCUGUUUUCCCUAGCUUUGGAGGGGUUUUGGAGGUCAUGUGGAGCACAUUUUUCAUGUCCAGAGUUUUACAUAAUAAAAGUGCUCCGAUUAAUCAACUAACAUGCAUAAUAGUCCAGAAAUCAUUGUAACACCAACACCACAGACCAAAUAACUUCAAAUUUGAAUUUUGUCUCAAAUUUGAAUUUUGUCUCAAAUUUGAAUAGUAUUACACAAAUACACAUCAUAUCAAAGUACAAAUAUCAUUACACAAAUUCAGGCAAGGUUUUAUUACUACAACAUACUAGCAAUACACAAGUUUCAACAAAUUUUCACUUCUGCUUCUUCCUACCACUCGAUUUGUUCUUCUUCUUUUUACCAAUGCUUGUUUUUGGUUGUACAACACCCAGUUCACUCAAGCUCUUGAUUUUCUUCACUGGACUUCCUGGAACACAAGCUUCAUUUCGCACCACAACAGUUGCAGUAUCAUCGGACCCAAUAUCACCAGUUGGCAACACAACUUCCAAUAUAGGCUCAGUUGGCACCACAUCAACUGGAAUAUCUUUAGUUGGCAACUCAACUUCCAACAUAGGCUCAGCUUGCACAGCAUCAGCUGGAAUAUCUUCAGAGGUACCCAUAGCUUCAGUUGGCACCAGAACAUCAAAAUCUUGCUCAUCUUGCAGCAGCACAUCCAAGUCUUGCUCAUUUUGCACCACACCAUCCAAGUCUGGUUGAAUGUGUAUUGUUUCACCAAAACUUCUCUUUCUUCUAGAGCCAUUGCCUCUUGCUUUUUUCUUUGGCCAGCACACUUCAACAACAAGGGGCUCACCUGCACGCUUCCUCCUAAAAAGAUAAAGCAUGUCAACUGGUUAGUAAUUGAAAAAUGCAACAAAAUAGUAAACAAUGCAAACAUAUGCCCACAUACUUUGGCCAUUCAUGAGUGUAACAACAUUUGGGAGAUCCAACUCGGUGCCCAAGUUCCUGGCACAACUUGCCUCUAUUUUUUUUUACCUUUUUGGGACCUUUUUGGCUUUGCAUUCUUCUUUCCCUUGCCCUUUUUACUACUCCCACCUUUCUCAAACCAUGCCUUGAAUCUACUUUCUUUAGGCCUGCCAGCCUUUCUUUUUGUUAGGGGAGGACCCAUGGAAAAUUCAAUUUCAACUUCAGGCCACUGAGACUGAUCUGUAAGUGCUAGAAUUGGAGUUGCAUAUGCAGCCUUGAAUCUUGCUACUAAGUAAUAUUCGUGCAAAUAUGGGUGCAUGUUUAUCUUCGGUCGGGAGGCCAAGAAAAGUAUGGCAUGACUCACAUGGUUUCCCAGUGUGCUGCCACUCCAAACAAGUGCAAUCAUGCAUUUCAGUGUUAACAACAUGCCUUCUACCAGUUUUGGUAUCUCUAACUUCAACACCCCACACAGAAGAUUUUUCAACAGAUAAAUGUGUAAGAUUUAUGCUCCUGUUGACCACCUGGUGUACCACUGCAGGAAGCUUAUCCCCUUGUAGACAAUCACCAAUCCUUCUUCUCAAUUCCCACAAGCGCAUGAUCAUGAUCCUGAUUUGGUCAACCAUGUCAUGCACAGGAAAAAAAUUUAACUGCUUCACCCUGUUGUUAAAACUUUCUGCCAAGUUGUUGUUGAUAUGAUCACACUUGAUGGCAGUGUUAAAUCCCGACCUAUACCAUAAUAGAGAAUGGUACGUGUUCACCCAUGGACCAAACUCAGGACAUGAUGUCAUUAUCAUACCAAGAUGAUAUUAAUGUGUUUGUUUAGUGUAAGAUCUUGCUGCUGGCCACAUACGACCAAAUUCUUCCCCUUUGAAUUUUUUGAUCAAAUUCAUCCACAUAUGGCCGAAGCACUCCCUCUGCUCACAAUGGGGGAAAACAUUCUUCACUGCGUUUUCUAGCCCUUUGCAUGCAUCUGUGUGGACUGCCAAAGGUGACACUGGACCUAUGCAUCUUUUCAACUGCACCAUGAACCAUGUCCACGAGACCUCUAUCUGUGACUGAAAUAAGCCAAUAGCAAUAGGGAACAUCCAGUUGUAUCGAUCCAAAGCAUUGCAAGCUGCCAAUUGACCAAUUGAAAGUGCACCUAUGCCUAGGUGGUUUUGGUAAUUCCUAACAACAUAUAGCUCAUUGAGCUAAUGAUAUCUCAAGAUAAAUAUUUCAGGAAAGCACAAUGAUUGGCAUGGCAUGGAUUAGAAAUGUGACCCCUCAGAAUACCAAGGACAAAAGAAUGGCUCAAGCUCUAAAGCUCAAGACUCUACAUUUUACUUUUAGUGAUCCAAGAUCACAUUGAGUCCAUAGGAAAAGCAAAUACUAUUAAAAGGGGAUGAGGUGUUGCUUAAUGGGUUGCUUGCUCAAAAUGCUUAGUGAUAUGCUCCAAAAACCCUCAACUACUUUCUCAUAUCCACAUAUGUCCCAAACCAGAAGUCAAACUCGGCCCCACCAAAACAUCCUAUCUGGCACCACCGAGUUCUCUUGACAUAGCCACUGCCACAAACCCUAGUCACUUUGGUCUCACCGAUAGGGAUCUCGGUAUCACCGAGAUGGGAUUGCAAACAUCUGUUUCCCUUCCUAACGUUUCGGUCCAACCGAGAUGAGCGAUCGGUCCCACCGAGUUUGCAAUGCAAACUCUCUGUUUCCCCUUCGUAACGUUUCGGUCUCACCGAGAUGAGCAAAUCGGUCCCACCGAGUCUGCCUCAUCAACUCUCUGGUUAGCUUAUCACCAAAAUCAGUCCCACCGAGUUUGUGUAAUCAGUCUCACCGAGAUUACGUUAUGCCCUAACCCUAAUGAAAUCGGUCCCACCGAGUUGACAUGUCGGUCCCAUCGAAUAUCCUAACGUUCACAUUUUGAACUAAAUCGGUCCGACCGAGUUUCAUUAUUCGGUCCCACCGAGUUUGAUGAUUUGUGUGUAACGGUUAGAUUUUGUGUGGAGGCUAUAUAUACCCCUCCACCCACUCUUUAUUCGUGGAGAGAGCCAUCAUAACAUGCCUACACUUCCAGCAUACAUUUUCUGAGAGAGAACCACCUACUCAUGUGUUGAGGUCAAGAUAUUCCAUUCCAACCACAUAAAUCUUGAUCUCUAGCCUUCUCCAAGUUGCUUUCCACUCAAAUCGUCUUUCCACCAAAUCCAAAUCUGUGAGAGAGAGUUGAGUGUUGGGGAGACUAUCAUUUGAAGCACAAGAGCAAGGAGUUCAUCAUCAACACACCAUCUAUUACCUUUUGGAGAGUGGUGUCUCCUAGAUUGGUUAGGUGUCACUUGGGAGCCUCCGUCAAGAUUGUGGAGUUGAACCAAGGAGUUUGUACGGGCAAGGAGAUCGCCUACUUCGUGAAGAUCUACCCUAGUGAGGCAAGUCCUUCGUGGGCGAUGGCCAUGGUGGGAUAGACAAGGUUGCUUCUUCGUGGAACCUUCAUGGGUGGAGCCCUCCGUGGACUCGCGCAACCGUUACCCUUCGUGGGUUGAAGUCUCCAUCAACGUGGAUGUACGAUAGCACCACCUAUCAGAACCACGCCAAAAAUCUCCGUGUUUAUAUUGCGUUUGCUCCCUCCAAACUCCUCCCUUUACCUUCAUGUGCAAUGUUUUACAUUCCGCUACUAUACUCUUAGACUUGCAUGUGUAGGUUGAUUUCUUGACUAGUGCUAAGUUGCUAAAAUCUGCCAAGACUUAAAAUUGGGGAAAGGCUAGAUUUUUAUUUGGUCAAGUAGUCUAAUCACCCCCCCUCUAGACAUAAUUUCGAUCCUACAAGUGGUAUCAGAGCUACGGUCUCCAUUUGCCUUGAUUUCCAUAGCUUUUGGUGAUCAUAGCCUUGGUUUCACAACCUAGGAGACUAUGGCGUCUAGCAAGGGAAAUUACCACCAUAGAGGUCCUUACUUUGAUGGUACUAAUUUUGCUACUUGGAAGCACAAGAUGAAAAUGCAUAUUCUUGGACAUAACCCCGCCGUUUGGGCUAUUGUGUGUAUUGUCUUGCAAGGUGAAUUCUUUGAUGGGAGAGAACCGAACCGUGAAGCUACUGCGGAAGAGUUGAAGAUGCUACAAUACAAUGCUCAAGCUUGUGAUAUUCUCUUCAACGGAUUGUGCCUCGAAGAAUUCAACAAAAUCAGCCGUCUUGAGAAUGCAAAGGAAAUUUGGGAUACUUUGAUUGAUAUGCAUGAGGGUACCGACUCCGUCAAGGAAUCCAAAUUGGAUGUGCUUCAAAGUCAAAUUGAGAAGUUCAAAAUGAAGGAUGGUGAAGGUGUCACUGAAAUGUACUCUAGGCUUGCUCUCAUCACAAAUGAGAUUGCCGGCUUAGGAAGUGAAGAGAUGACCGAUAGAUUCAUCAUCAAGAAGAUCCUAAGAGCCUUGGAUGGAAAAUAUGAUACCGUGUGCACAUUGAUCCAAAUGAUGCCCAAUUACAAAGAUCUCAAGCCAAAGGAAGUCAUUGGAAGAAUUGUUGCUCAUGAGAUGUCACUUAAGGAUAAGGAAGAGCUCCACAACAAGUCAAGUGGUGCUUACAAAGCCUCAUGUGAUGCUCCUACACCAUCAAGUGAGAAACAAACCUUUAAUGAAGAAUUGAGCCUAAUGGUGAAGAAUUUCAGCAAGUUCUACAAGAGUAGAAGCAAGGAAAGAAGUUCCAAGUCAAGAUCCUACAAUGACAAAAGAUCUUCAAGUCGUGAACGAAAUUGCUACAAUUGUGGAAGACCCGGACACUACUCCAAUGAGUGUACGGCUCCCUACAAAAGAAGAGGAGAUUCUCCCAAAAGACGAAGUAGAAGAGAAGAAUCAGCACCAAGAGAGAGAAGGAGUAGAGAUGAUUGUUAUGAACGAAGAACCUCUCGGAGAAGCAAGGAUUCGGAAAGGAAGGACAAAUCAUCAAAGAGCUACACAAAACGAAGACAUCAAUCUCACGUUGGUGAAUGGGUAUCCGGCUCCGACUCCGACCAUUACUCCGAAAGAAGUUAUCACUCCGACUCCGACUAUACUCAAGAAGAAGGUGUUGCCGGUCUAGCACUUGCGUCAACCAACUCCUACAACAUAUUUGACUCACCAAAUGAAGGAAUUGGAAGAUGCUUCAUGGCUAAAGGCCCCAAGGUAUCACACCCCGAGUUUGUUGAUUUCAAUAGUGAUGAAGAUGAUUUGCUAGGAGAUGAUGAUUUACUUGUUGACAACUCCAGUUAUGAAAACUAUGAUGAACUUGCUAUUAGUCAUGCUAAUCAAGAUAAAACGAAUGACGAUGAUAAGAAGGAGAUUGAGCGUCUAACUAAAGAAUUAAACACUCUUAAAUUAGCUCAUGAAACUACCAUGGAAGAUCAUCGAGAACUUUUAAAGACUCAUGAGAAGCUACGCUUUGAAAGGCUCAACCUUGAGCAAGAGCAUGGGUUCUUAAAAGCAAUCAAUGAUGAUCUUCGCAGGAAAAAUUCUUCUUACAUUGCCAAGCGUUUACUCUUGUCUACUUACAUGCCACAAGUAGAAUCUAGCAACAAGAGUAAGAAAGAUUCUUCAUCUAGUAGUAACAAUAAUCAUGCUAAAUCCAAUGUUGUUGCUUCUAGUAGUUCUCUUGAUUCCACUAAUGAUUCUCUUAGCCAAGUUACAAUUGAGCAAGAAAAUAGCUUAUUGAAGGGAAUUAUAGAGAAAGGUGUUUACAAGAGCCUUGUCGGAAGUAAGCAAUUUGAGGAAAUUGUACGCAACCAAGGAAGGCACCGGAAAAAUCAAGGUGUUGGUUUUGAACGAAAGUUCAAUGCCAAUGGAGUUGAGUGGGAAGAAGAUCAAUACCCCAAGACGAAGUUUGUUCCUCAACAAGAGAAGUAUGAUCCUACUUCCUUCCAAGGAACACAAGCUCAAGAUGAUCUUCCACCACAAGACCACAAGCAAAAAGGCAAGGACAAGCUUCAAGAGGAGAUUGAUGCAUUUUAAGAAGCUCCCAAGGCCUUGGUCGAGUGGGUUCCCAAGACUACAUCAAAUACGACUACAACUCCAAGGAUUCCCAUCAAGAUGAUGUGGAUCCCGAAGAAGAAGAACUAGAGAGUUCUUGAGGGUGACUCCGCCAACAUACUUCACUCAUAUCUUUUGGCAAGGACAUGUGAGAACAACUUCCACAUAUUGCACUAGUUCAAGGAGUCACAAACCCUCUUGUUUGUAAGACAAGGGACAAGGUAACCUAAUGCUUUCAUGGACAUCAUCUUGUGUGUACAUCACUCUAUGUCUAUGGAUAUCCUUGUUUGUUCCUUGUGGGACUAACCAGUGUAGGUAUUGGAAGUGCAACUCACUCCAAUGGAUUGCUCCGAAUGAUCUACAUCAACAUUGAGCAUCCACAUCUUCAACACCUACAUGAAGUCAUCAUCGACAAAACCCAAGGUUAGUUCAUCCCUCUUAGGGGGAUAUCACAUCUAGGGGGAGCUUUACUCUAAUAAAUUGAGCUAAAGCAACUCUAAUGGUGUGAACACAACAAUGCUUUAUGUGAAAGUGGUAACCCCACUUAUGCUUAAACGAUGAGUAUGACCUAUGAUCAAAUGUUCUCAUUUGACUCCUAAGUCAAUAUACUCAUAUAUAGAUGACCUAGUCAUCGCCAAUUGCUUGAUAGAUGCUAGAGUCUUUGUGCAUGCUUUGUCACAUAUUUCGUUUGCCAUUUUAUUGUGUGAGCAUGUUAAUUGCAUAUUUUACUCAUUCGAGGACAUCCAUUUGUUGCUUUGAUUGUUUGGCUUUUUCUCUUUUGCCAAAUGGAUGGACAAGAAUGCCUAAGAACUCCCUCUAGCUAUCUAUGCUUUUCUCGUCUCAAACUCUAUUCAUGCUACAUCACAAAGUUUGAUCAAGUCAGGUUCGAACCACUCUGUGUGAGGAGCACUCGGAGUCCCCGAUUCGUCAUAGACUUAAACUUCCAAAACCUCUUUGUGCAUUUCGGUAUGACCGAUUCAUCCAUUUUGGUCACACUGAGUUCACUAAGUUGAUCUAGGUUUUCCAUCUCGGUGCAACCAAUUUGAACUUUUCGGUCACAUCGAGUUGCAGUAACCGCUUGCGAUUCUGCAUCUCGGUGCCACCGAGUUGUUCCACUCGGUAACAUCGAUAGGGUCGGGAUAUAUAAACCCACAGGUGAGAUUUUGGAAAUUUCUUCAAACUCCUCAGCCCGCGUGUGUCCUGCUCUGCCUCCUCGGGUCUCCGGAUCGUCUCCUCGCCGCCAGCGACCUCCCGCCGCUGGUUUCCGUUGCUGUCAACGGAAUUCUCCUCUGCCGUUGUCGCCAUAGCGAACUCCCGCCGAACUAGGGUAUGGGUUCGACUCUUUGUGCUAUUUCCCUACUCCAAUUUGUAGCACAUUUCUUUUCCAUGAUCUUUACCACGUAUGAAAAUAAUCUAUCGAGAGAAAACAUCCUUUAGGUUAGAUUUGAUUCAAAAAUUUAGGGUUAGGUCUCCGCCGAACUCAUCUCAGACCAACCGAGUUGUAGAAAUCGGUCUCACCGAUUUGGCUUAGGCCAUUGCACAUGCUUUUUGGUCUGACUGAAAACGGCAAAUUGGUGCGACCGAUUUCGAAUCUCUGUGAAACCCUAGCAAUCUCGGUGCCACCGAACUGUGACUCGGUCUGACCAAGUUCACUAGUUUAGGUUCCAAAAGUUGCUUCGGUAUCACCGAGUUUAACAAAUCGGUAGCUCCGAAAUGCUUUCUGUGGAGAACUAUAACUAAGUUUUUGAGUCAUCUGUUUUGCAAAAGCUCUGCACUUUGUGAUGCUCAUCCACUCUACCUCAUCUAUAUCUAUUCACAGGGUUUGCUGUCAGUGUGAUUGCCAAGAUGUCUGAUCAAAGUGACAGCCAGAACAGAUCUGAAGAGCAAGUGCAUAUGAGUGAGGGCACUAAUCCCUCAAGCAGCUAUGAUGAGGGCAGCAGAAGCACACCAAGUAACUUGCCCAAGGUAGCCACUAGAACAAGGAAGAAGAGAACCUCAGACUCCGAGGAUGAGGACUAUGUGGCCAUUGAGGAUGAGGCCACCUCAAGGAAGAAAGUGCUGAAGAAAGAGUAUGGCAUAGCUGCUGCAACUAAGCCAGGGUUGCAUAAGAAGGCAACAGCAAAGAGAGUCCCAAUGUCAAAGCCAACGAAAGUUCCAACAGGAGAAACCAUGAAAUUCACAAUAUAAUCAGAUGAUGGUGAGGCAGUUGGUGAUGGCAAGAAGAAGAAGAGGGCAAGAACCACAUCUGCAAAAGUUCUUGGAAAAUCAACUAUGGUAAGAGAUUCAGAAGAAGAGGAAGAGGAAGAGGAUGCUGCACCAGCACCCAAGUCUCAGAAGCUUAUGGGAGAUGCUAUCAAGUCAGGGGCUGCUCCAUCAAAGCCCAAGACUGCUCCCAAAGCAACAGCUCAAACUCAGAAGCCCUCUAAGCCCAAGAGAAGCACCAGAAACAUUCCUGCAGAAGAGAGGAACAAGGCCUCAGUGCCUAAGGUUGAAGAAGAGGAUGAUGAAGCCCUAGUGCUAAGAAAACUGAAACCCAAGAUUCCAGACCACAAUGACACUCAUCCAGUGGCUGAGGACAUGCACAUCAGGAAAGAUGCAGGAUUGAGACUUUGGAGACAGUCUGAUCCUUAUGCUGCGACAAGGAGAACUGUUGUGGACUACAUGUUCCACACCAAAGAACAACAAGACUUCUAUGAGACUAUUCUGCUUGACAAGAAGCCAAUUGUCUGUGAAAUGAGAUGGGUUGAUUGGGAAUACAUCAAAGAGAAUGAAGAUCACUUCCCAGGUGUACCAGACAGCUUCAAAGCAAGUGGAGUUGAUAAGUUUGUAGGUCAGAAGCCCACCAAAUGGAAUGAUGAGCUAAUCAUGCAGUUUUACUCCACUGCUCAUUUCUAUCCAGAUGGGAGAUAGUGGGGAUGUCUGAAGGUACAAGGUACCAAUCAACUGUAGAAAAAUGGGCCAAGUUGAUCAAUGCCCCAGAAGAGUAUGAGGAUGAUUUGGAUGUGUAUGCCAAGAAGAAGAAAGACCACAACUCUAUGGCAAAUAUGUACAAAGAGAUCCCUGAUAAAGCUUUGGAGACACACAAGCUUGGAUCUGUGCACUAUUUGUUGUCUGGUCUACCCACUAUCAACACUAUCUUAAGGCAUACUCUGGUACCCAAAUCUGGAGAUCACAAGAUGAUCAGAGGACAUUCCAUCAACUUGCUGCAAAUCUUUGAUGUCCCUUAAAAAUUCAAGGUCGUGAGUCUGAUUGUUGAGACAAUCAAGAGGACAGCUGCUGACCAGAAGAGAUCUUGUGGGUAUGCUCCACACAUUCAGGUGGUCAUCAACUCAAAGAUGGGCACAGGGACUUACAUGUUGGACAAAGAACAUUUACCCUUGUAUCCAGAUUUUGAAGAUAAUGAAGUUGUCAUGAAUGAGAAUGAACCUUCAUCAGCACAAGCACAAGAGAAGAGAGCUAAAGCAAAGGCAGAAAAGGCUGCAAGGAUGCCAAGUGCCGAGGAAGCAUCUCAGGUGUCCCUGAAGAGCAAGAAAGAUCAGCUUAUAUCUGAUUCAAGCUACAUUGAGGAUUGAGAAGGGCUUGGCCACCCUGACUCAGAAUCAGGAGAGCUUGGAGAGGAUCAUAGAGACAAAAUAUUAUGAUCUUGAUCUGAAGGUCACUGAGAUACAGAGAGCAGUUGAGCAGCUCCAGGAGGAAGCAGGAGAGAGGAAAGGGAAGGCAACUACAGAUGCUUUUCGGCGAGUGCCAAGAGGUCAGAGGUCUGCUGCAGUGCCAGUAUCAGAUACUAGAGCUACAUCGUCAGCACCAAUAGCUACAGCUUCAGUGCCACCUCCAGCAGCCACUCCACCAGCUCCAGCUACAUCCACUGAUGCCUUCGUCCUUGGAGUUCUCUCUACUCCACCUCCUGAAGACCAAGCCUGAGAGACGCAUAGCACUAUGCAUUUUCGAACUUUUUGAUAACUUGUUGCCAAAGGGGGAGAAAUGUAUAGAUCAUAGGCUUCGAGAGAGAGUGUUUUGCUUCUUUGUCUCUCUUGAUUUUGGUUGAACUUUAUGGUGUUCUUGGUUGAUACUCUAUGUCUGUGUGAGAUACUUGUUUGAUCAUGGGUUUGAUCAUAUGCUACUUUAAUGCUUGCUUGGAUGGUAUUAUCUCUUAUAUCCCAUAUAUGUUCAUUCACUUUGCUUGGUGAUGAAUGCUUUCUUUUAAUUUCCACGAUCCUAAUUGAUUGUGCAUUUGCAUUCAAAAGAUGUAUGUGACAUGGAAGAGUAACCCAUGAUCCUAAUCGAUUGUGCAUUUGCAUUCAAAAGCCUAUUUUUAAUAAUGCACAAAUUUAGGGGGAGCUCUUGCUUAUCACAUACUUCUCAAAGCGACGAUGUAUUUCAAUCUUAUGAUCAUUUGUCAAAGCUUUGAUCUAUAUGUUUUCAUCAAUUAUCAAAAAGGGGGAGAUUGAAAGUGCAACUAUCCCUGGGUGGUUUUGGUAAUUCCUAACAACAUAUAGCUCAUUGAGCUAAUGAUAUCUCAACAUAAAUAUUUCAGGAAAGCUCAAUGAUUAGCAUCGCAUGGAUUAGAAAUGUGGACCCCUCAAAAUGCUAAGGACAAAAUAUUGGCUCAAGCUCUAAAGCUCAAGACUCUACAUUUUACUUUUAGUGAUCCAAGAUCACAUUGAGUCCAUAGGAAAAGCCAAUACUAUUAAAAGGGGAUGAGGUGUUGCUUAAUGGGUUGCUUGCUCAAAAUGCUUAGUGAUAUGCUCCAAACCAAAAGUCAAACUCGGCCCCACCGAAACAUUCUAUCCGGCGCCACCGAGUUCUCUUGACAUAGCCACUGUCACAAACCCUAGUCACUUCCGGUCUCACCGAUAGGGACUCGGUCUCACCGAGAUGGGAUUGCAAAAUCUUUGUUUCCCUUCGUACAUUUCGGUCCAACCGAGAUGAGCGAUCGGUCCCACCGAGUUUGCAAUGCAAACUCUCUGUUUCCCCUUCGUAACGUUUCGGUCUCACCGAGAUGAGUGAAUCGGUCCCACCGAGUUUGCCUGACCAACUCUCUGGUUAGCUUAUUACCAAAAUCAGUCCCACCGAGUUCGUGUAAUCGGUCUCAUCGAGAUUACGUUAUGCCCUAACCCUAACGAAAUCGGUCCCACCGAGUUGAAAUGUCGAUCCCACCGAAUAUCCUAACAUUCACAUUUUGAACUAAAUCGGUCUGACCGAGUUUCAUUAUUCGGUCCCACCGAGUUUGAUGAUUUGUGUGUAACAGUUAGAUUUUUUGUGGAGGCUAUAUAUACCCCUCCACCCACUCUUCAUUUGUGGAGAGAGCCAUCAGAACAUGCCUACACUUCCAGCAUACAUUUUCUAAGAGAGAACCACCUACUCAUGUGUUGAGGUCAAGAUAUUCCAUUCCAACCACAUAAAUCUUGAUCUCUAGCCUUCUCCAAGUUGUUUUCCACUCAAAUCAUCUUUCCACCAAAUCCAAAUCUGUGAGAUAGAGUUGAGUGUUGGGGAGACUAUCAUUUGAAGCACAAGAGCAAGGAGUUCAUCAUGAACACACCAUCUAUUACCUUUUGGAGAAUGGUGUCUCCUAGAUUGGUUAGGUGUCACUUGGGAGCCUCCGUCAAGAUUGUGGAGUUGAACCAAGGAGUUUGUACGGGCAAGGAGAUAGCCUACUUCGUGUAGAUCUACCCUAGUGAGGCAAGUCCUUCGUGGGCGAUGGCCAUGGUGGGAUAGACAAGGUUGCUUCUUCGUGGACCCUUCGAGGGUGGAGCCCUCCGUGGACUCGCGCAACCGUUACCCUUCGUGGGUUGAAGUCUCCAUCAACGUGGAUGUAUGAUAGCACCAUCUAUCGGAACCACGCCAAAAAUCUCCAUGUCUACAUUGCGUUUGCUCCCUCCAAACUCCUCCAUUUACCUUCAUGUGCAAUGUUUUACAUUCCGCUGCUAUACUCUUAGACUUGCAUGUGUAGGUUGAUUGCUUGACUAGUGCUAAGUUGCUAAAAUCUGCCAAGACUUAAAAUUGGGAAAAGGCUUGAUUUUUAUUUGGUCAAGUAGUCUAAUUACCCCCCCCCCUCUAGACAUACUUUCGAUCCUACACCAUUCCACUUGCCAGUCAAAAAUGAUGAGUCUAUGCUCAAAUAUGGACGACACCCUACCUUGAAGCCAUCAAUGCUAGGCUUCAAAGCCAUAAUAAACGUAUAGAAAAGUACUCUUCCAUCCUCUGUUACCUCAGUAUCUAUCUCCACAACACUCCCAGGUGACCUCUUCUCCACCUCUGCUUUGAAAUUAUAAAGCAUCCUAAAAGUAUUUGCCCAGUCACCAUAUAAUUGUUUCAUUGCCCUUUGUUUUGCCUUCCACACCGUGUUAUACUUCUCCUUAAUGGGGUAUUGCUUUCCAAGUAUACUUUAAGUUUCUUUGCAGUGGUGUUUGGUUUCUUGGCUAGAAUAGGAGUGAUCUUUUCUGCAAUCCAAAGCUGUGAUGUCAUGGUUGAUACUCUCGGUGAACUUGUAAUACAAGUAUGUUGGUGAGGGAUUUGAUUCACCCUAAUGGUACUUCCAUCAGGUUGGCGUCUAGCAGAUAUGUACUACUUGCAAGGCUUGACACUUCCAUCAAAACCUCUACACCUUGCAUAAAACUUCUUUCUAUCAGUCCACUUAGUCUUGGCACCAAACUCAUGUUUGACUGCAUAUGUCUUGAAACACAUCCUAAACUCAUCCAUGUUUGGGAACAACAUCCCCACUUCAAUAACAGGGUUUUCCUUGUCAUACACAUUUACCAACUCAUCAUCAUGUGCAUCAUCUACAUCAUCUGCAGCAUCUUCCAUCAGCUAUCCAUCCAGAUCUUCAGUUCUAUCUUUGUUAGCAUCAGUAUCAGUAGGCAUACUAGAUUCACCAUCCUUCUCCUCCUUAUCUUCAUCAGCUACUGGAAUGCCAAAUUUUUUGGCCAUCUCAGUGUCAUCCAUUGGUGCAAUGACUAAAUCAGUUGGGUCAUUUAAUUCUACUGAAUUCCAAUCAACAUAAACAACCCUUCCAACACCCUCAGAGCCAUCUUCUGCAUCACCCCCCUCAGGUAAUACUGUCACUUCACCUGUACACAUGGGCAUUAUCUGCCUCUCUGAAGCCCAAUCAUCAUCUACCAUUUGUGAAGCUAACUUUGAGGGCACAUAUCCAACCUUAGAAUCUGAUUUCAGAUCAACAAGCUAUGCAUGAAACAUAGUUUGUUUGGUUGUCCAGCCAUCUUGUUGAUCAAUUUCAUCAACCAUGUCUUCACCAUCCUCAAUUCUCACAUACUCUCCUUUCCAAUUAUCAAACCGUAACAAUGCUACCUCUUGCUCUGGACCCCAAAAAAUGCUCUCCCCAAUUUUUUUCCACCACAUUCUUCAUGGCCUUCUCUUCCAUGCUCUGUAGUUCUUGUGGAUCAAUCUCUGCAAAAUCAAUCUCCGGAUGCUACCAUCACCUAUGUCCCGCAUGCUACCAUCACCUAGCUUCGCCUUAGAAGGAAGGAAUUCCGCAGUGAAUUUGAACGUCCGAGCAACAUCCCCCCUAUUUCGGGGCAGUGUGAGGUGAGCUACCGGAAGCAGACGAGGCACAAAUCGCAUUCCUUGGAAAGGAUGCACAUUAAGGGAUUACCUUCUAGAUGUUGUUGUCUCUGGCGGCUCCAUCGCGUGCAGGCCCCCCUCCCACCCACCCAAAUCUGGAUCAAAUUGACCAAAAACACCAAAAAACAGAGGGAAAGAGAGGCGGUGAGAUCUAGCUCGACACGGAGGGGAACGGGAUAGGGUUCCUGAUUCACUCAACACAGCCGCCGCCGUCGCCGAGAACGAAAGCUCCUCUGCGCUGCUAUCACCGAGAACAAAAUCUCCGGCGCCGGCGCCGGCUCACCGCCAAGAACAAAGAGGGGGGGUACACGUUCAGAUAGGCAUGGGGACACGUUUCACCUGAUGCACUGCCAAGUGGGGCCCGCAACUAGAUGCACUGCCAAGUGGGAUCCACAUGUCUUAAACAUAACCUCACUCCCGUUGACGACCAGUUUAAUCGCCCGAGUGGACCUUGGCUAUUUGGGCCUCUGAAACAUAGUACUACAGUUAUUUUCGUCAACUAUGUCGCUUUCCUUCCAUUGCACCUCAAAUAUGUCGCACAGGAGCUAUUGACCCCUUGACUUGUUGCAGCUGGCCAUUUUCUACUACGAAACCAAUUUUCUAGGAGUAAAUAAAUAAAUGAACAACUACAGCAUACAUCAUAUGAGUUUCAGACUUUAUGAAGCCUGAAUGUUGAAAAAAUAAGAAAAAGAGACAACGUAAGGACCUCUGCUCUGUCGUGCCGAUGGAUGACAGAAGCUAAUUGCAGAUGGCCGGAGUUGCGACAUCAGCCUCUUCGAGACACGCGGAGACCUCCGUAUCUCCUCGAGCUCUCCUGCCGCGCGGGGCCGUCAGCGCCCAACAACCUAUGCGGUGCCGCCGCCGUCUGUCUCAUAGGGAACAGCAGAAAGGCCAUUUUCUUUCGGGUGCUUUGAUAAAAAAAAUCAUAUAUUACAGGUGGGUCCAGGACUACUUAUCAACAAUACAUCUCCUUCUCAAUGUAUCCGAAAUGGGGAUUUUGAAAUAUAUUAACCGGAGUCUCUGAAAUCUAACACACUAAAAUUCAGGAACCUAUGAAAACUGGUACAUUUCUUCAUCAACCAUCCUUCGAACCUCAUGUGGCAACGCAGAUAUCAGAGCAUGUGUGUCUUCCUUCUAAGACUUUUGCAUGUUGCCCCUCUAUGCUCCUUUUUUACGGCCAAUGUGUGGAAGGUCAUGUCCAUAACCUCAUUGAUAGUCAAAACAUAGACGAUGAUGAUUGUGAACAUCCGCUGUGGCUUCAGAUUGCGAUGAUGUUGCCUCAUCCCCCAAUUGUGUAGACACAGGCUCCCAUUACACAAAGGGAAUGGUGGGGCGAAUAGACUCGUACCUCUGAAGAGCGAGGAGAAGAUACAUGUAUUUGUUUUCCUCCAAUAUUUUAGAUGGGCCUAGGACAGAUUGAGAGGGGAGCAAAUCCGAAUUUAUACCACACUCACAUUGACAUCCCAAGAUGGUGGAGUAUAUAUAGAACUUCUAUACAUCUUGUUUUUAAUAGCUCAUUUUUAGGAAGGAAAAAAAUAAAUUGUUAUCAUGGGAUAUGUGUUGAGCAGGUCAUUCAAAAAUGUUUAUUUAAUCAUGUGACUGAAUACACCAGAAUCAUGUGAUCAUCCUACUUGCAUGUUUAUGUUAGUCUCCAACUUCCAAAGUAGAACCUAGUAUACAUGGUAUUCUAGUUCUCUCCUGUGUACCAUCACUCCAAGUCCAUUGCAUCAUGAAAGACGUGUGAAACGUGAGAACUGGCAUUGCAUGAUUCUUCUCCAUCUCUAUGUUUCAUCUGGAUAAAGGGUGUCAGAGUAGAUGAUGGGUUUAAUGGCAGAGAGGGGGGGGAGAGGGAGAGGGAGAGAUCUCAUUCUUGUAAAAUGUAAAAAAAAGGAAUGGAAGGAAAGGUCCACACUUAGACAAACUGAUUAGAUCCGUAAACUAAUUAGACCCGCAAAAAAAGAUGACGCUAUAAAUAUCUCAUAACAACAGAGGGAGAGGAAGGCCAUAGCUUUUAUUGUGUAUGGUGAGACCGGCUUUUCAACACCCGGGUGUCAGACACCCGGCUAUCAGGCCGUUCAGGCAAUACCUCUCAUUGGGAUAUGUGUCUGGUCCUGCACCACCAUUUUCAUUAGCAGGCAAGGUGAAUAGUAAAUGGAUGUGACAACAGAGAACGGCCAUAGAGCGGACGAGCUCGCCUGUGUUGAACAGCCUGUCACGUUACACAAGGUGCACCGAAGCAGGAGUAUUGAGCCGCACCAGAAGUCCCAAUAUAUUGGUAGAGAUAAGCUAGGUAGUUAGUUCAUAUCUAUCCUUUGUAACCUAUUCUAUCUCUUCUCCUUCAAGUCUCCUGUAAUAUCUCAACUUCUAACUUGUAUGUGCUUCAGGGAUUGCGCCCCUGCCUAUAACAUGCAACGCGUCCCCUCGCACCGAGGUAAAGACGUUUCCGCAUCUCGCACAUGGUAAUCAGAGCCAUCCUACUUCCCAUCUAGUUUUCUCUCGAUUCCAAUCGUGUCCAAAAAUCAUGUCUUCCUCCUCCGGCAUCUCUCACCCUAGCCUCAGUGGGCAGGUCAUUGAGAAACUCUCCCGCACGAACUACGUGCUAUGGCGCACACAGAUCACGCCACAAUUGCGUGGCGCCGAUGUCUUCAGCUAUGUUCAUGGCACCUCGCCGGAGCCGGCCAAGCUCCUCGCCGCCAAGGACAAGGACGGCAAGGAGACCUUCCAGCCCAACCCUCUCCACCCCAUCUGGGUCAGGGAGGACCAGCAGGUUCUCGGCUACCUGCUGAGCAACCUCUCCAAAGAGGUGCUCCUCAUGGUGACCACGAUCACCACGGCGCAGCCGCUCUGGACGACGCUGGCGGGCAUGUACUCGUCGCAGUCGCUUAGCCGCAUCAACAACAUCCGUACCUCGCUCAUCAAUGCGCAGAAGGGCAACCAGUCCGCCACCGCCUACUUUGCCUCCAUGCGCGGUCUCGCGGACGAGCUGGCAGCGGCCCGCAAACCCAUCCAGGAUGACGAACUCAUCUCGUACAUCCUCCACGGGAUGGAUCUGGAGUACCAGCCCCUCGUCUCCGCCCUCGACACCCGUGUUAGCCCCGCCUCCCUCGACGAAAUCUUCUCCAUGCUCAGCAACUUUGACCAGCGCAUGGCGCGGUUCCAUAGCUCGGGCGGCGGCAGAUUCAAGUCCUCCGCAAACGUCGCUACCCGUGGACGUGGCGACGGCUCUCGCUACCGCGGUCCUUCCCGUGGCAAGGGGAGGUCUGGUGGCGCCAGGACUAGCAGCGGUGGUGGGAUCAGUGGCGGUGGCAGGCGUGGCAACAAGGGUCGCCGUGGUGGCGACUCUGGUAGAACCCGCCCGGACACGCCGCGCUGUCAGAUUUGUGGCAAGCCGGGGCACACUGCCAAAGACUGUUGGUACCGCUAUGAUGAAGACGAGGACGACUCUCAAGAUGAUGGAAAGGUCGCUACGGCGGCUGAUGGCUCCUACGGUGUUGAUACCAACUGGUACCUCAACAGCAGCGCCACUAAUCAUCUCACCGGUGAGCUUGAAAAGGUGACUCUCCGUGAGAAGUACCACGGCAAGGAUGAGAUUCACACCGCCGAUGGUGCAGGUAUGAGAAUCAGUCACAUUGGUCAUUCGGUUAUACAUACCCCUCGUCGUAAAAUUCAUCUUAGGAAAAUUUUGCAUGUUCCUAGUGCCAACAAAAACCUCCUUUCCGUUCAUAGAAUUGCACUUGACAACCAUGUCUUCAUUGAAUUUCAUCCCUUUUUCUUCUUGAUCAAGGAUCAGGCCACGAGGAAAACCCUAUAUCGAGGUAGAUGUGUUCGAGGACUCUACCCGUUGCUUCCGGAGUUUAGAAGACACAAUAAACAAGCCUAUGCUGUUGUCAAGCUUUCUUCAACAUGGUGGCAUGAUCGUCUAGGAUAUGCUUCUUUUUCUUUAGUUGAACAUUUGCUUAGGAAGAAUAAGCUCAUGUUUGUUGGUGAGCGUCAUGUUGAAACUGUUUGUGAUUCAUGCCAAAGAGCAAAAAGUCAUCAAUUGCCUUAUCCUGUUUCUACUAGUGUUUCUACUCAACCUUUGUAAUUAAUCUUUUCGGAUGUCUGGGGUCCUGCUCCUUGUUCGGUUGGUAGACACACAUAUUACGUAAGCUUCAUUGAUGACUAUACCAAGUUCUCAUGGAUCUACCUUCUCAAGAAACGAUCCGAUGUUUUUCAAGUUUUUCAAAACUUCCAAGCACUCGUUGAAAGAAAUUUGACAGCAAGAUCAUUGCAGUCCAAUCUGACUGGGGGGGAUACGAAAAAUUAAAUUCCUUCUUCCAAACCCUUGGCAUACCCCAUCAUGUUUCAUGCCCUCACCCUCACCAACAAAACGGCUCUGCCGAACGCAAGCACCAACACAUAGUUGAAGUUGGUCUAGCUCUCCUAGCCGGUGCUUCCAUGCCCCUCAAGUUUCGGGACAAAGCCUUUCUUACCAUCGUCCACAUAAUCAACAUGCUUCCUAGUCGUGUCAUCAACAACGAAACUCCCAUGGAAAAACUCCUUCACAUCAAACCAGACUACAAGUCUCUCCGUGUGUUUGGUUGUGCUUGUUGGCCCAACCUUCGUCCAUACAACAAUUGAAAGCUCAUAUUUCGAUAAAAACAGUGUGUUUUUCUUGGGUAUAGUGCCCAACACAAGGGUGUCAAAUGUCUAUAUGUAUCCACUGGUCGCAUCUAUAUUUCACGUGAUGUUGUUUUUUACGAGACCAAGUUCCCAUUUGUUGACCUUCACCCCAAUGCUGGUGCACUCCUUCGCAAAGAGAUCCUACUUCUCCCUUCUCAUCUCACUAGUUUUGAUCAAGGGGGCGAUAAUUGUAAUGAUCAAGUGUUGACUGGCCCUCUUAAUACCACAUAUGAGCCUGGUGAUGAUGCAGGAGAAGGCACAGAAAAAAACAGCAGUCAAGAUGGUGAAGAAAUGCGCUCUACAGAGCCAUAUUUCAUGUGUCCAGGUGAAGGGAACAAGUCCCCUUCGGGAUCCGUGCUGCCAGGCGUGUCAGCCGCAUCAUCCUCAGGAGACCGCGCAGACGCGUCAGGGCGGCCACGCGAAUCUGCACCAGAAUCCGCGCCAGCCUCGUCAGGCGUGGUCGGGAGCGAGCCAUCGAGCGGCGACUCCGAGCCAGCCACGCGGCGCCCUGUGGCUGGGGAACACGCCUCCUCUGCUCCGCGCCAAUCACGCAUUUGAAUAUUCAAGCGUUUGAAUAUUUUUAAUAAAGUAUUGCAAAUGUUAAUCAAGCAAUUGAAACUUGUUAAGGCCUUGUUCGGUUUGGCAGGGUUUGAAGAGGUUUGAAAGGAUUGAAGGGGAUUAAAUCUCUUGCAAGUCAAAAUCCUUCUCAAACCUCGCCAAUCCCCUUCAAUCCAUGUGGCAAGGGGAUUAACCGAACAUGGCCUCAAUGUGUAUAGAAAAAAUGGUUGCCAUGUAAACAAAUAAUUAAUAAAAAAUAUACAAUGUGUAGGAAACGAAUGUUGAUGGUGUAUUUAAAAAUGUUGAUAAAUAAUUAUAAAUUUAUCAAUGUAACAAAAUAAAUUUCUCAUGUGUUCAACAUUUGUUAGUGGUCAUAAUACUUUUUGCGCGCACAAUGCACAUUUCUUUUAUAAAUCAAGAACAUUUUUUUACAUUCUUAAUAUUAUAAAAAUACAUAAUUACCUUUCUUAAAUACAUUUUUAUGGUGUCUACUUUUACUUAAUGUGCAUAUUACAUUUUUGUAUAACUGAUCAGCAUUUUUAUAUACACGUUUAACAUUUUAAAAAAUAUGAUCAAUAUUUUUCCAUAUGAACAAAGCAAAGGCAAUAAAAACCAACUAAAACCUAAAUAGAAACAAAUGAAAUAAAAAUAAAAAAUAAAAAAACACCGCAGAAAGAAUAGAAAACAGCAAAAAUCGAGAAAAAAGGAAAAAUGAAAAAAGAAAGACACAAAUAGAAAAUAAAGAAGAAGAAGAAGAAGAAGAAGAGAAAUAAAAGAAAAAACAUCUAAAAACCAAUAAAGAAACAGAAACAGAUCAAAGAAAACAAAGAAAGCUAAAAGAAAUGAAGAAAUACACAUUCACCAGUGACGCGAUCAUGAGCGGGCAUUUUUUUGUUUUGUUUUGAGAAAUGGACCUCCUAGUUGCUACACGAGAGAGUUAUUCCUUCCGGGUAAAGAAGCUACGAACUCGGGUGAAGCAAGACAUAGCUCUCGCGGGAAAAGAGAGCUCCUCGUUGGCGCGUUAAGCGAGGCGCACCUAUGUAUCGCUUGAUACGAGAUGAAACAUGCGACCGCUUAGGGGUCGCAAUACAUGGUUCGGCCCAGAUAGGUUCCAGGUUAGGUCAUCCUUUUUCAUGUGUUUCUACUUUUUUCGAAAAUAUUGUAAACAAAUAUAUACAAAAACAUAAAAAUUGUUACUAAAAAUAGGAGCUGCAAUUUGAAAAUGUUAAUGAAAUGUAUGUUAGCUUAAUUAAAAGAAAUAUUGGUAGCGUACAAAAAAUAUGACAUUUAACAAAUAUUCACGUGUUUCAAAAGUAGUAUGUGACUUUAUAACCAUGUAUUUCAAAAAUCUUAAAUUUGUAUGUAGACUCUUCUUUAUUUACACAAAAAAUGUACAAAUGUGUACGUAAAAAGUAGACAUAAAUGACAUAUAUUUGGAAAAUGACACUUCUGUAUUAGAAAAAUAUUAAAUAUGCAUCCAAAAUGUUCUUGAUGUAUAAUAAAUUGUACAAUACGUAUAAAAAUCUACAUAUAAACAAUUAUUUGAAACAAAAAAAUUAAUCAUGUAAAUUUGCCCGUCUCCGCGAGAUCAAUUUGUGGUUCCGAACAACGAGCUCGCUCAACGCAGAAGCCAUGGCGGUGGUUGAGGCGCUAGACAAGGAGGUAGUGUCAAGGUGUUUCCCUGGUAACAAGAGCAACCAUGGUGGUUCUCUAAAUAAUGGAGGAGGCAGAGUCAACAGAUCCCUCCAAGCAAUUCAAGUGGGCGGUGUUCAGGUCCCUUACCACAAUUUUCCUUGCGUCUGUGGAGGUGGUAAGGGUGUUACCGACAUCAAGAAGCAGUUCGAUGCUGAUUGUGAUUUCAGAUGAGGAGCUUGAGCUGCAGCGGGUGAAGAAGAAGGGCAUGGUGGUGAGUUUCCCACACGGCUCCGCCAGGCUCCAUGCCCUCUCCGCGCAGAGUAGGUGUCUCCCCGGAUGGUAGCUGCUUCUAGUUGGUGGCCGCGGAGGAUUGCGACUAGGCUGAUGCUGGAGAGGGUUGCCCGCCGGAUAUCUCAGGCAUAUUUCUAUCUGCUAAAUAUUUGCAUUCUGCUUCACAUAUUAGUGAUGGUAGAAAUGUUUUGGGUUGGAAUAAAAUUCAAUUGAAACUGAAAAAGAAACAACAUAAAUAAACACGUCCAGCUACAUGAUUCUAGAGUUUGUGAUUGGGAAAAUAAAGUUGAUGAAAAUUCGUCUUCUGUUUGUUAACCAUGUAUAAAAAUAUGCUUAUCAUGUGUAAAACAUUAUUUAGUGGCGCUAAUUGCUUUUGCACGCACAAUGCACAUUUUUUGUACAUCAAGUACAUUUUUUCUUAACAUUUUAUAAAUACAGAAUCAAUUGUUUAAAAAAUAUGCCGUCUACUUUUAUUUAAUGUACAUAGUAUAUUUUUGGUGCAAAUGAUCAGCAUUUUAAUAUAUACAUUUAACAUUUUUUAAACAUGUUCAAUGUUUUCCAUAAGGACGAAAAAGACAAAGAAACCACCUAAAACUGAAAAAGAAUCAAAUGAAAAAAUAAAAAUAAAAAAGAAAGAAAACCACCUCAAAAAGCAUAGAAAACAGGGAAAACCAUGAAAAAAAUGAAAACAGUGAAAACGAAAGAUACACAAAAAAUGAAAAAAAGGAUGAAUAAAUAAAAUAAAAAACAACUGAAAACCAAGAAAGAAACAAAAAAACAUGAAAGAAAACAAACAAGAAUAAUAAUAAAUCGAAUGGAGAAAAAAAUAAAAAUCGAUGGAAAAUAAAUAAACAAGGAAAACAGGCGAAGAAACAAAGAAAAAAAGAAGUAAACGGACCUUGCCAGUUGCUACGCGAGAGAUCUAUUUGUUCAGGCAAGAGAAGCUACGAACUGAAGUGAAGCGAGAUAUAGCUCUCGUCGCACACGAGAGUUCUUGGUCGGCGGAUUAAGCAAGACGGAGCGUGCAAUAGCUUUGGUGUCAGCUAUACAUGGUUCGGCCCAGAUAAGUUCCAGGUUAGUUCGUCCUUUUUAUGUGUUUCUCCUUUCUUUUGUUCUUAUUUUGAAAAAUGUUGUAAAUAAAUAUAUACCAGAACAUAAAAUUUAUUUAAAAAUAUAAAAAUGUUGAAUGUGAAUGUACUAAAUAUGUUAGCUUAAUUCAAAAAAAUAUAGGUAGCGCACAAAACAAUUGUGACAUUUAACAGAUAUUCACGCGGUUCAAAAAAAGUAUGCAACUUUAUAACCAUGUAUUUCCUAAAUGUUAAACGUCUAUAAAAAAACUCUUCUUUAGUUACGCAAAAAAUGUAGAAUUGUGUAUGAAAAAAGUAGACAUCAAUAACAUAUAUUUGAAUUAUGUUACUUUUGCAUUUAAAAAAUGUUAAACAUGCCUAAAAUAUGUUCGUGAUGCCUAAAAAAUGUUGCGAUGAGGAUGGCUGUCAUCUCGCACCCGCCGACUGCUUGAACAGCUAGCGUCGCUGAGCUUGAGGAACCCCUUGUAGGGACCAAAGCAGACAACCUUGACGUUGCUGGCCUCCGUCGGCAUAUCAACAAAGCGCGACGCUUUCACUGUCGGACCAAAUCAGAGAUGGAUUAGGUCUAAAAUAUAUAUUUCUUGGUUAAAGGAAAAACAUGUAAUAACUGAACUCGCACUUAAGAAUUAAUCAACAUGUUGAUUCCACCGAAGCAUGCAUGCCUCCUGGAUGCUGAAACACGACUCACUGACUAUAAAAGCAGAGGACUCACUGACUAAGUACAGGAGCGAGUGACCGACUCUCGGCUCGGGUGAGGAUAAAAAAGAUCACCUGCUGCUGCUGGUUAUUGGUAAAAUCCAUGUGAGUGCUUGAUAAAAAAUUAUGGAACAUUGUAUAUGUUGUUACACAUAAAUGUUGGGAUAAAAAGAAUCAUCUUGGUACACUGCCUAGUCUUUUGGUGGACAGAAGAUUGUAUGGUGCAAGAAGCUAUUCAGAUACAACAACACUGGGCUACAUGACAGGAAUGGUGUACACGCCCCAAGGGCCAGCAGGCAGCAGCAAACCAGGUCAAGAUGAGAUGGUCUGGGCCUAGGAUGUUGAUUCAGAGAUGCCUGACUCGACGCCAAGCAGCAGCCACCCUACACCGCAGGCCCCGGCAGUUCUCGACCGAGAGCGACUGCGGCACAGUUCAGUUGUAGAAGCAAUCACAUGCCAUUCCCCCAGCAGAGCAGAACAGAGCAGAGCAACAAUCAGGGAUCAGGCCUGUCAUUGAAUAGAAGCUGAAUGACCUUCAGCUUCAGCUCCGGCAGGCCUGCCUCCGCUCACGGACUAGCCUCGGUAUUUCCUUCCAUGUCUUCGGUUUCAAUGGUUUGAAUUCCGUUACUGCACAUACCAAAAACGAUGUCAGAAAAAGCUUGCACAAAUUAAUGUGUUAUAUCAAAAUAUAUAGCAUGAUGGCAUUCAAAUAAUGGAGAAGAAACUUCUGCAAACGUGUUAGACCAUUAUGUACAAGGGAUGGAACGGAUGACUGCAUCUGUUUGUUAAAUGUGGCAAAGAUAGAAGGACGUGCUGCAAGCAUACCUUCAUAGCAGGCAUCUAGUCGUUUGCGGCUGAUGCUGCCCAGUUGCUGCUGCAGGCAUCUAGGGAGCUUCUUUAUAGCAGGGCAGCCUCUAAUUUGAAGAUACACGAGAGACCUGUAUACUUGCAGCUCAUUCGGCAGGGAUGCCAGGGUACUGCAUCUGUCAAGAUAAAGGACAUCCAGCGAUGGGGGGUGCUCUCCCGACAGACACUCCAGCGAUGUCAGCCCACUGUUUCCCAUAAUCUGCGGUCCCUUGAGGGGUGCAGGUAGACGGAGAGUCCCACCCAACAUGCCAGCACAGUCCACUAUUACUAGAGAUUCGAGAUGGGGAGGAAGUAAAUGCUCUCUUGCAGUUGGUGUUGCUGCUGCUGGUGGCUGUGGCAUGAUAGGACUUCUGCUUAUGGAGGUAGUGACUUCUGGUUUCUGGAGCCCACCCAGCUGGCAUGAUAGGACUUGAAUACUACUACAGCUAGCAAUACGAAUGUACUUUAAAGACGGAGGAAGGUUCAGAACCGCUGGUAAGCUUCCACAUCCAGAUAAAAGUAGAUCUUCUAGGCAUGGACAAAAGUGAUUCAUGGGUGAGGAUGGCAACUCUGAUACAGCUGCAGCCCUGAUUGCCUCACUGCUAGAAGAUACUUGGACUAACUCUGCCAUGCCCUGCUGCUUGCUGAAUAUGGAGUCAAGCUUAAUGCACCUAUCAAAAUUCAUUUUCUUGAGAGAUGCCGGGACGUUGAACAUCUCUACUAAACUUGGGCAGUUUUCUAAGCAAAGAGACUCUAGACCUCUCAGGUGCUGACUCCUUUCGGACGCCAAUGGCUCAAGAGGAGCUUGUGCAUAUCCAAUCAGAUUUUCACAGUUUGUAAUCGCCAAGCUCCUCAAGGACACCAAGCUUUGGAACACUUUCUCUGGCCAGUGGACGAGCACAUCGCAUCUAUCAAUUUCCAACUUUUCAAGAUCUACAAAAUACUCACACGGCUCUAAUGCACCCGAUCCAAAGAACAAGUUGCAGCAUCUUAGCUCCAUAACUGUAAGAGGGGAUUUCUGGUUCCAUUUCUCCUUGCUGUCCACCAAUACAAUUGAAGUGCACUCAACCUCUGAUGUUGUUUCUGUGUUUUCUAGCUUCAGUAUCAGAUUGGUCAAUGAGGGCAAAUAUCUAUCUACAGAAUCGGAGAUCUCUUGCUUGCCAUCUUCAAUUUCUAAUACACUGAGUUUUGGUGCUUCAGGCAAUGCUACCAGUUUUGGGCAUUUCUGGACUGACAAUUUCUCAAGGUGGGGAAACAAUGUACCUUCGACUGCAUCCCAUCUCUGAAAGCUCCCCAACCAUUUCAUUUUGAGCACCUUUAAGGCAGGAAAGGCUGAACGUACCAAUCUAUAACCACCUUCACUACAUGGUUCUUGAAGCAAUGGUGCUUCAGGUAACGCUGUCAGCUUUGGACAUUUCUCAAUUGAUAGUUCCUCCAGACAAGGAAACACUAUCUGUUCUCCUUGAGUCUCUUCGACUGCAUCCCAUCUCCGAAAGCUCUCCAACUCUUUCAUUUUGAGUACCUUUAGGGCAGGAAACGCUGAGCGUACCAAUGUAUAACCACCUUCACCACAAGGUCCUUGCAGCAAUGGUGCUUCAGGUAAUGCUACCAACUUUCCACAAUUACUAAUAAACAACUUCUCAAGCACAGGAAAUAUUGUUUGUUCUUCUUGCCUCUCAUCUAUUUCCCACCAUCUUACAAAACCCAACAAACGUUCUAGCAUUAGUACCUUCAGUUUUGGAAAAGUGAAGCUUGCACUGCAUCUGAACAAAACUUGCAAUCUUUCACAAUGGAAAAGAUGGAUCUCAACCAUGUUUUGCAGCAUACCCAUGCACUCUCCUCCAUAGGAAUAUAUCUUCAGAACCUGCAACCCACCAUGUGGUUCGAAAUUGUCGAGCACCAUGCUGUCACAAACAGAAUUCCAUCUUAAUGUCAGUUCUCUGAGAUCCUUCUUGUUUCCAAGGUUUGCCACUUUUGCCUCUGCCUCUAUAACAUUCUCUAUCUGACAUAGCUCUAACUGACCACCAAGGUUUAAAUGCUGCAGCUCUGCAACAUCACUGCAAUCAGUGCCAGUAACUGCUGCUGCAAAAAAUGUAAGCGUCUGCAGCUUAGUGAGUUUUCCUAGUUCUGGUGGCAUGCUCUUCAAGUUGCGACAUCCAAGAGUGUAGAGGUGACGGAGGGAAGUCAUAUACUUCAUUUGCCUCGGAAGUCGAUCAAGAUGAUAGCAGUUGGAAAGGUCUAACGUUUGCAGGUUAUAUAGAAUACUUAUAUCUUCAGGAAGUGCUUUGAUAUCACUGUCUGAGAGAUCAAGGUACCUCAGGUGAUACAGAUACAUUGAUUUCAGAAGAAAUGAUUCUGUGCCUCUAAUACAGAGCUUUAAGGCAUGCAAAGAGCUAUAUUUUGAUAGAUGCUUCAAUGAGCUUCGCACAUGGCUAUCACAUAUCAGUGUUUGAAUGGCAGGGGAUUUUUUCUCCAGAGCAUCAUUCAAAAUACCUUCUGUUUCUUCACAUGACAAGAACAAAUGCCGAGCAGUAUCUGGAAGCCACUCGGUUUGCCUUGGUUCCAUAGUUGCAACAACUCAUUCCUCUUCCAUAACAGACAUUGCAAUAUCAUGCAUAAGAUCAUGGAUUUUACAUGUAUUUCUGGAAUAAUACUCCCAGUCUUCUUUACUCUUCUCUAUAUCCAGAAAGAAUGACCUUGAAGCAAGCUCAUCAAAAAUAAGUUGUCCAAUGGUUUCAAGACUAUCUUCCUUGUGUUCAGGGAUAAAGCCAUUUGUGAUCCAUAGUUGGAUCAGCUUUGCUACAUCAAUCUUGUAAUCCUUUGGAAAUACAGCACAAAAAGCAAAGCACUGCUUCAUGUGCGAUGACAAGUCAUUGUAGCUAAGCUUCAAUAUUGGCAAGAUUCCAGUUUCCUCAGUGCAAAUGCUGCUUCUAGAUGCUAUAGCCUUCCAUUCUUUCACGGUGGUCUUGGUACGAAGUACAGAGCCCAGUGCACUUGCAGCUAAAGGAGAGCCACGACAUCUGUUCACAAUCUGAUCAACCAUCUUGACUAGCUCAACAGGCUUUUUUUUUCCGGAACUGAAUGCUCGAGCCUCAAUAAUUUCCUUUAAGAAUAUAUCAUCCAAACGACCGAGAAUGUGGGUAUCUGCACCCAUAAUUUCAGCAACUCCUUUAUCACGAGUUGUUGUCAGCACCGCACUACCCAUGACACCAUGCUUAAGAUGGUCCUUCAGCCUUUCCCACUUAUGGACUUCUCUGUUCCAGACAUCAUCUAAUACAAGGAGAUACCUCUGCCCGGUGACCAAUUUCUGAAGUCUCUCUAGUUGUGGUUUGUUUGUAUGAUAAUUUUUCUUGGGAGAUGCUUCAACUAUACUCUUGGCUAGGGAGUUCACAUCAAAGAUAUCCGAGACACAGACCCACAGCAACAACUGGAAAUGCUUCUGAAUUCUAGGUUCAUUGUAUAUGAGCUGUGCUAAUGUGGUCUUACCAAAGCCCCCCAUUCCAACGAUGGCAACCACUGCGAGAUCAGCACUAUUAGCUUGGCGAAGUAGUCUACCAACAACUUCCACCUUAUCUUUGUCUCUGGAUCUGCUAGCAAUGUCUUGCAGGUCGGUGAUAACAGAAUCCGUCUGCCUCCACUGCUUGGACACGGGUGGCUGUGGUCGGUACUUGAACCUAAAGGCAUGCAUCUCUGCUAUGAGCACAUCAAUGGCCUUCAGGAUCCGGCAAAGCUUGCGACCCAUUUUGUAACGGAACACAAUACAGUUGUGAGUAGGGAAGAGUUUAAUUACAUCGAAGCCGAGCUUGCUGUAGUGCCCCUUCUUCCUGGCUUCACGACGGAGUGCUUCGUACUUGAAUUCGUCAAACACUUCAUUUGCCUCAUAUGCCACCGUCUUGAGCUCCUGGAGCCAGGUUUUGGCCCCAUCUCUAUGCUCCGUCGCCUGCUUCUCGGCGUCGGUCAUGACGUCGAGGAUGGCCGGAAGCUUGCGUUUGAGAAUCUUGUGCUGCUCCUCCAUUCCCUCCAUCACCUUGUACUGGUCCAGGAGGGAGUUGCCCGCCUUGUUCACCAGCAUGGACACCAGCGGCCGGAUGGCCAUGGCGGCCACCACCUCCGCCAUUGGAACGCCCACACGAUUGGCACAGCAACACGAAGCAGUGUGGAAUGGAGAAUGGAAUGGUGUGAGCAAGACGUGCUUGCUUUGCUAGUAAUGAAACUGGAAGCCAAGGUGAGUAUUGACUUUCUGGGAGCGAAGUGGAUGAGCUCGCGUUACGGGAACCAAUCACAACUAUCCAAUCCUGAACAGCUCAGCACUGGGCAUUGUUUUUGGGCUGAUGCAUAAUAGGACAAUCAGCAUACCACAUUAACAGCUGGGGGCAUCUUCAUUUCUUAAUGAGACACAACCAGAGUGCAAGACGACGCGGGCAACCAUAAUAUUGCAAGUAGAUCAUUGUAUUAGGUAUUUGUGUCAGUACAUCCAAUCCAGUUUUUCAAAAGUGACGUUUCACUGGCUGUGACCUUAGCAGAUGGUACGAAUUUCCUUAACAAAUACAAAGAGUUGCAGGAAUGCAAAUUAAAUAAUUACUUCCACUGGCUAGACGUGUGACAGCACACCUACUGCCUAACUACAGCAUAUACUUAUCUCAAGUGCCUGCCGCCCAGGGAGACCAGAAUAAUGGUGUUCUUGGAUUAGUUGAACCUUCAAUGCAUCACUACUUAUCACCGAAGCAUUAUUUUAUUGUUCUUUUUUUUUUGGAAUGGCCUCUAAGUAUGAUUGAGUACAGGAUUGAUCUCAGAGCAAACAUAAUCGGCUGGCAGAGAAUUAUGUCUUGUUCAUAUAGUCUGAUGCAAUUUUGUGGUUACACACUCCUCAGUUUUUAUAACUAAAUACAGAAUUUUAAUCUGUUGACAGAUCAGACAAACGUAGAAACAGUUAGCAAGAGCCCCAAUGAGAUUAUAUGCAGCAUCAUUUUAAUCGGAAAGCAAUUGCCCUCAUGAGAUCAGCAACCAUACACAGUGCCAAUAAAAAAAGGUGGCUCGUACUAACGACGCAGGUUUCAAAUUAAUCAAGUGGCUAAACCGAGGCAUCGACAGCCAUAUGGGACAAUGUGCACUUCAGUUAGAAAAUGAACACUUGCAGGCAGUAAAAUAAUUUAUGUCAGUACACCCACGAUAUUGCAAAUAGAGUAUUAAUUACGUAUUUGUGUCAGUACAUCCAAUGCAGUUUUUCAAAAGUGACGUCCCAUUGGCUGUGACCUUAGCAAAUGGUACGAAUUUUCGUUCUAAGUACUACAAAAAGUUGCAGGAAUGCAAAUUAAACAAUUACCUCCCAUGUCUAGACGUGUGAGAGCACACCUACUGUGCAACAACAAAAUAUAUUUCAUCUCGGGCACUUACCGCACAGGGAGGACCACAAUAUUGGUUUUCGUGAAUCUAAAAUACAUCACAUGCUUCCUGCUGAAGAGGGAAGACCCGGUGGCAAGUGGUUAAUUUCUUGUCCUUUUUUAAUGACACCUCUAACUAACAUUGAAGGGGCAUGAUUGAUCUCAGAGAUGAGCAUAAUAAGCUGGCAGAUGACCAUCCCUUGCUCAUAUGGACAAAUGAUACACUUAAUAUACUGAUAUGAUAAAAUACAACUUGACAAUCUCCUGAUAUUCGACGAUGAAAGAUAUGUAUGAGUAUGCGAUUCAAUUUGGUGGGCUUAAUAUGUUCCGUUAUUGAGAGACAGUGAAAAGCGGAAUAAAGGGCAGGGUGGAAUUCUCUAUAUCAGGUUAAGGAGAUCGUCUUAACUAACUAAAAUCAGAUGAAGCCUAACUUUGCAACCAUACGACGGAAGCAACAAAAAUAAAGACAGGGAGCCAGAACAGAACAAAGAUAAAUUCCAGUGCCCUUUUAUUGAUCACUGCCUAUGGCCAUAUAGAUGAGAUCUGGGACUCGGCCAGCUGAAACAUUCCUCUAGAAAGCACAUUUCCGCUGAUGCACAUAUGAAAUACGACAGUACAAAGCAGAAUAAACACUGAGAUUAUACAGAUGAUUGGACGCUGUAACUAAGUUGGAUAUCGCGGCGCGCAUAGGCGGAAAUGAGAGAGAAACGGAAUGUCCAAAGCCACAAAUGUACAUCGCUGUCAGGCUACCCAGCUGAAUCCUGCUUCCUGCUGACCCUCCUGAUUCACGCAGACGCAGCUAGCAUGGAGAUGGGCACGCCUCUCGAAUUCAUGUGAAUCGAAUCGCUGGAAGAGACGGACGGACAGGAUCAAUACCUUUGUGUCGACGGGGAGGGGAGGCCGGAGUGGCUGCCGUCGACGUACGGCGCGCAGCCGACGGGGGAGCUCCGGGACCUUCUUGUCGACACCAUCUGCAAUGGAAGUAAAAAAGAGCUGUUAGAAGAGGAUACGAGAGAGGCUCACGGUAGGAAGGAAUGGGGAAGGGGGAUGAGUGAGUACCUCGAGCGGCCGCGGUGGUGGUGGGCGGGCGGAUGCGGAGGGUGGGAGGGAGGCUGACACCUCCGCCGCCACAGACGUACGUGGAGCGGCCACGGGCGUUGCGUUCUGGUAGAGGCCACGGGCAGUGGGGUCCGGGAGACGUCGUGCGCCGGCGAGGAGGACGGGGAAGGGGAGACGAAGACGACGCGGAUCGGCGGAGUGUGGGCUGGGCUUGUGACGUUGGGGCCUCCGAAAACUAUAGCCCAGUUCGAAUUGGUGCCCUAACACACACAGCGCUUACGUCGGCUAAAUCCUAUUUGGCGCCUUCAGCGCCCGCUAUAGGUCUUUCGGCCGGCCCAGUUUCGACAUUUUUUCUGUGUUUCCAAAAGGCAAAAAGGGCGCUAGAGCUGGGUAUCGAAAACGCUACAACCACUCAACCACACCCCUUGGUGUGAUUGGUUACAUGUUUUCUCGUCUUUUCUUAUGCUUCUUUUCCUUUUUAUUCCUUUUUUUCUUUCUUUUUUCAAAUUCGCAAAACUGUUUCUUCAUGAAUAUUUUCUGCAAAUCGAUGAACUUUUCUCUUUGAAUUUGAUGAUUUUUUUCGAAAAAUUUGAUGAACGUUUUUUCAGAUCCGAUGAACUUUUUUUUGAAUUCCAUGAACUUUUUUCAAAUUCGAUGAACUAUUUUUCGAAUUCAAUGAACUUUUUCUGAAUUCGAUGAACUUUAUUUCGAAUUCAAUGAACUUUUGAUCGAAUUCGAUGAACUUUUUUAAAUUUGAUGAACUUUUUCAAAUUCUGAUGAACUUUUUGAAAGGACAAGAGUACAUACCGUAGCAAAACGGUUUGUUUUUUCCAAGAAAAUCAGUACACACUGUAGCAUUUUUUGAGCGAGAGAAAUAAAAAAGUGAUCGAGCGGUAGCUAGCGACCGAGCGGCGACAGCAGCGAGCGUUGCUGGGCCAGGCCCAUGCAAGCGACGCAGUGGGCGCCGUGUUCACUCGCUCCACCUCUGCAUUGAUGUCUCUAGCUUGUAGCAAUUGCCAUCCUUUACAUGUAAAGAGGAUUUGAUGAGUCAUGUCAUGCUCUAUAGGCGUCAGUUCAUCUUAUCACCUUAGAGGAAAAUACAAAGUUAGUUUUUCGAAAAGCAACCGAGCCUAGAAGAACCGUACCCUCGACACGCAAGGCUUUAGCAUAUCUUAAUAGCCGAGACACGAUUGCGACUUGGUUCCACACAAGUUUCGUCUUUCUUGUUAAUGGCUGACAGCCCAUACAAGAUUCCAAACUCGGUUGCAAAAGUGAUACUAUCCUGAUAAGUGCGUGACAUGUAAAGUGAAUAAGGUGAUUCAUCUAUAGCAAACUUUAGGAUUUCUAUACUUUGUGUAUAAUCAUAUGCACAACUAAAAAGCAACUUUGAUGAUCAAUCCAAAAGUACGCUUGUAGCUAGUGCAACCUAACACAAUGUACCAAAAAUCCAUUUCAGAAACAUCCAAACAUAAUUAUUAAAGCUGAUGGAAAGAAGGAAAGAGAUGGUGCCCGGGCUACUAUAAAUAGGCAUGAAGUAUCAAGAUCAUCACAGGCACAAUCAUCAAAACCAAGCAAUACUAGUUAACACCAAUCCACCAUGAAGACCUUCCUCAUCUUUGCUCUCCUUGCCAUUGCGGCGACAAGUGCCAUUGCACAAAUGGAGACUAGCCGCGUCCCUGGUUUGGAGAAACCAUGGCAGCAACAACCAUUACCACCACAACAACAACCACCAUGUUCACAGCAACAACAACCAUUUCCACAGCAACAACAACCAAUUAUUAUACUGCAACAAUCACCAUUUUCGCAGCAACAACAACCAGUUCUGCCGCAACAGCAACCAGUUAUUAUACUGCAACAACCACCAUUUUCGCAGCAACAACAACCAGUUCUACCACAACAACCACCAUUUUCACAACAACAACAACAACAACAACAACAACAACCACCAUUUUCGCAGCAACAACAACCAGUUCUACCACAACAACCACCAUUUUCACAACAACAACAACCACCAUUUUCGCAGCAGCAACAACCAUCUUCACAACAACCACCUUUUCCACAACAACACCAACAGUUUCCACAACAACAAAUCCCUGUUGUUCAACCAUCCGUUUUGCAGCAGCUAAACCCAUGCAAGGUGUUCCUCCAACAGCAGUGUAGCCAUGUGGCAAUGUCGCAACGUCUUGCUAGGUCACAAAUGUGGCAACAGAGUAGUUGCCAUGUGAUGCAACAACAAUGUUGCCAACAGCUGCCGCAAAUCCCCGAACAAUCCCGCUCUGAGGCAAUCCGUGCCAUCGUCUACUCCAUCAUCCUGCAAGAACAACAACAGGGUUUUGUCCAACCUCAGCAGCAACAACCCCAACAGUCGGGCCAAGGUGUCUCCCAACACCAACAGCAGUCGCAGCAGCAGCAGCAACUCGGACAGUGUUCUUUCCAACAACCUCAACAACUACAACAAUUGGGUCAGCAGCCUCAACAACAACAGAUACCACAGGGUAUAUUCUUGCAGCCACACCAGAUAUCUCAACUUGAGGUGAUGACUUCCAUUGCACUCCGUACCUUGCCAACGAUGUGCGGUGUCAACGUGCCGUUGUACAGCUCGACCACUAUUAUGCCAUUCAGCAUUGGCACUGGAGUUGGUGGCUACUGAUAAGAAAAGAUUUCUAGUAAUAUAUAGUCGUUAGAUCACCGUUGUUUAGUCGAUGGAUAUGUCGAUGUAGCGGUGACAAAUAAAGUGUCACACAAACGUCAUGUGUGACCCGCAAACUAGUAGUUAAAUUCUGGAAUAAAAUACAAAUAAAGUUUUCUCUAGACAAUGUUCAUACCGGCGUUCUGUGGACGUCGAUGUGACUACCAUGCUUGCAAGUUCAUAAGUUCGUCUUGUCUGGUCACAAACCUGGUGCGUUAAUUUAUUAUUCAUGUAUAGAAAUAAUCAAAAUUUAAAUAUAAUAGUGUUAUUGUAAAAUUUUGGUUGAGUUGAAGCAAGGACUAACAUACAACUCUUUAAUGGUUGGAGAUUCAAGAUCUUAUUUUUAUUGGUUUGUAUCUGGUUCCAACUACCACCAUGGUCUACAGUGACAACCACAACUGGUUUGAUCGUUAACUCUCUUUGCUUGGUUUUUUUGCAAAUAUGUUCAUUGAUUCUUUGCACAAUUUUUUUGUCAAGAAAAAGGUCAGCUUUUGCUUGAACUUCACACACACACACCACUACAUAGUUAAUUCGAAAUAAGUUGCUGGUGAUGUCCUAGACCAGCUAGCACAGUCAGUGUGUGUGGGGAGGGGGAGUUGUUGCAUGCGUAUUCUUCGCGCAUUAUUUUAUUUUGUUCUUUUGAUGCUCUUACACCAUACCACAUUUUUACUUGAUGGAAAGCAAAAUAAACAACGCAGCUAGAAACCAUAGAACUUGAUACUGGGUGUGUGUCAACUUCACAUCCUCCUCCUUACGUCAUUUCAAUUGGAAAGCAAUAGCCCUCAUGAGAUCAGAUAUCCAUACAUAAUGCCAAAAUAAACAAGGUGAUGGCAUUAACGAUGCAAGUUUUAAAUUAGUCAAAUGGCUAAACUGAGGCACCGGCAGCCAUAUGAGACAUCCACGAGCAUGUAAUCCAUCUUAUUGCAAGUAGAGCACUGUAUUAUGUAUUUAUGUCAGAACAUCCAGUGCAGUUUUUCAAAAUGACGUUCCAUUGGCUGCAACUAGCAAAUGAUACGAAUUUUCUUUCCAAAUACUACAAAAAGUUGCAGGAUUGCAAAUUAAACAAUUACCUCGACUGACUAGACGUGAAACAACACACCUGCUGUGCAGCAACAACAGAUAAUUCAUCUCAAGCACCUACCCAGCAGGGAUUAGUUCUCGUGAAUUCAUGGAAUUUAGAAUGCAUCACAUGCUUACUGCUGAAGAGACAAGACCCAGAAGCAAGUGGUCACUUUCUUGUCCUCUUUAAAUGACACCUGUAAUUAAGAUUGAGUACAUCAUCGAACUCAGAAGUGACCAUAAUCUGCUGGUAGACCAUUAUUUCUUGUUCAUAUGAACAUACAUAAUACUUAAUAUACUGACAUGAUACAAGGCAACUUGACAAUCUCCUGUUAUUCGAAGAUGAAAGAUAUAUAUGAGUAUGCGAUUCAAUUUGGUGAGCUUAAUAUGUGCCGUUAUUGUGAAACAGUGAAAGACUGAAUAAAGGGACAUAUGGAAUUCUUUUUAUCAUAAUAACGAGUUUCUAAACACAGAACGAAAGCAACAAAAAAUAAAGACAGAGCGCUAAAAUUUCAGAGAAGUUUUUGAAGAUAUAAAAUGCAGUGCCCUUUUAUUGAUCACUGCCUAUAGCCAUAUAAAUAAGGUCUGGGACUCGGUUCGCUGCAACAAGCCUCUAGAAAGCACAUUUCCUCUGAUGCACAUAUGAAAUUUGAGAGUAAAACAUAAAAACGCCGAGAUAUACGGAUGAUUUAAUGAUGUAACUAACUUGGAUAUCCUUCUAGUGACCACGGAAUGGACAAAUUUUCUUCCGAGACGUCGAAAAGGGAUGGAACCUCCACACCCACUGCUUCUCCUUCACCUGCAUAGCGUGCGUAGGCGGAAAUUUGAUGAGUAUUUGAAGUGACAUCCACAUAGAGCAGGAGUUAUUCGGCUAGCAAAGUGCAAAUGUACAUCACUCUCAGGCUACAAGACUGAAUUCUGCUCGAUGAUCUUCCUGAUUCAUGCAGCGGAUAUGCAAAUGGGCGUGCCCCUUAAAUUCAUGUGAAUCAAAUUGCAGAAGAGACGGACAAACAGGGUUAAUAUAUACCUUAUUUCUUGUGUUGACGGGAUGGCUGGAGUGGCUGUCGUCGAUGUACGGCCCGCACUCGACGAAGAGCUUGAAGACCCUCUUGCGAAGACCAUCUGCGAGAGGAAGCAAGAGUUGAGGUCAGAAGAGGGUACAGUAGAGGUUGAGGGUGGGAAGGAAGGCAUCAACACUAGUAGAAAAAGGGCCUAAUGUGAAGCACAUUAGUCCCGGUUUGUAACAAAACCGGCACUAAUGUGUCCAUUAGUGCCGGUUCCAACGGCUAGGCGGGUGGAGCUAAAUUAGACUGAAUUGAACUUGUUCUUUAUAACUAGCUUGGGACAGAAAAAUUACUAUGAAAUGCACUUGAUUAUACUUGAUUUUAUGGGCUACAAAAAAUAUCAUCCAAAAAUGCUCUAAAAAACACGUUCUAAAGUAGGUUUGGCAGGAGAUGCGGCACAUUAUCAUUCAGAAAUUAGACCAAGAUAAAUGUGGAGUUGGCGGCUCAACACUCUAUAAGACUGUAACAGGUUGUCCCAGUGUCUCAGUCCUUUAGGACAUAGAUCCAGAAAAUGUAGAACUAACAUAUUAGCGGUUAGGAUCAUAUUUGCAAUGUGGGAACUUGGUGCGCUCGCUCCAACAUGCCUAGUGGAAGCAUGUGUCCUCUGAUGCACAUAUGAAAUAUGACUGGUACAAAACAUAAGAAACACUGAGAUUAUACGGAUGAUUGGAUGCUGUGGCUAACUUGUGCGUCGCUCCAGUCAACUGAGUGGACGAACUCGCUAAGAGCUUUCUUCUCGGAGAUCAAAGGGGACGGAACUUCCUAAGAGCUUUUGAUUCAACCUCCAUGCUAACUAACUACUUCUCCACCUGUUUAGUGGGCGUAGGAGAAAAUUUGAUGAGUAUUUGAAGUGACGUCCACAUAGAGCACAUAGCUAUAUUCAGUUAGAAAAGCCACAAAUGUACAUCACAUCCAGAUUAAUGGAGGUGGAAUGUGAAUGUGUGUGCCCUUAAAUUCAGGUGAAUCAAAUCGCAGAAGAGCCAGACGAAUAGGAUAGAUACCUUGAGUGGACGUGGAGGACGGAGUGUCUGCAGACAAUGUAUGGCCCACACCUGAAGGAGACCUUCUUGCCGAAAGCAUCUGCAAGAGGAAGUAAGAACAUGGUUGUUGACAUCAGAUUUUGGCAUGGUACAAAAAGCAAUUAAGAUUGCCCCAAAUGGAGAAGUGAUUUACAUGAAAAAGUUCCAUUUUGUCGACCUGAACAUCUUUGAAGUUUGUGCCAUCGCCAUCUAAUCUCAUCUCGAAGGCCAAAGUUAUGUUCGAAAUACUGAGAUUUUGUAUCCAGAGCACUGUUCGGCCGAUUAUGCCUCAAGGGAUGGUCACUUUCUACAUGAAUUGUCUUCGUCUCAUCAAAACGGUCGAUUUUGAUAAAAAUUCAUGUCAAUCCGAGGUUGUAUGUAAAAGUUAGAGCCACCCGAGUGCGGUCAUGAGCCAAAAGUGGCGAGUAAUAGUCUAUUUUGCACGAGCAAUUCGUCCCUGAAGUUGGCAUCUAUUCGAAACAUGUUUAACAUGAAUGUUGUUCGUCUCGGUGAAACGGUUAAAUUUGGUUCUUACACGAUUUUGAUCUGAGGUCAUUUACUACCCAAAAAAUGACCCGCAAGGUGAAGCCAAUUUUUAGAUCGAAUAGUUUUGGGAAGUUCGGAUCGAACAAUCCGAAUAGGAAUCAAAUUAGGGUUUUGGACAUGAAUUCUAACCUUUCCUUGCACGGGAAGUCCAUCCACCUCUUAUAUACAUGAGGGGUGACGGCCGAUUGAGAAACAACACACAAUCGCAAAACCCAUCUACAAACUUUCAUCUCCUAUCCUACUUUUCUGCUUCUCGUUCAUCAGUGUUCUUUGCUUCGGAGAGCUCUGAUCUAUGAAGUCCUAGGGGUGGGCGAACCAACCUAGGGCAGCCCAGCACUGUCGUGCGGCCAGACAGGGUCUCUUCCGACCGCGUGGGGUUUCGGGUCUUCAAAAGCGCUCGCCGGAUUGUAUUGCGUACCACUCUUCCGGUGAGCCUCCUUCGGCGAUGUGUCUUGCGUAUCGCGCUCGACGCCGAGGGUACACGGUGACGUGUUUGUGUGUGAACACACUUUUUGGCGACUCCGCUGGGGACCAAAGAGCAAUCAUCAUCAUCCAUCAUGGUCAAUCUUCCCAAGCCAUCUGAAGUGGAUGCCGAUAACAUCAACAAGCCCAAUUUUGAGGAAUUAUCGGCAGAACAUCGCCAAGCUUGUGAGUAGUACAAGAAGGCACGUGAAGGGAAGGAGAUGCAGGAGUUCCUUGCUAAGUUCAAAAAGGAUCGCCAAGGCAACAUCACUUCAAUUGAAGAAAUCAAGUUUCCUCCUCUUCACAAUGAGUAGGUAGAGUCGGCUGAAAUCACUACUCUUAUUGCUCAGAAUAAUGAUCGAAAAAAUACUCCUCAAUCAUCUAAUGGUAGAAAAUAAUACUGAUCGAAAAAAUACUCCUCAAUCAUCUAAUGGUAGUGGUAGUAUGUCUGCUGGUGUGGAAAACUUUAGUCCAAAUUUACCUAUUCCAGCGGUGCUGCCCAUGCCAUUGAAUUCUUAUCCCAGUCAGACAAACCAACUUGUUGCUCCACCAUUUAAUCCAGCCAGGAAUAUGCCAAGUUCAGUGAAUCCAACUGCAUUGCUAGGUUAUGGUUCGGCAAGUCCAAGUGGAUUGCUGCCGAACUAUGGUAUAACAUACACACCACCAUCUCUUCCGACUAGCACUAUACCAACUAGUAGAAAUCAUAUUCACCAUGCGCCACAACCACACGCAACGCCGCUCAAUACGAGUGAUAUUUUGGCUAAUGUCAGAGAGGAGAUGUCGAGGGUGUUCCGAGAGCAUUGCGGGAUUGAACUACCUCAACCACGAAUUUCUAGGAAACCAUAGCUAGAAAUUUUUGAUGUCGUGCCAUGUCCUCCCGGAUAUAAAGUUCCAGAUUUUGUUAAAUUUAGCGUAGAGGGAAGAAAGACUACAUGGGAGCAUGUUAGUCGGUACUUGGCACAAUUAGGUGAGGCAAGUUCACGAGACGAGUGGAAAGUACGUUAUUUUCCUUUAUCUUUAACCGGUACUGCUUUCCCGUGGUUUUCUGCAUUACCACCCGGUUCUAUUACUGCAUGGUUUCACUUGGAGCAAAAGUUUCAUGACCACUUCCAGAGUGGUGACAAUGAGCUUAAACUAUCCCAUCUUACAUCGGUUAAGCAAAAGCAUGAUGAAUCAGUCUUCGAUUAUGUCAAAAGAUUUAGAGAUACAAAAAACCGGUGCUAUAGUUUGGUGAUAACCGAGAGAGAUGUGGCUGAUCUCGUGCUUAGUAGUUUGAGAACUCACAUUAGAGAGAAGCUGGAAGGCUAUGAGUUUUCAAGUAUCAACCAUGUCUUAGAAAAGGGCUUUGGCUCAAGAAAGCCAAAGCAAAGAGUUUAAAGAGGUGCAUAGGUAUAACACUGAUCAUCCUAAGAUAAAUAUGAUUGAGUAUGAUGGUGAGCACUCGGAUGAUGAGGGUGAUAUUUAUGAUACUGAAUUUGUUUGGCCAUCUAAGGCCAAACCAUUUACUUGCAAUGAUAUAAAGCCAAUUUCAUAAGAAUCGUGAUGAAGAGAUGAAAAUUACUUUCAACAUUACUAAGUGUGAUAGAAUAUUUGAUGCUUUGUUGCAAGCGAACAUUAUUAGAAUAUCUCAUACUUUACCGCCGUUUCAAGAGCUGAAACGGCGUGCUUAUUGCAAGUAUCAUAAUUCUUUUUCUCAUGCCACUAACGAUUGUAAUGUUUUUCAACGACAAAUACAGCCGGCCAUUAAUAACGGACGAUUGAAAUUUUCUCAGAUUCCACUUGAUAAGCAGCCCUUUCCAAUGAACACCAUGGAUUUGGAGGGAAAAAGAUGUUAAUUCGGCCCGAUAUAGCCGAAUCAGCUAAUAAAAAUAAGAUUGUCAUUGGUGAGCCUCAGAAAAGCAAGGAAGACGACAAGGCCUUGGGGAGACAAGUUGUGCUUGACAAGCGACCCGGUGGCAAGGAGAUCAUUAAGAUCACCAUCAAGAANNNNNNNNNNNNNNNNNNNNNNNNNNNNNNNNNNNNNNNNNNNNNNNNNNNNNNNNNNNNNNNNNNNNNNNNNNNNNNNNNNNNNNNNNNNNNNNNNNNNNNNNNNNNNNNNNNNNNNNNNNNNNNNNNNNNNNNNNNNNNNNNNNNNNNNNNNNNNNNNNNNNNNNNNNNNNNNNNNNNNNNNNNNNNNNNNNNNNNNNNNNNNNNNNNNNNNNNNNNNNNNNNNNNNNNNNNNNNNNNNNNNNNNNNNNNNNNNNNNNNNNAAAUUUGUUAAACCAAAGAAUCCAGAGGUUGGCAAGUGGAAGACGAAUGAAGCUAAAGUACAACGCAAGAGAAUCAAGCCAACUUUUGUUAUGUUGCUAUGCAAAUGUGCCAAUCAAGCGGCCAAUUCUAGCUCUAACCGGUCAUCAAAUUUAAAGCUCUCCAGGUCACCUCCUCGACAAGAAUUUCAUCAUCAUGCAAGGCCAUAUGGGUCUUGGGCACCUUGACCAUCGAUGGCACCACCCCCCCUAUGUGUCAUACUACAUGGGAAACUUUAAUGGAGGAUGGGGGCAACCUCCAAUGACCCCUUAUGCUUUUCAUCCGGGUUGGGUAGAACCAAGGAGGCCCGUUUGUGAGAGGCUUUCUUACCCUAUACAUGGCCGUUUGAACAAUGGUGUCAAUCGGCCAAUGCAGGAUAAUCAAAAAAGGUUCAGCAAUCAAGUGUGGCGAGCUAAAUCACCAAGUGCUGAAAUUUCAGAGGCUAGCAACCAAAAGGAGAAGAGUACUAGUGCUGAAACUAUUAUUGUAGGCACUAAAGAAUUAACAAUCAAAUAGCCGAUUAUUGUUGAUAAUGCAGCUAUUUCUAACAAGGAUGUGGCUGCUGUCCAACAAGGUCCCGUGGCUAAUGAUCAUGAAGCUAGCACAAGCAAGGCCAAGCUGAGGGAUCCAAAAUAUACUUAGCCUAAGUGGUGUCCCUCCGGUCUGACCAAGGCACAAAAAAGUAGGUUGCAGCACAUGAGAAGCCACGAGAAGGAGGGAUAAGAAGCGGAGAGGCAAAGGGAUAAACUGUUCAAUGAAACCCGUCCCAUGAUGUCCGCAAAACAAGUGUGGAGGCCUAAGCAAAAGGAAAACAUAGUAGCUUCUGCAUUGGUAAUAACAGCACCUACACCACCAAUGGAGGACGAUGCGACUGCUAUUACAUCGUCCACUUCACCUAUUACUUCCUCUUCACUAGGAGAUAUUUCGGAGUCGAUGGACAUGCUUCAGGAUGGAGAUGGUAUUUUGGAUUAUGAGUCUACACCGGUUCAUGAAGGUAUUGAUAUUAAUAUGGUGCACUACUUACCCGCUGAAUUCCGUGCUAUAUAUGAAGAAGGGCAAGUACCUCAGUUGGAUUUUGGUCCUAAAAAUGCUAUAAUCGAGAAGCCAAAAGAAUGGGUGACGCACCUGAAGCCAUUGUUCCUUAAAGGUCAUAUUAAUGGAUCGCCGAUUGCUAGAAUGCUUGUUGAUGGUGGUCCUGUGGUGAAUCUUAUCCCAUAUUCAGUCUUAUAAAAAAUGAGGCUGCGUGAUGAAGAGUUGAUAAAGACCAACAUGGUGCUCAACGGAUUUGAAGGUAAAGAGAAAAUUGAAGCCAAAGGUGUGAUGUAUGUGGAGCUUACGGUGGGAAGCAAAACUUUGGCUACCGCAUUCUUUGUCGCCGAGGUGCAAGGUAACUCCAAUGUGAUAUUAAGCCAUGAUUGGGUUCAUGCAAACCAAUGUGUGCUAUCUACUAUGCACCAGUUUUUGAAUCAAUGAGUUGAUGAUGAAGUGGAAGUCAUUCAUGCGGAUAAUUCGAUCGGCUUGUGUUGCUUUGGCCGAUGAAUCGGUGGAUUGGCAACAUCCCAAUGCUACUUGCUUGACGGGGCGCGACUUAUCAGAAUUUGAUUUUCUUAGCGCUACAAAAUUGGUUUCGUGCCCCUUUCUAUAAAGCCGGUUGGCGAUAAUCGGCUCCAAGGUAUGAUGUAUUUAAAUGGAUCCUAUCUCAGAGUGGUUUCAAAAGCGUCUUGUAGAAUAUCGGUCCAAUGAGAAUGAUAUGUAUGAGUCCAUAGAAGAGUUAGAUGAUAUGGAUAAAUUAGGACAAGGUUUUACAUCGGCGAUCCAUUAGAAGAGAUAGAUAUAGCAGAUGGUUCAUUUCUUAGGCCGACAUUUGUAAAUAAAAAUUUAAGAGUCGAUCAUAAACUUAAGUUGAUCGAGCUGUUAAAAGAAUAUAUUUGUUGCUUGGCAUGGGAAUAUCAUGAGAUGCCCGGUUUAAGCCGAGAGCUAGUGGAGCAUCGAUUACCUAUAAAGGCUGGUUUUUGACCGUAUAAGCAAUCGACCAGAAAGUUUAAUCCAAAAACAUAUGACCGGAUCAAGGAAGAGAUCGGUCGUUUGCUGAAAGCUAAUUUUAUUAGACCUUGCAAGUAUGCCGAGUGGAUUUCUAACAUUGUACCAGUGAAGAAGAAAGGCUCGGGCAAGUUGAGGGUGUGUAUUGAUUUUAGAGAUUUGAAUAGAGCUACACCCAAAGAUGAGUAUCCCAUGCCCAUAGCCGAUAUGCUUAUUAAUGAUGCCUCUGGACAUAAGGUCAUUAGCUUUCUUGAUGGUAAUGUGGGGUAUAAUCAAAUUUUUAUGGCCGACGAUGAUAUGACCAAAUUAGCUUUUCGAUGUCCCAGUUUCCUUGGUUUAUUUGAGUGGACAGUGAUGACCUUUGGUUUAGAGAAUGCCGACACCACGUAUCAAAGGGCUAUGAAUUUAAGUUUUCAUGAUUUACUUGGUGUUAUACUUGAAGUCUAUAUUGAUGAUAUUGUUGUCAAAUCGGAUGCUUUUGAAUCUCAUCUAGCUGAUUUGUGCUUAGAUUUUGAGAGAAUGAAAAAAUAUUGACUAAAGAUGAAUCCUUUGAAAUGUGCUUUUGGUGUAUCGGCUGGUAAGUUUUUGGGUUUCAUUAUUCAUCAACAUGGCAUAGAAAUUGACCCAAAAAGAUAGAGGCUAUACAAAAGGUGUGGGCUCGAACAUGCAAGAGAGAUAUGCAAAAAUUCCUUGGCAAAGUCAAUUAUUUGAGGAGAUACAUAGCCAAAUUGUCAGGGAAGGUUGAUACAUAGCCAAUUAUUUGUGCACUUCUCUAGUGUUGAAAGCCCCCAAGCAUAGAGAGCCCUUUAGGCUUUAUAUUGCGGAGGAGAAAGCCCCCAGGCAUAGAAAGUCCCCUCAAGAGACCGAAGGAAAGGAGCAUGCUAUUCUUAUUUGAGUCGACGCUUAUUGGAUGUCGAGAUAAGGUAUACAUUGAGAAAUUAUGCUUAUGCUUAUAUUAUGCUUGCACAAAAUUGAGACAUUACCUAGUGCCUAGUACAUGCAUUAUAGCUUUUCAAACUGAUGUCAUCAAAUACAUGUUGCAUAGGCCAAUUCUUAGUGGUAGAAUUGGCAAGUGAGCUUAUGCUUUAAUUGAAUAUGAUUUGGUUUAUGAAUCUCUGAAAUUCAUGAAUGGGCAAAUCGUUGUUAAUUUUGUUGUUGAGCAUCGGAUUGAUGACAAGCAUGAUAUUGAUCUUAAACUUGUCUAUUAGUACCAUGGAGAUUAUAUUUUGAUGGUUCCGUUUGUAGCAAUGGACAAGGUGUUGGUAUUGUUUAUAUAUCUCCUCAUGGAGCUAUUUUUCAAGCCUCAUGCCGCUUAGAGUAUUUUUGUACAAAUAAUUAGGCCGAAUAUGAAGCAUUUUUACUCGGUUUAGAGAUGUUGCUUGCCAUAGGCGCUACACAUAUUGAGGCUUUUGGUGAUUCGUUAUUAGUAGUGCAACAAAUAUCCAGAGUAUUUCAAUGUUUUCAUGAAUCACUUAAUGUUUAUCUUGAUAAAUGUCUAGAUAUAAUUUCUACUUUGGAUUAUUUUAGCAUUCCUCAUAUAUCUAGACAUGACAAUUGGAGAGCAAAUCAGUUGGCACAACAAGCAUCUGGCUAUCAUGUUAAUCAUGACAUGUUUCAUAUUUACCAAAGGCCGAUGUCUAUUCUUGCCAACGUAGGGGAGGCUGAACCGGAGCCCACCGUUUCGGUCACAAAUGAAAAUUUUAAUGUAGAAAAUCUGGACUAGAGGAAAGCCAUUAUUGAUUAUUUGCGUGAUUCUAAUAAAAUUUUGGAUGAGGACCAAGCAAGAGUUGCUAUGAGAGAGGUUCAUGAAGGAAUUUGUGGGACUCAUCAGUCGGCUCCCACUAUGAAAUGGUUAUUGCGACAGGCUGGGUUUGAUUGACCAACGAUGAUUAAUGAUUGCUUCAGGUAUUAUAAAGGAUGUGCAGCUUGUAAAAUGUCUGGUGAUAUUCAGCUAGCUUCUGCUGCUAUGUUACAUCCUAUUAUUAAGCCGCGGCCUUUUAGAGGUUGGGGAUUAUACUUUAUUGGAGAGAUUCAUCCUUCUUCUUCAAAGGGGCAUCAGUUUGUGUUGGUGGCAACUGAUUAUUUCACUAAAUGGUCUGAAGCAAUACCGCUAACAAAUAUGACGCAUACGGAGGUAAUUCAAUUCAUAACUUAGCACAAUAUUCAUAGAUUUGACAUUCCUCAAAUGUUAACUACGGACCAAGGUUCAUCUUUUAUGUCAGAUCAAGUUAGAGAAUUUCCCGAAUCAUAUAAGAUAAAGUUGCUCAAUUCAUCUCCGUAUUAUGCCCAAGCCAAUGGACAAGCUGAGUCUAGCAAUAAAAUAUUAACCAACCUCAUCAAGAAGAAGAUUGAGGAUAAUUCAAGGAGAUGGCAUGAGCUAUUGUCCGAAGCUUUGUGGGCACACAUAAUCUCAAGGUAUGGUGCUACAAAGGUAACUCCAUAUGAGCUCAUAUAUGGUAAAGAGGCCGUUUUACCAGUGGAAGUGAAUUUGAAUGCUUUGAGAAUAGCAAAACAAAAUGAUUUAUCGGCGGUGGACUUUUAUAACUUGAUAAUGGAAAAUAUUGAUGAAGUCGCUGAUAAAUGUUUUGUUGCUUUGAAGGCCAUAGAGAGAGAUAAUUUGAGGGUGGCAAGAGCUUACAAUAAGAAGGUCAAGUUGAAGAAUUUUCAAGUUGGCGAUCUCGUGUGGAAGGUGAUUCUACCAAUUGGUUCGAAAGACAUAAAAUUCGGGAAGUGGUCUCCAAGUUGGGUAGGUCCUUUUAAGAUUACAAGGGUAGUUCCCAGAAACUUAUAUUUAGUGGAAUCCGUACAAAGGACAUUGUUACCUCGAGCUGUCAAUGGCAAAUAUUUGAAGAAGUACCACCCAAGUGUGUGGCAAGAAGCCUAGAUAAUCAAUGGCCGAUAUACGACUAUGGCCCUUAGCAUAAACAUGGCCGAUAUAUAAUUAUCGCACCGAGAAGUAUAAAUGACACAUGGAGUGUUGACAUCGUCCUUAGAAUAAACGCGAUGCAAAUUAUUUUCCGGCAUUCAAGCUCUGCCCAAAACAGAGGAUAAGGGUUGACACCAGAUUUUAGCAUGGUAGGAAAUGCAAUUAAGAUGGUCCCAAAUGGAGAAGUGGUUUACAUUAAAAAAAAGUUCCGUAUUGUCGACACAAACAUCUUCGAUGUUUGGGCCAUCGCCAUCCGAUCUCAUCUCGAAGGCCGAAGUUGUGUUCGAAAUACUGAGAUUUUGUAUCCCGAGCACUGUUCGGCCGAUUACGCCUCAAGGACGGCCUCAAAUGAGAAAACUUUCGACAUGAAUUGACUUCGCUUGGUCGAAACAGUCAAUUUUGAUAUAAAAAUCGUCUCAAUCCAAGGUCGUAUGUAAAAGUUAGUGUCUCCUGAGUCCGGCCCUGUCACGAGCCAAAAGCUACGCGAGUAAUAGUCUAUUUUGCGCGAGCGAUUUGGCACUGAAGAUUAUAUCGAAUCGAAAACUGUUCAACAUGAAAGUUGUUCGUCUCGUCGAAACAGUUAAAUUUGCUUCUUCCGCGAUUUUGAUCCGAGGUCGUUUACUACCCCAAAAAUGACCCGCAAGGUGCAGCCAAUUUUUAGACUGAACAGUUUUGGAAAGUUUGGAUCAUACGAUCCUAAUUGGACUCAAAUUAGGGUUUUGGACAUGAAUUCUAACUUUUCCUUGCACGGGAAGUCCAGCCCCCUCUUAUUUACAUGAGGGGUGAUGACUGCCCCUCCUAGAAAAAACCAGACUGGGAGGACAUUUUUUUCCUGUCCGAAAGCCGUUUCCGCCUCUUGGAAGAAGAAGAAGAAAAAAGAGAAAACACGUUUUUUUUCGUUUCCGAGAGCCUCUCGCGGAAACAAAACAAUGCCGCUCAUGGAAGAAAAACAAAAAAAUGCAUUUUUUCACGAAAGCAAAACCGUGCCUCUCGUGAAAGAAAGAAAAGAGAAAACACAUUUCUUGUCCUUUUCGUGAGGCACGGCAGUGCCUCUCGCGGAAGCAAGACCAUGCCUCUCGCGGAAGCAAAACCGUGCCUCCCGCGGAAGAAAAAUACAGGGAAAACACGAUUUUUUUUCGUUUAUGAGAGGCACGACUGUCUCGCGGAAGCAAAGCCAUGCCUCCCGCCGAAGGAAAACCGUGCCUCUGGUGAAAAGGGAAAAAAAGAAAACGUGUUUUGUCACAGGAAAAAAAUUAAAAAAAAUUGGUCCAAAACCUAGGGAAGACCGGUGAACAACCAAAAAGCCGGAAAAUUAAAAAAAAAAACAUCUAAAAUACCAGAUGGAGGUUGAGAGUGCACCAAGUGACGCGCUCUCGGCCCAUCCACAAAUGACCCUUGGGAAGGGUGGGAACGAGCGCUCUUUAGUAUUAUUUUUUGAGGCAAACCGUUCUUUAAUUAGUUGCUCCGGGGAAGGGGAAUGGAAGACGCAGAUCGGCAACGUGUGGGCUGGGCUUGUGACGUUGGGGUCUCAGAAAAUAUAGCCCAGUUCGAAUUUAGUGGUCUCAGCAAGUAAAACCAGCGCUUAUGUUGGGCCUAAUCACUCACUCCAGGCUGUGGGCCUCGCUAGCAGCCCCAUCUUACCAUUCCCCUCGUUCUCUCUCUCUCUCGCAAAAAAAAACCAUCAUUUCCGUCAAAAAGAAAAGACAUCUACCCGUCUCGCCGCCAAGAGAUCCAGGAACCCCGGGGUCGUUCCAUUGUUUUGCAUAGCGUGUAGAUUAGGUUUUCUCUGUUAGUUUUAUGUGUUCUUAGUGGCGAUGGCUUGACGGUGAAGGCGAGAGUGAUGAUGGUCUCUCGGCUCCAUUCCUGUUCUGAUUAUGCGUUCCCGGCUAAGAAGGCCAUCAAACAUAACAUAAAUGGGGUGCUUUCUUUUCUUCUUACCGAUCUCCUCCUAGUUUACCGGCUCAAGGUGUAUCGGCUCUACAAACAUCUUGUAUCCACCUCACGUCCUGGGAAAUUACUGUCGGUAACUUUCAUCGUAUUGCGAUAACAAUAUUUUCUUUCAAGAACCCGCCUUCCUUGAAUUUCGUACAAAGUUAAUUGUCAAUGUCAUAACUAAUUGCAAGACCAGGUACAGCUCUUCUCUACAGGAAGUUACAGUUUCUAAAUUGCAUGACCCUGUAUCACUUUAUGAAGCAAGCACAUCACCUUCAGCUCCUCAUUUGCAAACUUAGGACCCAUUUGGACCACAUAAAUUUUACAAUAUGUUUGCUGCAUUUCACAAGAAACCAUCGAUUUUGUGAAGAAAGAAUUACAUUGUUUCAUCGCCGUUACAACACAACAUUAAUCAGAUCACCUUAAUACCUCCCACUGCGUUUUUUUUUGGAAAAAUACACAACAUACUGAUUGACCUUAAAGAAUGAAGGAGGCCAUAAGGUCUUGUACAAUGCUAGGUGUUUAGAAAGAUAAACCGGAUUUUACUGAUACACCGGUGCCUAUUUCUACCGGAGAGACGUCUAAUUAAGCGUAUACCCUGUACAAAUAAGUAUCAGUGCUUAAGGAAAGCCUGGUUUAUUUCUCGAAGCACCUCUCCUAAGCACCUUGCAGUGUACAAGGCCGAGAAGAAAGCUCUGACUUCCUAUUGUUGCUGCAUCAGCAGGAAAAGUAGUCUUCAUUUCAAAAAGAAGCUGAAAGUGCUAGAGUGAAAAAUAUCAUAUGUACAGAAGCUGGAUAUAUAUUACCAGCAAGGUGGAGAAGUGGGGAAAAAAAUGCUCAAAUGUGGUUAUCAAUCUUUUGAAAUGCAAGCAAGUAAGCGGAUGGGUGUUUGAGCUAUCUUUGUGUGAUCAGAACAAAUCCAUGUCCAUUAAUUAGUCUUAAUAUCAUCUUCACAGUACCAGGGACUCCCGGAUACUAAGAGUGCUUAAUAAUCUUAUAAUUAGGUGGAGACAUUUUCAUUACCUGCAUACAAAUGCGUACGAAUGAUGAUAUUUUAUAUUUUUUUCUUUGCAACUUCGGAGUGCCCACAAAGUGAAAUAGAAGGUGUAAACAUAACUUCUUUCAACCUCCAGUAAAAGUAACAAUUCUCUCUCCAUGUACCACUCUAUACCAACUUCUUCAAUACCUGUUGACUCUCAUGUUUUUGUUUUCCUUCAAUAUUUCAGACGUUCUAAAGCUCGGUCGAAAUCACUCGAGCUGGUCAACCCUGCCCCCGUGUCGCCCGCAACAGACGAUACGGGGAAAACUUUCGUCGCCGCCGGUAGCCUUCCUCCGCCAGUGCCCCUCCCCCCCCCCCCACAUCGCUGCCGCAGGAGGGUCGGCCAGCGAAGUCGCGCCGCGCUCGGGGAUGGCGGCGGCGGGGCGGUUUCGUACCCUCCCCCCCGAUGCGCUGCCCCAACAACCCCUUCGCCGCCAUCACCUCCCCGCGCCGCUGCUGCCGCGUCGCGCCUGAGGGUGGGGGCGGCAGGGCAGCUUCAUUCCCUUCAUGCUGUAGCUCCUCGUCCCCAACCUCCUCGCCCCCCAGAUCCAAUCUGGUGCGCCGCGGGCUCCCCUACCCUCCAACUGCUACUGUGUUCGUCCUGCCUGUCCGACGAGGUGGCGCGGCCGUGCCCGUCGUGCACCUCCCCAGUCUACCUCUUUCACCUUGCUGGCGCAGCUUCCUUCUUGUUGUUGUUCGCUGGGGCAUGCGAGGACUCGUGUGGAGGUCACGGGCUGGCCAAGGCUCGGUCUUGCCCCGUGUUGCAGACCACCCUUCGUCUCUGAUGGCGUCUCCUUCUAGUUACGGCGGCGACCUCUGCCCGUGUGUGGUCAAGGUGUUGUUUUGGGCAGCGGGAUGAAGCUUCGCGGUGGGUCCUUGCCGACACUGCUCCGGUCCCAGCGGCCAUCGACCAGCGUUCUUCGGCCUCCCUACCGCCGUGAAUUCAGCCCCAACACUCCGGUCGCUGCGUCUCCUUCCGGCAUCUUCGGUUUGCCGGUGUUCUGGUGGUUCCACCUCCGGCAGCUCGGAGUUGUGCUCCCUUCCGCCUCCAGCUUGUCAGCGGCGCCGGUCACCAUCCCACCCUCCAUGCCGGCUUUCUACCAUGCUGCCUUCCCGACCCUGUCGACACCCGCAACAUGUCAUUUCCAAAGCUCGUGUUCUUUCGGCAGCAGGUGCAGCCCCACCACCUCCGUACCGGGAUGGUGGUUGACUAGCGGAUUGUCUUCCUCAUCUUCGGAUCCUGAUUUGGCAGCUAUGGCAUUGCUCAGACUAAGGCCAGGCGAAAUCCAUGCUCUGCUUGCCAAUGUUGGCAGAGGCGACACUCGUGAGUGCUUUGCCAUGGCCUUUAUCCGGGCCCCUCUUCGAGCGCUGGGGGAAACCCUAGGUCCGGUUCUUCGGAUCGGAUGGUGGCGGUGUCACGAUGUCGCACCCCUUCCUGAAGGCGCUAUCUUGUUCGCCCCCGGUGUCCCUGUUUGUUUGAUUUUGAGAUGUUCGACGUCGUGCUUGUUCGGCCUGCCUCUCUGUUUAGGAUUUGUGGGUGUAGUUGUGUCAUUUCCCCUGUUCGGGCUGAGCACCCCUUGUCUCUCUGCUCCGGGUUCCAUGAUCAUGCCUCUUUGGGUUCAUGCCAUGUGUUGUAUCCUCUGUUGUACGCAUUCUCUUUCUUCUAUCAAUAAAGGAUAUGCAAGCUUUGUGUAUUCACAAAAAAAAAGACGUUCUGAAGCUCUGAAGCUAAAGAUGUAAAUAAAUCUGAACUCUCGCACUCACUUUUAAAUCGUGGGGCAGUAUACUCUAAUCUAUCCAGCUCUUCCUGUAAAACAAAUAUACUGUCAGCAUGUGAUUUAUCAUUCAUGAAUCGUUUAUCAUGCCAUUUUUAGAAUGUGACUGGCAAAAUGGUGUGACUGUACAAUUCUACUUUUUUCGAAAAAGAGGAUUACCCCUAGUAUCUACAUAGAGCCAUGCACACAACCAUUUUAUUAUAUUAUUUAACGGAACCAAACGAAACAAAUAUAUGGAUCAAGCCAAAGCCACCUCCCUAGAAACUAUUGUCGUUACACGUACAAGCUUUAAUGGCGUGCCCUGACCACUUAUCAACACACAUCAUAUAUUCCGGUCGCCUCACCAAGAUGCCUGCCGGCAAUUUGAGAGCAUCUACCGGUCUAGCUAGACCCUCUGCACGCACAUCAUGCACACGCUUUAGAUUCAGCCACCGCCAUGUUCCGCGGUCCCACCUUCAAGAGCGAUCAACGUAUUCAUCUCGCUAGGCCAUCUCGACACCAGAUAGCUCCACUAUCCAGCGCGGGCGCCCGUCGCCGACACUCCGCCGUGCCACGCCACCGAGACCCUGUGUCGUCCUUUCGGUAGAUGUAACACCGCUCCUCCACUUGUCUCUUCCAGUCGGCUCCUACUCGAGACAAUGCCCCUAGGAGGGAGAACGGCGCUGAAGGCACCAUCAUCGUCCGAUCCGGGAUACCCAGAACUAGAGUUUCCCCCGGAACAACCCGAGCGUAGUGACACAACUUACAAAUGACGAUGCCUCGAAAAAGGAAACAACGUUAGAGACGCCACCAUCUGCCAUGACCGCAGUUAGCACAAUUUCACCGGAAGUCGCGUCGACAUGGAGACGUAAGCUGUCGCCGGAACGUCGGCAUAGGGCCUCCAGUCGCCCCUGACCUGUCCCUGCACGCAUCGCCUGCCGGCCAAGGCCACGCCAAGAUGGAUCUGGAUGGGACGCUAGUUCCGCGGCCACUGCCGCCACCCAUCACAUGGUCGGCCAGGUCAACGACUAAUCCCACAGCCAUGGACAAACCGGUCGCCGCCGCCAGCCCGGGUCACCACCCUGACCGCACCGGCUGAAGACACAGGUGUCGUCGCGAGAUUGAUACGGUGAACAAGGCCCGAAUCCCUCGUGCUCGACCUUGAUCAGCCACACACAAGCAUCUCUCCACGCUGACGAGGGGUCCACUAUGGGAUCCAUCGCGCCGACUUCCGCCACCGCGCCGCGGGAAUAGACUGCCCUGAUGCUGCCGCCCACUGAGGCGGGCUUCGCCUGUUCGGCCUCCUCCAACAGCGUCCGGCCGUGGGCUGCNNNNNNNNNNNNNNNNNNNNNNNNNNNNNNNNNNNNNNNNNNNNNNNNNNNNNNNNNNNNNNNNNNNNNNNNNNNNNNNNNNNNNNNNNNNNNNNNNNNNNNNNNNNNNNNNNNNNNNNNNNNNNNNNNNNNNNNNNNNNNNNNNNNNNNNNNNNNNNNNNNNNNNNNNNNNNNNNNNNNNNNNNNNNNNNNNNNNNNNNNNNNNNNNNNNNNNNNNNNNNNNNNNNNNNNNNNNNNNNNNNNNNNNNNNNNNNNNNNNNNNNNNNNNNNNNNNNNNNNNNNUUCAGCCUCUCCACUUGUGGGAACAAUAUCCUUGAAUGUUUAGUUUCUCAUAUCUUUACGAAAACGGAGUAAGGGAAAUAUCGUGUGUGGUUGCAGGGAACUCACAUCAAAUGAUUGGGAGAUGUUCAUAAAUCAGUGAUAAUAGCCUUUGCAAACAGGCUAAUCCCAAAUGAUUCAAUGAAACCAACCUUCAUGUACUCAAUGAACGUAUUAUGCAUGUUAUGCUAGUUCAAGUCAUACUAAAUAUCACUUGUCUGGCAAAUAACAACAGCGUUCUCUGAAACCAUUGCAUCAUGAGAGAAUUGUGUGAAAUGGAAAUUGACACGAUUUAAAUUUUCAGGUUCCUUUCCUGGUGAGCCUAUCAUAGUAAAGAAACCUGGAAGAAAACAUUGGAGAAAGGAAUUCACAAAAUGCGGAAUUAUUAAUACUAAAUGACUGUUGAUGUUCAAAUGCAUGUCAGUUCUAAAUAAAUAAAUGAUUUUCUUCUUCUUUCUGCUCUUCAAUGUUUUCUUCCCUUACAAGAUUCUAGCAGUCUUAACACCAUUAUGGCCACAGAAAAAAAAAACAUCUAUCCCAUUUGUUACACGAGCUAAAAAUAAAAAUAGCACAUGAGCAUGGGCUGCAGAAAUGCACAUUCUUACUUCUAAGAAUAAUGUCAUCAAGAGAAGCAAAAGGCUGGUUUUUUGUGACAAUAAUUUAUUCAAUGAAAAGAGUGAGCCCGGGUUGCACGAAAUAUGAGUUUAUCUAUUUUUCUUCCAACAAAAUAUCUGGUCUACCAUCACUGCACCUUCGAACAUCAGAGUGCACACAGAACAAGAAAUAAAGAAGCAAAAGGGCCCUUGCGUAACUCAUGUAUUUUCAAACAAUGCUACAGAAAAUAUCCCUUAUACUCCCUCCGUCUAGGUUUGUAAGUCAUCUUACGAAAACAAAAUAAUCCCAAAACACUUAGGCGCGGUGCGUUAACUUCUACCUCGUUUCUUGUUUCUUGACAUAUCAACCAAUAAGAGAUAUGGGUGUGCAUGCUUUUAAUGACUUGAGACUACCAAACACGACAUGCAGUGGUUAGUUCAUUGCAUGCAAUGCUAUUAAUUAGCAAAAAACAUUAAGUUCUCUCGUUUUCCCUCCUCCUUGGUCACGGUGCACAACAUAAGAUGACUUAUUCACUUAGACGGAGGGAGUAUCAUGGAUUUGCGCCUGCAUCAAUUGUUUCCGAGUGCUGUCAAAGAGAAAAAUUUACUAAGAUUUCCAUUGUCAAACUGUGAUGUCCGACUAGUGUUGGUGGAAGAAUCACAUAUUGGAGAGGAUAAUUUGGAGUAGGGGAUGAGAAGAAGUUGAAGAACAGAUGAAGAGGGUGAGAUGUAGAACAGAGUAGGUGAGAGUUCAAACAAUUCUCAUUUCAUCGAUAAGUUACGGCACAUGUCUGAUUCACUUGCCCCUUUUAAACACAUAGGCACUCUCUUACAAGUGGGCCCUCAAAUCCACACGCCCAGUGCACUAGAUGAUCUUCCUAUGGCUCACUCCUAAGUUGUCUCUCUCUAGUUGUUGGGCCCUUCGUCCUCCAUAUCCUAGUCCUCCUCAUUCCACUGGACUGGGAUCUUGAUUUCCGUCGAGGGUGUGGUAGAGAGCAGAUGCAUGACACAAUCUUUGUUCCAUUACGCUUCCUCAAAGUCGCCAUUUUAGACAUUGUCAUGUCUACAACACACAAUUAGACGCUUGGUGACCUGUUGCUUCAAAAAUAUAUUUUGAAAUCAUGUGCCUAGAGGUGUUUUGAAUGUAUGGCUACAAAUGUCACUGAGGUUCCUAGUUCCUGUUCCAUCAGCAUACCCUGCCGAAGUGGUAAUCUGACUUCAAGUGGAAUAAGCAAGACAGGAGAAAGAAUUAAGGUGGUAUUCAGCUCGUUUUCCCCUCACCUUUUUGACUCUCACAUUUUUGUUUUCCUCCCAUAUCUUAGAUGGGGUGAAGCUAUAUGCAUAAACAAAUAUGAAUUCAUAUCACACUCACCUCGACAUCUCAGUAGUACAACACAGGGCUUUCGUCACAGGGCAAUUUUCACAUUAGUCCCGGUUCAGUCACGAACCGGGACUAAUGUGAGCAUUGGUCCCGGUUCGUGCGGCUAAGGCAUUAGUCCCGGUUCACCUGGGCCCUUUAGUCCCGGUUGGUGCCACGAACCGGGACUAAAGGGUGCGAUGCCCAUUAGUACCGGUUGGUGGCACCAACCGGGACUAAAGGUCUAACCUUUAGUACCGGUUGGUGCCACCAACCGAUACUAAUGCGCUUUGAGGCAUUAGUACCGGUUCAUGGCACGAACCGGUACUAAAGGGCCCAUUUUCAAACUCUACCCCCCCUGGUGGACCGCCUUUUCAGUUUUAGGAAAAACAAAAGAAAAUGAUGGAAAUGUCAAAAAAAUAAAAUAAAAUAAGUUUCCCAUGUGAUAUGUGGUCUAGUUGUUGGGAAAAUUAACAAAUAUGAAUUUCGACUUUAUUUGCAAAAUCUCUCUGAAAUUUCUUAAAAUGGGCAUAACUUUUGCAUACGAACUCGGAUGAAAAAGUUUUUUAUAUGAAAAAUCAUCUACUCAAAAUCCUCAAAAACCUAACAGAAAAAAAGAUACGGGACUUUUAAGAUCUGGAGAGGCAAAAAAAUUCAAAAAAUUUCAAUUUGUGGUCAAACUGUGGUCAAACAAUAGUCAAACUAAUUAUUCUAGAAUAUUAGUGUUACUAAAUAAUUAUUUCAGUUUUUUUGAAUUUUGGUCAAAUCUGGUCAAACUGUGGUUAAACAGUGGUCAAACAAUGGUCAAACUAAUUAUUCCAGAAAUAUUAGUGUUACUAAAUAAUUAUUGUUUUUAAAAAUAAUAGUUUCAAACUCAAACAGUGAAAUAUGUCACUUCAUGCUCAAGCUAAAUUCCUGAGGGUUAAUAAAAUUGACAUCUUACUAUUGUCAGGAAAACAACAAGUGCAGACUUGGAAACGAGGGAGAAUAGAACCCAGAAGUUAAGCGUGCUCAGGCUGGAGUAGUGAGAGGAUGGGUGACCGUCCGGGAAGUUAGAUGAUUUGAAAUGAUGAGGGGUGAUUAGAGAUUAGAGGAUAAAUUGAGCAGUGAUGAGGGGUGGUGAUUAGAGAUUAGAGGUUAAAAUAAUUCAGAAAUUUGAAAAUCAAAAAAAAAGUUCGCAAAUUUUUUUUUCAAAAAAAAUAUAUCAUAAAAUUCUGCGUCCACGUGGACGGCCUUUAGUCCCGGUUCGUGUCUAAAGGCUUGGGUAUAUAUAGACCUUCUACACGUCUCCAAUCUCUAGUAGCUCUUCAUAUGAUAAAAAUAUAUUGUGAGUAUGGGAUAUGUGUUGAGAAGGCCAUUCAGGAAUCGUUUAUCAUGUGAGUAGACUGCAAAAUGACAUAACCAUUCCACGAGCAUGCUUAAGUUUGAAAACUCUUUCCCGGGAAGUAUCCUAUGUGAUUGAAUGUAACUCAUAAUUAUUAAAGAAUGUAUAGAAGUUUCUAAACGAGCGAGUGGUUGAAUGUCAAAUGCAUCUGAUACUCGGCGAAGACUUAUGUUUGCCAAAUUCGGUACUCGGCAAAGUUUCGCCGUGUUUAUUAUGGGCUCUGCCAAGUUUCUAAGAAGACAAUCCGGGUAGUGAUGGAUGCCUGAUCUUUAACAUGGAAUGUCUGUAUACAUAGUCCUCAAUGUGGGGCAUAAUGUAGUAGCCGGACAAGACGCUUGAUUAAUCUGGUUCUUCUCUACAAUAGAAACUCGCCUUGUACAUGAACAUAUUUUGUUUUGGGUAUAUAUAGACCUUCUACACGUCUCCAAUCUCUAGUAGCUCUUCAUAUGAUAAAAAUAUAUUGUGAGUAUGGGAUAUGUGUUGAGAAGGCCAUUCAGGAAUCGUUUAUCAUGUGAGUAGACUGCAAAAUGACAUAACCAUUCCACGAGCAUGCUUAAGUUUGAAAACUCUUUCCCGGGAAGUAUCCUAUGUGAUUGAAUGUAACUCAUAAUUAUUAAAGAAUGUAUAGAAGUUUCUAAACGAGCGAGUGGUUGAAUGUCAAAUGCAUCUGAUACUCGGCGAAGACUUAUGUUUGCCAAAUUCGGUACUCGGCAAAGUUUCGCCGUGUUUAUUAUGGGCUCUGCCAAGUUUCUAAGAAGACAAUCCGGGUAGUGAUGGAUGCCUGAUCUUUAACAUGGAAUGUCUGUAUACAUAGUCCUCAAUGUGGGGCAUAAUGUAGUAGCCGGACAAGACGCUUGAUUAAUCUGGUUCUUCUCUACAAUAGAAACUCGCCUUGUACAUGAACAUAUUUUGUUUUGUGGAACUUCCUCCGGAUUAAAAAUACUUGAAGAUAGCAACAUAAUUGAUGAACUAAAAAAUGGUACUCUGGUAGCAAUGGGAUAAAACAAUAUUAUGCCUUUCUUUCAUUAGUUAACUAAAAAUUUGUGCUGCAGUAGUAACGGGAUAAAACAAUAUAAGUAGAAACAAUUUUGAUAAGCAAUAACAUUUCCUUUUGCUAGGGCAACGCUAUAGGUAACUCCUACAAACUAUUUCUCCUAGGUGUUGAUUAAUAAAUUAGCCAUAUGCAAAAUUAAACUGCAGUGGAUUAGUAAUACACGGUUGAAGUCAACACUUCCGGUUAAUCUUAUAAAAUCUAGCCUCUUUAGUCUCCAAUCUCACAUUGAGACAUGGUUAAUAGUUGUUGGUAUAUCUAAAUCCUAUGGGAGGACAUCCUCUUAUUCUCAGACACAUGAGCCCAAGUAUCUCCACAAAAAGUUCACCAGACAUACAUAUCAUGUCCUUUCAUAGCCAUCCAAAAAAAGGAAGGUGCUAUGAUGUAGUGCAACAUUGAUGGAAUAAUACCAAAAAAUGUAAAAAGGGUGUUUCAUUCUCAAAAAUAACUUUGGAAGUAUAUCGGUGAACCAUCUAAACAGGAACAUACUAGUAAAUUUGUUGAGGAAAUUGUUAACUGGUAGCAGCUUGGUUGGCUAGGGAGUAGGGGAUUAAUAGGGUGAUCGGCAAGUUUAUUGGCCUAUUAAGCAAUUAAACGGAGGAUUUAUCAGUUUAUUGGCUACAUGGUGACCUUACAAGUAGGGAUUAAUUCCCAAGUUAACUGGUUAAUCAGACGAAUUCUUCAACAGGACCAGUAAUCAUGCUAAUAUGGUACAUGAUAAUCUCUUAUGGUUGAAUGAAUAUGAGUAAUGUCUGUAGCUAUCUUUAACAGUAUUUUAUUGAGUACCUAAAUAUGUAAAGUUCAGUAGUUUGUACUAUCAUGUUAUUGCACAAAAAAAAAGGAAAUCUCUCAUUCCAAUUUUUUUAGCUAAACUAAACAAAAGAUACUAGCAUGUUGCUCAGGAGAUAGGAAUGGUAGCAGGGGUAGAUAGCCAACAAAAACAUUAUGUUAUUACAGUGUGAAUAAUAAAUAAGAUUAUUUGGAUCAUAUGAAGGAUAAAGCCAUCAAUCUCGCCCAUGUGCAAUAAUUUUAAUUUGUCUUUGUGUAGUAUAUAUUGUUGAUUAAUCAUUCGUGAUGAGAUAUGCACCUUCAUAUGGUUUAACAAAUAGAAGAUGGGUGGCGCCAGAAUAAUUUUUCUGACCGUGCAAAGAUAGAGAUCUGCAUUGCUCUCAUCAAUGACCUGCAACGAUUCAUGCAUGCUUCUACUAUGAUCCUUGAGCCUAUCAAAAUUAAUUGCUAUAAUCUUGACUGACCGAGCUACUGAUAUGUGGGCGUCUUGAUGAGUAUGGCGAAUUCUCUUUUAUCUUGGUGGUUGUUCAUUUCAUAGACAUCUCAAUAUAUUGUUUAUUUGGAUGGUUUUGUCUCCUCCUUUAUUUUGGGGUUAUUUUUACAAAGAGAAGUCUAGUUUUCUCCCUAACAAUUUCACAUGGAGAAGUGUCACUCAUAUUUAUUUCAAUCACAUUUACCUCUUGACCUUAAUAUUCACUCACAUUUACCUCCUGACCUUUUGGUUUUGGUUUAAUUUUUCCAUUAAAAUUUCACAAAUGAUAGAAUCCUCCCUGGAAGUUUUAAGAAAAAAAAAAUCUAGUAAAGGCAUAUGUAAUUUUUUUGUAAAGGAGAAUGUAUUAAUAUCAAGCAGAUACCAAUUAUUCCCAGACUCUGCAACAACAAGAUGCCUAAAAACAUCCAGGAUGCACACAGCUAAAAAUUAAAAUAAAAAGGGAAGAAAAAAUGAGAAAAAAUAUCCCGCCACGGUGAUCAAUCACCCGAUGUAGCCGCACUCUAACCACCACCAAAGAUGUCACCCGGACUACAAAAUAGGUUCUCCAAAAGCAAUGCCUCUAGAAAGGAAACAAAACACAAGCAUUGUCGUUGCCCGAUCAAAGAUAUUACGUUUUCACCCUGGAGAAAGAUCAGGUUCCCAACAAUAAUGCCUUCAACAAGACUACCGCCAGGCACAACCAAUAAAGGCCAGACCUUGGGUUUUCACCUUGGAAAUCCUGAUUGGGUACUCAAAGGAGCACCGAAUAACAAAGAAGUCCUCCAAUGCCGCCACCCCCACUUGCGGAGGCUAAUACUGCAAGUCACGCACCAUUAGGCUCACAGGAAUUCACAUCCCGCCUGGACGGGAACAUAUCCUGUAAGCCAUGUCUAAACAACUGCCUAUGAAGCAAAGUCUUCAUCGCAUCCAAGACCUCGCAUUCGCCACUUGCAAGUCCUUCAAUCACGCCAUGGCAUUCUCCGUAUGUGUUGAUCCCAUGGAAAUCUUGGUGCAGACAUGUCCCAAGGUGCCAACAAAAACAGAGCUUCACGAUACCCCGGUAAACCUGGUUAUGCUGAUGUUGCGGGUGCGCACGACAGGCCCCUAUCUAGUCAAGGUGUCCAAAGAGCGCCAUAUGUGCCAGUCCUUUUUUUCCUUCAAAGGAGAAGUCCGGAAAUCGCAGAUGGCCAGAUUGAAGAUCUCAGGUUCUCAAUUGCAUGAGCUUGUGAGCAACGAGAAUGAGCAAGACCGAACAAGGGGAAACCAUCCAAGGACGGGAACACCGUGUGCACAAUAUAUAGGAUCCAAUUUGCACCAGCAAUGUUUAUACAGGAAUAACCAAAAUGUGAGUGUUGCCACGUACAUGUAUUUACUACUGCAGAUAGUUUUCUUUAUUGCACAGGUAUAAAACUUGUUCUUAAUUUUAAUCAAUUCUCUUGCACAAAUUUAUCCACAGAGAGCACAUAUAUGAUUUAUCUAACACUAUGUUUUCAAUAUCACAAGAUAAAAUCUUGUCUUUACAGAGCAAAAUUAUACACCGAUAAAAAUGUGUUGUCUGCCUGCAUGAAAUUACAUAUGCUAUGCAAAACUCUUUACUUCGUAUCGUCAUGAUCAUCCACAAUAUUAAAAUUGUAAAUAAACAAAAAAAGAGGUGCCGGCAAAUAGUUUUGGAUAGAGUAGUUUGGCACAAUAUAUAUGUUAUCCCUGAAAAUAUAACGUCUUCCUGGAUCACACUGUAGCUUCGUGAUAGUUUUGACGGCUAUGAUAACAAAAGCUGCCGACACAUGGCUCUGGAAAUAGUUAUGGCUGUAGGGGUAAAUAUAAUAGCUGACAGCUCUAAAAAAUAUUCCCGCAAAAGAAGGCAGCUCUAAAAAACAAGCCGACAAAAGAAUCAUGAAGCUACAGUGUGAAUUAUACUCUCUCCAUUCACAUUAUUAUGGGAAAACGAAUUGUGCGAGUACAGUCUGCCAAAAUGAGUGGUCGUCCAUGCACCUUGUUUAGGGGCAACUUUAUUUUAAUGUGUCUUUUUGUAGUAUAUAGUGUUGAUUAAUCGUCCGUGAUGAGAUCUGUGCCUUUGUGUGAUAUAACAAAUAGAAGAUAUAUGGCGCCAGACUAAUUUUUCCAUCCGUACGUGCAAAGAUGAGAUAUGAAUGCAUUGCUCUCAUGAAUGACCUGCAACGAUAGACAUAUGCAUUCAUACAUGCUUCUGCUGUGAUCCACGAGCCCGUCAAAAUUAAUUGCUAUGCAGUGGCUUAACUACUCAGAUGAACGUGGGCGUCUUAAUGAGUAUGGUGACUUCUCUCUUAUGUUGGUGGUUGUUCGUUUCAUAAACAUUUCGAUAUAUUGUUUAUUUGGAUGGUUCUGCUUCCUCCUUUAUUUUGGGGUUGUUUUUACAGUGAAAAUUCAAGUUUUUUCACUAACAUAUUCGCAUGGAGAAGUGUCACUCAUAUUUAUUUUCACUGACAUUUACCUCCUGACAUUUAUUUUCACUCACAUUUAACUCCCGGCCUUUUGGUUUUGGUUUAGUUUUCCCAUUCAAAUUUCAUAAAUCAUAGAAUUUUCUAUCGAAGUUUCAAGAUUUGUUUUUCUAAAAAAGGUACAUGUAUGCACUAUAUAUUAGAUCUAAUUUGUACCAGUAAUGUUACCAGCUACAUGAAUUUACUGCUGCAGAUAGUUUUUUUUUGUAUUGCAUAUGUAUAAAUCUUGUCCUUAAUUUUACUCAUUUCUCUUGCACAAAGUUAGCUUCAUAGUGCACAUGUAUGAUUUACCUAAUAUUAUUAUUUCAAUAUUCCAAAAUAUAAUUUUGUCUUAACAGAGUGAAAUAAUACACCAAUAAAAAAACAUUGUCUGUAUGCAUGAAAUUACAUAUGCUAUGCAAAACUCUUUAGUAUGUAUCGUCAUGAUCAUCCACAAUAUGAAAAAAUAGUAAAGAAACAAACAAGAGGAGCAGACACAUGGUUUUGGAUAGAGCAGUUUAGCACAAUAUAUUUUAUCCCUGUUUAUAUAACGUCUUCAUUGCUCACACUGUAGCUUCGUGAUAGUUUUAUUGGCUAUGAUAACAGAAGCUGCUGACACAUGGUUCUGGAAACAGAUAUAACAGCAGGUGUAAAUAUAAUAGCCGCAGCUCUAAAAAAUAAGCUGACAAAAGAAUCAUGAAGCUACAGUGAACUAUACUCCAUCCUCCCUUGUCUAGGGGCAACUUAAUUCGCUUUGCGAAGGAUAAUGCAUCCAUGGCAAACAGUUUCAGGGUUGUCAGAAUAAGAAAUCUUAUGCCUCCCGAUCAAGAUCUAGACAGAUUUUCAGGGCAUGGUGUGGCCGUCCAACUACCUGAUAAAAAAAAAGAUAAUGAAAAGGGCCCACAGCAUCAAACCAAUGACAGAUAUGUUCAGUUUCGAAUCUCUUAAUAUUUAGUUUGAAAGCUGCAGAUUUUCAGGUUGUGAGAGCCGAAACUCUUGGACCAAGCCAUAUGUUCAGUUUCGAAUCUGACCUAGUAGCGUCCUGGAACUAGUUAUCAUCGAUUGGCUGCCAAACUCCCCCAAGAAACUCCGCACACAUCUCUGCAAUCGAACCAGGGCAAAUUAAUUUAGCGAAGGGAACUCACAACGCAGUGUCUCUUGACACAUCAUCCUAUUUAGUGAAAACUAUUUAGAGACAAUGACCCCUAUUCAUUAUAUACUCAACACGUCUCUUAAUAUUUAAAGUAUCUUAUAAAUGUCGUAUCUAAAUGAUAUUCCAUUUAAUUAGUUUAUGGACCUUUUUUGCAUGUCAACAUUGUGGCCUACUCCAGUUGUGAAGACAAAAAUUGUGAGAUAAACCACAAAGGCUCAAAGCGUUAGUCACUAUACGCAGAAAAACAAGUUAAUUAAGAGCCAUAUCUACACUAAAUAGAACAUAGGGAAGCUCAUCGAUCCAUCACCGGCCACACUUCUUGAGUUAGGCGAAUGUUCUCUUUUGGAGACCAUUGAGGACAUGCGCAUUUCAUCGCUCCAUCUGCCUGUCACUACAAGGGAUAAGGCUACACUAGUAGAAAACAGGGUUUUGGUUCGGCCAGAAAAGAGCAUUAAUCCCGGUUGCAUUACGAACCGGGACUAAUGUGAGCAUUAGUCCAGGUUCGAGCGGCUAGGGCACCGUACAUGCAUUAGUCCCGGUUCAAAUGGGACCUUUAGUCCCGGUUGGUGCCACGAACCGGGACUAAAGGGUGCGAUGCCCAUUAGUACCGGUUCGUGGCAUCAACCAGUACUAAAGGUUAGAUCUUUAGUCCCGGUUCGAGCCACCAACCAGUACUAAUGGGGUUUGAGGCAUUAGUACCGGUUCAUGGCACGCCUUUUCAGUUUUGUAAAAAGCAAAAGAAAAUGAUAAAAACUUCAAAAAUUAAAAUCCUUCCAGAUGUAGUUAUGUUACUACAUGUCCUAGUUAGGAAAAUUUAAAAACUUCAAUUUGGACAUGUUUCGCAAAAAGUGUAGGGAAAAUGUAAAACGGCUAUAACUUUUGCAUACGAUGUCAGAAAAAACGUAUAAUAUAUCGAAAUGUUCAGCACGAAAAUCCGCAUCCGAUUUUGACAGCCUACGGCCUGUUUGUAAAUUUUUAGAAUCCUCAAAUUCUAAAAGGGAAAAAAGUUAUGCUAUUUCUGUUUUUUUAAUUUUUGUUAAAUCUGGUCAAACUAUGGUCAAACUACUUAUUCAAGAAGUAUUAGUGUUACUAAAUAAUUAUUCAAGAAUAUUAGUGUUACUAAAUAAUUAUUUCAGUUUUUUUGAAUUUUGGUCAAAUCUGGUCAAACUGUGGUCAAACAAUGGUCAAACUAAUUAUUCAAGAAAUAUUAGUGUUAGUAAAUAAUUAUUUCAGUUUUUUUGAAUUUUGGUCAAAUCUGGUCAAACUGUGGUCAAACUACUUAUUCAAGAAAUAUUAGUGUUACUAAAUAAUUAUUGUUUUUUAGAACAAUAGUUUCAAACUCAAACAGUGAAAUGUGUGACUUCAUGCUCAAGCUAAAUUCCUGAGGGUUAAUAGGAUUGACAUCUUACUAUUGUCAGGAAAACAACAAGUGCAGACUUGGAAACGAGGAAGAAUAUAACCCGGAAGUUAAGCGUGCUCAGGCUGGAGUAGUGAGAGGAUGGGUGACCGUUCGGGAAGUUAGAUGAUUUGGAAUGAUGAGGGGUGAUUAGAGAUUAGAGGUUAAAUUGAGCAGUGAUGAGGGGUGAUUAGAGAUUAGAGGUUAAAAUAAUUCAGAAAUUUGCAAAUCAAAAAAAAAAAUUUAAAAAAAAAAUCAUAAAAUUUCCUUCAGUACCGGUUGGUGUUACCAACCGGGACUAAAGGUGGACCUCACGUGGAGGGCCUUUAGUCCCGGUUCGUGUAAGAACCAGGACUAAAGGGGGAGGCUUUAGUAACGACCCUUUAGUCCCGGUUCCAGAACCGGGACUGAAGGCCCUUAUGAAGCGGGACUAAAAGCCCUUUUUCUACUAGUGCUAGUAGUGGCGCGGUUUAAAGGCAUAGGAGUAGCGCGGGUUGCCUCUCUACUUACAUUAGCAACUAUAUAAAAACUCAUCAUCAUCAUCAUCAUCAUCAUCAUCAUCAUCAUCAUGUAACAACUCAUCAGCGCGUAGCUAACUGGUUCCUAGUAAGACGGGCCAGGCUCGGCUCUAAUACUACUUACAUUAGUAGCAGCGCGGUGUUUGGCCCGUGCUACUAAUAACUAGCUAUAGCGCGAGGCCCCCCGCCACUACUAACUCUAUGUAUUUCCUUUCUACAUAUUAUACUAUAUUAUACAAUAAUUAUACAGAUUUUUAUACACUAGCAACUAUAUAACAACUCAUCAUCAUCAUCAUCAUCAUGUAACAAAUCAUCAUUAUCAAAAUGAUAUAACUCAUCAUCAUCGUAGUGAUAUAACAGCUCAUCAUGAUCAUAAUUAUAUAAAAAUGUCUCAUCAUCAUCGUCAUCAUCACCAUCAGCAUCAUCAUAAGUUAACCACUACUAGCUAAUUGUCAUCAUCCUAGGUAAGUAACUUUCAAGCACAUGACAAGUACUAUGACCUACUCUAGUGUCUUAGGUAAAAUAGAAUAAAACAGAAAAAAUAACUACAUCUCCAUGAUGGACCACAGAGAUCCCCGGUCUCCAAUUUGUUGCCCGCGCUCAUUGACUAUUUGCCUCCAUCAUUCAAUUUUGAGGCAUCCAUUUGAUUAACACUCAGUCAAGUAUGUAUAUUUGAAUCCGAUCUUCAAAGGGCAAAUAAUAGUCAUCUCACUUUUGACGUCCAUCAGCAGAGGCACAACAACAUUUGGGACCUUCCGCUGAAGUACAUAAUAGUAACAUAGUCGAAAUAUGCAGAUAUAGCAAGAAUGAUCCUAAUUUAUUUAGGCAUCACUACCAGUUUGCCCUCAAUGCCUCGAGCGCCAUCUGGCAGAUCAACCAAGUUCCAAACUUGAUUGUCAUCCAUGGACUUUAAUUCGGAUCUCAUGGUCUUAAGCCAUAACUCAGAAUCAGGGCUCUCCGUCGCUUCUGCAUACAUUGCCGACUCGUUGUUCUCCAAGAACAACACAUUGCAGUUAUGCAUAUUGCGCAACCUUUCCGACCUCUGUGGAAUCAGCGUCGACUCCACUAUGGGUUCCUUGACUAACUCCAUGUGGUUCUCGAAUUUCCUCUAGUCGGAUCAUCCUCCCACUAGCCUUCCGAUUGAGAAACUCUUUCUCAAGGAAAACUCCAUGUCGAGCGACAAACACUUUGCCCUCUUCACAGAUGUAGGAGUAAUAUCCCAAGGUUUCCCUUGGAUACCCCAUGAAUAUGCACUUGUCCGAUUUGGGUGUGCGCUUGUCUGACUGGAGUCGCUUGACGUAUGAUUCACAACCCCAAAUUUUUAGAGAAGACAAAGUUUGGCUCUUCGCAGUCCAUAUCUCAUAUGACGUCUUAUCUACAAACUUGGAUGGUACCCUAUUUAGUGUGAAAGCUGCAGUUUCUAGAGCGUAUCGCCAAAAUAACAAGGGUAAAUCCGACUGACUCGUCAUUGAUUGGGCCAUGUCUAACAGAGUCUGAUUCCUUCGUUCCAACACGCCAUUUCUCUGUGGCAUACCCCGAGGAGUCAGUUGUGGAACUAUCCUACGACUCUUCAGAUAAUCAUCAAACUCCUGGCUCAUAUACUCAUUCGCCACGAUCAGAUCGCAGAAGUUUGAUUCUCUUGUCGAGUUGAUUCUCCACUUCAUUCUGAAACUCCUUGAACUUUUCAAAAGUUUCUAACUUGUGCCUCAUCAAGUAGACAUAUCCAAAUCUACUCAAGUUAUCUGUAAACGUCAUGAAGUAUUGGAAACCACCUCUAGCUGGACUUGUUUUACCAUUGUUGAAAUGUCUUGUGCAUCGGGAUUCCGAGUCUGAUCGGAGGGUCUCGAGAUGGAGGAUUGUCUCUGCGGAUCGUGAGCUUGUCAUGGGCAAAGUUGGGACACCCCUGCAGGGUUUAAACUUUCGAGAGCCAUGCCCGCGGUUAUGUGGCAGAUGGGAAUUUGUUAAUAUCUGGUUGUAGAGGACUUGAACUAAACUCAAUUAAAAUACACCAACCGCGGGUGUAACCGUGACUGUCUCUUUCCAGGUGCGUUCGAGAAGAGAAUACGGUUGGGUUAUGUUUGAACGUAAGUGGUUUAGGAUCACUUCUUGAUCACUAUUAGUUUGCGACCGUUGUGUAGAUUCUCUUCUUACUUUUGUACUCGUAAGUUAGCCACCAUACAAAUGCUUAGUGCUUGCUGCAGCUUCACCACUAUCCAUUCCAUACCCAUUAAGCUUUGCUAGUCUUCAUACCCAUGGUAAUGGGAUUGCUGAGUCCUCGUGGCUCACAGAUGACUACAACAAUAGUUGUAGGUACAGGUAAUGCAAUGAUCUGACGUGAGAGCGAUGCUUGAUUGCUUUUGGAGUUCUUCUUCUUCUUCGAUCAAGGGAUUAGGUUCCGGGUCGGGGAGCCUGGGAUUAGUGGGGUGGAUAUUAUUCUUCUUUUUUGUUUGAUUUCAUCCGUAGUCGGAUCCUGCCCUUCUGUGUGCGCUCGAAAUGCGGUUGGAACAGACGAUCGCUAGACAGCGCGCCCGCAUUGCCACCCUCAAAGACGGUGAUGCCAGCUCUGCCUUCUUUCACCGGCAGUGCUCGUUUCAAUGACAGAAAAACCGCAUCUUCUGCCUCUCUGCGAACGGCACGCUACUCACAGACCAUGACGAGAUGGCCGAGGCUGCAUUCCGGCACUAUGACACACUGCUUGGCACGGCGGUCGAACACGACCACUCGAUGGACCUGUCGCAGCUCAUCGAGGGGAGCGAUCUCUCCGACCUUGACGCGACCUUUUGCCCGGAGGAGAGAUGGGAAGCUGUGAAACGCCUCCCCGCGCACAAGGCAGCUGAGCCUGAUGGCUUUAGCGCUGAAUUUCUCCGCGUGUGCCGGAGCAUCAUCAAGCAGGACUUCAUGGAUGUGUUCCAGUAGCUCUUCGAGCUGCGUGGCCGUGGCUUCUGCAAGGUCAACCAGGCCCUUCUCACGCUGCUGCCGAAGCCCAGGAGGUGCGCAACUACCGCCCGAUAUGCCUCAUUCAUAUCGUGGCCAAGGUACUCGCGAAGGCCCUCUCGCUCCGGCUAGCUCCAAAACUUGACCGCUUUGUCAGCCGCAAUCAAAACGCGUUCAUCCUCGGACGGAGCCUACACGACAACUUUAUGCUCGUCAGGCAAUCGGUCAAGCUGCUGAGCCAACUUGGGGGCCCCAGGGUGAUGCUCAAGCUCGACCUCACGCGCGCUUUUGACUCCAUCUCCUGGCCGUUCCUCUUUGAGGUUCUGCGCCAAUUUGGGUUCGGGAAUCGCUUCCUCGAAUGGAUCGCCAUCCUCCUGUCCUCGGCAAGCACUCGGGUGUAGUUGAUUGGUGUCCCAGGCCCACUGAUAUGGCAUAAGGGAGGGCUGCGGCAGGGGGGACUCCUUGUCCCCGCAGCUGUUCGUGCUCGCGGUCGACACUCUCGGCCGGCUGAUUCGGCGCGCCCAUGAUACGGGCAUCCUCCAGCCGCUGCAUCUGCGGAGGCCGAUACCGGCUAUAUCCCUAUACGCCGACGACGUCAUGCUCUUUUGCCAUGCCACGGAGAGUGACGUGACUGUCGUCAAGGAAAUCCUUGACCUGUUUGGUAGAGCGUCCAGCCUCAAGGUGAACUACACCAAGAGCUCGGCCACGGUCUUGCAUCGGGAAUAGGUUGCCUCCGAGAUGAUCACCAGCUUGGGGUGUUCGACUGCCGCGCUCCCGGUCACCUACCUCGGUAUACCUCUGACGAUGCGCCGCCCUUCCGCCGGGCAGUUGCAGCCCCUUGUCGACAAGGUCACCGGACGCUUGCCCACCUGGAAAGCAUGGCUCAUGAACAGAGCCGGCAGGCUCGCCCUCGUCAAGUUCUUCCUUUGCACUAUCCCGGUGCACCAGCGGGUUGCAUUUGCCCCCUCGAAGAAAAGACUGCAGCAACUCGAGAAAAUUCAACGAGGGUUCCUCUGGGCCGGGCGAGCCAUCACCAACGGCGGGCACUGCCAUGUGAACUGGCAUCAUGCUUCCCGCCCGCUCGCGCUUGGCAGCCUUGGGGUUCGUGAUGUCGAGCGCGUUGGACUCGCGCUCAGGCUGCGGUGGCUCUGGCUCUCGCGAACGGACGAAGGGCGCGCCUGGCAGGGGCUGGACCUCCAAUUUUCUAGCAACGAGCGUACACUGUUCUUUGCCUCCACCUACAUGACCAUUGGAAAUGGCAUGAACGCCCUGUUCUGGGAGGAUCGAUGGCUCAACGGGCACUCGGUUGGCGAGCUCAUGCCCCUGUUCUACAGCUGCAUCCCCAAACGCCGGCGCAAAGCUAGAACGGUGGCCGAAGGUCUCAACUGCAACGCAUUGGCCCAUGACAUCCAGGGCGUCCUCGUCAUCCACGAGAUAGGCCAGUAUCUACAGCUUUGGCAACUCACGGAACAGGCUAUGCUCAGCGAUGCUCCUGACCAGCUGAUCUGUAAGCAGACUGCGAGCGGCAUCUAUUCGGCGCAGUCUUGCUACGCGGCUACCUUCCAAGGAUCAGUGCACUCCUACUCUUGGAAGUUGAUCUGGAAGGCUUGGGCUCCCCCUCGACUCAAGUUUUUCCAUUGGCUUGCCAACCUGGAUCGCUGCUGGACUGCCGAUCGACUGGCCUGCCAAAGACUGCAGCAUCAUCUGUGCUGCCUUCUUUGCGAUCAGGCGCCGGAAAUGAUCCGGCACCUCAUGCUUGACUGCCCCUUCUCUAGGCAGGCAUGGCAUGAGACCCUGGCCUGGCUACGCAUACCGGCGUCGAUCCCCAACCAGGAGCCCACCCUCAUGGACUGGUGGCGGCACGCCGCAAGCACAACGCAAGGCCCUGCAAUCCGUAGUGCUACUCGUACCAUGGCUCGUCUGGAAGCAUAUGAACAGCCACGUCUUCGACAGCGCGACGCCCUCCCUAGGCACGCUAGUCGACCGGAUCAAGGAGGAAGCCGACUCCUGGGCUAAGGCCGGAGCAGUAGGCCUUAGAGUAGUCCUACCCCCUUUAUGGGACGUGCACUGAGCAUUGUAUCUGAUCCUUCAUUAUUCAUCCUAGGACGACUGUAACUGACUCCCUACCUUUUCAAUGAAAAGAAACGGAAAGGUCUUUUGCAUUUUCUCGAGAAAAAAAAGAAUGACCUUGAGGCAAGCUCAAUGAAAAUACGUUUUCCAAAGGUUUCAAGACUAUCUUCCUUGUGCUCUGGGAUAAAGCCAUUUGCAAUUCAUAGUCAGAUCAGCUUGUCCACAUCAAUCUUGUAAUCCUUUGGAAAUAUAGCACAAAAGGAAAAGCAUUGCUUCAUGUGUGAUGGCAAGUCAUUGUAGCUAAGCUUUAAUAUUGGCAGAAUCCAGUUUCCAAAGUGCAAAUGCUGCUACUAGAUGAUAUAGCCUUCCACUCUUCGACGCUAGUCUUGGUACGAAGUACAUAGCCCAAUGCAGUUGCAGCUAAAGGAGAGCCAGAACAUCAGCUUACAAUCUCAUCAACCAUCUUGCUUAGCUCGACAGGCUUUUCUUUCUCCGAACUGAAUGCUCUAGCCUCAGUAAUUUCCUUUACGAAGAAAUCCUCCACAAUAUUGAGAUUGUAGGCUCUACCUGCACCCAUAAUUUCAGUGACUUGUUUAUCACGAGUUCUUGUUAACAUUGCACUACCCAUGCCACCAUGUUGAGGACAGACCUUCAGCCUUCCCAACUUAUAGACCUCUCUGUUCCAGACAUCAUCCAAUACAUGGAGAUACCUGUGCCCGCUGUCCAGUUUUUGAAAUCUAUCCAAAGGUAUCAUAGACCUCUCUGGGGGAUGCCCGCUGUACCCAGAGCUGCAACUGAAAAUGAUUCUGAAUUUCAGGUUCAUUGUAUAUGAGUUACGCUAAUGUGGUCUUGCCAAGGCCCCCCAUUCCAACAAUGGGAACUACUGCGAGAUCAGUAUUGCUAGCUUGACCAAGUAGUAUGUCAACGAUAUUAUUCUUAUCUCCGUGUUUGGAUCUGUUGGCAAUUUCUUGUUGGUCGCUGAUGACAUAAUCUGUGUGCCUCCACUCCUUGGACACUCGUGUUUGCCUCAACUGAUUAGACACCAACAACGUCUGCCUCAACAUAAGCGCGACGCGUUGUUGGGCUAGGCCCAGAACGGUGCGCGGGCAGGUGGGGCGUAUUUUUACCGUAGUAACUGUUUCGUCCGCUGCGCUUCCCCACGACCUGCGUUGAACACGCACGUGGAGGGUCGUGCGUGACGUGGGGGUCAUGCGUGGGGCGGUCUCCACACGCAUGCGUCACAUCGCAUUUAAUGGGAAAAGAGGCGGCCCACGCCUUCCCCGUAAAAAGGAAUAACAGCGGGCGCGCUGUUCAUUUACCCCCUGCGUCUUCUUCAAUCUCGGAAUCGCCGUCCCCUUCUUCUUCCUUCUCAAACUCUCGCCUUUGCUCGUUGCCGCCGCAUCUUCGCUGUCCUCCGUCCUUUGCCUCUCGCAGCCGCCAUGGCCCCCAAAACAAGUAAAGGAAAGGGAGUGGCCAAGGAUGCCGGGGCGAAGGAGCCGCCGGAGAGCGAGUUGGUGGCGCGGCGGACGCAUCUCGCCUACUUCCCCUCGACGGUCGACGCGGUCGAACUCCGGGACUACUUCAGGNNNNNNNNNNNNNNNNNNNNNNNNNNNNNNNNNNNNNNNNNNNNNNNNNNNNNNNNNNNNNNNNNNNNNNNNNNNNNNNNNNNNNNNNNNNNNNNNNNNNNNNNNNNNNNNNNNNNNNNNNNNNNNNNNNNNNNNNNNNNNNNNNNNNNNNNNNNNNNNNNNNNNNNNNNNNNNNNNNNNNNNNNNNNNNNNNNNNNNNNNNNNNNNNNNNNNNNNNNNNNNNNNNNNNNNNNNNNNNNNNNNNNNNNNNNNNNNNNNNNNNNNNNNNNNNNNNNNNNNNNNNNNNNNNNNNNNGCGUGUCAUCCCCGCCAAUUGCGCCGAGGCCGCCCCGAAUCGGUAUCCGUUCUUCGUCGAUUACUUUUCUUGCGGUCUCUGCCCCCCUUUCUCCGAUUUCUUCAAUGAUGUCAUGCACACAUUUGGCUUCCACCUUCUGGAUUUCACUCCCAAUGCCGUGGCGUGCAUGGCUCUUUUCGCCCAUCUCUGUGAGGGCUUCGCCGGAGUUCUUCCCAACACAUUGCCCUUCCGCUAUUAGUUUUACCCUCGCAUCCAAAAGGGAGGCGCCAUCUCUGGUUGCGUCGCCUGGAUACCAAGGUCCAAAGGGACGUACCCGGAGGGCGCCCAGAAGGAGAGGUUGGAAGAGUGGCGGGGCCGGUGGUGCUGGAUUGGGGAGGACGACCCGCCGGAAUUUUUCCGGGUUCGUCAGGCGCCGCCGGUUCGCAGGAACGACUGGGGCGAUGUCAACGCCCUGGAUGACAAGCUCAAGGUCGCCACCACCAGGAUUCACCGCCUCACCGUUGCCGGGCUCACCCUGGAGAUGAUUGGGGCGGACUUGAUCCGCCGCCGAAUCGCUCCACUGCACAACAAGGGGAGACCGGCCUGGCUCUUCCAAAACGCGGCUGACAUCAUGAGGCUUCACUCUGGCCUCAACAACAACUUCACGGUGAUGGGGCACGCCCACUUCUGCUAGCGGAUCUUUCAGCUCGACGUGAACCGCGACGGCAGGGCCAAGAGGUCCGGCAAGGCUGCAAAGGCCGGCAAGGUCCUCAAGGGGCCCUUGUUUGGGUUGCCAGCGGGGGUGGUCCCGCUGAGCAACAACUCGCGCCAGACCGACAUCAUCGCCAUGAUGUCGGACUACAAUGCACACGGUCCCGUCCCAAAUUGGUUCGAGCCGCUAGCGGAUCAGGUGCAGGAGUUCUUUGAUACUUUGGCGGAGAAGUAUGUCUGCGACGAGCCGCUGCUCAUCUAGGACACCACCCAAGCAGAGCUGGACUACAUCGCCGCCAGGGCGGCGGAGGCGGAGCUCGCUAGGGAGGCCGGCAGCGCUGGCGGCAUGGAGGACGAGGUCGCAGCAGCCGCAGAGGAGAGGGAGCUCGCCCAGUGGGAGGAAUCCGAUGGGGAGGCCAGCAGCGCCAGCACCGGGGCCCCUCUUAUUGAAGAUGUGGUCGACGAUUCGGAGGAGGAGGAGGUCGAGGCUGUCGAUCCUCCGGUCAUGGGGAGAGGGCGAGUCCUGCGGCGGGCCAGCUCCGGCAAGCCGGUCCAGCCCGGCAGGGCUGUGCAACCGCAGCAGACCUAGGAGGGGUAUGUGCGCCAGACAAGGGCCGCGGUGGCGAGGAAGUUGGUGAAGGCCGUGGUGGCGAAGAAGAAAGCAACAACCUCUUCUUCGUUCAAGCGUGGCCAGACUCCACCUUCUUCCCCUCCUCGGGCAGACGUUGACACGGAGGUCGUCUUCGACUUUGGGUCCCUCAGCCCAAGGAGGAAGAGGAAGGCAUCAGAAGAGGAGGUGGAGGAUGAGUAAGUUUCUUGUUACUUUUUGUCAUCUCCGUCUCCUCAGACUGUGCUGCUUAUCUCGAUUUGUUUUCAUCUUUGCAGGGAUGCGGAGACGCUGGCCCAGAGGGUGAAGAGGGCCAGGUCCUCGGCUGGCGGCCGGCCUCCGGCGGGCACUUCGAGGAUGCCACUAGUGGUGGUGAGCAGCCCGGACAGCAGUCCCCGAAGCAGCCCCCGGCGUAAGUUCCCCACUCGUCCCUCGUCAACGUGUGUUGGGGGUACGAUCCCUUGGCGCUAACCUUGCCGUGAUUGCAGGAGGAGGACAACAGGAGGAGGAGCCACGGAGGGUUACCCCCAACACGCUGCCCCCAUCGACCACGCCGCCCCGAGGGGUGGUGUCUACUACGCAACCUUCUUCUUGUAGACGUUGUUGGGCCUCCAAGUGCAGAGGUUUGUAGGACAGUAGAAAAUUUCCCUCAAGUGGAUGACCUAAGGUUUAUCAAUCCGUGGGAGGCGUAGGAUGAAGAUGGUCUCUCUCAAGCAACCCUGCAACCAAAUAACAAAGAGUCUCUUGUGUCCCCAACACACCCAAUACAAUGGUAAAUUGUAUAGGUGCACUAGUUCGACGAAGAGAUGGUGAUACAAGUGUAAUAUGGAUGGUAGAUAUAGGUUUUUGUAAUAUGAAAAUAUAAAAACAGCAAGCUAACUAAUGAUAAAAGUGAGCACAAACGGUAUUGCAAUGCGUUGAAACAAGGCCUAGGGUUCAUACAUUCACUAGUGCAAGUUCUCUCAACAAUAAUAACAUAAUUGGAUCAUAUAACUAUCCCUCAACGUGCAACAAAGAGUCACUCCAAAGUCACUAAUAGAGGAGAACAAACGAAGAGAUUAUGGUAGGGUACGAAACCACCUCAAAGUUAUUCUUUCGGAUCGAUCUUAUUCAAGAGUUCGUACUAGAAUAACACCUUAAGACAAAAUCAACCAAAACCCUAAUGUCACCUAGAUACUCCAAUGUGACCUCAAGUAUCCGUGGGUAUGAUUAUACGAUAUGCAUCACACAAUCUCAGAUUAAUCUAUUCAAACCAACACAAAGUACUUCAAAGAGUGUCCCAAAGUUUCUACCAGAGAGUCAAGACGAAAACGUGUGCCAACCCCUAUGCAUAGGUUCAUGGGCGGAACCCGCAAGUUGAUCACCAAAACAUACAUCAAGUGGAUCACGUGAUAUCCCAUUGUCACCAGAGAUACGCACAUGCAAGACAUACGUCAAGUGUUCUCAAAUCCUCAAAGACUCAAUCCGAUAAGAUAACUUCAAAGGGAAAACUCAAUCCAUUACAAGAGUGUAGAGGGGGAGAAACACCAUAAGAUCCAACUAUAAUAGCAAAGCUCGCGAUACAUCAAGAUCGUACCACCUCAAGAACACAAGAGAGAGAGAGAGAGAGAGAUCAAACACAUAGCUACUGGUACAUACCCUCAGCCCCGAGGGUGAACUACUCCCUCCUCGUCAUGGAGAGCGCGGGGAUGAUGAAGAUGGCCACCGGUGAGGGUUUCCCCCUCCGGCAGGGUGCCGGAACAGGGUCCCGAUUGGUUUUUGGUGGCUACAGAGGCUUGCGGCGGCGGAACUCCCGAUCUAUUCUGUUCACCUAUGUUUUUAGGGUAUAUGGAUAUAUAUAGGCGAAAGAAGUCGGUAAGGGGAGCCACGAGGGGCCCACGAGGGUGGAGGGCACGCCCAGGGGGUGGGCGCGCCCCCUACCUCGUGCCUUCCUUGUUGCUUCCCUUACGUACACUCCAAGUCUUCUGGAUUGCUUCGGUUCCAAAAAUAACUCUCCCGAAGGUUUCAUUCCGUUUGGACUCCGUUUGAUAUUCCUUUUCUGCGAAACACUGAAACAAGGAGAAAAACUGAAACUAGCACUGGGCUCUGGGUUAAUAAGUUAGUCCCAAAAAUAAUAUAAAAGUGCAUAGUAAAUCCCAUUAAACAUCCAAGAUGGAUAAUAUAAUAGCAUGAAUACUUCAUAAAUUAUAGAUACGUUGGAGACGUAUCAGCAUCCCCAAGCUUAAUUCCUGCUCGUCCUCGAGUAGGUAAAUGAUAUAAGAAAUAAUUAUGAAGUGUGAAUGCUAGCAGGUGCACAAGUUUGAUCAAUGAUAAUUUCAAUCACCUUUUCAAGCAUCAUUAUAUGUCAUAACAGUAGCUCAACUCAUAAAACUUUUCAUGAUCAAGUAACAAGCUAUUCACAUAUUAAAGCAUAGACCAUAAACUUUCUUGAAAACUAACAAACUAUGUUCUCAGUCAUCAAACAAUUGCAAUUCAUCUUAUUUUCAGGAAGGGUCUAUGUAAGAGCUUUGAUUUAGCAAAUCCCACAUACUCAACUAUCAUAUAGUCUUCCAUGAUUGCUACCACUCAAAGCAUAUUUUCGGAACAAAUAGCAUCCAUCGAACACAGAGAAAGAUAGGGGCUUAAUGUUUCGCCUCCCAACUUAUUUAUCAUAUAGAUAAUUGUCAACAAUAAUAAUUCAUGAUCAAAUAUAUUUGAAUGGCCAUAUAUGCUUAGAUCUUUCCAUCACAUGAUGCUUGCCAACUAAAAAGUAGGUUGGAAUGAGAAGGAAUACUACUGACUCUUGCAUAAAAGUAAAAGAUAGGCCCUUCACAGAGGGAAGCAGGGAUUUGCAGAGGUGCCAGAGCUCGAAGCUAAAACAGAGAUGAAAAUAAUUUUGAGAGGUAUGCUUUCAUUGUCAACAUAACGACCAAGAGUUCCCAAUAUCUUCCAUACUACAUACAUUAUAGGCGGUUCCCACGCGGAAAGGUAAAGUUUUUACUCCCCCUCCACCAACAUUCACACUCCACGGCUUGUCCGAAACAAUGGGUGCCGUCCAACUAUCAACAUUCUUGGGGGAGUUUGUUGAAAUUAUUUGUGAAUUUGUUUUUGAUCUUUUGAUCAUAGGACUGGGCAUCCCAGUUACCAGCCAUUUUCUCGUGAAUGAUGAGCGGUGUCCACUCAUCGUGAGAAUAACCCACCCAGCAUGGAAGAUACUGACAGCCCCUAGUCGCUACAUGAGCGAUUCGGGCAUACAAAACAGAUUAUUAUUUGAAGGUUUAGAGUUUGGCACAUGCAAAUUUACUUGGAACGGCAGGUAAAUACCGCAUAUAGGUAGAUAUGGUGGACACUCAUGGAAGAAACUUGGUUCGAGGAAUUUGGAUGCACAAGCAGUAUUCCUGCUUAGUACAGACAUUUUGGCUAGCAAAUGAUUCUAAAUAGCAAGCACCACAAGUUAGAGGAUCCAUAACAAUAUAACUUCUAUACAAAUAUACCCAAGCAUAACUCAUUAUGUUGUCUUCCUUGUCCAACUUCAACUAAUUUGCUCAGGUUUGCUAAUAAUUAAUGGGGCUCACGAUCAUAGAAGAUGUCCAAGAUAGUAUUAUAUGUGAAAUCUCUCUUCCUUCAAUAUUCUUUCAUGAAUUGUUCAAGUGACAAAUACAAAGUUUGCUAACCUUCAAAAAAUUUACCACCUCUACUUCUUAUAUGUGAAGUCAUUACUCCCCAUGGGAUAAGUAUAUGAAACAUAUAUAAUUUCAGAUUUAUAAUAUUCAAAUCAUUCAACUAUUUACUCAUAGGAUAUAAGUGAAGCACACGAGUAAAUGACAAACUACUCCAAAAAGAUAUAAGUGAAGAUCAAUGAGUAGUUAAAUAAUUAUGUAGUUAUCUGAAGACUCUAUCUCAUUUAAGAAUUUCAGAUCUUGGUAUUUUAUUCAUACAGCAAGCAAAACAAAAGAAAAUAAAAUGACGCUCCAAGUAAAACACAUAUCAUGUGGUGAAUAAAAAUAUAGCUCCAAGUAAAGUUACCGAUGAACGAAGACGAAAGAGGGGAUGCCAUCCGGGGCAUCCCCAAGCUUAGGCUCUUGGUUGUCCUUGAAUAUUACCUUGGGGUGCCUUGGGCUUCCCCAAGCUUAGGCUCUUGCCACUCCUUAUUCCAUAGUCCAUCGAAUCUUUACCCAAAACUUGAAAACUUCACAACACAAAACUUAACAGAAGAUCUCGUGAGCUCCGUUAGCGAAAGAAAACAAAACACCACUUCAAGGUACUGUAAUGAACUCAUUAUUUAUUUGUAUUGGUGUUAAAUCUAAUGUAUUCCAACUUCUCUAUGGUUUACAAACUAUUUUACAAGCCAUAGAUUCAUCAAAAUAAGCAAACAACACACGAAAAACAGAAUCUGUCAAAAACAGAACAGUCUGUAGUAAUCUGUAACUAACGCAAACUUCUUGAACUCAACAAAUUCUACCAAAAUAGGACGACCUAGAUAAUUUUAUUAUUGAUCUGAUGCAAUUGGAAUCAGUAUUUUAUCACGUUCUGGUGAUUUUAAACAAUUGUUUUCGUGAACAGAAAGUUUCUGGAAUUUUCAGCAAGAUCAAAUAACUAUCAUCCAAGAAGAUCCUAUAGGUCUUACUUGGCGCAAACACUAAUUAAAACAUAAAACCACAUCUAAACAGAGGCUAGAUAGAUUAUUUAUUGCUAAACAGAACCAUAAAGAAAGAACAAAAAUAAAAAUCGGGUUGCCUCCCAACAAGCGCUAACGUUUAACGCCCCUAGCUAGGCAUGAUGAUUUCAAUGAUGCUCGCAUAAAAGAUAAGAAUUGAAAUAUAAAGAGAGCAUCAUGAAAAAUAUGACUAGCACAUUUAAGUCUAACCCACUUCCUAUGCAUAGGGAUUUUGUGAGAAAACAACUUAUGGGAACAAUAAUCAACUAGCAUAGGAAGGCAAAACAAGCAUAACUUCAAAACUUUAAGCACAUAGAGAGGAAACAUGAUAUUAUUGCAAUUCAUACAAGCAUACAUUCCUCCCUCAUAAUAAUUUUCAGUAGCAUCAUGAAUGAAUUCAACAAUAUAACCAGCACCUAAAGCAUUCUUUUCAUGAUCUACUUGCAUAGAAAUUUUCCUACUCUCCACGUAAGCAAAUUUAUUCUCAUCAAUAGUAGUGGGAGCAAACUCAACAAAAUAACUAUCAUGUGAUUGAAAAUUAAGAUCAAGAUGACAAGUUUCAUGGUUAUCAUUAUUCUUUAUAGCAUACGUGUCAUCACAAUAAUCAUCAUAGGUAGGAGGCAUGCUUUCAUCAUAAUAAAUUUGCUCAUCAAAACUUGGGGGACAAAAAAUAUCAUCUUCAUCAAACAUAGCUUCCCCAAGCUUGUAAUCAUGCUCAUCAUUCAAAUAUUUAGUGCCAAACAUUCUAAUGCAUUCUUCCUCUAGCAAUUGAGCGCAAUUAUCGGAAUCCUUAUUUUCACGGAAGACAUUAAAAAGAUGAAGCAUAUGAGGCACACUCAAUUCCAUUUUUUGUAGUUUUCUUUUAUAAAAUAAACUAGUGAUAAAACAAGAAACUAAAAGAUUCCAUUGCAAGAUCUAAAUAUAUACCUUCAAGCACUCACCUCCCCGACAACGGCGCUAGAAAAGAGCUUAGUUGACGGGGUGUGAGUGCCGCUUACCUAGCCUCCCCGGCAACGGCGCCAGAAAAGAGCUUGAUGUCUACUACGCAACCUUCUUCUUGUAGACGUUGUUGGGCCUCCAAGUGCAGAGGUUUGUAGGACAGUAGCAAAUUUCCCUCAAGUGAAUGACCUAAGGUUUAUCAAUCCGUGGGAGGCGUAGGAUGAAGAUGGUCUCUCUCAAGCAACCCUGCAACCAAAUAACAAAGAGUCUCUUGUGUCCCCAAAACACCCAAUACAAUGGUAAAUUGUAUAUGUGCACUAGUUCGGCGAAGAGAUGGUGAUACAAGUGUAAUAUGGAUGGUAGAUAUAGGUUUUUGUAAUCUGAAAAUAUAAAAACAGCAAGGUAACUAAUGAUAAAAGUGAGCACGAACGGUAUUGCAAUGCGUUGAAACAAGGCCUAGGGUUCAUACUUUCACUGGUGCAAGUUCUCUUAACAAUAAUAACAUAAUUGGAUCAUAUAACUAUCCCUCAACAUGCAACAAAGAGUCACUCCAAAGUCACUAAUAGAGGAGAACAAACGAAGAGAUUACGGUAGGGUACGAAACCACCUCAAAGUUAUUCUUUCGGAUGAUCUUAUUCAAGAGUUCGUACUAGAAUAACACCUUAAGACACAAAUCAACCAAAACCCUAAUGUCACCUAGAUACUCCAAUGUCACCUCAAGUAUCCGUGGGUAUGAUUAUACGAUAUGCAUCACACAAUCUCAGAUUGAUCUAUUCAAACCAACACAGAGUACUUCAAAGAGUGUCCCAAAGUUUCUACCGGAGAGUCAAGAUGAAAACGUGUGCCAACCCCUAUGCAUAGGUUCAUGGGCGGAACCCGCAAGUUGAUCACCAAAACAUACAUCAAGUGGAUCACGUGAUAUCCCAUUGUCACCACAGAUAUGCACAUGCAAGACAUACAUCAAGUGUUCUCAAAUCCUUAAAGACUCAAUCCGAUAAGAUAACUUCAAAGGGAAAACUCAAUCCAUUACAGGAGUGUAGAGGGGGAGAAACAUCAUAAGAUCCAACUAUAAUAGGAAAGCUCGCGAUACAUCAAGGUUGUACCACCUCAAGAACACGAGAGAGAGAUCAAACACAUAGCUACUGGUGCAUACCCUCAGCCCCGAGGGUGAACUACUCCCUCCUCGUCAUGGAGAGCGCGGGAAUGAUGAAGAUGGCCACCGGUGAGGGUUCCCCCCUCCUGCAGGGUGCAGGAACAGGUUCUCGAUUUGUUUUUGGUGGCUACAGAGGCUUGCGGCGGCGGAACUCCUGAUCUAUUCUGUUCCCCGAUGUUUUUAGGGUAUAUGGAUAUAUAUAGGCGAAAGAAGUCGGUAAGGGGAGCCACAAGGGGCCCACGAGGGUGGAGGGCGCGCCUAGGGGGGUGGGCGCGCCCCCUGUCUCGUGCCUUCCUCGUUGCUUCCCUUACGUACACUCCAAGCCUUCUGGAUUGCUUCCGUUCCAAAAAUAACUGUCCCGAAGGUUUCAUUCCCUUUGGACUCCGUUUGAUAUUCCUUUUCUGCGAAACACUGAAACAAGGAGAAAAAACUGAAACUAGCACUGGGCUCUGGGUUAAUAAGUUAGUCCCAAAAAUAAUAUAAAAGUGCGUAGUAAAGCCCAUUAAACAUCCAAGAUGGAUAAUAUAAUAGCAUGAAUACUUCAUAAAUUAUAGAUACGUUGGAGACGUAUCAAGGGGCGUCCCCGGCAAGGGCGCCAAGCACCGAGCCCAUGCACACAGAGGAGGAGGAGGCAGACUUGGGCGCUAGUGGCUCCGCCUCGGUGCCAGAUGUUGGCAGGGAAGGGGCUACUUCUUCCCAGCCCGGCACGGGUACGUCACUUGCCUCCUGUCCCUGCUUUUUCUUCUUCUUUUUGAAUCUUGGUCUUGGCUCCGCCUCAUCCCCUUCUCGAUAUCCAGACCCUCCCUCGGCGGACCGGGAGGACAUAGACACCGUCAUCGAGGAUGUCGCCAAGGACACCGCGGCGGAGGCCGAGAAGAUUGCCGCCGAGGAGGCCGCCAAGGGCGCUGCCGAGGACGCCGCAAAGCGAUCUGCCGGGGAGUCCGGCAUGUCUACUGCCAAAGUGGCCGGCAAGGGGCCUGCCGGGGAGGCCGGCAAGGCCGCUGCCGGGGAGGAGGUGGUUAACGACCAACCUUCCUCCUCUGCUGCCUCUGGUUCCGGCAGGUAUCUGAAGGUGAGCGACGACCUAUUCGUCAACCUCCUAGGGACGGCGAGCACUAGGGCGCCCACCGAGGGAGAGGUGUUCGACGAGGAGGUGCUUGCCGCCGCUGGGCUCGAGGUUGUUGACGAGUCGAGCGCCGGUGGCGACGGUUCCCAGGAAGAGCGGCUCCUUCAGGCCAUGGGCGCCAGCUUUCGGAAGCUCCAGGCGCUCCACCGCGCCCGCCUGGACAAGGCCAAGUCCAGGAUGGCAGCGGUGGAAAAGGCGGAGGCGGACCUCGAGGGUCGCAUCGUCGAGACGCAGGCUUGGUUCCGCCAGGGCUGCGAGGAGCUGAAGACCGCCCAGGACGAGCUGGCCAAGCGCAAGGUGGAGCUCGUCAUGAAGCAGGCCGACAUCGAGAGGGGCCAGGAGUUGGCGAAGAACCAGGCCGCCAAGGACGAGGUCGCUCGGUCCCAGCACCAGGCCGCGCUGAACUCCCAGGAAGAGGACCUUGCCGCUCGCGAGGAGAAGCUCGCCGUGACACUCCGCGGCAAGGACGAGGAGGUCAAGAAGCUUGUCCUGCAGCGGACCCAGGAGUUGGAGCAGAAGCACGAGGAGGCGCUCAAUGCCCAGGCUUAGGUCCACGCCGGCAAGGUGAAGGAGCUGGAGGUGGAGCGGGACGAGCUGAAGAAGCAGGCCCUGGAGUUGACGGCGGAGAGGGACGCUGCCAAAGGUGCCCUGGCCGACGCGCAGGCCGCAGUCCUCAGCAAGGCCGGGCUACUCUCCACGGCCAACGAGACCAUCAAGGACCUGAAGCUGAAGCUGGAGGGCCUUGAGGGGACGCUCUCGGAGGCCAAGGCCCGGGAGGAGACCCUGGCCAAAGAUUUGGAGGCCGAGAAGCAGCUGCGGAAGAACGAAACCGCCAACCACAAGGAUUUUGUGGAGGGCGAGAACCGCUGGAUCAGCCGCCUCAAAGGCGUCGCCGGCAGGAUCACCACGCAGCUGGCUACGAUGGGGAUGCCAAAUGUGAGGUACGCCCCGGAGCCCAAUGUGACUCCCAAUGCCAAGCUGACCCUAUUCUUCGAGGGUGUCCUUGGAGCCCUGGAGCAUCUUCGCUCCAGCAGGGCGGCCUCUUUGGCCGAUGAGGCCCGGAAGCUUUGCCGGGGUGCCAUGACCAAGGUCCUCACCAAGGUGGCGUACUGGAACCCCGACCUCGACUUCGACGCCGCACUAGAGAGCUUGCCGGAGGAUGCUGACCUCGCGGCGCUCAAGGAGCGUAUCAAGCCCAUCAUCAGUCGCGUCGACGGAAUCCAGAGGGUGGAGGGCCAGCGCUGGGAUUAGGCACCCCGUUUCUCAUUGCCGCUGCAGGUUCAUGACCAUGACAAUUUCUAUCUUUAGUUAGAACCGCGGCAACAACUGAUGUAAUAUAACUCUGCAGUACAUUCGUGAUGAUGUAUGUUAUCUUCCUGUUUGAUCUUCCUUUGUAUGUUCACCCUACGUUAAUCGGGUAGGCUUGCCGGCGCGUAAACCCAGGCCGCGGCGCCUUGAGGAUGGAUCCCCAAUGGCCUGCCGGGUAUGCUUGCUGCCAGGCGAACCACCUUACCGCAUUAGUAGAAAACAGGGCUUUGGUUCCGGCCUGGCCAGCCCAUUAGUCCCGGUUCUUCAUGAACCGGGACCCAUGGGGGGCAUUAGUCCCGGUUCAUGAGCCCAGGGGGCCGUCCGGGGCCUCGUGGGCAUUGGUCCAGGUUCCUCUGGAUCCAUUUGUACCGGUUCUAGAGGGCCGCGCUCCUUGCCCACAGCCAUUGGUACCGGUUCGUGCCUAUAACCGGGACAGAAGGGGGGGGGGCUUUAGUACCGGUUCGUGCCACAAACCGGGACAAAUAAGUUGCCUAUAUAUACUCGUCGCCGCAGCAGAGCACUCCACAGUGCUCUGUUUUUUCUGGCCGGCGAGGGGAGGGCAUUUGGGUGCUCUAGCUCACCUCCUAUGCACAUGAGGUGUUUGAUGAAAUGCCCGAGCGACACUAGUUAAGCUUUCUCCUCUUGAAGCUCGACCUCGGAGCUCCAUUUUUCCCAAGAUUUGUCUAGAUUUAGCGGUCCGUCACGCCCCGUCCCCGUUUUCACCGCCGUCAAUCGCCCGUGCCGAUCUCGUCGCCGGCACCAUCGUGGUGAGCCUCUUGUUCUUAUCUUCUUUCUGAUUUGCUUAAUUUAGAUAGAUACUUGUCUGAUUUUCUUACUUUUGACACACAUAAUUAUAUAUAAUGCACGCAGAUGAACCGGCAAUGGAUGUACGGUGACAGACACACCUCCGAGUACAUUAAGGGCGUGCAUGAAUUUCUCGAAGUGGCAGAGGCAAACAAGCAGAAUGGUUUUAUGUGUUGUCCAUGCCCUAAAUGUGGGAAUACGAAGUCUUACUCUGACCGGAAAAUCCUGCACACCCACCUGCUUUACAAGGGUUUCAUGCCACACUAUAAUGUUUGGACGAGGCACAGAGAAAUAGGGGUUAUGAUGGAAGACGACGAAGAAGAAGAGGACGAUGACAACUAUGUGCCCCCUGAAUACGGUGAUGCUGCAACGGGGGGAGCUGCCGAAGAUCAAGAGGAACCAGACGAUGUGCCCGAUGAUGCUGCAAUGGGGGAAGCUGCUGAAGAUCAAGAAGAACCAGACGAUGUGCCCGAUGAUAAUGAUCUCCGCCGGGUCAUUGUCGAUGCAAGGAUGCAAUGCGAAAGUCAAAAGGAGCAGCUGAAGUUCGAUCCCAUGUUAGAGGAUCACAAAAAAGGGUUGUACCCCAAUUGCGAAGAUGGCAACACAAAGCUCGGUACCGUACUGGAAUUGCUGCAGUGGAAGGCAGAGAAUGCUGUGCCUGAGAAAGGAUUUGAGAAGCUACUGAAAAUAUUGAAGAAGAAGUUUCCAAAGGACAAUGAAUUGCCUGACAGUACGUACGCAGCAAAGAAGGUCGUAUGCCCUCUAGGAUUGGAGGUGCAGAAGAUACAUGCAUGCCCUAAUGACUGCAUCCUCGACCAUGGUGCGUACAAGGAUUUGAACGCAUGCCCGGUAUGCGGUGCAUUGCGGUAUAAGAUCAGACGAGAUGACCCUGGUGAUGUUGACGGUGAGCCCCGCAGGAAGAGGGUCCCUGCGAAGGUGAUGUGGUAUGCGCCUAUAAUACCACCGUUGAAACGACUAUUCAGAAACAAAGAGCAUGCCAAGUUGAUGCGAUGGCACAGUGAGGACCGUAAGAAAGACGGGAAGUUGAGAGCACCCGCUGACGGGUCGCAGUGGCGAAAAAUUAAGAGAAAGUACUGGGAUGAGUUUGCAGGUGACCCAAGGAAUGUAUGGUUUGCUUUAAGAGCGGAUGGCAUUAAUCCUUUCGGGGAGCAGAGCAGCAAUCACAGCACCUGGCCCGUGACUCUAUGUAUGUAUAACCUUCCUCCUUGGAUGUGCAUGAAGCGGAAGUUCAUUAUGAUGCCAAUUCUCAUCCAAGGCCCUAAGCAACCCGUUAACGACAUUGAUGUGUACCUAAGGCCAUUAGUUGAAGAACUUUUAUAGCUGUGGAAUGGAAACAGUGUACGUGCGUGGGAUGAGCACAGACACGAGGAAUUUAACCUCCAUGCGUUGCUGUUUGUAACCAUCAACGAUUGGCCCGCUCUCAGUAACCUAUCAGGACAGACAAACAAGGGAUACCACGCAUGCACGCACUAUUUAGCUAACACCAAAAGUAUAUACCUGGACAAAUGCAGGAAGAAUGUGUACCUGUGCCAUCAUCGAUUUCUUCCGACCAACCAUCAAUGUCGAAAGAAAGGCAAGCAUUUCAAAGGCGAGGCAGAUCACCGGAAGAAGCCCGCCAUGCGUACCGGUGAUCACGUACUUGCUAUGGUCAAUGAUUUACACCUAAUGUUUGGAAAGGGUCCCGGCGGACUAGCUGUUCCGAAUGACGCUGGGGGACGCGCACCCAUGUGGAAGAAGAAAUCUAUAUUUUGGGACCUGCCCUACUAGAAAGACCUAGAGGUCCGCUCUUCGAUCGACGUGAUGCACGUGACGAAGAACCUUUGCGUGAACCUGCUAGGCUUCUUGGGCAUGUAUGGGAAGACAAAAGAUACAGCUGAGGCACGGGAGGACCUGCAACGUUUGCACGAAAAAGACGGCAUGCCUCCAAAGCAGUAUGAAGGUCCUGCCAGCUAUGCUCUUACCAAAGAAGAGAAGGAAAUCUUCUUUGAAUGUCUGCUUAGUAUGAAGGUCUCGACUGGCUUCUCGUCGAAUAUAAAGGGAAUAAUAAAUAUGCCAGAGAAAAAGUUCCAGAACCUAAAGUCUCAUGACUGCCACGUGAUUAUGACGCAACUGCUUCCGGUUGCAUUGAGGGGGCGUCUACCGAAAAACGUCCGAUUAGCCAUUGUGAAGCUAUGUGCAUUCCUCAAUGCAAUCUCUCAGAAGGUGAUCAAUCCAGAAAUCAUACCAAGGCUAAGGAGUGAUGUGGCGCAAUGUCUUGUCAGUUUCGAGCUGGUGUUCCCACCAUCCUUCUUCAAUAUCAUGACGCACGUCCUAGUUCAUCUAGUUGACGAGAUUGUCAUUCUGGGCCCCGUAUUUCUACAUAAUAUGUACCCCUUUGAGAGGUUCUUGGGAGUCCUAAAGAAAUAUGUCCGUAACCGCGCUAGGCCAGAAGGAAGCAUCUCCAUGGGCCAUCAAACAGAGGAUGUCAUUGGGUUUUGUGUUGACUUCAUUCCUGGCCUUAUGAAGAUAGGUCUCCCUAAAUCGCGGUAUGAGGGGAGACUGGCUGGAAAAGGCACGCUUGGAGGGGACUCAAUAAUAUGCAGGGACGGAUAUUCUUGGUCUCAAGCACACUACACAGUUCUACAGAACUCUACCUUGGUGACCCCUUAUGUCGAUGAACACAAGAACAGUCUGCGCUCCAAACACCCGGAGCAUUGCGACGACUGGAUUACAUGUGAACACAUCAGGACUUUCAGCAGUUGGUUGGAAACACGUCUCAGAGGUGACAACACUGUUUGUGAUGAGAUGUACUCGUUGUCCAGGGGACCAUUUUCGACUGUAUUGACUUACAAAGGAUACAAGAUAAAUGGGAAUACAUUUUACACGAUCGCCCAAGAUCAAAAGAGCACCAACCAAAACAGCUGUGUCCGCUUUGAUGCAGCAACCGAGAGGGGAAAGGACACAUAUUAUGGUUACAUAGUGGACAUAUGGGAACUUGACUACGGACAUGAUUUUAAGGUCCCUUUGUCUAAGUGCAAAUGGGUCAAUCUGUCAGGAGGCGGGGUACAGGUAGACCCACAGUACGGAAUGACAACAGUGGAUCUGAACAAUCUUCGGUACACUGACGAACCUUUCGUCCUAGCCAAUGAUGUGGCACAGUUUAUCUAUGUGAAGGACAUGUCUACCAAACCGAGAAAAAGAAAAGAUAAGGAAGCGAAUACAUCAUACGAUGAGCCAAAGCACCACAUAGUUCUUUUAGGAAAAAGGGACAUCGUGGGAGUGGAGCGCAAGACAGACAUGUCUAAAGAUUAUGAAAAGUUUCCUGAAAUUCCUCCCUUCAAAGUCAAGGCUAACCCAAGCAUCCUAAUAAACGAUGAAGAUUAUCCAUGGUUACGGCGCAAUAAGCAAACGACACAAGCGAAGAAAAAGUGAAGACUUUCUCUCUACAACUAUUAUGAUGAUGCCUUUGAUCUAGAAUAUCACUGCAAUUACAUGUGAAGAAAUGAAAUGCAUGUUGUAACAAACGAGUUUCCGUGUGAAAUGAUGAUACCAUGCCAAUUUGCAACCUUAUCGGAGUUCAUUUGAAAUGGUUUUCAAUUUCCGGGUCUUAUAGCUCAAAAAAGCAGUAAAUGCAUGAAAAAUAACAAAUGAAGUCAGAAAGGGUUGAAAAUUGAUGAUGUUGCUUUGAAUGGUGCAUUUUGAACACACAAGAAGUCUGGAGUUCAAAUAAGUUCGAAAAAAUGAAAUCCCUUUGUAACAGAUGAGCUUUCGUGCGAAACCCUGAUACUUCGAAAGAGAUUGUCCGUUUUGUACACAAAGUGCAUCUAGUUUUUGCCGUAACCCUCUCAACUUUCUUGCACAUGCUAUGUGGGUGAAAUGAUGAUAGCAUGCCAAUUUUCAACCUUUUCGGUGUUCAUUUGAAAUGCUUUUCAAUUUUCGGGUCUUAUAGCUCAAAAAAGCAGUAAAUGCAUGAAAAAUAAUAAAAUGCAUAAAACUAUAAUAUUUGUUAUGAUCACUAAAAAACUAAAAUCAAUUAAAAUAUUAAAUAGCAGGAAAAAGAAUCACUCAAAAAUCUAUUUUUAUAGUAAAUUUAUUCAUAAAACUAGUGAUUCACAUACAUUUAAAAAAAAUCAAAUUUUAAAACUAAUGGCACUAACAGAAAGUUUAUAAUUUUGUGACCCAAAAGCAAAAAGAAAUCACUAAAAAACUAUAAAAUUUAGUUUUAAGUAGAAAUAAAAAAAUAAAAAGAAAAAAAGGAAAAAAAAUGCCACCUACUGGACCUCCUCGGCCUAAAUACGACUAGAAACCCUACAAUGGGCCAGGAUUCAGGCCCGCAGAAGGCCCAAUAGGCCCAACAGGCAUGGCAAAGUAGAGAUUAGGCCCGUAAGCCUGCAAUAGAGAGGAGCUCGAGAGGGUGGCGGCAGCAAAGCUUAUAAACCACCCCGAGCCCCUCUCAACUAGCGAGGUGGGACUAAACAUCCCACCGCACCGUGCCAGCACAAGGCCUAUGGUCCCGGUUCAUGCCACCAACCGGUACCAUAGGCGGGCAUUCGUACCGGUUCGUGGCACCAACCAGUACCAAUGCCCACCUACGGUCCCGGUCCGUGCCACCAACCGGGACCAUGGGCCUCUGUUUCCCGCCCUUGGGGCUGCCGAAAAGAGACCUUUGGACCCUGUUGGUGGCACGAACCGGGACCAUAGGUAGGCAUUGGUACCGGUUGGUGCCAUGAACCGGUACCAUUGGUUUUGCUAUAUAAGGUAGCACUUGUGAAAAUUUCGCCAACUGCUCCCCCAUUCCCCCCGACGCCGCCAGGCCGUUCCUCGUCGUCGUCGCCGUCGCCGCCCCGAGCCCCUGCCCCGACGNNNNNNNNNNNNNNNNNNNNNNNNNNNNNNNNNNNNNNNNNNNNNNNNNNNNNNNNNNNNNNNNNNNNNNNNNNNNNNNNNNNNNNNNNNNNNNNNNNNNNNNNNNNNNNNNNNNNNNNNNNNNNNNNNNNNNNNNNNNNNNNNNNNNNNNNNNNNNNNNNNNNNNNNNNNNNNNNNNNNNNNNNNNNNNNNNNNNNNNNNNNNNNNNNNNNNNNNNNNNNNNNNNNNNNNNNNNNNNNNNNNNNNNNNNNNNNNNNNNNNNNCCCGACGACGUCGCCGCGCCCUUGACCCGCCGUUGACGUCGUCCUCACCGUCGCCGUCGUCGUCACCGCCCCCGAGCCGCUCCUCCCAGAGCCCUCGCUGUGCGCGUACCCCUCCCCCAAGAGCCCACCGUCCUCGUCGCCGUCAUCGUCACCGGCCUCGUCGUCGUCCUCGUCACCGGCCUCGUCGUUGUCCGGCCUUGAGCCCCCAGUGAGCCCCUUCCAAUCCCGAUCCGUGCACUGCCGCAGCUGCCGCCGCCCCCCCGCGCCGCGCCGCCGCCCCUGUUUUUUAUAUGUAUGUAUGUAUGUAUCUAUGUAUAUGGAUGUAUGUAUGUACGGAUGGAUGGAUAUGCAUGUAUAUGGAUGGAUGUAUGUGUAUGUGUUCAUAGUUUUUUUUUGUUCAUAGUUUUUUGUUGAUAGCAUUUUUAGGCUGUAUAGUUUUAUUUUUGUUCAAUUUUUAUGGUUAGAAGAGGAGAGGAAAAAAUUGUGUUGCUAAAGUUACAUUUAAGGUUAGUUGAUUUAGUUCAUUUUAGGUUAUUAGUUCUACUGUUAGUGCAUUUAAGGUUAGUUUAUUUUUAGUUGAACUAGUUGAUUUAAUAAAACUAAUUUAUUUUACUAUACAUAUAAGUAGUUUAUUUUUAGUAAGUACUACUUUAUUUUAUUUAUAGUAAGUGCUUAGUAGUUGAACUAGUUGAUUUAAUAAAACUACUUUAUUUUACUAUAGAAGUAGUUUAGUUUUAGCAAGAAAAUUAAUAGAAUUAGUUUAUUUUUUAGUUCAAGCAAUUAUUCCCGCAUCGACAUCGACGAUGCCUAUCCCGCAUCCUCGUCGUCGACUCGGCGGAGGAGGCCGACUUGAUCAGAGGGGCCAUGUCCGGGACUGGGCUCCGCCGGGCUGGUAUUGGGAGGUGCUACCUUCCGGGGGGCGUAGGUUGGUGAGGAGCCAGCCCGUCGUUGACCCGAUCCUUGUUUGGUGGCGGUCGCGUGGGCCAGUGACUGUAUCGAGGCUUCCGGACACCGCGGAGGUGGUACGUCACCAUGUCAGCGAGGAGGACGAGCACGCCCGUCGCUACAUGGUUGCGUUGGAGGGCAGGUUCGACAAUACCUGGCAGCUUCUUCAGGGAUCUCAUUGGAGCUAUGAUCAUGUGAUGGUUCCUUCUCUUUGGGCAUCCACCGCCCGCGCCGAUACCCGUCGGGCGCUACGGUUCUAGCUGUACUAGCGAUGCUAUAUGUAUGAUAGUAUUCGAGGUGUAUUAGUGAUAAUAUUCGACGAUGUACGGACGCAAGAGAUGAUGUAGUUUUGCUUAUAAUUGAAUGCAUCCUAAUUUGAAUACUACUUUAUUUUGCGAUCUGAUUUUGCUUAUUGAAUGCUCAAAUUGGAAAACUACUCCUACUUUGAAUGCUAAAAUUAGAGAGCACUAUGCAAGGCGUAUGCAUAUGAUUAGUUGAUAGCUUAUAGUGUUUUUGUUUUCGCAAAAAUAUAGGAGCCCCCAACCAUCAUCCCCGCCGUCGUCCCCGUCACUGACCCCCUCCGACGUCGAGGUGAGACCAGCCAAAUCUCCAUGUCAAUAUGAGUCCUAUAAUAUGAGUCCUCGGGUCGACUUUAAGUCUGUCGAGUCUCCACCAUAUAUGAAAGGACGAAGAAUCAUGACUGUUGUCGUGGGGGUAGCUUCUCCUUCGUUCCCGUGAUGAAUAAUAAUGAUCUAACUUAGGUUUUUAGUACAUAUAUUUAAUUGUAGAUGUUUAAUAUUUGAAUUAUGAACAUAGGAAAUGUCGUACUCAGACUACGAAAGUCUCCCGGGGGAGUGCGACUGGUGCCACGACGACCGAGGUUAGUGCGACCGGCCUCACCUGGACGAAGAUCAGCGCUUCAGCAUUAAGCUGGAGGAGACCUUCGAUGUUGAAACGGUACGCAACGACGACAAGUGUUAUUUUUUCGUAAUUAAGCACGACUUCAAGUAUUUCAACGUGUACUUCUUAUCUUUUACAAUUCGACUAGCUUAUCCCAUGCCAUGCAAGACGCUAUGUCUUGGAGAGGAUGGGUUUUGAAGACCAGGAAAGUUUCGAAACAAAGAAAAUUCAUCUAAGGACCCAUCAUGGUGUGGAUUUUGAAGUAAAGCGGUACAAUUCUGAGAGCGUAACCCAUUUUGGUUGCAAAAAAUGAGAAGCACUUUGCAAGAUGUAUGGUUUUGAUGAGGGUAUGCUUGUCACCAUUGAUCUUGGUGACCCUGAAAUCGAGCAAGACAAUAUGGACAUUUGGGUCCUUGUUGAUACGCCUCCAAUUCUACCGCUAUGUGAGUUUCUCAAACAUAGUUAUUAGCUAAUUUAUAUUGUUUAUUUCAAAAUAGUUGACAACUUAUUUCCAUUGACAGCUUAUUUUGAUUGUUCAAACAAUGUGCGGAACAUGGUAGACAAAACCCACUACACCGAUGGCUCCGAAUUAACUUAUCAGGAGAAAAAUCAUCUGGUCUGAUUUUGUACUGAUAUUGAGAAUUACAAUAUCUAGAAUCAAACUCCUCAACAUUAUUGUCAAUACGUGCCACUAGUGCACGUGUUGAACUACAGUAACUACCAUGGAGAUACCCUGGUAAGAUUUUUUACUAUUACGACAUCCGUGCAUCUUUUGCAUACUUCUAAAACUAGUACAUCAUUGCUAACUAUGAAGUUAUUACUAUGUUUUUCAACAGAGAAUCCCAGAGGAUUGUGUGCCUCAUUUGAUGUAGCAGAAUGGCAGCCUUCGUGUUUUGAACAUAUAUCCAAGUCAUCCAACGAAUCUCAACUGUCCAUACCGGAUUUAUCAAUGAAGUGGAGACAUGCUAAUCAAAAAAUGGAAAAAAUGUAUGGACAGUCGUAAGGAGGUUCUUGGAAGCAAAAGGAAGCGAAGCGUAAGAAUUGGAGACAGGAUGAUCUCCAUUCUCCAUAAUGGAGAGUCAGGGUCUAUAUUGUUUUAUGCUAUUUUACCUUAAAGAGGGUAUUUAGGUCCUACCUAAUACUGAUGAUCAUGUGCUAAGAACAAUUAAGUAGGGCUGGUUCGAUGACUAUGAGGAUGAUGAUCGUAUGACUUGUUAUUAAUAACGAGUAGAAGUUGUAUGAUGAUGAUUAGUAGGACUUGUUAUUAUAUAAGAUGAUGCAUGAUGCGAGCAUGAAGAGUUAUUAUAUAUCAGCGGGUGAAAUGAACAUGGAUUGGAUUGAAGUGAAGGCAACAUGCAUGUGGUGCAUGUCGAAAGUACUACAAUCCAAACUUGAUCAAAGUUAGGAUUAGUAUUACUUUCGACAUGCACCACAUGUUGCCUUCACUUCAAUCUAAGCCAUGUUUAGGCAUAGCAGUAGCGUUGGUAAACCAAGCACGGAGAUAUAAGAGAGGACACUUCUCUCUAUUAUAUUAGCUAGCUAAUAACAACCUAAAUUAACCCCCAAAACCCCUAAAUCAGCCCCUUUAAAAAAACAAAAAGCUCAACUCCAGCCAGCUGCUGACGCGUGGAUGCCUUUUGGUCCCGGUUGGUGUCACCAACCGGGACCAAAGGCCCCCCUGCCUGGGCUGGCCGUAGUGGCCACGUGGAGGCCCAUCUGUCUCGGUUCGUGUAAGAGCCGAGACUAAAGGCCAAGGGCAUUAGUAACGACCUUUUAGUCCCGGUUCCUAAACCGGGACAGAAGGCUCUUACGAACCGGGACAAAUGGCCCUUUUUCUACUAGUGCCGCUCUAAACGCGGCCGCUCGAACUGUUGAGCUUGACUCGAGUCAGAAUCGAGAGCGUUGCCGAUUGCGGAAGGCUAUGUUGCCGUUCUCGACGCGGCCGCUUGAGCUAUUGAGCGGACUCGAAACAGAGUAAGGGCGUUGCCAAUAGCGGAAGGGCCCCUUUGCGUGCAUGUUUUCCAUACAUAGGGCAGGACCUUCGAGUACAAUAACCUUCUAUAUAAAAAGAUAUUGCUUAAAGUUUCACACGACUUAGCUUUUCUGUCAUUGCACGGGCGUCCACCGCAUCUGCAGAUGGUGCCGUCAAGCUUGGUCGUCUUCUAUCUUGGAACGACGGCCACGAUGAAGCCGCUGCUCCGAUCAGACCAAAUUUCCACAACUGCGCCCCCUACCUAGCGCGCCAAAGAUGUCGGGGGAAAUCGACACCUAUGGAAUCACAGGGAUCCCUUCUACGGUUGGCGGGCGCGGGGUUGUGCAAAGAGCAGGUCUGACAGGAAGCACGCAGAUCGUUUACCCAGGUUCGGGCCGCGGAGAUGCGUAAUACCCUAGUCCUGCUAUGGUGGAUGUAUUCGAGUGUUCUUGUGUUCUUGAACUAGCUACGGGGUGUAACUUGCCCAGAAGAUCCGAAUCCCUGUCCUGGAUGCCUCGGGCCUCCUUUUAUAGACAAAAGGGGUUGCCACACUGGCACACAGGAGGUGGAAAGGUGUACAGUGGAUGAGUCUAUCCUCUGGCACCGUUGGACGAACACAUUUAAUGCGCUGCCAACGUGACCCUCUCGCUUUAUCGGGGACGGUCAAGGAAGCUCGUCCCAGCUGUCGCCGCCUCGCCUGGCUUCGACACGCGUCCGAGCUGACGAGGCGUCGUGGCGCCACAUUGGCUGGCUGCUGGGCUGGCGCGGUGGUGGAGCCUUCACGAAGGUCUGCAUGCCACCACGCAGGUGCUUGCUGUGUCGGUGUAGAGGCCGCUCGUCGCCACGCAGGUGCCUGCCCAGCUGGUUGGGCUAGCAGCUGCACGGGGACGGCGGUGGAGUCUUGGCAGGCGCGGGCCUGGCUGUGGCCCCGCUGAUGCCCUUGGCAAGGGUCUUGCCGGGGGCCCGGCAAGGGUCUUGCCGUGGUGCCGCGGUCGUCCCCGGCAAGGCGCUUGCCGGGGGUCUCGUGGAUUUCCUCGGCAAGGACCUCGCCGAGGAUCAUCGUCUUCUGGUCCUCAUCUGAUCUUGUGUAUUUAUGAUCUUCACAAAGAUCAGCAUGCCACCACGGAGGUGCCUCCCGAGCCUUGGUCCCAAUGUGGUUGAUGGCGUUGGAACCCUUGGGCUCAAUGGAGGCGCGCUUCGUUGGCGUCAGGCAAGUUGCCCCGGCAAGGCUCUCGCCGGGGCUGAGGAGGCCGUCCCGGCAAGGGUCUUGCCGGGGGAGUCCACCUCGCCCUCUUGCCCUUUGUGUCUCUGGUCUUGGCAUUGCCAUGGCUGUCUUGUGCUCCGGCUUCCCUCCUCUGCCCUGCUAAGUGUGGCCGUGGGCGCGGCUCUGACUACCAGUGCACAAGUAAAGGGGUCAAAAGGAGAGCCCCUAGUUUUAUACACCGACAUGUAUCCUCCCAGAAUCUCGUAGAAGUACCGUUACUGAUCACAAGCUUUGUCUGAUUGAAAAAAAUGGAUUUAACUCUCAUCAGUCCUUUCCAAAAGGGCUAGUCCAUUGGCCUCACUGUGACCUGGGAUAAAGUUCUGGAAUGAAGGUACUUAUUACGCAGUAUUUGUGCCCAUGUAGCCCCCGUCUCGCUAGAUAGCUUAUACAGCCAUUUGCUGAGAAGACAUAUGUUCUUCACCUUAAGAUUUUUGAUACCUAGACCCCCUUGGUCUUUGGGUCGACAAAUAAUAUCCCAUUUAGCGAGUAUACUUUCUCUUCAGAUCAUCACUUUGCCAGAAGAAACGGGAUCGAUAGAAAUCUAGUCUUUUCCGAACUCCAACUGGUACCUCGAAAAAAGACAAGAGAAACAUGGGCAUGCUCGUGAGAACCGAAUUAAUAAGAAUUAAACGGCCUCCAUAUGACAUGAGUUUGCCAUUCCAGCAACUGAGUUUCUUCUCAAAUCGAUCCUCAGUGCACUUCCAUUCUCUCUUUGUUAGCUUACGAUGGUGAAUUGGUAUGCCCAAUUAAGUGAAAGGCAAAGCCCCCAAUUCGCAUCCGAACAAUUGCUUAUAUGCCUCUUGUUCCUCAUUGGCUCUUCCAAAAUUGUAUAAUUCGCUCUUGUGGAAAUUAAUUUUUAGUCCGGUCAAUUGUUCGAAUAAGCAUAACACCAGCUUCAUAUUUCUCGUUUUUGCCAAGUCAUGGUCCAUGAAGAUGAUAGUAUCAUCGGCGUACUGUAGGACAGACACACCUCCAUCCACUAGAUGAGGUACCACAGGAGAGCACCUGCGAUAAUUAUAUCAUGCCACACGAGUACAAAGGAUGAAGCAUCUUAGACGUUUGGAAUAGAUUUGGGCAUCACAUACGAUUUAUUUUUCCAAAAAGGUAUGCAUGAUUGGGCUCUAUCUGUAGGAGAUAUGCCCUAGAGGCAGUAAUAACAGUUAUUUUGUAUCUCCAAGUUUGUAAUGAAUGUUUAUGAUCCAUGCUAUAACUGCAAUGAUUCUCGAGUCUACAAUAUCCACGAGGCUCGGAGGGAACUCAUAUGCACGUGUGGUAUUAUAAACGGUAAAAUAUAUUCCUAGUCUUGCCUCUAAGACUAGCUCAAGUAUUGCAUGAUGAUCCUGUUUCCUGAUCAUGGGCAUGACUAUGCCGGCAAUUUUGAGGGCACAAGUUUGGUAGAACGCUUGUGUUGAAUCAACCCGGAUUGAUGUUGUGCUAUGAGAUGCCUUCGUCACAAGUUUAUGGUUAAUAUCAUUGAGAUAGUUAAUGUUUGCAUAAUUCCUUAGACCAUGAGAGUAUCAAGUUCCUUCGUGCUUGCUUCGUGAACUUUGGGGUUUGUUAAACGUCAUCCGUAACUUGGUGGCUAUUAUGGCAGCUUUCGGGUUCACGGAAAAGUAUAGGAAGUAACAAGAUAGCUCAAGAUUGGGAUUUGCUCCUCCGACGAUGGAGAGAUAUACUCGGGCCCUCUCAGUGUAACGGUAUCCAUCAUCGUCUGGCCAGACACAUUGUGAUUUGAUCACUGGGAUGCCGGAACACGGAAACGAGAAAAGAGAACAAAACCGGUAACGAGGUAACUUGCAUGGUGGACAAAUUGUUCGUCCAUGGGCAUGCAAUAAAUCUCACCUCGGGUGUUUGUGACAUAUCGCGAAGCAACAGGAAUAGCUCACUACAACUAGAGGUUCACUCGAAUAUUCAUUCGUGUGGGUAUAGGGGUCAAUAUGGGUGUCCACGGCUCCGAUGUUGAUCAUUGAUCGGAAGGGGUUCCAGGUCAUGUCUAUACUUCACCGAACCUAUAGGGUCACACGCUUAGGGGUCAUCUAUCUGUUGAAUACUAGACAGGGAGUCUGAGAGAAAAUCACCGAAAAAGUUUCGGACACCGAAAAGUUUCGGACAGCGGAAUCGUACCGCAGAGAGAGGUCAUCGGAUAAGUUUCGAUGAUACCGAAAAGUUGUUUCGGGAUACACCAUUAAGUCAAAUUGGUUUCGGCACAUGCCUGAUAAUUCUUGGAGGAUGCCAGAAUCAUUCUGGAAGCUUUUUGGAAUUUUCUGACAUAAAAACCGGAAAUGUUCCGGAGCUGCCGGAGCCACUUCAGAUGCGUUUCGCAGAUGAAAAUCACUAAAACCGGAAUUGUUUCGGAACGCGUUGAAAAACAUUUUAGUGGGUACUGGAAAUGUUCUUAGCCCACAUAAAUAUUUUCAGUUCGAUCAGACGCUGAAAAAUGUCGUCGUGAAUAGUGAAAAUCAGCUUUAUGGUUACUUUAUGGAAAGCCACCUUUUGGGGCUUUGCUCCAAAAGAUCUUGGGGAUGACAUGGAUGGAUAGGACCCAUUUUUUGGGCCCCUCAUGGGGGUGUGGCCGGCCACAUGGGGUAUCCCCCCUUGGGGACCCUUUUGUUCAUUGGUUUCACUUCUAGGUCCUUGUGGAAGGACUUCAUUCAUGUGCAUUUUGGGUUUUUGUGUGAAACUACCCUACCCCUUGGGAUUUCCUAUAAAUAGAGGUGGAGGGGCAGCCCUCCACACUCAUCCCUUGCUCUCAUACACAUGCCAUGCAUUAUCUGGCUUCUUCUCUCCCUCCCACGAAAAGAGUUUCGUAGAGCCGUAAGGCUGUCUGGGUUCCGGCAGGAACUAGUUCUGGACGGCGAAGCCCUGCCGGAUAGCUGACACCGUAUGUGUGCAACCCCGUAGAGAGAUUGUAGUUUCGAUCUUUUGCCCGAGGGGCUGUUCGAGUGUCCUCCCGAAGGGCUGUCCGAGUCUCCGUCCGAGUUUCGAGGGUCCUCCCGAAGGGCUGUCCGCGACAUUGUCCGGGGGACUGUCCGACCGCCUCCCGAAGGGCUGUCCGGAGAGGGAGUACAUCCUCGCGGUUGGGAGGUUGUAAAUCCUAGCUGCGGGGAUCUGCACCGACGAUCUACACCGACUCUUCUUCCGCUGCGCUUCGAGUCGGUACGGAUCAGAUCAAACCUUGUAUGCAGUCUCCAUAGUGGUCCUGGGCGUGCUCGCUAUACCGAAAAUUUUCGUUUUCUGUCGCGUUCCCCUACAGUGGCAUCAAGAGCCGUGCUAUGCGUAGAUGCAGGUUACGAUCUAGAAUACAUGGAGAUGUAUGGGUAUUGCAUAAUAUAAUUUUGGAGUAGAUGAGAUGUAUUGCUGAAAAUUAUUUAUGCGGGUGACAGAUGAAAUCUGUUACCCGACGUUCUUGUUGCUUCCCUAGAAUUUGCGUUUGCUCAAUCUCGAGACAGGAUGGUGGAAUUUGACAAAGUUCUGGCAAUCCGUGAUCCUGAUUGAUCAUGGAAGUGCUAUCAGUUCUUUGGGUUCUGCCAUAGUCAAAAGAAAGAUGAAAUUCGCAGAUGAAAGGGCAUUGCAGAUAUGAUCUGCACGGGGGUCAUGCGUAUGACGAAGUUUAGUAUGGGGCUCGAGAUUUAAUUAUCUCGUGUUUCAUACACCCCGAGAUGUUAAUCUAGCAACUUGAAUAAUCAUACUUGAUGAUAAAACGUUGGUAGCUGCGGUUUAAGUCAAAACCUUAGAAGCCACGUAAAAUAAAAUUUUGCAUAAACCGAUUAGAGGCGUCUAACUUGGUUUUGCAGGAUGUGCAUGUGAUGUGGUAUAGCAAUGCUCAUAUUCAAUUUGAUUAUGUAUGAGAUGACUAUAUGAUGUAACUAACAUGACCUGCGUGUCAUGAUUCUGCAUGAUGGCUGGAGCCAUAUGAUUGCACUUUAAUGACCUGCGUGUCAACCUUAAGUAAUGCACUUAUUUUAUUAGCUAUAGAGAUAGCAAUAUUAUCUGGUGCAUCGACAAGGUGGUGGCAAUCUUCGCGAAGGUGAACACCGACGCAAAUGCCGAAGACGAAGAAUUGAAAGACUUCUCCGUCAGAAAGGGCUAUACCAUAUCAUGCUAAUUAUGAAUUGCCUGAGAUGUUUAUCCCCUAUGAUGCACCCUUCUUGAUUGCGCGGUAGUCGCUUUUAUUAGGGUGAUCUCUCACUUAAAAAUAUCAAGUAGAUAGUGUUCUCCCAAGUGUAGCACCGUCACGGCACCUAUCGUUUCGGGGUGCGCCGUGUCACACGGGUACGAACGAUUAGAGAAGUGUGAGGCGGGUGAGUUGAGACCUCGCAGCGAGAUCACUUGGUUGUCUUGACGUUCAGGCAUGACCGUCAUGAGCUCGGAACACACGCAUCGAAAGAUGAACAAGAGUCACAUAGUGAUGUGAUUGGCAAGUUGGCCUACCGGUUAAGAUUUUCGUCAUCAGUGGUGUUACACCAAUGGCGAACAAUCAAGACACGGAUCUUGAAUCACUCAUAAUCAAUUUUGAGAGAUAUUGAUUUGAGUGGGAGUGCAUUUUAGAAUAAAAUGUUUAUUCACUAGUGCAAAUUUCAUUAUAAACAAAGUCUAAGUGAAACUUGUGUCUUCGUUGUAGAUCAAAUGGCUCGCAACACCGCGUUCAACUUAGGCCCGAUGUUAGAGAAAGAGAAGUUAGCUACGACUGGAAACAACUAUGCGGACUGGGCCCGUAACCUGAGGAUUGUCCUCAGGAGCGCUAAGAAAUUGUACGUGCUUGAAACUGCUCUUCCAGCUAAACCGGCGGCAGAUGCACCGGUAGAUGAACAAAAUGUCUGGGCCACUAAGGAUGAUGAUCACAACUUAGUGCAGUGCCUCAUGCUAGCUUGCAUGAGUCCAGGGCUUCAAAAACGUUUUGAAUUCCAUAAAGCCCGUGAUAUGAUCCGGGAAUUGGAUGCUCUGUACAAGGAAACCGCAAAGUCUGAACGAUAUGAUAUCAUGAAGGCUUGGAUGGAUUGCAAGAUGGCUGAGGGUAGUUCAGUUGGCGAACACGUGGUCAAAAUGAUUGGCUAUUCUGAAAGGCUUAAAGCCCUAGAAUUUCCACUUCCACCUGGCCAUAUGAUGGACAUGUUGCUUUCUUCACUCCCCCCGUCUUACGACGGUUUUGUCAUGAACUACAACAUGACAGGGAUGGAGAAGACGCCGAAAGAAGUGCUCGCCAUGCUGAAAACUACAGAAGGAGGACUGCGGAAAAAUCGCAAGUAAGUGUUGCUUGUGAAUAAAACCGCCUGUUUCAAAAAGAAGAAAGGCAAGCCAAAGAAGGGCAAGGGCACCGGUAAGACCGGCUCCCAAAGCAACUCUAAGGGCGGAGCCAAGAAUGAAACUGAGUGCUUCUACUGCAAGGGCACAGGACACUGGAAGAGAAACUGCAAGAAGUAUCUGGAAGAUAAGAAGACCGGGAAAACCGGAAAAGGUAUAAUUGUUAUACAAGUUAAUGUCAUUGACGUUUUGCUUGCUAGCGAAAACUCUAAGUCUUGGGUAUUUGAUACCGGAUCGGUUGCUCACAUUUGCAACUCGAUACAGGGACUUCAGAAGGUGCGCAAGCUAGCAAAGAAUGAAGUCGUGAUGCGCGUCGGGAACGGCGCUGGGAUCGCCGCUCAAGCCGUCGGCAUUAUGCCUCUACGUCUCCCUUCAGGAUUUAUCUUAGAACUAAGUAACUGUUAUUUUGUUCCACUGUUGUGUAGAAACAUUAUCUCCGGAUCAUGUUUGGUACACGAUGGGUAUUCGUACAAGUCUGAGAACAAUGGUUGUUCACUUUAUUGUAAGGAUAUGUUUUAUGGAUUUGCACCCAUUGUUGGGGGCCUUUUCAUACUAAAUCUUGAAUGUGGAAGUGAUGUCUUUAACAUGAAUGCUAAACGCCUUAAGAAGGCUGAUACCACCACCACUUUCAUGUGGCACUGUCGCCUUGGCCACAUCGGUAAGAAACGCAUGCAAAGACUCCAUAAAGAUGGAGUUUUACCGUCCCUUGAUUUUGAAUCAUUUGACACAUGUGAAGCUUGCCUGAUGGGGAAAAUGACCAAGACGCCGUUCACGGGUCAUCCUGAACGGGCGGGUGAAUUAUUGGAAAUAAUACAUAGUGAUGUAUGUGGUCCAAUGAACACAGGCGCACGGGGUGGAUAUUUUUACUUCGUGACUUUUACUGAUGAUUUGAGUAGGUAUGGCUAUAUCUACUUAAUGAAGCAUAAAUCGGAAACCUUUGAAAAGUUCAAAGAAUUUCAGAAUGAGGUAGAAAAUCAUCGUAACAAAAAGAUUAAGUUUCUGCGGUCUGAUCGCGGAGGCGAAUAUCUUAGUCAUGAGUUUGGCCAACAUCUGAGUGAUCGUGGAAUCGUUUCACAGCUUACGCCUCCCGGAACUCCACAGAGAAAUGGAGUAUCGGAACGACGUAACCGAACCUUGUUGGACAUGGUAAGGUCAAUGAUGUCUCUUACAAAUCUUCCAAUAUCUUUUUGGGGUCACGCACUACUUACUGCUGCUCACACACUAAACAAAGCACCGUCUAAAUCUGUUGAGACGACGCCACAUGAGAUGUGGCACGGGAAGAAACCCGACCUGUCGUUUUUCAAAAUUUGGGGUUGUGAAGCUUAUGUAAAACGUUUACAGCCAAGCAAGCUUGAUCCCAGAUCAGACAAAUGUUACUUUGUAGGUUAUCCCAAGGAGACAGUUGGGUAUUCUUUCUACCACGCCUCCGAGAAUAAAGUGUUUGUUGCAAAACAUGGAGUCUUUCUUGAGAAAGAGUUUCUCACUAAAGAAGUGAGUGGGAGGACAAUACAACUCAAUGAGAUUAGUGAAUCUUCGGGAACCGUUGAUAUGGCUAAGGAACCGGAAGAAAUUCCGCUAAUUAUCCCUACAACCGAGCCGGAAGUUGUCGCAUGUGAUGCGGAGACUUCAGACAAUGUUGUAACUGAACCGCGCAGAUCAGGUAGGGCUAUCCAGCCACCUGAGUGGUUUCAUAACGAAAUCUUCAUUCUUGAAGACGAUGAACCUGCGCACUACAAGGAAGCGAUGGCGGGGCCCAGCUCAAAAGAAUGGCACAAAGCCAUGAGAUCCGAAAUGGAAUCCAUGUACGAAAACCAAGUUUGGAACUUGGAAGAACUUCCAGAAGGCAUAAAGCCCAUUGGUUGUAAAAUGGAUUUUCAAAAGAAAGACGGACGCGGAUGGUAACAUUACUAUCCACAAAGCUAGACUUGUCGCGAAAGGGUUCACACAAGUUCCAGGAGUGGACUACGACGAGACUUUCUCGCCAGUAGCUAUGCUUAGGUCUGUUCGGAUAUUGCUAGCAAUUGCUGCUUAUUUCGACUAUGAAAUAUGGCAGAUGGAUGUCAAAACGGCUUUCCUAAAUGGAAACCUCAAAGAGGAUGUAUACAUGAUACAGCCAGAAGGUUUUGUCAUUCAUGAGGAUGCUGGAAAGGUAUGCAAACUUCAGAAAGCCAUUUAUGGUCUGAAGCAAGCAUCAAGGAGCUGGAACAUUCGUUUUGAUGAAGUGGUCAAAGAGUUUGGCUUCAUCAUGAAUGAUGAAGAAUCUUGUGUUUACAAGAAGUUUAGUGGGAGCGCAAAAGCAUUUCUAAUCUUGUAUGUGGAUGACAUAUUGUUGAUUGGAAAUGACGUGAAUUUUCUUAGCGAAAUAAAAGACUCAUUGAAGAAAAGUUUUUCAAUGAAAGACUUAGGCGAAGCGGCAUAUGUAUUAGGCAUCAGGAUCUAUAGAGAUAGAUCAAAACGCCUGAUAGCGCUUAGCCAAAGCACGUACAUUGACAAGGUGUUGAAAAGGUUCAACAUGGAGAACUCCAAGAAAGGCCUACUCCCCAUGUCACCUGGCACAGUGCUUUGCAAGAAUCAGAGUCCUCGGACUCUGGAUGAGCGAGUACAAAUGAAUGAUGUUCCAUAUGCCUCGGCAGUUGGUUCUAUUAUGUAUGCCAUGCUAUGUACAAGACCAGAUGUUUCCUAUGCGCUAAGUGUUAGCAGCCGGUACCAAAGUGAUCCAGGGUUGGAACACUGGGCCGCAGUCAAGGGUAUUCUUAAGUACCUCAGAAGGACCAAGGAUUUACUCCUUGUGUACGGAGGUGAUGAAGAGCUCAUUGUAAGUGGUUACAAUGAUGCAGGCUUCAUGACUGACCCAGAUGACUUCAAAUCUCAAUCAGGCUACGUUUUCAUAUUGAACGGCGGCGCAGUUGAUUGGAAAAGUUCCAAACAAAAGACUGUGGCGGAUUCUACGACGGAGGCGGAAUAUGUUGCUGCUUCAGAAGCCUCCAAGGAGGCGGUAUGGAUCAAACAAUUUCUUGAAGACCUUGGUGUGGUUCGUAGUGCCCAGGACCCGGUGGAGAUCUAUUGUGAUAAUAGUGGCGCCGUGGCUCAGGCAAGGGAGCCAAGUUCGAACCAUAAGACAAGACAUAUUCAACGCAAAUAUAAACUCAUUCGACAUCAUGUCGAAGAGGGUUUAGUGAAAGUACGCAAAGUUCACACGGAUCUGAACGUGUCAGACCCGAUGACAAAGCCUCUACCACGAGCAAAACAUGAGCAACACCGGAUAGCCAUUGGUGUUAGGGAAGCCAUGUAACUGGAUUAUGACUCUAGUGCAAGUGGGAGUCUGUAGGAGAUAUGCCCUAGAGGCAGUAAUAACAGUUAUUUUGUAUCUCCAAGUUUGUAAUGAACGUUUAUGAUCCAUGCUAUAACUGCAAUGAUUCUCGAGUCUACAAUAUCCACGAGGCUCGGAGGGAACUCAUAUGCACGUGUGGUAUUAUAAACGGUAAAAUAUAUUCCUAGUCUUGCCUCUAAGACUAGCUCAAGUAUUGCAUGAUGAUCCUGUUUCCUGAUUAUGGGCAUGACUAUGCCGGCAAUUUUGAGGGCACAAGUUUGGUAGAACGCUUGUGUUGAAUCAACCCGGAUUGAUGUUGUGCUAUGAGAUACCUUCGUCACAAGUUUAUGGUUAAUAUCAUUGAGAUAGUUAAUGUUUGCAUAAUUCCUUAGACCAUGAGAGUAUCAAGUUCCUUCGUGCUUGCUUCGUGAACUUUGGGGUUUGUUAAACGUCAUCCGUAACUGGGUGGCUAUUACGGCAGCUUUCGGGUUCACGGAAAAGUAUAGGAAGUAACAAGAUAGCUCAAGAUUGGGAUUUGCUCCUCCGACGAUGGAGAGAUAUACUCGGGCCCUCUCGGUGUAACGGUAUCCAUCAUCGUCUGGCCAGACACAUUGUGAUUUGAUCACUAGGAUGCCGGAACACGGAAACGAGAAAAGAGAACAAAACCGGUAACGAGGUAACUUGCAUGGUGGACAAAUUGUUCGUCCAUGGGCAUGCAAUAAAUCUCACCUCGGGUGUUUGUGACAUAUCGCGAAGCAACAGGAAUAGCUCACUGCAACUGGAGGUUCACUCGAAUAUUCAUUCGUGUGGGUAUAGGGGUCAAUAUGGGUGUCCACGGCUCCGAUGUUGAUAAUUGAUCGGAAGGGGUUCCAGGUCAUGUCUAUACUUCACCGAACCUAUAGGGUCACACGCUUAGGGGUCAUCUAUCUGUUGAAUACUAGACAGGGAGUCUGAGAGAAAAUCACCGAAAAAGUUUCGGACACCGAAAAGUUUCGGACAGCGGAAUCGUACCGCAGAGAGAGGUCAUCGGAUAAGUUUCGAUGAUACCGAAAAGUUGUUUCGGGAUACACCAUUAAGUCAAAUUGGUUUCGGCACAUGCCUGAUAAUUCUUGGAGGAUGCCAGAAUCAUUCUGGAAGCUUUUUGGAAUUUUCUGACAUAAAAACCGGAAAUGUUCCGGAGCUGCCGGAGCCACUUCAGAUGCGUUUCGCAGAUGAAAAUCACUAAAACCGGAAUUGUUUCGGAACGCGUUGAAAAACAUUUUAGUGGGUACUGGAAAUGUUCUUAGCCCACAUAAAUAUUUUCAGUUCGAUCAGACGCUGAAAAAUGUCGUCGUGAAUAGUGAAAAUCAGCUUUAUGGUUACUUUAUGGAAAGCCACCUUUUGGGGCUUUGCUCCAAAAGAUCUUGGGGAUGACAUGGAUGGAUAGGACCCAUUUUUUGGGCCCCUCAUGGGGGUGUGGCCGGCCACAUGGGGUAUCCCCCCUUGGGGACCCUUUUGUUCAUUGGUUUCACUUCUAGGUCCUUGUGGAAGGACUUCAUUCAUGUGCAUUUUGGGUUUUUGUGUGAAACUACCCUACCCCUUGGGAUUUCCUAUAAAUAGAGGUGGAGGGGCAGCCCUCCACACUCAUCCCUUGCUCUCAUACACAUGCCAUGCAUUAUCUGGCUUCUUCUCUCCCUCCCACGAAAAGAGUUUUGUAGAGCCGUAAGGCUGUCUGGGUUCCGGCAGGAACUAGUUCUGGACGGCGAAGCCCUGCCGGAUAGCUGAAACCGUAUGUGUGCAACCCCGUAGAGAGAUUGUAGUUUCGACCUUUUGCCCGAGGGGCUGUUCGAGUGUCCUCCCGAAGGGCUGUCCGAGUCUCCGUCCGAGUUUCGAGGGUCCUCCCGAAGGGCUGUCCGCGACAUUGUCCGGGGGACUGUCCGACCGCCUCCCGAAGGGCUGUCCGGAGAGGGAGUACAUCCUCGCGGUUGGGAGGUUGUAAAUCCUAGCUGCGGGGAUCUGCACCGACGAUCUACACCGAUUCUUCUUCCGCUGCGCUUCGAGUCGGUACGGAUCAGAUCAAACCUUGUAUGCAGUCUCCAUAGUGGUCCUGGGCGUGCUCGCUAUACCGAAAAUUUUCGUUUUCUGUCGCGUUCCCCUACACUAUCGCAGCCGGUUAACUUGCGUUGUGUGUGAUGGACACCCUUUUCGCACACCUUCACACAGCGAUGCAUCAAAGGUACGUGAGCAAAAGGGGUUUUUAACCGUUUGUGUUGGACUUGCGUGCACUAGUGUGACAUGCGUUACUUAACCUAGCUUUUGUUUAGUUUAGUUAAAUUUCAAGUAGUUUUUUAUGUAACUUGUUAAAUUUUAUCAUAUAUGCAUAUAUGUAAUAUAUCGUACUAGGUUUAUUUUCAUUCGUAAUUCAUUUGAAAUGUGUUCCGAACCGGGGGGUGGUAGUUAAAUGCAGAAAAAACACCACAAUAGCCAUCUCAUUAGCAAAAACAACCACUUUACAAUUUGUGGCAAAAAGGACGACACGCAACAACGGACAGUGGCAAAAGAGCCGGUCGGGACCGGCUCUUUCAAAAUGUGGGGUCCCACUCACCCACUCACUCUCUCACUCACCAGCUCUCGCUCACACUCGACGCCGGUGCCGCUCCUGCUUGACGCUGCCACACAAUGCAUUCAUGGAAUGACGAAGAGGAGAGCAGCAAGGAUGCCCUCAAGUACAGCAGCAUGGAUAUGGAUUUGUGGGUAAGUUUCAGCGCUCAAUAACUAGACGUUUGGAUUAGGGUUAGUGUUUGGAUUUGGGGAUUUAGGGUUUGUGCUCGUUUCCAGCCUUAUUGAAAGGAUUUGUUAGUUAAUUUAGAUAUUGUCAAUGCAGGAGAACCCUGAGACCAUUGUGAAUUCAUUUUACUAUGGGACAGUGGCAUUUUCGGCCAUCAAAUCCAAGCUUUACCAGGCAAGAGCCAAAAAAUCUGUUGGUUUUGGUGACAGACACUAGGAGGAAACUUUAUGGCUGCACUGCACAAGUACUCCCUCCGUCCUAUAUUAAUUGAGCUAAAAUGGAUGUAUCUAGUACAUAUGGAUACUUUCAUUUCAACAACAAUUAAUAUGGGACGGGGCAGUAAUUUUAACUUGCCUUGCUGUUUCACCACUUUGCUCUGUAGCUGUUUGAUUUCGCUGUGUAGUUAUCUAUGUAGUGACGAGUCAUCUGAACUUAGUUGUAUCUUGUUCAUUUUGACUGGAUUAAACUUAGUCUUGCUGCUAUUAAAGGUUAGUCUGUAAUUUAGUAAAUCGAAAUUUAACUGAAUUUUGUUGUUCAAGUUCAGUAUGUAGUUUAGUGAAUCAGAAUUUAACGGAAUAUUGUUUUUCAAGUCCAGUCUGUAGCUUGCUGAAUAUGUAUUGUACUGAUUGUUGUUACUCAAGUUCAGUAUGUAGUUAAGUCAAUCUAAAUUGUAGUGUCAUCAUGUAGUAAAAUAGGUAGUAUAUGUGAAAGAAAUAGGCUUGAUUUAUUGUUGUGUAGUUUUGGAAACAAUAAAUUUUGAGAUACUUUUGUCUGUCUGAACAAUAUGUCACUAGUAGAAAACAGGGCUUUGGUUCGGCUAGAAAAGAGCAUUAAUCCCGGUUGCAUUACGAACCGGGACUAAUGUGAGCAUUAGUCCCGGUUCGAGUGGCUAGGGCACCGUACAAGCAUUAGUCCCGGUUCAAAUGGGACCUUUAGUCCCGGUUGGUGCCACGAACCGGGACUAAAGGGUGCGAUGCCCAUUAGUACCGGUUCGUGGCACCAACCGGUACUAAAGGUUAGACCUUUAGUCCCGGUUCGAGCCACCAACCGGUACUAAUGGGGUUUGAGGCAUUAGUACCUGUUCAUGGCACGAACCGGUACUAAAGGUCCCAUUGUCAAACUCUACCCCCACCCUGGAUCGCCUUUUCAGUUUUGUAAAAAGCAAAGAAAAUGAUAAAAACUUCAAAAAUUAAAAUCCUUCCAGAUGUAUAGUUAUGUUACUACAUGUACUAGUUAGGAAAAUUUAAAAACUUAAAUUUGGACAUGUUUUGCAAAAAGUGUAGGAAAAAUGUAAAACGGCUAUAACUUUUGCAUACGAUGUUAGAAAAAAAGUAUAAUAUAUCAAAAUGUUCAGCACGAAAAUCCGAAUCCGAUUUUGACCGCAUAUGACCCGUUUGCAAAUGUUUAGAAUCCUCAAAUUCUAAAAGGAAAAAAAGUUAUGCUCAAAUUUCUGUUUUUUUUAAUUUUUGUUAAAUCUGGUCAAACUACUUAUUCAAGAAGUAUUAAUGUUACUAAAUAAAUAUUCAAGAAUAUUAGUGUUACUAAAUAAUUAUUUCAGUUUUUUUGAAUUUUCGUCAAAUCUGGUCAAACUAUGGUCAAACUAAUUAUUCAAGAAAUAUUAGUGUUACUAAAUAAUUAUUUCGGUUGUUUUGAAUUUUGGUCAAAUCUGGUCAAACUGUGGUCAAACUGUGGUCGAACUAUGGUCAAACUACUUAUUCAAGAAAUAUUAGUGUUACUAAAUAAUUAUUGUUUUUUAGAACAAUAGUUUCAAACUCAAACAGUGAAAUGUGUGACUUCAUGCUCAAGCUAAGUUCCUGGGGGUUAAUAGGAUUGACAUCUUACUAUUGUCAGGAAAACAACAAGUGCAGACUUGGAAACGAGGGAGAAUAGAACCCGGAAGUUAAGCGUGCUCAGGCUGGAGUAGUGAGAGGAUGGGUGACCGUCCGGGAAGUUAGAUGAUUUGGAAUGAUGAGGGGUGAUUAGGGGUGACAAGUUUUUGAUUACUUGUCCGGUAAGUAUACGAAUUAGAAACCGAGUCGGUUUGGGAUUGUGGUCGCGACACAAUACCGCCUCUGGUCCUAAUAUAUAUACAGCUACCGGCUGCGGCCAGAGACACACCGAAAAACACCUAGGGUUUUGCCUCAUCUCACAACCUGCGCCGCCAUUGUAGUCUACUCCAUCCCAAACGCCGGCGUGCAUCGACGCGUGGGAGAGCAGGUCUCCGGAACCGUUCGUCUUUGCGAUCCUGCACCGGGAGAGGACGAAUUAGGUUUAUGGGAAGCGUUGUGCGCGACUGCUCAAAUUCGUCAUCACGGGUCGUCUUCCGUCCAAGUCGGGCGGUGCUACUCAUCGUCGUAUUCAUCGCCGUCAGCAGCAGAUCGUCACCAACAUCGUCAUCAACACUGUCACACCCUUAAUAGCUAACGAUCAGUACGUCCGACAUCCUCUGUUCAUGUCUGCUUCUACAGCUAUUGUUACGUGUUUGCUGCUGUUAUGCAUGUCUUGCUGUUCUUCUAGUUUGCUAGAUUAUUGCAUGCUAGUAUCUCUUCUAGUCAUGAAUUAUUUACUGGAAUCAAUCAUGAACUUGCCUAAUAUUCCAACAAUCCAAAAACCUAAUUAUAGGCAAUUUCCUGAGUUAACUAUGGCUGGAUUCGCUGAUGCACUGAGGCCGGAUAAGUUUACCGGUGUGCACUUUAAGAGGUGGCAGUUGAAGACCACGCUCUGGCUUACUGGUCUGAAAGUUUUCCACGCUAGUGUUGGUGCUCCAGAGGGAAUGACCGACGAAGAUCGGAGAAAAUUCCAGGAAGCCAAUACUAUGUUUGUGGGAUGCAUUCUGAGUGUUCUUGCUGACUGUCUGUGUGAUGUGUACAUGCACAUAAAUGACGGAAAGAUUCUGUGGGAUGCACUGAAUGCAAAAUUCGGUGCAACAGAUGCAGGCAGUGAACUGUACAUCAUGGAGAGUUUUCAUGACUACAAGAUGGUGAAUAACCGUUCUGUGGUUGAACAAGCUCAUGAGAUACAGUGCAUUGUGAAGGAACUUGAACUCCUUAAAUGUGUUCUACCUGACAAAUUCGUGGCUGGGCGCAUGAUUGCAAAGUUGCCUCCUUCAUGGAGGAAUUUCGCCACAACUCUGAAGCAUAAGAGACAGGAGAUAUCAGUUGAAAAUCUGAUUGCAUCUCUUGAUGUUGAAGAAAAAGCUCGGGCUAAAGAUACUACUGAAAAAGGAGGUGAGGUUCAGCCUACUGCUAACAUGGUGCAGAGGUACCCACAGAACAAGAACAAAGGGAAGAACAAACCUGUUUUCAACAAGCCUACCAAGACUACUACCUUCAAGAAGAAGAAGUUCAACAAGGCUGAGCUAGAGUGCUACGCCUGUGGGAAGCCUGGACACUUUUCCAAGGAAUGCCCUGAACAUGCAGACCGCAGAGGGAAAAUAAGCUCCAAGACUGUCAACAUGGUGACCGCUAGCAAUACUGAUGGGUAUGGUAAUUUACCUAUUGUGCUUUCAGUAUUUCAAUCAUCUUCGUGGUGGAUUGAUUCGGGUGCUAACGUUCAUGUGUGUGCUGACAUCUCCCUAUUUACUUCUUAUCAGGUCGCAAGGGAUUCUUCCGUCCUAAUGGGGAAUGGGUCACAUGCUUCGGGAAAGAUCGUGCAACUAAGGAACGUGCAGCAUGUCCCUACUAUGAACAAGAAUCUAGUUAGCGUCUCCCUUCUAUGUCGAGAUGGAUUUAAGGUAGUUUUAGAGUCCAAUAAAGUAAUCGUGUCAAGAUUUGGACAAUUUAUAGGAAAAGGCUACGAGUGUGGAGGCUUGUUCCGCUUUUCUCUUUCAGAUUUUUGCAAUAAGUCAAUAAACCAAAUUUGUGCUAGUGAUAAUGAUGAUGCAAGUAUUUGGCACUCUCGUUUAUGUCAUAUUAAUUUUGGUUUAAUGUCUCGGCUAUCCAGCAUGAGUUUAAUUCCGAACUUCAGAGUUGCCAAAGGUUCUAAGUGCCAUAGUUGUGUGCAAUCUAUGCAACCUCGAAAGCCUCAUAAGGCCGCCGAGGAGAGAAACUUGGCACCUCAAGAACUCAUACAUUCUGAUCUUUGUGAGAUGAAUGGUGUGUUGACAAAAGGUGGAAAGAGAUAUUUCAUGACUUUGAUUGAUGAUGCGACUAGAUUUUGCUAUGUUUAUUUGUUGCAAACUAAAGAUGAAGCAUUAGACUACUUUAAAAUCUAUAAAGCUGAAGUUGAAAAUCAACUAGAGAGAAAGAUCAAGCGUCUUAGGUCCGAUCAUGGUGGAGAGUAUUUUCCAAAAGUUUUUGAUGAAUUUUGUGAGGAACAUGGUAUUAUUCAUGAGAGGACGCCUCCCUAUUCACCUCAAUCAAAUGGAGUGGCCGAGAGGAAAAACCGCACAUUGACUAACUUGGUGAAUGCCAUGUUAGACACUGCUGGUUUAUCUAAGGCAUGGUGGGGGGAGGCUCUAUUGACUUCAUGUCAUGUCCUGAAUAGAGUUCCCAACAAUAAUAAGGAGAAAACCCCUUAUGAGGAGUGGGUUGGGAGAAAACCAUCACUUUCUUAUUUGCGCACUUGGGGAUGUUUGGCAAAGGUCAAUAUUCCUAUUCCUAAGAAACGCAAACUUGGACCAAAGACAGUGGAUUGUGUCUUUCUAGGGUAUGCUCAACGGAGCAUUGCUUAUAGGGUUUUAGUGGUAAAAUCUGAAGUUCCUGAUAUGCAUGUUGAUACUAUAAUGGAAUCUCGUGAUGCAACAUUUUUUGAGAACAUAUUUCCUAUGAAAGAUAUGCAUAGCAUUGCUAGAUUUUCUUCUGAGAUAAUUCCUGUAUCUAGUACAACUGAUGAAUAUUUCGAACAAUCACAUGAGGAAGUCCUUGAGAAGGAUAACAAUGAAGUUCCUAGAAGGAACAAGAGACAAAGGAUUGCAAAAUCCUUUGGUGAUGAUUUCAUUGUAUACCUUGUGGACGACACACCCAAGACGAUUGCAGAAGCAUAUGCAUCUCCGGAUGUAGAUGAUUGGAAAGAAGCUGUUCAUAAUGAGAUGGACUCAAUUAUUUCUAAUGGAACUUGGGAACUAACUGAUAGACCAUAUGGUUGUAAACCUGUGGGCUGUAAGUGGGUGUUCAAAAAGAAGCUCAAGCCUGAUGGUACUAUUGAUAAGUACAAGGCGCGGCUAGUGGCCAAGGGCUACACUCAGAAAGAAGGCGAAGAUUACUUUGACACCUAUUCACCCGUUGCUAGAAUGACCACCAUUCGAGUGUUACUUUCCUUGGCUGCCUCUUAUGGUCUUAUCAUUCAUCAAAUGGAUGUAAAGACAGCUUUUCUCAAUGGAGAGUUGGAAGAGGAGAUCUAUAUGGAUCAGCCUGACGGGUUUGUGGUUAAGGGUGAAGAGAGAAAGGUGUGCAAGUUGUUAAAAUCUUUGUAUGGUCUGAAACAGGCACCUAAGCAAUGGCAUGAGAAGUUUGAAAGAACUCUGACUUCUGCAGGAUUUGUCAUUAACGAGGCUGAUAGGUGUGUUUACUAUCGCCAUGGUGGGGGCAAUAGUGUCAUAUUAUGUUUGUAUGUGGACGACAUACUGAUCUUUGGUACAAACAUUAAUGCAAUUAAUGAGGUCAAGUCUUUUCUAUCAAAAAGUUUUGACAUGAAAGAUCUGGGAGAAGCCGAUGUAAUUCUAAACAUCAAACUUAUUAAGGAUGAGAGUGGGAUUACAUUAACGCAAUCUCACUAUGUUGAGAAGGUCUUGAACCGAUUCGGUUUUAUGGAUAGCAAGCCUUCUCCAACACCUUAUGAUCCCAGCGUGACACUCAGAAAGAACAAGAAAGAAACGAGAGAUCAAUUAAGAUACUCUCAAAUUGUCGGUUCACUCAUGUACUUAGCUAGCGCUACAAGACCAGAUAUCUCUUUUGCUGUGAGCAAACUGAGUAGGUUCAUGUCCAACCCGGGUGAUGAUCAUUGGCAUGCACUAGAAAGGGUCUUACGCUAUCUGAGAGGUACUAUGAGUUACGGAAUUACUUAUUCAGGGCAUCCUGCUGUGCUAGAAGGAUAUAGUGAUUCAAAUUGGAUCUCCGAUGUUGAUGUACUUUACGCAACAAGUGGGUAUGUAUUUACUCAUGGUGGUGGCGCAGUGUCAUGGAGGUCUUGCAAGCAAACCAUAUUGACGAGGUCAACUAUGGAAGCAGAAUUAACUGCUUUGGACACAGCUACUGUUGAGGCAGAAUGGCUGCGUGAGCUCUUGAUGGACUUGCCGAUUGUUGAAAAACCUGUACCGGCUAUUCUUAUGAAUUGUGAUAACCAAACGGUUAUCGCUAAAGUGAACAAUUCUAAAGAUAAUGCAAAGUCAUCAAGACACGUGAAAAGACGUUUGAAGUCUGUCAGGAAGUUGAGAAACUCCGGAGUAAUAACUGUUACAUAUAUACAAACAGACAAAAACCUGGCAGAUCCCUUUACAAAGGGACUAUCACGAAAUGUGAUAGAUAUUGCAUCGAGGGAGAUGGGUAUGAGACCCAUAGAUGUUACACCAUAGUACUAACCCAACCUUUGUGAUCGGAGAUCCCGUGAAUUAGGAUCUGGGAAGAACAAGCUAUUGGUUAACUGAGGAGAGUAAUAACUUAUGAUCGUCUCCAAGUGAAGAUGCAAAACUCUCAGAGCUGUAAAGCUCAGAUCUGUAAGGCAGGUUGGCAACAUGCCUUAAUGUGGUUCUAUUGGCUAUAAUUAGCAAAGAUGCUGUCCUACAGAGCAGUCUUGAAAGAACACACCUAUAUGAGUUCUGACUGUAAACGUCGCAGUCUAUGAGAUUUGGGUGAUCUCUAGUAAGCUCACGAAGAGACAAGGGAGUAUGACGUAUAAGCUCCAAACCGCGGGGUAGCCUACUGACGUAUAAGCUUCCUUUUGCCGUUUUAUUUUUAUGUCUUGGCAUACAAGUUUUUUAUUACUUGUCCGGUAAGUAUACGAAUUAGAAACCGAGUCGGUUUGGGAUUGUGGUCGCGACACAAUACCGCCUCUGGUCCUAAUAUAUAUACAGCUACCGGCUGCGGCCAGAGACACACCGAAAAACACCUAGGGUUUUGCCUCAUCUCACAACUUGCGCCGCCAUCGUAGUCUACUCCAUCCCAACGCCGGCGUGCAUCGGCGCGUGGGAGAGCAGGUCUCCGGAACCGUUCGUCUUUGCGAUCCUGCACCGGGAGAGGACGAAUUAGGUUUUUGGGAAGCGCUGUGCGCGACUGCUCAAAUUCGUCAUCACGGGUCGUCUUCCGUCCAAGUCGGGCGGUGCUACUCAUCGUCGUAUUCAUCGCCGUCAGCAGCAGAUCAUCGCCAAUAUCGUCAUCAACACUGUCGCACCCAUAUAGCUAACGAUCAUUACGUCCGACAUCCUCUGUUCAUGUCUGCUUCUACAGCUAUUGUUACGUGUUUGUUGUUGUUAUGCAUGUCUUGCUGUUCUUCUAGUUUGCUAGAUUAUUGCAUGCUAGUAUCUCUUCUAGUCAUGAAUUAUUUACUGGAAUUAAUCAUGAACUUGCCUAAUAUUCCCACAGACGCAAUAAUUGUUUUCGGGAUUUUGAAUAAAUCAGAAAAUGAUUUGUUUAAUUCCGAAAAUACUCCAAAAUUUGGAAAAUCAUGGAAAAUAAUCUGUAACUCAGAUGGAGAUAAUUUAUAUAUGAAAAAUUAUCAGGAAAAUAUGAAGAAUCUAUUUAUAGCAUUUUCAUGUAUGUUUGAACAAGUUAAGUUUUCUGUAUAAGACAAUUUGAAUAAAUGUCAUUUUAAAUUCUUAUGUGGAGUUUGAAUUUGAACCUUUGGUUCAAACCAACUUUAUUUAAAUUGUUGCUAGUUGCAUUAGUCCAAACACCAGCAUGCCAUGUCAUGAUCAUGCAUCAUACUGCUGCAUUGCAUUGAUUGUGUUCCCUCUCUGUUGCCGGUGUUUGUUCCUUCUCGAUAGAAGACGAUUCGGACGUUGUGAUCAUUGACACCGAUGAAGAGCUACUAUCUUCAAAGUGUCAGGCAAGCAAAUCCCCUUUGAGCAUUCUGAUACAAUCCCACUCUCUAACUCUUGCUCUCUUUUACUGCAUUAGGACAACAAUGAUUCAACUGUUACAUGUUGUGGUAGUUGAACCCAUUCCUCUGCAUGAUCUGUCUUUGCCACAGUAAAUAGUAAAACCCACUAGCAUGAGUAGGAGUAUUUUGAGCCAUGAUGUGCCUACUCAUUCAUGCUUGCUUGUUAUACCUGCUAUGCUUAGAGUUGUGUCAGGUUUGAUUCAUCUGGGUUGGCUUGGAAUGGUGAUGAACAUGUCCUACUGCUGAGCUCUAAGUGUGUGAACACGAUUUGGUAAAGGUAGCGAUGAGAGGCAAUGUAGGAGUACAUGGUGGGUUGUCUCGUUGAAAUCGUCCUUAGGAACUGAGUUCCGUGUUUGUGAUCCAAGACAGUUACUACCACACAUCGGGUUUCGAUAACUUGACCCCUCUCGACUUACUAAUCGCCUUGAUCUCUAUCUAGGAGUUGUAACUAGUUUCUGGUGUUUGUAGGAUGUGCUGGGGGCUGUACCUAGCGCUGACCGGAGGGGUAGGCUUUGUUACGGUAGGCACCAUGGCACGGUGUAUCAAGCGCAGUACUAUUGGUCGAGGUGGACAUGGGAAUCCUGCACACAUCGUUUGACGCCGUGAUGGAAACUUCGGCCGAACAUCCGUUACGGGUCAGUUCUCAGAUAGGCGAUAAACCUAGACUAGAGUCUUGCGUGGUUAGUCAGGUUGUGGCUGACACCCUCGCUAGGCUUCCGCUUGAAGGUUUCCGAGAUACAUGACGUGUAUAUGGUGUUAAGUGGUGAGAGCGUGUGUGAAGAAAUACACCCCUGCAGGGUAAUAUAAUCUAUUCGGAUAGCCGCGUCCUCGGAUAUGGACUACUUGGAAAGCUUGUAUGGUCCAUAGAUAACCUGAAGUGGAUACUCUAAAUGCGCAAAAUAAGUGUGAGUGCUAUGGAUGGCCUUCUCAUGGGGAGACGGGAGCGGAUCCAUAGUGGUGUAUUGAUAUGGUGAAUAUGUGGACUCACGUGCGCUUUCUCACCUCAAAGAAGUUAUUGGUAGUCAUAGUACAUGAAAGCCACUGAGUCAAAGCUGGCUUGCUGUAGUUAAACUCCACAACCCCAUUGUUGAUACUGAUGCAUAAGUAGAUAGUUCUGAUGUAAGUCUUGCUGAGUACAUUUGUACUCACGUUUGCUUAAUUGAUGUUUUUGCAGAGGAGAUUUCAAUCUCGCUAGUAGUUUCACAUGGGCUUUGACGGUUAGCUUGGGAAUCCCAGACAGAGGUAUGGCUCCUAUGGAGGGUAUUGUAGACAGACAUGCUUCCUAGCCUUCUUUCUUUUCAGCUGUCUAUAUUCAGACAGGUUUAUGCUUCCGCUUGUUGCUUGUAUGACUUUGUAUGUUGGGUCAUGAGACCAAUGUUCGUAAUAUCAUGUUAUGUGUGGCUCUUCAGAGCCUCUUAAAUAAAUACUUGAGUCGUAGAGUUAUAUUGUGACGACAUGUUGUAUCCACACAUAUUUGCAUGUUCUACAUACAUAUGAUGUGUGUUGCAAUGUGUUGGGUCACGAUAAAUCUUCUAUUGGAUUGCUUGAAUCUUUUGAUCUUUUGGUCCAACAAAAUUAUACUGUAAUAAUUAGGUCCAACAGAACAAAUCAGAAAACUUUGCUUGUACCAGACAUGGUUAGGUCCAAUAGAACAAAUGAAUCAUCUCUUCUUGGAGGAUUGUUUAAUUUAUCUUAGAUGUACCAAAAAUGAUCAUUGUGUUGGUCACCAGGAAGCAUCACAAGAUAAUUUAACAUCCAACAUGAAAGAACAUAGAUCUCAAUUCAAACAUCAUGCAAUAACUAACAGACUUCUCAAGUGUAAAUGGAAUCAUCACCACUAUAGCAGCUAUAUUUUGAACACCACGGAAACUCCAAUUUGAAACUGCAUCCUCAUUAAUAGAAACUGGAAAUUAGCUUGUCUAGUUCCAGUUUGAUUUGUUCAUCAACUAAAGAGUUAUAGUUUAAAUGACAAAUUUCACAUCCAAACUACAUAUCACAUCACAAAUUUAGGGUAAUUCAUACAUAGUAUAAAUAUAGGUAGCAUAGUACAGAAGAUCAGUUCCCAUCAAUCAAAUAUAGCAAUAGUCUUUGCAACAAAAUAUAUAAUAUAGACUUUCUUCUUGAGCUCAGCCACUUAGAUCAAUGACAUCAUCCUCUUCAAAAUUCCCUUUGAUAUUUUUCGGCUUGCCCUUGUGAAUUUCCCCAAUUUUAAGAAGCUCAGCUAUGACAUACUCUACCUUCUUAAUAUCUUUCCGGAUAACAUCCAUGUCCUUCAUCAUAGUCUCGAGCUCAUAUAUGUCCUUCUUCAGAACAUCCCUCUUCUUCAUCACAUCAUCCGAAGGGAAAGCUAGCUCCUUCCUAUCCUUUUUUAGGUCAAGGGUCUCCCUCAUGAUCAGAACCAUCUCCUUCUUGAGCCCAUCUUUGUCCACUUUCAGCUUAUCAUUAUCCUUCCUAGUGUUCUUGGUCACUUCUCGCUGAACAACAUGAAUGGCCUUGAGAUCACUGAUUACAUACUGCUUGUUCUCUAGCUGCUUCUGCAGGUCUAUAGAGUCCUCUGACAUCAUUUUUGGUAAUUCUCUUGCCACACCUUUUGGCAUUGCCUGACCCAGUGCUUGUUCCCAUCACUAGCAAACUCAGUGAAUUGGAAGUCCAACUACUUAAUCUUAUCUUUGAGAUUGAGCACUUCCUCUGCAGGAUCAAGCCCUUCCUGGGUUCUAGCAACCAUACACUUUUCAUAUUUUUUCCAGAGCAUGUGAAGUGCCUUUUUCAGGGCUUCGGGCCAGUCCUUCACUACUAGGGAAAACCUUAUACACAGAGGUAUAGCAGUAGCGCUGGUCAAAACAUGGCGCUAUUGCUACUUAUUAGUUGCGCUUGUUACAAAAGCACGCUACAACCAUUGUUGUAGCAGUAGCGCGUCUGCCCGGAAAAGCGCUACUACUAUAAUUCCCUCGUUGGUGCCGGUAGGCUAGGAAUAGUAGUGGCGGUUCUUCCAGAAGCACGCUACUGCUAAAAACUUUGUAGCAGCGCAUUUAUGCUGUAGAGCGCUACUGCUAUGAAAAGGAAAAUAAAUAGAAAAAUAAGUAGAAAAGUAAAUGAAAAUGAAAGAAAUAGAAAAAGGAGAAAUGAAAAAAAGAAAAUGUAAAGAAAACAAAAGAAAAAGAAAAAGAAAACAGAAAGGAAUAGCUGUAGCGCGUUUCGCUGGAAAACGCUAUAGCUAACUUAGCUAUAGCGUGUUUCGGUAAAACGCACUACUGCUAGUUUGACUUAACCCCCAGCCGCGCGGGCUCAAAAUUUUGCUAAGUCCUUCCCCCUCCACUCCCCCCUCUCCCCCAACUGCUCCAUCGCCGUUGUCGCCCUGCCGCCUUCAACCACACCGCCGCCACCCAAGGCCGUCUUCGACCACACCGCCGCCGCCCGAGGCCGCCCUCGACUUCACCGCCGCCGCCCGAGCCAGAGCCUGCCCUCGCCGUCGACCGUAAAGCUCUGCCUCUCCUUUCCCCUACCCUCCUAUCUCUCUUUGCUAGGGUAAUUCAUAUAUAUGUUGACGUUGUGUUGAUGUUCAUAUGAACCCUAGGUGUUCAUAUGAACCCUAGAUUUGUUGAGGGCAGUAGGCAUUUUUUGGCAUUUAGGAAAAAUGAUUGGCAAUUUUUUUAGGAAAUUAGCUAGGGAAAUUUUUUAUGAAAAUGCCUAAACAGUAAUUCCAUUUAGCUUUCAAUUAAUAGAGGGUAUGUAAAUAAUAGUAGCAUUUUGAUUAGAUUAAUAGACGCUAUAAACAAAAAACACUUAGAUAUAAAAAUUUAUUUGGACUAUGGACUUGAAUCUGUUCCAAAUUUCAUUCAAAUGAAAUUUGAAUUAUUUGGACUAUGGACCUGAAUCUGUUCCAAAUUUCAUUCAAAUGAAAUUUGAAUUAUUUGGACUAUGGACCUGAAUAUUUCUGAAGAAAUUGGGUGUAGGUACUAAGCUCUUGCUGCGGAAUUUUUGGUGAGGUCAGAAGGGUUAGAGAAAAUGGAGUUCCUAGACUUUUAGCUUUAGACAAAAAACAAAAGUAUUUAGCUAUAAAUAAAAAACAGUAGCUAUGGCAUUUAGCUAUAAACAAAAAACAGAAUUGUUUUUCUUUUCAAAAACUUGGUUAAACUAAUCGUUGCUAUGUAAACAAAAAACAAGAUUUUUGUUAUAUCAUAUAUGUCAUUGAUGUUCAUUUGCACAUUCCAUUAUUGUUGAUUAUAUCUUUUCAUUGAAGUGGCUAUGUUAUAUGCAAAUUCCUCAAUAGUGUUUGCUCAUGUUAUAUCUUUUCAUUGAAGUGGUUCGAUUGUGCCCAAAGUGGCUUCGUUGUUUCCAGGGAAUGAAGCCGAGUGGCCUAUGUUUUUCCGGAAUGUUGAUUCGUUUCCGUUCCGGCAAAUUUCAGGCUCUCGAUUUGUCCACUUUUUAGCAAAAGUCAUGCCGAAAUUUUCCGUGAAUUUCGGCAUGACUUGUGCUACAAACUAGGACAUAUCGAGUGCCCGGGAUUUGCCGCACAGGGAAGGAGUCAACGUUCCUGCAGAGCAUAGACCUUUUUUUAUGUCAUUAUUCAUUUUAUUAGGUCUAGAAUUAAUUGACUAAAUUUAAUCGUAGGAAACAUGGCUAGCAACGAUGAAGGACAGGGUUCUGGUGACUGCGACAACGUCUACCUGGCAGCAGAAGAAUUUUUUAUGGAAGAUGACGAUCAAGAGUUGAUGUUGCUGGGUCCACCUGUCACAUCAGAGAUUGAGACCGACAUCGAGACCGGCGCUGAGAUAGAGACUGGCACUGAGAGUGAGACCGGCAUCGAGACCGGCACUGAGACUGAGACCGGCGCCGAGACCGGCGCCGAGACUAGCGGAGCCGGUAUAGACCCGAAAGCAAAGAGGCAACUGCUUCCUAACAAGCUCAGGUCUAAUAGACUGGUGGUCACGGAGGUGGACGACGGCAAUUUUGAACCAAACGCGCCCUAGGAAGCGCGCGCGUGCUACGACAAUCAAAUAGGAUGCAUCAUACGGACAACCGCCACCAUCAAAGAUGAGAAACUAAAGAAGAUAGAUAAUAUGAGGCCCUCCCUCCUAAAGAAGUUGCACCUGAUAUUCUUGUUCCCGGGCCGGAAUGAAAAGGAUUAUAAAGAUCCAGAUAAGGACCUGGCAAUGAAGAAGAAAAACAAACACGUCAUGACCAAGUUUAGCGACGCGUUGGCCGCCUGGAAAUCAAGGGUGAAAUAUCGGAUCGUUGACAAAAAGGAACCCUACUCCGAGAUUGUAAAGGAUAAUCCGACAACCAUGGUAGAGCACUUUCAAAUAUUCAAGGCAGCUUGCGAGGCCGAAGCUGCCAAAAAAUAGUCGAAGUACAUGAAGGGGCUUCAAUAGAGGAACAUUGGGUGCCCCCACCUCGGAAGUCGUGGUUACGGCAGGAAGAGGUCCAUAUGGGCCAUGGAGGACGCGGAAGCCGCGAGUCCGGGCAUCCCAGACCCCUUGGCGGAGUUCACCGUCCCGCAGGAGCGUGACAUCCUCAGGGCCCGGCACCGUUGGGAUCCAAUGAAGAAGGUUUUCGAGACGAACGCGGUCACGGCGGAGUUCAUGUGACUGCUGGCAAUUUUAGUUUCUGAUCAAUUCGACUGCACGUUAGUCAUAUUUAUAAACGAUCCUUGUGCCAUUUGCAGAGAGAGCAGCGCAGGAUUGCGGCCGAAAGCGACUCGCCGUCUGAGGCGUUGGCGAGGCCCAAGUGGGACACUCCAUUCAACCGGGCGUUGAACAUAUUGAAAGGACUCCCGGUGGAGACUCGACUGUCGUAUGGACGCGUGCACGGUGUCGGAGAUGGCGCCACGUGGAAGAAGUACUACCGUGAGACCACGGAGGAGAGAAAGGAAAGACGGAGGUUAACUGAAGAAAACAUUGACAAGAAGGUUGAGAUUGCGGUUGAGAAGAAAUCAUCUAAGACAGUCGCAAUAGCGGUAGCUGCCGCAAAACAGGUGCUUGUACAUAUGUCUACUACCUUGGUUCCGGCCGUUUUCAAUUGGAGCAGGCAAAAUCUAGAAAAAAAUGCAGCGGAGUUUCCCCUUGCUGACUUCUUUGGGAGCAGCUCGACUAGCGUUGCACCAGCACCUGCAGCUGCACAUGCUCCCGCACCGGCUCCCGCACCGGCUCGUGCACCUGCUCCCGCACCGGCUCCCGAACCUGCUCCAGCACCGGCUCCGGCACCGGACGUGCUCGGCGGUGCUUCGUCUUUGGCUGAGCUCGACGCCCUCACGGUGUCUGUCACACCGGCCCCCAUCAAUAAAUGUAUUAUCUCCCGUUUUCGUUGCCUUUCGGAUGUCUCACGUCACAGACUUUUCUUUGCAGGCCGACGAAACCCCGUGCACCAUAUUGUACACCAUCGGCGACAAGAAGGUGGACGUGGGGAAGGCGACGAUAAUGGAGCCGAAGGAACCAUUGUUCCACAGCGGCUGAUCCCCCAGGACGUCUUCAAGGUUUCCGUGGCCAGUGUCAAACCGGGCCACGAGAAUUUGACUCCUCUGGUACUAGUGGGGGAUGACAACGAGACCCCACGGCGGCUUGGUAAUUGUUGCAAUGGGUGGGUCCUGUUGUGGCCAAAGAGUCUGCUUCGUCUGGAGGUGGCCGGGAGCACACCCACGAGCACACAGUUAGGUAUGAACAUCAACACCUCACCUACCCAAUUAGCGUCGGCUGUCGUGCUAGGUGAUAGCGGAGGGGGUGAGGAAGAGGCUCCAUUAGUCACUGGUGAUGUCGCCAUAGAUGAGGAUGAGGAUGACGAUGACACUCAACAGUAUGUCAAUACUGGUGCCUACUUAGGGUUUGAGCGUCAUGAGUCGGUGCCUGAAUUGCCGCCUCCGAAGUCUGAACGUAUUAUGGACAACCUUCCGGUAGUAAAGAAGUCUAGGAAGAGACCGAGGAAAGGCAAAAAAGCUGCUUCUAUGAUCCAGCCGCCUCAGCAGCCUCGGGUUCAAGACUGUAUAGAUAUCCCCGGUGCGGCAAAAUGGCAUAUCCAUGGUCAACCAAUCCUACCUAAAGCAGCGCUAGGGGCUAGAUUCGGCGAUUUAAGGAGACUUCAUGACGAUGUGCUGCGGAUAGAGAAAUGGCUCAUCGCCUCAAAAAAUCCAGGAUACCCACUCUACAUGGUUAACGUGCCGCGGCAAUUCUCGUACGUCGACACAUUCCCCGCGGAGAAGUUCUUCCUUCGAUUCGAUUACAUCUUCGACAUGUUUCACUUAAAGAAACUGGAUUUUACGUUUGUCCGCCUUUAUGUCUUGCACAUGAACUACCUCAUCAGGGUUGAGCAGAUACCUCAUAUCUGUGUCGCUAGCCCGUACUUCAUGCAUGAGGGCUUCUUGGGAGUCUGCGCAGAGCACCGUGAAUAAGCAAGGGAAUACAUCGCCAAUUUCAUGCUCACCAUAAGGACAAGGAGGCGAUUCUCGUGCCUUAUCAUCCCCUGUAAGUCAUCUGCGCGGAUAUCCUUCCUUUGAUUUCAAUCAUUCAUUUGCACAGUGGAGGCUAAUUAAUUUGAGGUGUACUUAUUUUUCGCAGCGGCGGGCGCGCCGUCCUCAUCAUCCUCUACCCCCGAUACUCCCACGCUCUUUACUUGGACUCGUCGAAGAACAUUAACAAAAAGGAUUACACCCACAUGAAGUCUGUUCUCGACAGUGCUAUGUUUUACUACGGCGCACGGGGUGGAGAGGUCAAGGACAAGAAGAAAAGGGACGGCAGGCCCGCCUUUGGCCAUAAGACCGACUUCUGCUGCAUCCACCAACCGAGUUAUUCUCUUAAUGAUGGAUUCUAUGUCCUACACCACAUGCUGGAGUACAGACGGGAUCACCAGAACCUUCGCAUGUCACCUAGAUCCGGCGAUGCCCAUAUUCUGCAAUGGGCAAAGAACUUAGGAGAUAUCGAGGAUCAUCGACUUCGAGCUGAGUUCUAUCACAUCCAGCGCAAACUUGCCCAAAUCAUCAUGAAGGAGGUCGUCGAAAAAACAGGGAUUUUCUAUGAAGAAGGACAAAUGUCGCGGGAAGACGUCCGAACACGCGUAGCGGCUCAGCUUCUCGACCUGAAGCCUUUCACUAAGCUUGGGGACUAUCUCCCUGACUUGGAUGCAUGGCACGACAUGUUGGAGUGAUUGUCGAUAUAUGACAAUGUGUCUGUUUAGUCCAUACUAUCUGUAUCACGAAACUCUGAGUUAUGCAUGACGAAACUUUAUUUGUUAUGUAAUUAAACCGUCCUCCUCGACUAGUGAAGAUCACUCUAGUUAGGGCUUUUUGGGUACGAUGAAUUUUGUUAUAUAUGCUUAUGGUAUGUUGCUUCUAUUUUUGCCAAGUCUGUCUCUUUCUGUUGCUCAACUAUAUAUGUUGCAUAUCAUCGACUCAUGUGACGAUGCAGGUGUAUAGAUCAUCGAUGGCGAAGAAGUGCUACGCCAGGAGUAUACGACGAGUGGCCGGAAUGUCAGGCCCAGGUGUACCGGUUUCCGGUUUCCGAGCGACAGCCAGUAGUUAGUUUAGGUUCACGCUAAUGCGAGAGAGGGAUACGAACUCAUGUACUGCAUAGUUCCGCUCUCACUCAAAGUGAUAGCUCUUCUCGCGUAUAUCAUUGUUUAGAUGGAUGACGACGUAGUUGCAAGUAAUCGAGACUUGUAUCGCUAUUUUUGAGAUGAUGACGAGAGACCACUUGUUGUUGGAUGAUGAUUAUGAUGAUGGCAUGAUUUGAUGAGACUAUUUGUAUGUAUAUGCUAUGAUUACAUUUGUAUGUGUAUGAUAUGCUAAAGAUUAUUGUAUAAAGCCUAUUCAAAUACAAAACAAAUAUGCAUAAAAAAAUAAAAACUAAUAAAACUAGCAGUAGCGAGGGGAACAAAGUUAGCAGUAGCGCUCCCUUACCAGUAGCGCUUCGUGCUAAAAAGCGCUGCAGAUAUUAGCAGCAGCGCUCUGCACUAAAGCGCGCUACUGCUAGCCAUGUAUAGCAGUAGCAUGGGAUGACAGGUGCUACUGCUACACGUUAGCUGUAGCGCCUUAUCAGUAGCACGUCGUCCCGAGCUACUGAUAGGCAAAAUACCCGCGCUACUGCUAGGGUUUUCCGUAGUAGUGCUUGUCAACCCAAUGAAUAAAUCUACCGUUUCCUAGUUGCAAUAAGAAACAAUUAGCAUUUAAUUAAUGGACACACAUUAGUCAAUAUAUUUUGAAAUGAGCAAAGUAUAGCAUAACUAGAUGAAAACCAAAUAUAGCAUAAGUGAGCUAGAAUGUUCCACAAACACGACAUGUCACAACUAAGUUACAAUGUUCUACCAACACAGCUUAGCAGCCAAACAAAACAUAGCUAUAAGACAUCCAAAUAUAGCACAAUAUAGUUGAAUUGUUCCACAAAAGUUGUGCAUGGGAUAACUGAAAUAUACAAUGGGUAUUGUCACAGAACACUAACUCUAGUUUAUACCAUUUACAUAUACUUUUUCCAGACAACCAUCACUUACUGAACAAGCAUCCCAUCAUUAGAGUCUGAGAAGAAAUGCAGCCUUCUCAGGGCGUCGAGAUCUGGGCCGUUGGAUUAAGCUUUCAAAAGAAUUGCGACCAUCAGAUCUUCAGAUGGAUCGAUCCGGGCCGUCGGAUCAUAGCAAACACUGCUACAGUGAAUAGUGUUGUUUCUUUUUUAUUUUGGUCUAUUAUUACUAUCUCGCUGACUGAUGGGCCACGCGGUAAGUGGUCCAUUGCUGUUAGUGAGAGCAGAGCACUAAGCGGUCGGUGCUGGUUCGUACAGGCUCAGGGGUCAGGCCAACGCCUGUGAAAUUGGGUAGCCGCUGAGGGCAAAUUCAACAUUUCACGUCAUCGCCCCUGCGUGACGCUCCGUGGAUGGCUAGUCAGCAAGUAAUGGCGAGGGAGCGACCCAUUGGCUAGAAACCUAGCCGCCUCUUCCCCGUCGUGUUCCUAUCUGUGUCGUUUGAGCUGCGGUCGCCAUCGAGGACGUGUCACUCGCACCGCCACUUCCCUGUCGAGCUCAUGCGUCCACUAGCCACACCGUCUCUUUUCCAUGCCUGCUCAUCCUCCGUUCCUCUUCGAUCACCGAGCUCGCCGUCGCUAUCGUCGGGAGGAAGCGAUUGGUGGACCUAGCCCACCGCCAUCAACGGGUGGAGCGCAGGAACCCGCGAUGCCCCUCCAGCGACCAGCACUUAUCCCUCGCCCAGCGACGAGGCCCCAUCGAACUCGCGUGUGGUCGCAGCUGGGAAUCCUCCUGUCCGCUCCUUGCUCCCCGCCGAGAGCCUUGAUUGGAUCUGGAUCCUGAGCUCUCCGUGCCCGCAUCGCCCCACCAUUCAUGGUGCACCACCAGCACGAGCUGCACAUCAUCAUGUCGUCAGAGGGAGAGCGGGAGGAAGUUGGCGCUGUUUAUCCCCACGAGGUGUGCCGUCGACGGUAGGAAGCCAGGCAGGGCGACGGGGAAAUACCGACGUAGUUCAAGCCGCAUCAAAAGGAAUUUCUGGCGCAGUUGCCAGGGAGACAUCAUCAACAUCUAUGAGGUUCCUAAUCACAAAUCCCAUCUCCUUGCAAUUUACAUUAUUUGCCAUUUGCCUCUCGUUUUCAUCUCCCCCACUUCACAAAAAAUUGCCGUUUUAUUCGCCCUCUUUUUCGUUUGCCUUUUUCUGGUUCGAUCUUAUGUUUGUUUGUGUCUCCAUGUGCCUUCUAUUUUGCUUGCAUCUUUUCUUGCUAAAACCUAUUGUUAUGGAUCCACUCAAAGUUUUGUACCUGGAUCUUGUUCGACCCAUAUGUGCUCGUGCUGAAACCCCAACUAGUUUAGUUGAGGGAAAAUCAUUAGAUGAGCAUGCUCUUUUUGCCCGUCAUCGUUUGUCUGAAAAAGGGAAGCUCUUAUGGAAUCAAAUAAAUUGUUUGCUAUGAUAUGCUUGGAAUCAUUAUGAAAUUUGUGAUUUUACUUGUUGCUCUAAGAACCCCAAAAAACACUUCCCCUAUCUAUGUGAGUUUAAUGACAAUGAAGUCUUAUGUUCUUAUGCCAAGGAGGUUUAUAGUUACUAUGAUAUCGAACAAAUUGAACAAUUUGUUGCUUUUAAGGGUGCUUAGAAGUUGCUUAUUUGAUUGAAAAGUAUGAUAUUACUCUCUACAAAUCUGAAAAUUUUGACAUACUUAAAUAUUGCUAUGAAAACUAUGCUCAUAAUGCCUAUGUUAAAGAAUUUAUUGAGAGAAUGUCCUAUGCUUUGAAAGAAAAUAGUGAUAUGCAUGAAGCUAUGGAUAACCAUGAUUCCGUUGAUUUGAUUGAAUUAUCCCCUCUUGAUGAACACGUUGCUAGCUAUUCUUGUGGCCAUGAUGCCAAUAUUAAUGAUGCUUAUGAAGAUGAACUUGCUAUAGUUCUUUAUGUUAAACAUGAAAUUAUUGCUAUUGCACGCACGCUGGAUAGCUCCUUUAAUGAAAAGCAUGAUUGCAAUGAUAUUAUUAUAGAUUCUAUUAAUCUCAAGUUUGUUAGUGAUAUGCAAAACCCCAAGCUUGGGGAUGCUUGUUUUGUUAUGUCCGCUACUUAUUGCAAUGAUCAUGAUUGGGGUGAUGAUGACUUUUAUGAUCUUGAUAGUCUAUUUAAGCCUCAUGAUGAAUAUGUUUGCAAUAAUAUUAAAAGUGGGUUUGGAAGAGUGUCAAAUAUUGAUAAAAAUAAUCCCACAAAUUUGGAGAGUGUUCAAUCUUAUGAUUUUUUUAUAAAAGUGGGCUUGGAAAGGUCAUGACUUUAUUUUAUGGUAAUCCCACUAUUUUGGAAGAGUGUCAACUUUGCAUGCAUGUGGAUCAUGUAGAGAAUAUGUUAUGUGAUAUCUAUAUUAUUGAAUUUGAACAUGAUUCCACAUGUAAUUGUUAUGAGAGAGGGAAAUAUGGUUGUAGAAAUUUCUUGCUACUAAGUCACCUCUCGUUAUGUUGAAUUGUCAAAGUUUUAUUUGUUUCCUAUGUAUAUGCUAGAUAUUUCUUGUUUUGAUAAUUUGUUUGCCUGUAAAAUUCCUAUACAUAGGAAAUAUGUUAGACUUAAAUGUGUUUAUCACAUGUUUUAUGAUCCUCUCUUUGUGUUUCAAUUAUUAUCUUUCAUGUGAGCAUCAUUGAAAUCGCAAAGCCUAUCUUAAUGGCUAUAAAGAAAGAGCUUGUUGGGAGGCAACCCAACGAAUAAAUUUUAUGUUUGCCUUUUUGUUUCUGUACAAUUAUGCCUCUGUUAUGAUUAUGUUUUUUAUGUUUUAAUUAGUGUUUGUGCGAAGCAAAGCCUUUUAGGAUCAUGUUGGGUGAUAGUUGAUUUGAUCUUGCUGAAAAACAGAAAAUUAUGAGUCCAGUAACACAAUUAUUAAAAUUCACAGAAGCGUGAUAAAAUUCUGAUUUUUUUACAGAAGAUUAAUACAAAUAGCGUAUGUUGUCCUAAUUUUUCAGAAUUUUUGCAGUUACAUAAGUAUACGAAGUUUUCAGAUUGCUACAGACUAUUCUGUUUUUGACAGAUUAUAUUUUCUUUUUGUUGUGUGCUUAUUUUGAUGAAUAUAUGGACUUUAUUGGAGGGUAUAAGCUAUAGUAAAGUUCGAAUACAGUACAUAUAAUGCAAAAAUAAAAUAUGAAUGGGUUUGCAACAGUACUUAGACUAGUGAUUUGCUUUGUUAUACUAACGGAUCUCACGAUGGUUUUGUUGAGUUUUGUGUGAUUGAAGUUUUUCAAGUUUUGGGUGAGAUCACGAUGGAUGAAGGAAUAAGGAGUAUGAAGAGACUAAUCUCGGGGAGGCCCAUGGCACCCCAAGUUAUUAUCCAAAGAGGAACAAGCAAUUAAGAUUGGGGAUGCCCCCGAGUGGCAUCCCCUCUUUCUUCUAAUGACCAUCGGUAUUUUACUUGGAGCUAUAUUUUUAUUCGUCACAUAUCAUGAGUUUUGCUUGGAGCAUCUUGUAUUAUAUGAGUCUUUGCUUAUUUUGCUUUUUUAUUUUGUGUCAUCUAUCCUUGCUGGACACACCUAUUUGAGAGGGCCCAAAUUAUGCUAUGGAAUCUUUUUGCUUCACUUAAAUCUUUUUGAGCUAUGGAAUUGAUCUUUGUGCUUCACUUAAAUCUUUUUGAGCUAUGAAAUUGCUCUAGUGCUUCACUUAUAUCUUUUUGAGAACGGUGUGCUUUGGUAUUUUUGAAGAAAUGCUCUCAUACUUCACGUAGAUUUAUUUGAGAGUUAGUAAAUUUUUUAAGAAAUCCUCUCAUGCUUCACAUAAAUUAAUUUGAGAGAAGAAAUUUUUUAUGCUCGUGUUCUUCACUUAGAUUUGUUUGAGCUAUCAAAAGCAACAUAUGAAAUUAGUCCCAAAGUGAUAGAUAUUCAAGAGGGAUAUAAUAAAAACUUUCAUGAAGAUCGUUAGACAAAAUAAACUUGAUUCUUUGUAAUAGUUUUGCGGUAUGACGAUAUAAUAUGUGAGUCAUGUUGAUGAGUUAUUACGCUUUAGUGAGAAUAUUGAUGUUAAGGUUUGUGAUUCUCUAUGUAAGCACGAAAGUCAAUAGUUAUGCAAUGAAAUUACAUCCUACUUGUCGUGCAUUAUUCGGUGUUAGUUCUGCUUAAUUCUUGCUUAUGAGAUUUUUUGUUUCUUGGUUGGAUGCUUCUCAAUAUUUUGCUAGCCUUCAAUUGUACUAAGUGGGAUUACUACUUGUGCAUCCAAAAUCCUUGAACCCAGUUUUUGCCAUAUGAGUCCACUAUACCUACCUAUAUGCGGUAUUCAUUUGCCGUUCUAAGAAAAUUUGUAUGUGCCAUCUCUAAUCUUCAAAAUAACUUCCUUUUUGUGUGCUCGUACCGCUCAUGAAACGGUAGGGGGUGGCUGAUAUUUUUCCAUGCUAGAUGUGUUAUUCUCAAGAUGAGUGUUUAUUCACUUGUCACUGCACGAGAGUAUGGCAAAGUUAUUAGGGAUGCCCAGUCCUGAAAUGAAAAAUGAAUUUACUUUAUGUUGUCAAAUAAUAAACUCCUUGGAAAGUGUUGGUAUGGACGGUACCCGUGGAUUCGGUUCGCCGUGGAAUGUGAAAGUAUGGUGGAAAAAGGAAUAAACUUUAUUUUCUGUUUGGGAACCACCUAUGAUAUAUCUAGCAUGGAAAGUAUUGGGAACUACUCGAUCGUUUUCAUUGACAGGAAAGGCAUGCCACCCAAAAUGUCUUAUCUCUAUCUUUUUCCGCUUUUAGCUCUGGCACCUCUACAAAUCCCUACUUCCCUCUGCGAAGGGCCUGUCUAUUUACUUUAUGAAAUUUUUAUUUUUAUUUCAAGUCUCCAUCUUCUCUUACAAAGCACCAACUAAGGGGCACUACGAUCGUACCAUAGCAUUGGGUGUAGCUAAUAUGCGAGUGUGUUUCAUGAAUGGAUCAAUGAUUGAGCAUAAUGGGCUAGGGAUAAAUUGCUUUAGUGUUGAUAUUUUGAAAGACAUGGUUGCUUGUUGAUAUGCUUGAGUAUUGAAAUCUUCAUAUCAACACUAGACUAUUCCUUUGAAUCAUAUAAAAGUCCAAAUGUCCAUGCUACAAAAGAAAAAGAAUAUGUGAUGAACAUGAUAGGCAACAUUCCACAUCAAAAAUUCUAUUUUUAUCAUUUACCUACUCGAGGAGGAGCAGGAAUUAAGCUUGGGGAUGCUGAUACGUCUCCAACGCAUCUAUAAUUUUUCAUUGUCCCAUGUUGUUAUAUUAUCAUUUUUGGAUGUUUUACAAUCAUUUUAUAACAACUUUAUAUCUUUUUUGGGACUAGCCUAUUGACAUAGUGCCUAGUGCCAGUUGCUGUUUUUUGCUUGUUUUUACACUGCAGAAAAUCAAUACCAAAUGGAGUCCAAAUGCAGCGAAACAUUUUGCAGAAUUUAUUUGGACCAGAAGACACACGAUGGGCCAAUAGAGUACUAGAGGGGGGCUCCGAGGGAAGCACAACCCACCUGGGCGCGCCCUGGUGGGUUGUGCACACAUCGGCUCGCUAUCGUGCCGCCUCUUUGCUCCAUAAAUACCCCGAAAAUCCAAAAACCCUAGGAGUCGACGAACACAAUUCCAGCUGCCGCAAGUUCCACAAAGCACAGAUCCAAUCUAAACACUGAUACGUCUCCAAUGUAUCUAUAAGUUUUUAUUAUUCCACGCUAUUAUAUUAUCUGUUUUGGAUGUUUUAUAUGCAUUAAUAUGCUAUUUUAUAUUAUUUUUGGGACUAACCUAUUAACCUAGAACCCAGUGCUAGUUCCUGUUUUUUCUUGUUUUAGAGUUUCGCAGAAAAGGAAUAUCAAACAGAGUCCAAACGGAAUGAAACUUUGGCGAUGAUUUAUCUUUGACCAGACGAUAACCAGAGGACUUGGAGUACACGUCAAGGAAGCCACAAGGAAUCCCAAGGGGGUAGGGCGGGCCCCCCACCCUUGCGGACCCCUAGUGACACCACCGACCAAUUUCUUCCGCCUAUAUAUUCUCAAAUACCCCAAAACCUUCUAGGAGAGCCACGAAACCACUUUUCCACCGCUGCAACCUUCUGUACCCGUGAGAUCCCAUCUAGGGGCCUUUUCCGGCAUCCUGCCAGACGGGGACUCGAUCACGGAGCGCUCCUACAUCAACAUUGCCUCUCCGAUUAAGCGUGCGUAUUUUACCACAAACCUACGGGUCCAUAGCUAGUAGCUAGAUGGCUUCUUCUCUCUCUUUGAUUCUCAAUACCAUGUUCUCCUCGACGUUCUUGGAGAUCUAUUCGAUGUAAUACUUUUUUGCGGUGGGUUUGCCGAGAUCCGAUGAAUUGUGUAUUUAUGAUCAGCUUAUCUAUGAAUAUUAUUUGAAUCUCCUCUGAAUUCUUAUAUGCAUGAUUUGAUAUGUUUGCAAGUCUCUUCGAACUAUCGAUUUGGUUUUGCCACCUAGAUUUGUUUUUCUUGCAAUGGGAGAAGUGCUUAGCUUUGGGUCAAUAUUGCGGUGCUCGAUCCUAGUGAUAGAAGGGGAACCGACACGUAUUGUAUUGUUGCCAAUGAGGAUAACAAGAUGGGGUUUUCAUCAUAUUGCUUGAGUUUAUCCCGCUACAUCAUGUCAUCUUACUUAAUGUGUUACUCUUUUAUUCAUGAGCUUAAUACUCUAGAUGUAGGCAGGAGUCGGUCGAUGUGUGGAGUAAUAGUAGUAGAUGCAGGCAAGAGUCGCUCUACUUGAUACAGAUGUGGUGCCUAUAUUCAUGAUCAUUGCCUUAGAUAUCGUCAUAACUUUGCGCUUUUCUAUCAAUUGCUCGGCACUAAUUUUUUCACCCAACGUAAUAUUUUCUAUCUUAAGAGAAGCCUCUAGUGAAACCUAUGUUCCCGAGUCUAUUUUCCAUCAUAUAAUCUUCUAUUUUCCAUCAUAUAAGUUUCCGAUCUACAAUUUUAGUUUCCUAUUUACUUUCUUUGCAAUAUUUUGCAUUCCGAUCUAUAAACCAAAAAUACCAAAAAUAUUACUUUACCGUUUAUCCAUCUAUAUCAGAUCUCACUUUGCAAAUAAUUGUGAAGGGAUUGACAACCCGUUUAUCGCGUUGGGUGCAAGUUGGUGUUUGUUUGUGCAGGUAUUCGGUGGCUUGUGCAUUGUCUCCUACCGGAUCGAUACCUUGGUUCUCAAAACUGAGGGAAAUACUUACUCUACUUUGCUGCAUCACCCUUUCCUCUUCAAGGGAAAAACCAACGCAAGCUCAAGAAGUACUGGGAAGAAUUUUUGGCGCCAUUGCCGGGGAGAUCUACGCCAAGCCGAGACAUACCAAGUACCCAUCAUAAACUCUCAUCCCUCGCAUUACAUUAUUUGCCAUUCGCUUCUCGUUUUCCUCUCCCGCACCUCUCACUACUAGGAAAAGGGCUAUAGACAAUAUGCACACUAAUGGCGCACCAGACAUGCGGUGCGCCACUACUAUAUAGCGGUGGCGCACCGUGUGCUGGUGCGCCAUUAGUGUGAUAGACACUAAUGGCGCACCACAACCAUGGUGCGCCACUACUAACAAAUUUUCUUUUUCUUUUUAAAAAAAUACUAAUGGCGCACCGCAACCAUGGUGCGCCACUACUAAUUUUUUUCCUUUUUUCCAAAAAUACUAAUGGCGCUACUUGGCACAGUGCGCCAUUACUAGUUUUAACUAGUAAUGGCGCACCAGUCACCCCGUGCGCCACUACUAUCAUUUUUUUGCAAAACUACUAAUGGCGCACCGCCAGCUGGUGCGCCAUUAGUAACCAGGGUUACUAAUGGCGCAUUUGUUGGUGGUGCGCCAUUAGUAACCUGGGACCAGCUAGAUAUUUUGGACAGCCACCUACACACUCACUUUCCCCACUUCAUUCUCUCCACCUCCUCCUCCAAGCUUGUCUCGGCUGCCUCCUCCUCCUCACCUCAUUUGCACCAUAGAUUCAUCCAAAUUAAGUGGUUAAAUUACCUUUUUUGAUAGGUAAGUAAGGGGAAAGCUUUCUUUAUGUUGUAGAUCUACUUUUUUCUCCCUCCAACAACGUGCACAUGCACUUUUUAUGGCCUAGCUAGAUCUAUGUAUGUUUGUGGUGUUGCAUAUGUUUGUGGUGUUGCAUAUAUGUUUGUGUUUGCACGUACCGGUAUUUGAAAUGCGAUAGUUGCCAAUAUUUUGCCAGAAUGUUGAUUCAUUUCCGUUUCGUCAAGAAUUUUGGCACUAUGCAUUCUUUUUUGUCCUAUUUUUAGGCAAAGUCAUGCCAAAUUUUUUCUUGGUUCUAAAAUAUCGUUUUGCUCUACCCUGCAGGCGACCAUGGUCUGCACGAUGACCGAAGGCAUCGUGAAUAGGUUUUUGAGCUCCGCGAAGGCCGAGAUGCUUCAAAAGAAUGAGACGGAGAUAAGAUGUCCGUGUCGAAGAUGCAAGCUGAGGAGCCUUAUGGACCCGGAUUCCGUACAGGUGCGGGACCACCUGCUCUUGCGUGGUUUCAUGGAUGGCUAUCGGUGGCAAGGUGAUGAAGAUGAUUAUGAAGUCGUCCAUGGGGGCCGGCCGGUAAGAAAUGAGGAAGGGCAGCAAGACAACCGCGGCGAGGGCGGGCGAGAAGACGAAGAAUCUCCAGGACAUGAUCACGAAGUAGAUGCAGUACGCAGUCAUCAUGUAGAAGAUGCCGGACAUAAAGAUGAGGAAGAUGCCGGAGCAGACGAAGGGCAUGAUCAUGAAGAUGAAGAUGCCGGAGCGGACGACGAUGGACCAUCGAUGGGCUGGGUGCAGGACCCUCAUAUUCAAGAGCUGCUUCUCAAGCAGACGGAUAACGCAAGAGCUGCCGCCCGAGAGAAAGCCAAGCUGGAUCAACUGGAGAUAGACGCGGUUACUCCAUUGUAUGAAGGAUGCAGGCCCGAGGAUACCCGCCUGAAAGUAACGCUCAUGGCUCUGGAGAUGAAGGUAAAACACAAAAUGACCGACGCAUGCUUCGACGAGAACAUGUCAUUCUGGCACGAACGUCUUCCCAAGGGGAACAAGUGCCCGACCAGUUUUGAGGAGGCGAAGAAAAUCGUGUGUCCUCUGGAUUUACCGCACGUGAAAUACCAUGUGUGCAUGAACAAUUGCAUCAUUUAUCGGGACGAGCACGCGGAGUCUACCAUAUGUCCGGUGUGCGGCGUCACUCGAUACAAGAAGAGGAAGAAAGCUCCUCGAAAAGCGGUGUGGUACUUUCCGAUCGCUCCUCGUGUGCAGCGGUAUUUCGCGGACCCUAAGGUAGCAAAGCUCUUGCGUUGGCACGCGGAUAGGGAGGAGAAGAAGCGAGAAGAUGACGCAAAUGAUCCGGAGAUAAAUAAAAAAGACAAGAUGCUGAGUCACCCUAAGGAUGGGAGCCAGUGGCAAGCGUUGAACUUCGAACACCCAGAAUUUGGGAACGAUCCAAGGAACAUCGUGCUGGGCGCGAGCACCGAUGGAGUCAAUCCGUUUGGCAGCCAGAGAAGCACACAUAGCACCUGGCCUGUGUUUGUGGAUGUACAACCUUCCCCGCUGGUUGUGCAUGAAGAGGAAGUACAUUCACAUGAGUAUGCUAAUUGAAGGGCCGAAACAACCAGGGAACGACAUCAAUCUGUAUCUGGGGCUGCUGAAAGAGGAGCUAGACACGCUGUGGAAAACGCCAGCCAAUACGUGGGACACCGCAGAGAAAGAAUAUUUCCCUAUGAGAGCCGCUCUGCUCACGACGGUGCACGACUAUCUCGAUUACGGAUAUGUCGCGGGGCAGGUGGUCCACGGAUUUUCUGGAUGCGUCAGGUGCAUGGAUGACACAACAUAUCGCCAGCUAGAUAGAGAUCUCAGGUCUUCGAAAACCGUGUUCAUGGGACAUCGAAGGUGGCUUCGCGACGAUGACUCAUGGAGGAAACGCAAGGAUCUGUUCGAUGGUGAAACCGAAACCCGAAGACGCCCGCGUACGAGGAGCGACAAGGAAAUAGACGAGUUGUUGAAAAAUUGGAAAGAUUGCCCACUGCCGGGAAAGAAGCAAAAGGCACCAGAGCCGGAAAAGAAGCGAAAGGCGCAAGAGCCGCUGCUGAAGGUAUGGAAAAUGAGGUCUGUUUUCUGGGACUUGCUGUACUGGAAGAUCCACCGUGUGCCUCACAGCCUUGAUGUCAUGCAUAUCACGAAGAACGUGUGCGAGAGUCUGCUUGGUACCCUGCUCAACAUGCCGGAGAGGACCAAAGAUGGGCCGAAAGCAAGGGCAGACUUGAAAUCAAUGGGCAUCAGGGAGGAGCUUCACGCUAAUGAUGAUGAUGAUGAGGCGAAGCAGGACACGGAAAGUCGUCGCAAAGGCAAAAAGGCCAAGAAGACCGAAAAUGACUUCCCUCCCGCGUGCUUCACUCUAAGUCAGGAGGAGAUCGAUCAGUUUUUCACCUGCCUCGUAGGAGUAAAACUUCCUUACGGUUACGCGGGGAAGAUAAGCAGAUACCUAGACUCAGCGAAGCAGAAGUUCAGCGGGAUGAAGUCUCAUGACUGUCACGUGCUGAUGACGCAGAUACUUCCAGUUGCAAUCCGUGGGAUCAUGGACGCGCACGUCCGUGAAACGCUAUUUGGCCUAUGCAACUUUUUCGACGUCAUCUCUCGGAAGUCGGUUGGUGUGAGGCAACUCAGAAGGCUACAUGAAGAGAUCGUAGUGAUACUAUGCGAGCUUGAGAUGUACUUCCCGCCCGCAUUCUUCGACGUUAUGGUGCAUCUGCUGGUCCAUAUCGUGGAGGAUAUCAUCCAACUCGGGCCGACGUUCCUGCACAGCAUGAUGCCGUUCGAAAGGAUGAAUGGUGUCAUCAAAGGAUACGUUCGCAACAUGUCACGUCCAGUGGGAAGCAUAGCCAGGGGCUUUCUGACCGAAGAGUGCAUCUCCUACUGCACGAAUUAUCUAGGCAUCGAGAACCCCGUUGGUCUGCCCGCCAACAGGCACCUCGGCAGGCUCGCUGGAUGGGGUCAUCGUGAGGGUUGCCGCGAAAUGCAUGUCGAUUUCGAGGGUCGACUCGCCGACUUUGAAAGAGCAAACCUAGUCGCGCUACAACACAUAGACGUGGUCGAUCCUUGGGUGGUAGAGCACAAAACCUUUAUUGAGAAGACGUACAAUGACCGAGACCAACAGAGGACGGACGGAGAUAUAAUCAAAGAGCACAACUCAUAUUUCACGCGUUGGUUCAAGCAGCAUGAGGAUUCUUCCGCGGAAGAACAACUCAAAUUCGCCUUGUCACAGGGCGCCGAGCACAACCUGAUGACGUAUGAGGCGUACAAUAUCAACGGCUACACAUUCUACACCGAGGGAAAGGACAUGAAGAGCGAUGGUUAUCAGAACUCUGGGGUAACGAUGGAAUCCUACACCGGUAACGAUAAGGACAGAUACUACGGAAGGAUCGAGGAGAUCUGGGAGCUGAGCUAUGCUGGAGAGAAGGUCCCGAUGUUCCGUGUCAGAUGGGCCAAGAGCGUCCUAAAAGAAGACCGGUAUUUCACCACCAUGGUUAUACCCGAAGCCAAAUCCAAGACCGCGGGCGCAAACGACACCGUGAAAAAUGAGCCAUGGGUACUGGCUUCCCAAGUGGACCAAUGCUUCUUCAUUACCGACCCGUCAAAGCCCAGUCGUGUUGUCGUGAGGAGAGGCAAAAGGAAGAUCAUCGAAAUGGAUGGAGUCGCCAAUGAGCAAGACUUCGACAAGUACGGCGACCCGAAGAUGGAACAUGACGACGAUGAUGAAGUACCAGCAUACACCACAAGAAGAAGCAGGACCACCCUACCUAAAGGACGUCCGUUCAAGAGAAGAACUCCAUUUACGAAAAAUAAGGGCAAGAAGAUUGUGAACAGAUAGCUAGCUAAGAUCGAUUGUAUUUAAAUUGUAGCCUUCAUUUCUCGAUUGUAUUUCAUGGGCACUUUUUGAACUCAUGAAUAUUUUUAAAUUUCAUGGGCACUUUUUGAAUUCAUGAAUAUUUUUUCAAAUUUCACCGCCGCCGCCGCCGACCCCCCGCACCCUCCCCCGCUCCACCGCCACCGACGACCCACCGCACCCUCCCCCGCUCCACCGCCNNNNNNNNNNNNNNNNNNNNNNNNNNNNNNNNNNNNNNNNNNNNNNNNNNNNNNNNNNNNNNNNNNNNNNNNNNNNNNNNNNNNNNNNNNNNNNNNNNNNNNNNNNNNNNNNNNNNNNNNNNNNNNNNNNNNNNNNNNNNNNNNNNNNNNNNNNNNNNNNNNNNNNNNNNNNNNNNNNNNNNNNNNNNNNNNNNNNNNNNNNNNNNNNNNNNNNNNNNNNNNNNNNNNNNNNNNNNNNNNNNNNNNNNNNNNNNNNNNNNNNNNNNNNNNNNNNNNNNNNNNNNNNNNNNNNNNNNNNNNNNNNNNNNNNNNNNNNNNNNNNNNNNNNNNNNNNNNNNNNNNNNNNNNNNNNNNNNNNNNNNNNNNNNNNNNNNNNNNNNNNNNNNNNNNUCCACCGCCACCGACGACCCCCCGCACCCUCCCCUCUGCCCUCUAUCACAGCGGGGACAACAGGAAGCCGCCGUCGCGCCCCUCUGCACCGGCUGCCCACGGCGCCUCCGUCCCGAAGCCGCAGCCCAAGUGCCCACCACUCUCUGUCCACGGUGAGCCAUCCUCUCUGUCCCAACUCUCUGUUCUUCUUUUUUAGCUAUCCUUUGUUGAAACAGUAGUUGCUGUGUAGCAAAUCUUUGGGAUUAGUGUUCAGUACUUUGUUGGGUGAGCGGCCAUCUGAGACAUCCUGCUUACAUAGUCUCCUUUUUAAAACUCGUCAAAUUGGUUUUAGAUAGAAAUGAUCAACACUCAAUUGGCCAACUGCAUGUGGAAUGAUUUCGAAGGGCGCCAUAACUUAUUGUAGAUGCUGACUACAAUAACAAUACUAAACUCAGUGUAGUCUGUUGUAAAGACACUUGUGCUUCUUUCAUCUGGAAAGGGGUCGUCUGGCCUCCAAAACUGUCAGAUUAGGUUGUGCUGUAACUCCUCACAUGGCCAUGUUUUUGGAAGAUUGGUCGUUUGUCACCGGCCCUUUGGUCACCCAGCAAUGGGACUUGUAUCAUAUUGCCAAUGAGGUUAAUAAAACAGUAGUGCAUCAGUACUUUGUUGGAACAGAAAGUCAGAAAAUCAGAAAAUCCACGGUACUUUGUUUAGAUCUUCACUGUUGACAAACGCAGUCAACUAAAAAUCCAGUUCAGUGCAUAAUUAGUGUUGACAAAUACACUGAUCUUUAUCUGCAGUAAUUCAGUUUAAACUGAAAAUUCAGUGUUGUAGUACAGAAAAUUUAAACUGAAAAUUCAUAGUCUCCUGGUGCAUAUUGAUCUCAGUGUAUGAAUUCAUAGUGUUUCAAAUUACUGAUGCUAUGGUCCAGGAGUAGAAAAAUUUGUACUCCAAGAUCAAUAUGGUUCAAUUUCUACUGUACUGUAAUCAAAGUGGAUAUAAAUUGCAGAGUGUUUAUGUUGGCAUUCGACAACAUCUAAAUUUACCAAAUGAUUGUGAACUCAGUUUAUGUUUGCAACCAAAUGCUUAGUUCAUUGUUUACUCCAAAUGAUUGUGAACUUAUUCAAAGUUUCCAAUAUUGUUCAGACACUACUUGUACUGGAACUGGAACUACUACUACUGAUGCAGCACCCCAUGUAGUUUAAGUUUUCUUUAUCUUAAACUCAGACAGCUCUCUAAUUAUUGGAGUUUAUAUCAUAUAUAUUGCUGGCAUGUAUUUCAUAUGUUCUGUAGCAUUAAGGCUACAUAGCAUUGCUUUUGUCUCUGACCAUCGUGUCGUGAUGAUAUUGUGGGGUGUUGUGGGGUUGCAGAGGCCCUUGAGUUUCAUCGCGAUGAUGCUAAUCGUGAUGACCGCAGCUCUCUUCUAUGUGAUGGUAGUUUAGAUGAUCGAUAUCGACUUGUAAUGUGAAGACAAACUCGCUACUCGCGGUUUCGAGACUUGUAGUGUUCUAACUUUGUUUGGUCUUUUGAAUUCGGAGACUAAUAUGAUGAAUUGUAUUCGGAGACUAAUCUUCUAUUGUAUUCGAUAACUCUGCUGUUUAUAUGUUGUGUGUCUAUAUUCUGUGCAGUAAUAUGUUUUGUAACCUGUGCAAAUAUCAGAAAAGAAAAAAAUCCCUAAUAUUCAUACUAGUGGCGCACCACCCAGAACUUUAGUGGCGCACUGCAAAAUGCAUACUAGUGGUGCAUCAGCAAGCAGUGCGCCAUUAGUAAGCCAGAGACAUGGUUAAAUAUGGCCCCCUGGGAGGCAUUCUAAUGGCGCAUCAUAGGGUGUACUAAUAGCGCACUACAUGGUGCGCCAUUAGUAUCUGAUAUACUAAUGGCACACUUGUGGUGCGCCAUUAGUAAUAAAAUCUAAUGGCAUGGUACUAGUGGCGCACCUGUAGUGCGCCAUUAGUAGGCAAAACAGGUGCGCCACUAGCAGCCCUUUUCCUAGUAGUGUCUAAAACGAUUUUCGAAAAAUUUGUCUUUUCUUCGCCCCUCUUUCGUGCGUCUUCUUCUUUUGCUCUUUGUUCGCUUGUCCGUUUGAUCUUUUAUCUUGCUGUCAUGGCUAGUUUUCCAUCCUUGUUAGCACUCCCAAUAAUAAGGUCCUCAACUUCAAACAAAGGGAAGGAGAAAAUUUAAAAGAUGCUUGGUAUAGAAUUUAUAAUGCUCAAAUUUGAUGAUUACUGCUGGAGAUGACUAACAUCCUAGAUGUUACUCACUAUGUCUAGAUACAUUCGUUUGAGUGUCAACUAAUUCUGAACAUCUUAGGUGUUACUCCCAAGUCUAGAUACAUUUUUUUGAGUGGCAACUAAUUCUGAAUGGAGGAAGUACACAAAGCUAAGCCACAGCCAUGAAAUAUAUAUAGGGCGGGGGGCGCUCGUUCCACAAGGAGCGGCGGGUAGCUUAGCUAUAGCUCGAUCGAUGAAUAUGGCUGUAGAUGGGUUUGGUGAGCUGGGCAUUCGUGUGGUGAGUCGCCGGCUGGUGCUCUGCCUGCCAGCUACUGCUCUGCCUGCCGCUCCACCUCCUUGUCGAUCGCGCCCACCCAAACGGACGUCCAUGACACAUACACCGACAAUGUGCUCCUCCACGGCCACGACUACCCAAGUAGUGGCCACGGCACCUCCUCCACAGGCUCGGGCGUGGGCGGUGCUGGUGGUGGUGGGGGCACGUUGGCCUCCACUCCGGCCGCCAAUUGGGCCAGCGCCUGCGCAAGGCCAGGCCACCUGGCCUUGCUCCUCGCGCUCGGCCUCCACGAUGGCCCUCCAUGUGGCCUCCUCGAGGGACACAACACAGGCCUCCUCGGCAUCCUAAUCCUCCUCCUUCACCACUCCCGGAAGUGGUGGUGGAGUGGCAAGAACGCGUGGUGCACCGGGCGCACACUUGACGCACUACCGGCAAUGUUGGUCGUGCUCGGUGGCAAACCACGCGUCCUAGUUACCGCAUACGUUGGGUCACGGCGGAGGUUGGCUAGGAGUAGAGCAUGGGAUCUCCGUCAGCUGUGCGCGGCCUGAGGCCGGCACCGGAACCCUAGCAAGGUUGAGGUCCCACCCGUGCGGUAGGUUCACACUGGGCUAUGGCGCAGGCACGCCAUACUCCCAAAAGUACUGGUAGCGGUGCAUCGGCAUGUAGUGCCGAAACCAUGGCUGCCGACUCAAGGUCGAUUUAUCUGUUCUUAUAAACUAGCGAAUUAGCAACUAUAUUACCCAAGAGUAACAACCAAGUCAUAUAUACAAUGUACGCUUGCAACCAUUGAAUAAAUUGUACAGAAUACCAAACAAAGAAGAUUGAACGAGGUCGUGGAACAACUCACAUGCACCAUCCACAGGUCAAGUGGAUGAUCCCAAUGAUGAGCGAAUGAUCCUAAUGACGAGCAGUUGGCGAGAUUAUGUUGCUCUUGUGAUGGUUAGUGAUGUCUGCGCUAGAGCUUGCUUACAACCUUGCGAGGUAAGGAGCUACGGCUACAUGCGUAUUAGGUUUUAUAAGCCGUGAAACCUCGAUAAAAGUUGCCGCUAUAAGUUUUUUCUUCAUGUCACUAUAAACCUUAUNNNNNNNNNNNNNNNNNNNNNNNNNNNNNNNNNNNNNNNNNNNNNNNNNNNNNNNNNNNNNNNNNNNNNNNNNNNNNNNNNNNNNNNNNNNNNNNNNNNNNNNNNNNNNNNNNNNNNNNNNNNNNNNNNNNNNNNNNNNNNNNNNNNNNNNNNNNNNNNNNNNNNNNNNNNNNNNNNNNNNNNNNNNNNNNNNNNNNNNNNNNNNNNNNNNNNNNNNNNNNNNNNNNNNNNNNNNNNNNNNNNNNNNNNNNNNNNNNNNNNNNNNNNNNNNNNNNNNNNNNNNNNNNNNNNNNNNNNNNNNNNNNNNNNNNNNNNNNNNNNNNNNNNNNNNNNNNNNNNNNNNNNNNNNNNNNNNNNNNNNNNNNNNNNNNNNNNNNNNNNNNNNNNNNNNNNNNNNNNNNNNNNNNNNNNNNNNNNNNNNNNNNNNNNNNNNNNNNNNNNNNNNNNNNNNNNNNNNNNNNNNNNNNNNNNNNNNNNNNNNNNNNNNNNNNNNNNNNNNNNNNNNNNNNNNNNNNNNNNNNNNNNNNNNNNNNNNNNNNNNNNNNNNNNNNNNNNNNNNNNNNNNNNNNNNNNNUAUAUAUGUAUAUAUAUAUGGGGCAUGAAACUGCAAACUACCACUAUUGUUGCCGGUGGACCUCCCGGCUCCGGUGCACAUCCCAACGUCGCCCUCGUGAAGCAAGCGAAUGGCCCCGCGAGCAUGUGGACGUUGUCCAUGUGGCAUUGGGUUCCCGCUUCUUGAGUGAACCGGAAAAAAAACCCAAAGCUGGUCAAUCUUCGGCUCGAAAGGAAGCCUGGCUUAUGGUUUUGUGUUUUCGCGCCGGCGUAGCCGCUCUCCGUCUGGGUGAGCGAGCGGUGGAGGACUGCCGCAAUGGAGGAGAUGGUGGUCCUUGGGCCCCGAUGCCUUUCGUGGCAUGAGGGCCGUGUCUUGUAUUCGAUGGCCGGGGACGCCAUCCGGAGCAGCUUGAGAAGGCACCGUCGGGGCUUUGCGCUUGCACCCCUAUGCAGCCAUGCCCGGCGCAGCGGGCUGUCCGCUGUGUGUCUUGCGGAGUCUGAGUGCAUCCAUCGGCUGAUUUUUAUUUUAUUCUUUCGAUGAGGAUUAGUAGUCGGAGAGUAGAUAGGUUCUUCCUCGAUCCCAUGAUAUAAAAGCUUGGGUGUUCGUUGACGCUAGCAAUGUCAAAAACGCUCUUAUAAAAUGGGAGGGAGUCCCUCGCAAAGAAAAAAAGAGAGUAGAUAGCUACUUUAUCUUUUAUUUUGAAGGUGGGAGUAGAUUGAUAACUACUUAGUGCACGUACGAAAAGAAAGACACGAUCGCCUAAAAAAAAGAAAUACUAUAUUGAGAUAUAUAUAGGGCGUGCGGGCGCUAGCAGUUCCACAACGAGCGGCGGGUAGCUAGGUUCAACAUCCAUAUAGGUUGAAUAUGGCUGUAGAUGGGUUUGGCGAGGUGGGCAUUCGUGUGGUGAGUCGCCGGCUGGUGAAGGCAUCCGACCCCUCCAUCCAACCGCAGGUGGUGCCCCUCUCCAACCUCGACCUGUACGUCGGCAACGUACAAGUCGCCAUACUAUGCCUCUAUCCCAAGCCUCCGGCGGGCAGGGAUUUCGCCGGCGUGGUGGCCACCUUCGAGUCCUUGCUGCCGGCUUUACUCAACGAGUUCUACCCUUUCGCCGGCCGCAUCGGCACCAACCCAAGCUCAGGCCUCCCCGAGCUGCUCUGCCAGAACCAGGGCGCAGAGCUGGUCGUGGGAGAGGUCCGCGUCGCUCUGGGGAGCCUGGACUACGGCCUGGCGGACAAGUCCCUGAAGAAGCUGAUGCUCCCGUACGCGGAGGACGUCACCUUCUCGGUGCAGCUGCUAUCCUUCGCCUGCGGCAGCUUCUCCGUGCUGUGGGCAACCAACCACCUCGUCGGCGACGGCCAUGACAACAUCAGGUUCCUGCGGAUGUGGUCUGAGCUCGCACGAACGGGCAAAAUCGUCGCCGACGGCGGGGACGGAAAGCUAAGCCACGACCGCUCGGUGUUCCGCCCUCGCAACCCGCCGUCAUACAGAGCCUCGCUCGCCACCGACCUAACGACGUUCGACCCGCGCCGGCUGGUAAACGUCCUGACGGCCCACGACAGCUUCGUCGACCGCCUCUACUACAUCGACGCGGCCGACAUCGCCAGGCUGCGCGAGAUGGCGAGCACCAAGCUGCAGCGCUCGUCACGCGUCCAGGCCGUGUCCGCGUACCUGUGGAAGGUCCUCGCCGGCGUGGUUGCCGCUUCCCGCGUGCCCGAGGAGCGCUGCCGCAUGGGGUGGUGGGUGAGCGCGCGCCGUCGUCUCACGUCGCCUGACCUCGCCUCUGCGAUGCGCAACUACUUCGGCAACGUCACGACCUAUGCCUACGGGGACGCGACGCUGGAGGAGAUCCAGCGCAAGUCGCUCGCGGAGGUGGCGGCCAUGGCGCGGGAGCCGGUCGCCUCCGUCAACUACGACGAGUACAUCCAGGAUCUGGUGGACUUCGUGGAGGUGCACAAGGGACAAGGGCUGAUGGAGACGGCCGUCGUCGGGCUGGGCAGCCCGACCCUAAGCCAGUCCGUGUUCGACUCAUUCCCACUCGACACCGACUUCGGCUUCGGCCAAGCUGCUCUCGCCAUGCCCAUCUCCGACUUCGCCAACCUCUGCUCAGCCUACCUGUCCAUCAGCGCGCGGCCGGCAGGCGACGGCUCCUGGCUCGUCAGUGCCUACAUAUGGCCGCGUCUCGCCGCCGCCCUCGAGGCCGAUGAGCAGCACAUCUUCAAGCCUCUCACGGCGGACUACCUUGGCCUCACAGCCUGCUAGACAACACCCACGCUAUUCUGUGUGUUCUUUUAGCCAACAAUAAAAUUCCUUGGUGUUUUGCUCUUCUUCCAACAAUAAAAUCCUUGUGUUGUGUUGUGUGGUGCUAUGUACUUUGGUUUUUUUCUUCAUCCAACAAUAAAGUUAGGAAGCGUUACUUUUUGAAAAAUAGCACACCUUAUAUAUACAUUUACUUUGAAAGUUAGAGAGGAUUUACUUUGAAAGUCACAGGUUUGCCAAGCACCUGAGGAAAAACACUCGGCAAAGCCAGCCCUUGGUUUCCGUCAGCCAAUAAAAGAUAGAUCACACGCGUGGCCGCCUGCUUAGCUAUAACCAAGGGCUCGCCGCCGCCAUACCCCCUUCACCUCCCCGCUGCCCCCAUCGGCCUCCUAAUUCCGACCACAGCCGCCUCUAUCCCCCACUAGCCGUCCAACUUUCUCCUCUUCAUAGAUCUAAAACUAGGAAUGGGUUGGAGGGCUCAAUGAACUAGAUCUACUAUAUAGUCAUCUUUGAGCUCAGCUAUUGGGCAUCAUUGCUAGUUGCAAGCUCCCAAUUGGUCACAUCACUGCUAUUCAUAUACCAGCGGGAUCAAAUUGGCCUCUACACGAGUAAGUUGGUCCCUACGGUGAAGUACAGCAGUGGGCCCAUAUUGGCACCCACCACUGAUAGGUGGCAAAGUAAAAUUGGCAUGUGAAAAGAAUUGCCAUGUACUGAUAAGAAUUUACCAGUGCGGUCCCACUUUGCACACACCACUGGGAAAAAAAUGAGACCAACCCAAGGGAUAACCCUCGUUGGCAUUUUCUUUAUAGGAGAAACUUCGCGAGCACCACACGUCCAAGCCGAAGCUCGAACUCGCGUGGGCUGGCAGCUACCCCAGCUACCGAGCCGACGGGUCGACGCCCCGUCCUCGCACACACCUAUGUGAUUUGGCUAUAUUAUGAGUUGGUGGGCCAUUAGUGUUUUAUGCAUAUUCCAAAAAAUCACAUUGUUUUACCAAUAUUCUGCGGCAGAAGCUUAUCCUCAAAGUGCACAUAUCCCAUAUUUACGAAAAAUACUCGUUUAUUCGUUUUUCUGCAGACCGCUCGGCGUUAAGGUUGGUUUACAGCCGAGCAAGCCGACUGCUCGGCGGGAUGAAGAUGAAAAGGCAGUGGGCUAAGCCGCGUGUGUUUUAUCAACUACAUGGGCUACAUUUAGGUAUUUCAAAACCAAAGGGCAAUAUAUAAGCCGAGUAAGGCGUUAGAGGACACUCGGCCAAUACCAAGACGUCGUCAUGGAGCCGUCAAGCACGUGGCAAUAGAAACACUGCAGUUGCUUGCGUGAGCCACACGUGUAUGCCGUGGUUUUUCUACAUAAUAUAUCGUGUUCUUUCUGUAGGCCAUGCGUCUUUUUACGUUGUAUUCGGUUUACAUGGAGCUAAGUUGAGGGACCUGCAAAUGCCGUGUGUUUUCAAGAUGGUACUCGGCUUAGGGUCUCUUUGAUUCAAAGGAUUUUGAUAGGAUCUUUGAAGGAUUAAAAUCCUGAGGAAGUUUUCCUAUGUUGGUCGUUUGAUUUGUAGGAUUGAAUCAUGUAGGAUUUUUUUCUAAAGAUGUAUUUGUACUACAUUUUACAGGAAUUCUAACAUCCACUCCAACCUUUUGGAAGAAAUCCUUUGUUUUCUCCAUGACACAAUCAAACAAACUCAAAUCCUAUAGGAAUCCAAUGGACAUGUCAUUCCAAUCCUACGUUUUUCCUAUGGAAAACUAUUAAAAUCAUCCGACUUAUUUUUCACGAACGUAAACCGUCUUUGACGGACGCCACGUGUCCCUGCUGGUCGCUCACUCCUUAUCCUUAUCUUUUCUCCAGAAGAAGCGUGAGCCACUCAUUCCUUUUCCUCCUUUUUCUUCUUCCUUCGAGCAAACAUGCUUUCCCAGGGACGGCUCUCUCCAGCAAUCCCAGUCGCCGCUCACUUCGUGUUGAUGUAGGGCUAGGCUGAGAGGAUGCUCCUUCCAUGGCCGGCGGCGGAGCUGCGUUUGGUGAUGCGCGACGAUGUUGCGGCCACGUUGACGGCAAAGCUGCGUUGGAGCAGAAGGUGCUACGAGCUGCUGCCAUGACCGGCGGCGCUACUGCACAGCAACGGCGAAGCUGCGUUUCAGCAGCAAACAGCUAUGAGCUGCUGCCAUGGCGGGCAGCAGAGCUACAUGGCAGCAUGCAGCAGGCGAUGCGUCAAUGAAACUUGGCCGGAGCUCCAUUGAAGCUUCGCCGGUGCGUCAAUGAAACUUCGCCGGAGCUCCAUUGAAGCUUCGCCGGUGCGUCAAUGAAGCUUGGCCGUAGCUCCAUUGGAGCUUCGCCGGGGCGUCAAUGAAACUUCGCCGGAGCUCCAUUGAAGCUUCGCCAGUGCGUCAAUGAAGCUUCGACGGGGUGGCUCGGUGUUGCUAUGGAGCAGCACCCGGUGGCUCUCGGUGUUGUGAUGCAGCGGUCGCCGGUGGCUCCGGGGACGCGAGGUCGCCGAGGCAGGGUGACAGGGGAGGGUCUGCGUUGCUCUGCAUCAGGAGGAGUUGUUGUGCGCUGCUCUGUAUCAGAUGGCUGGGGAUUAGUGGAGAAAGGCCCAGGUUGUGUCGCGGCGAUCGAACGACCAUCUGUGCGGACCGAACGGCUGGCUGGGCGGAUGAUAUCUCUAGGAAAUCAUCCGCCUGAUUUGUAGCAGCCGCCUCCUAUUCCUGUGUUUUUGCAAUUCUAUGAAUCUGUCUAAGACGAGUAUCCGAGAAAAUACACCCGGCUUACCAAAAAGCACUAAGCAACAUGUCUUUUUCUCGUAGUGGCCUUUUAAGGUUUUUAUUUUACUUCAUAUAGGGCUCAAAGAGCCAACCUCGCCACCAACAUCGCCUACCAAACUUUGCCCAAGACGUCAUGUCCAUGAUCACAGACCAGUCAGGUUUAAACAUGUUUUCAUCUCUAUGAAAUUCACACAAAAAUUCCAAAUUGACUAGGUGUUUAAACUUAUGUUUCGACAAAGACUCAGACACCUGGACAUUUGAAAAUAGGACAAACGUCGACGCUCACAUGGACGCACCUAGACUCACAUCUAUGAACUUAUACACUAUCUCACUAAAUAGCAUAAAACUACUACAAUUCGGACUAGAGUUUCAAAAAACUACUAAAUAUAUUUUUCCGCUCAUAACUACUAAAUCAGGGGUCGGCUGUUUCAAAAAACCCAAAUCAUCGAGUCUUUAGUAAUUGAUCACGAUUAUGACAGUUGGGGCCAAGCGUAAGAUAACCGUUUGUUUGACCGUUUAGUUUGAAUGUUAACUUACAUGUGGGUCCCACAUGUUAGUUUUUUUAAAAGCAAUCAGGUCCCUGUAAGUUUUCUAAAAUAGCAACCGGGUACAUGUGAGUUUUCUAUAAGGUCCCUAAAAGUUUUUGCAAAAAGCAAUAUAAUCAGGUCUCCAGAGGAGCCGCGCCCGCGGCAGCCUGCUCGAUCCCGAGCGCUCUGCCCGAACCACGACGCUGCCUCCAUCGGCCGGCCAGCCGCGCCCGCAACGGCCGAAUCCACGCCGUGCCUCGCCUGCCACCAUGGCGUGACUCGCAUGCCGCCAUGUCAUGCCUCGCUGGCGGCCGCUGCCACGCCGUGCCUCACCUGUGGCUGCCGCCAUCCCCUGCCGCGAGCUCCUCAAGCUAGACGUGGACGGCCUGCGCCGCUGCUGGAGUGCGCACCUCCCAUUGCCGCGGACGAGGUCGCUGUCUGCUAUGCCUCCUCGAAGCCACCGUCACCACCAGGAGCUACGGUGAGCACCUACCACGACCAUGGGGAGGGUGGGAAGGAGAGGGAGGGUCGCCGCCAGCCAGGCCCGGCCCGGAUGGAGGGGUAGGGGGCGGCCGCCCCAGGCCCCCGAAAUUGAGGGGACCCCACGUUCGUGUGCUCUCUGUAUCCAGCCCAUGUGCUCUCUGUAUCCAGCUGAUGAGAAAAAAUGAUUCUGGGCUACUUUUGAUGAAACAGACCUGUACAUGUAGUGGAACUUGUGUUUCCCUCGCGUAGGUCCGCGGAUGACGACAUGAGCGAUCAACCUAGCGAUAUAUCCUACAAGCCCGAGGGAAACCCCGCCGCCGACACAGCCUCCUCCCGUGGAGGCCUCCCCCGAUGAUUUCUCGUCCAAUGGCGGAUCGAGUAAUUUCAUGUUCAUCGCCCUGGACAGGAGUAACAACACCACCGGCCCUGGCAGGCAGUUUUAAACUACAGAGGUCAGGUUAGCAUCUUCCUGAUGCAUCAUCCAACGGAGCUAGCUAGAUUGAUAUGUGACUAGUUGGUGGCAGAAUUAUUAGAUCUAGUGUAUUAGCGGAGAGGAGUAGGACGUAGUUGUCCUUCUGACUAAUUUUUUUAAUGCAAUCCUUCCGAUUAAUUAAUCUGGUCGUGUUGGAGAUCGAUGAAAGAUGAGGGGAGAGGAUGUCUAGAAUCCAUGGGAUAAUGAUAAUUGGCAAGCUGAAAUUAAUUGGAGGAUUCAUGGUCGAUUCAAUAUGAUUAGGUGGCAAAAUUAAUUUUUAGUAGCUAAAAAAAUUAACUUUUAGUGUUGCAAACUAUGAAGCUAUUCUACCUGCAUGCCACCAAGAGCAGUUCAAAUUACUUUUUGUUUGCCAAACUAUGAAAUAUACAAUGCAUGAAACUUCCCUAUCAAAAUCUUAGCAAAAGUGAGAAAUAAUAAUUAUAAUAAUGUAUAAUUAGAACCCGGAACUAGGUCGACCAGCUGGUUUUGCACGCCAUGAUAAAAAAAUUAACAACAAUUCAUGUUUAAAAUUUAUCUAGACAUGCACAUAAUGAUUAUAAUUUUGGAUAUAUAAAGGGCCUCCGAUUGUAUUUUUGCCCCGGGCCCCUGAAAUCUCAGGACCGGCCGUGCCGCUAGCUUGGGAUGGGAGGGGACGGUCGUCGGCUUGGGAGCGGAGGGGAGGGUCGCCGGCUUGGGAGGGGAGAUGGCCUGCUCGGGAGACACCAGAAGAGAGACGAGAAGAGACAAAGAGGAAGAAGAAAGAGAAUAGCAAGAGGAAACUUACAUGUAGGCCCCACAUGUAAGUUAACGGCCAAACUAAGGUCAAACUGACAGUUUGUUUAGGUGCGGGCCCAACCUGUCGUGACCGUGAUCAACCGAUAAGGACUCGGGGAUUUGGGUUUUUUGAAACAGCCGACCCCCCGGCUUGGUAGUUAUCAGCAAAAAGAAUUUGGUAGUGUUUUGUAACCCUAACGUGAAUUGUAGUAGUUUUAUGCUAUUUACUCAAACGAUCUCUAUGAGCAUUUUCAAGAUACUGAACCGGCACAUCAUUUUGAGAUUGGUGAACACCACAGACGUCUUCAUAGUUGACAGAAACGUCUCCUCCCAAUGAACGAACAUCGCAAAAGCCUGAAAUAAAUCCCAAAAACUGUCAGCACCAUUACCAAGUUUAAAACUUGAACCCUGAUAGGGUUGGUUCCACCACAAGAAAUCUAACUAUUUGAGCCAUGCACAUCUCAUAGUUUUCCCUGUGGCCAUGGAGGGUGCCACAUAUGUAACCCAUUAAUAUGGGAACCCAUACCUGUAAGCUUGUCAGCAUUUAUAGGCUAUAUAUGCUAAUCAAUUAUAAAAAAAACUGGGAUAACAAGUUUGAACUACACCCAUUAUUCCUCCGCCUAUAUAUUGUCGUGCAUGCAUGCCAGUGCCAUAUACGGAAACAAACCGACCGAGAAGGCCCUUAAUUAACAGCUAGCUAGCUCUCUUGGUCGAAUAUGGUAACUGCUAAUGCUAUUGGCUCCGGCGACCUGAGCAUCCGUGUCCUGAGUCGCCGCCUUGUCAAGGCCUCCGACCCAUCUACCAAGCCGCACGUAGCCGCCUUCUCGAACCUCGACCUCUACCCUGGCAACGAGCAGGCCUCGAUAGUAUGCCUCUACCCCAAGCUCCCAAACGCCGGUGACUUCCCGGCGGUUGUAGCCACCUUCGACUCCAUCCUCCCGUCGUUGCUCAACGACUUCUACCAUUUCGCCGGGCGCAUCCGCACCAACCCAAGCUCCGGCCUCCCCGAGCUGCUCUGCGACAACCAAGGCGCAGAGCUGGUGGUCGGCGAGGCCGGUGUCGCCAUGGCCAGCCUGGACUACGGCCUGGCGGAGCAGUCGUUGAAGAAGAUAAUGCUUCCGUACGCCGAGGACGUCACGCUCUCGGUUCAGCUGCUCUCCUUCGCCUGUGGCGGCUUCUCCGUCGUGUGGGCGACCAACAACCUUGUGUGUGACGGCCAAGCCUUCACCAUGUUCGUCAGGAGGUGGUCCGAGCUCGCCCGAACUGGGCGCAUCGUCGACGGACCGCCCAACCAUGACCGCUCGGUGUUCAGCCCUCGCAGGCCGCCGUCGUACGGAGCCUCGAUCAGGGACAUGUUCGCGACGUACGACCAUGACCGGCUGGUGAACGUGCUGACGGCGCACGACAGCUUCGUCGAGCGCCUCUACUACAUCGAGGCGAGCGACAUCGCUGCCCUGCGGGAGGCGGCAAGCAGCAAGCUCCAGCGCCCGUCGCGCGUCCAGGCGGUGUCCGCGUACCUGUGGAAGGCCCUCGCCCGCGUGGUGGCCGCGUCCCGCGUGCCGGAGGAGCGCUGCUGCAUGGGGUGGAUGGUGGACGCGCGGCGGCGGGUGAAGGCGCCGGAGCUCGUCCGGGCGAUGGGCAACUACUUCGGCAACGUUACGGCCUACGCUCUCGGGGAGGCAGCCGUUGAGGAGAUACAGGAGAAGGAGCUGUCGGAGGUGGCGGCCAUGGUGCGGGAGACCAUCACGUCUAUCGACUACGAUGAGUACACCCAGGAGCUGGUGGACUGGGUGGAGGAGCACAAGACAGAGAGGCUGAUGGAGAAGGGCGUCAUCGGGCUCGGUACGCCCACCUUGAACCAGACGGUGUUCGCGUCGUUCCCGCUCGACACCGACUUCGGCUUCGGCCAUGCCGUGCUGGCAAUGCCCAUGUGCGACUACGGGAGGCUCAGCUCGGGGUACCUGUCGAUCGGAGCUCGGCCGGGAGGCGACGGCUCCUGGCUGGUCAACGCCUACAUAUGGCCUCGCCUCGCGGCGGCGCUUGAGUCGGACCAGCAGCGCAUCUUCAAGCCUCUCACGGCGGAGUAUCUAGGGCUCGUCUAGGCGUACCACUCUGCUGUCUGCCCGGUUUCUUCUUCAAUAAGUCUUUGCUUCGUCUUUUGAGGCAUGAAAGCAGCUCGUGCUUGUUUUACUUCCACCUAUUUUGCAAUACCCCAAAUAAAGCCCUUCUGUGUGGAGGGUAGUUUGUUUGAUCAAUAAAUGUUUGAGUCGUUCAUAAGGUUUCCUUGAUUAGUAUACAAAUCAGUUGAUGACUACGUUUCACAACUCAUGUGCAUGGAGAUGCUAAACCGAUAGUAUGGACUCGGGGAUGGAGACCACGCAGUCGGACAUACCAACUCUGAGACGCAGCGAGAUGUUGUCAUAUGUUAGUGUCAAGCACAAUGUUUAUGCCAUGUCCUAGACCUAAGGUCCUCGCAUGUUCUCGGGAUGAGUAUCGACUCACUUAAGGUCUAUCAAACGCUACUCCAUAACUGGCUAGAUAUAAAUGUAGCUUUUGGGUGGGUGGUGAGAUAUGCCGCGAGACAUGGCCGACCAAGAUGGGAUUUACCCCUCCUAUUUGAAGAGAUAUUUUCUGGACCCUCUCGAGGGAUCGGAUUCGGAAAGCAUGACCAUGCGACUUGGUUAAGUGUUAACCCAGUGCGGGAAUCUAUAUCACGGUGUCAAGAAGAGAGGUCGAGCUACCACAAGGGUGACAAGUACUCACCUUGAGCUUGACAACAUAUAUCGUGAGGCAAAAGGAAUGUUGCAGAUGAUACAUUGUCGAGGUUCUUCGAACGACUUUACACGCACAUGAGAGUUGGCACGUUCAGCGAGGAGCUGCUACCAACUAUCGACUCUGGUCGUGUCCAUGUGUACGUAAACCUAUAGGGUCGCACACUUAAGGGGCUGCAGGCCAUUCGGAUUGGAUUCGAGUGGAAAUGGUUUUACUCCUAGUGGGCCUCAAGUAUUGAGCCUAUCUCGGAGGUCUAUAUAUAGGGGAGUGGCCGCACAACUGAGGUUGAUCUUUUUCCACCAUGGACAGCCUCCAUCGCAACUCCCCACGCCCAUCCCGCGCGACCUAACCUAGAUGCCUACCGCCCGACGCUGCUCCCCGUACGUGUGGAUACCUUGCAGGCAUCGCAUCCGUGGUGCUUGGAUGAACUGUUCGAGGGAACCGCGAGGUGCCGUUCGCGGGAGAUCAACGUUCACAGGUCUUUGUUGUUCGCGGGAGAUCGACGACGCGAGGAGGAGACGCCUCGGGAGAUCGUCUACAUGCAUCUCCAACUCUAUUUUCUGCUGCGGUUACUGCGCGUCUAGUGGUAAACUCGAUCUCAUGAUCUAUUUCCAGCAACUUGAUCUUGGGUGCGUGGUAGAAUUUUUUUUAUUUGGCUCUAGCUUAGCAUACCGCGUGUUUCUACAGUCGUAUCAGAGCCUAUGCUACGUGGUAUUAGAUUCAAGGUAGAAUUUUCAAAUGAUGAUAUGUAGAUUGCUUUAUGUACUGGCCGAUGAGAUCGGUUGUCAAUAUGAUUGACUAUACAUGGUGUCAGGCAUUCGAAAUUGUGAUCUAAUUUUCCGUGAUGAUGUUGUGGAGGUCGUGGCACAAAUUACCUAUACCGGUCGGUUUCGGCCAUCGGGUAAGACAGUGGAACGUAAAGUCGGUCACAACACGCGAAGACCAAUGAGAUUGGUUGAAUCAGAUAGAUGGUCAAAAUAGGAUAAAUAUGAUUUGCCGGUGAAAAUUCCCAUGCAAAAAUGCAUAGAUAUUGCAAGGGCGCUGCCAGUUGACCCCACAGGGGGCAAAGCCCCAUCGACCCCCAUCCUGUUAAUCUCUUAGGGCGGUGGAUAACUUGUUUUUGCAGGUAAUGCUUGUGAUUUGGUACAACCCGGGUAUGUUGCAUGUACGUAAUUAUAUCAUGACCUGCGUGUCGAGAGUACAAUAACUGGUUGGAGCCAUAUGGUUGUCCCAUUAUUGUAUUAAUGACCUUCAUGUCAACAUGAGAAGCAUUGUAUUGUUAUUUACUUUCAAUAGCUAUUAGUUUGUAAUAGCGUAGUAUCUUAUGUAACACUUGGCGGUUGACACCAUGGCGUGGAGAUGAAGAUCUCCACGAGGACAACCAUGCAUGGAGAUGGAGAUCACCAUGGGCAGGCCGUGCAGGUGGAGACGAAGAUCACCAUGCGAUAUCAAAAGGGGCUAAACCAUAUCACACAUAUAAACUGCCUGUGAAAGUUUAUCUCUGUUAUGCACCCUUCUUUUGCAUGGUAGACGUUUCAAGUAGGGUGAUCCCUCAAAGAAUGUCAAGUAAAAAUGCCUCUCCAAAUGUUGCACCAUCACACAUCAAGUAUACUUAGUGGUGGGAUUAUAAAAUUAAGGUGCCAUUUGGUGUCCUUGAAGUGAUGGGUUCGGUUCGGACACUUACAUGCAUAGCAUUGGUUAUCUUGUCGUGGCUAUCAAAACAGUUUUGGGCCUCGAGGCGUAGGAGUUGGUGCGACAUGAGAUGUCCCCAACAACAAGAGUCGUAUGGAGACACGAUUAGCAAGAAAUACUUAUGGAGUGAUCUCGUCUUCUAGCAGUGAUGCAAAUGCUCACUAGUUAACAUGUUGAUCUUGGAUCUUGAAUCACUAAGUAUCAUCUGAGGGAUGUUGAUUUUAUUUGGAGUGAUGAUCUUAUUAAAAUGUUUAAUAUGAAUUACUCUUCAUGAAUACAUGUCUUAGUGUUUUGCAUCUUUCUGUUGGAGAUCAGAGGCACCACCUGCUCAAGUUACUCCUUUUGCGCUGAAAACAAUCCUAGAAAAAGAUAAAUGGAAUGGGACAAACUUUACGACCUGGUAUAGAAAUCUGGGAAUUGUUCUUAGGCAUGAGAAAAAGGACCAAGUUCUAGAAAAUCCGCUUCCAGAUGUACCUGCCAAGAAUGCUAAUGCCACAACCAGGAGUGCCUACCAGAAACCCAUUGAUGAAUAAAAUGAGAUCAUCUAUCUCAUGCCGGCUUCAAUGGAGCCCGAUCUACAGCAGCAGUUCGAAAACAUUAAGGCUUUCGAUAUGAUCGAGAACCUCAAAAGCAUGUUUCUGAUGUAGGCUAGGACCGAAAGGUUCAACGUCUGGCUAUCCUUGAUGGAUUGUAAGUUGAAUGAAAGUGAUCAAGAUGACUAGGUACAUGCAAGCUUUGGAUUGGUUGGGCUUCCCACUUGGGAACGUUCAACUCGAACUACCAUAUGCAUGGGAUGGAAAAGAAGCUCACUGAAUUGCAUGGGAUGCUCAAGGUGGCAGAGCAGGAUAUAAAGAAAGUUACGCAUCGUCAAGUGUUGAUGGUGCAGAACUGGGCUAAGUUCAAGAAGAGAUGUUCCAAGAAAAAGCAUAAGGCAAACGGCCAGGAGGAGAAGGCAACUCCAACUUCUGCCGUUGCGCCUAAGUCAGGGCCAGCCGGGGACCGUUUUCUUUCACUGUAAGGAACACGGCCACUAGAAAAUGAACUGCAACAAGUGGCUUGUCGAGAAGGGCAAGAAGACUGGAAGUGUCACUUCUUCAAGUACACUUAUUGUAUAUGUUAUAGACAUUUAUCUUGCUGAUGUUUCUAGUAGCUCUUAGGUAUAUGUUACCGGAUCGGAUGUUCACAUAUGCAUCUCGAUGCAGAGUCUAAGAAGAACUAGGAAUGUUGGAAGAGAAGUUGACAUACACAUCGUGAAUAAAGCAAGAGUUGAUGCAUUGGCCGUCAGCACUAUGCAACUUAAUUUACCUUCAGGAUUUGGAAUGGAACUUGAUAAUUGUAAUUAUGUUCCUGCUUUGAGUCAAAACAUUAUUUCUGCCUCAUGUUUGAUGAUACAAGUUUAUGAAAUAAGUAUUAAGGACAAUGGUUGUUCUAUGUACUUGAAUAAAAUGUUUCAUGGCUUUCCACCUAUUGUGAACGGGUUAUUAAUCCUAGAUCUUGAAGGUGAGCCAGUCUAUAACAUAAAUGUCAAGAGGCAUAAGCCUAACGAAAUAAACCCGACUUACAUCUGGCAUUGUCGACUAGUACACAUUAGUAAAAGUGCAUGAGGAAGCUCAAUGAUGAUGGAAUUCUAACUUCAUUUGAUUUUGAAUCAUUCGAGACAUGUGAGUGUUGCCUUCUUGGCAAGAUGACUCAGACUCCUUUUGCAAGGAGUUGCGAAAGGACGUCCGAGUUAUCGAAACUCAUCAUAGUGAUGUAUGUGGACCAAUGAGCACGACAGCAGGUGGUUUCCAAUAUUUCGUGACGUUUACAGAAAACUUGAGUAGAUUUGGAUAUGUCUACUUGAUGAGGCACAAGUUAGAAACUUUUGGAAAGUUCAAGGAGUUUGAGAGCGAAGUGGAGAAUCAACUCGGCAAGAGAAUCAAACUUCUACGAUCUGAUCGUGGCGGUGAGUAUAUGAGCCAGGAGUUUGAUGAUUAUCUAAAGAGUCGUGGAAUAGUUCCACAACUGUAUCCUCGGGGUAUGCCACAGAGAAAUGGCGUGUUGGAACGAAGGAAUCGGACUCUGUUAGACAUGGUCCAAUCAAUGACGAGUCGGUCGGAUUUACCUUUGUUAUUUUGGCGAUACGCUCUAGAAACUGCGUAUUUCACACUAAAUAGGGUACCAUCCAAGUUUGUAGAUAAGACGGCAUAUGAGAUAUGGACUGCGAAGAGUCACAGUUUGUCUUCUCUAAAAAUUUGGGGUUGUGAAGCAUACGUCAAGCGACUCCAGUCAGACAAGCGCACACCCAAGUCGGACAAGUGCAUAUUCGUGGGGUAUCCAAGGGAAACCUUGGGAUCUUACUCCUACAUCCGUGAAGACUGCAAAGCGUUUGUCGCUCGACAUGGAGUUUUCCUUGAGAAAGAGUUUCUCAAUCAGAAGGCUAGUGGGAGGAUGAUACGACUCGAGGAAAUUCGAGAACCACAUGGAGUUAGUCAGGGAACCCAUGGUGGAGUCGACGCCAAUUCCACGGAGGUCAGAAAGGUUGCGCAAUAUGCAUGACUGCAAUGUGUUGUUCUUGGAGAACAACGAGCCGGCAACGUAUGCGGAAGCCAUAGAGAGCCCUGAUUCCGAGUUAUUGCUUGAGGCCAUGAGAUCCGGAUUAAAGUCCAUGGAUGGCAAUCAAGCUUGGAACUUGGUUGAUCUGCCAGAUGGCGCUCGAGGCAUUGAGUGCAAACUGGUAGUGAUGCCUAAAUAAAUUAGGACCAUUCUUGCUAUAUCUGCAUAUUUCGACUAUGUUACUAUUAUGUUCUUCAACAGAAGGUCCCAAAUGUUGUUGUGCCUCUGCUGAUGGACGCCGAAAGUGAGAUGACAAUUGUUUGCCCUUUGAAGAUCAGAUUCAAAUAUACAUACUCGACCGAGCGUUAAUCAAAUGGAUGCCUCAAAAUUGAGUGAUGGAGGCAAAUAGUCAAUGAGCUCGGGCCACAAAUUGGAGACCGGGGAUCUCUGUGGUCCAUCAUGGAGAUGUAGUUUUUUUUCUCUGUUUUAUUCUAUUUUACCUAAGACACUGGAGUAGGUCAUAGUACUUGUCAUGUGCUUGAAAGUUACUUACCUAGGAUGAUGACAAUUAGUUAGUAGUGGUUAACUUAUGAUGAUGAUGAUGGUGAUGAUGGUGAUGAUGAUGAUGAUGAGACAUUUUUAUAUAAUUAUGAUCAUGAUGAGCUGUUAUAUCACUACGAUGAUGAUGAGUUAUAUCAUUUUGAUAAUGAUGAGUUGUUACAUGAUGAUGAUGAUGAUGAUGAUGAUGAUGAUGAUGAUGAUGAUGAUGAGUUGUUAUAUAGUUGCUUGUGUAUAAAAAUCUGUAUAAUUAUUGUAUAAAUAUAGUAUAAUAUGUAGAAAGGAAAUACAUAGAGUUAGUAGUGGCGGGGGGCCUCGCGCUAUAGCUAGUUAUUAGUAGCACGGGCCAAACACCGCGCUGCUCCUAAUGUAAGUAGUAUUAGAGCCGAGCCUGGCCCGUCUUACUAGGAACCAGUUAGCUACACGCUGAUGAGUUGUUAUAUGAUGAUGAUGAUGAUGAUGAGUUUUUAUAUAGUUGCUAAUGUAAGUAGCGAGGCAACCCGCACUACUCCUAUGCCUUUAAACCGCGCCACUACUAGCCUUAUCCCUUGUAGUGACGGGCAGAUGGAGCGAUGAAAUGCGCAUGUCCUCAAUGGGCUCCAAACGAGAACAUUCGCCUAACUCAAGAAGUGUGGCCGGUGAUGGAUCGAUGAGCUUCCCUAUGUUCUAUUUAGUGUAGAUAUCACUCUUAAUUAACUUGUUUUUCUGCGGAUAGUAACUAACGCUUUGAGCCUUUGUGGUUUAUCUCACAAUUUUUGUCUUCACAACUGGAGUAGGCCACAAUGUUGAGAUGCAAAAAAAGGUCCAUAAACUAAUUAAAUGGAAUAUCAUUUAGAUACGACACUUAUAAGAUACACUAAAUAUUAAGAGACGUGUUGAGUAUAUAAUGAAUAGGGGUCAUUGUCUCUAAAUAGUUUUCACUAAAUAGGAUGAUGUGUUAAGAGACACUGCGUUGUGAGUUCCCUUUCGCUAAAUUAAUUUGCCCUGGUUCGAUUGCAGAGAUGUGUGCGGAGUUUCUUGGGGGAGUUUGGCAGCCAAUCGAUGAUAACUAGUUCUAGGACGCUACUAGGUCAGAUUCAAAACUGAACAUAUGGCUUGGUCCAAGAGUUUCGGCUCUCACAACCUGAAAAUCUGCAGCUUUCACACUAAAUAUUAAGAGAUUCGAAACUGAACAUAUCUGUCAUUGGUUUGAUGCUGUGGGUCCGUUUCAUUAUCUUUUUUUUUAUCAGGUAGUUGGACGGCCACACCAUGCCCUGAAAAUCUGUCUAGAUCUUGAUCGGGAGGCAUAAGAUUUCUUAUUCUGACAACCCUGAAACUGUUUGCCAUGCAUGCAUUAUCCUUCGCAAAGCGAAUUAAGUUGCCCCUAGACAAGGGCGGAUGGAGUAUAGUUCACUGUAGCUUCAUGAUUCUUUUGUCAGCUUAUUUUUUAGAGCUGCGGCUAUCAUAUUUACACCUGCUGUUAUAUCUGUUUCCAGAACCAUGUGUCAGCAGCUUCUGUUAUCAUAGCCAAUAAAACUAUCACGAAGCUACAGUGUGAGCAAUGAAGACGUUAUAUAAACAGGGAUAAAAUAUAUUGUGCUAAACUGCUCUAUCCAAAACCAUGUGUCUGCUCCUCUUGUUUGUUUCUUUACUAUUUUUCAUAUUGUGGAUGAUCAUGACGAUACAUACUAAAGAGUUUUGCAUAGCAUAUGUAAUUUCAUGCAUACAGACAAUGUUUUUUUAUUGGUGUAUUAUUUCACUCUGUUAAGACAAAAUUAUAUUUUGGAAUAUUGAAAUAAUAAUAUUAGGUAAAUCAUACAUGUGCACUAUGAAGCUAACUUUGUGCAAGAGAAAUGAGUAAAAUUAAGGACAAGAUUUAUACCUAUGCAAUACAAAAAAAAACUAUCUGCAGCAGUAAAUUCAUGUAGCUGGCAACAUUACUGGUACAAAUUAGAUCUAAUUAUAGUGCAUACAUGUACCUUUUUUAGAAAACAAAUCUUGAAACUUCGAUAGAAAAUUUUACGAUUUAUGAAAUUUGAAUGGGAAAACUAAACCAAAACCAAAAGGCCGGGAGUUAAAUGUGAGUGAAAAUAAAUGUCAGGAGGUAUUUGUCAGUGAAAAUAAAUAUGAGUGACACUUCUCCAUGCAAAAAUGUUAGUGAAAAAACUUGAAUUUUCACUGUAAAAACAACCCCAAAAUAAAGGAGGAAGCAGAACCAUCGAAAUGUUUAUGAAACGAACAACCACCAACAUAAGAGAGAAGUCACCAUACUCAUUAAGACGCCCAUGUUCAUCUGAGUAGUUAAGCCACUGCAUAGCAAUUAAUAGAAAGAAAACUGCAUAGAAAUUAAUUUUGAUGGGCUCGUGGAUCACGGCAGAAGCAUGCAUGAAUGCAUAUGUCUAUCGUUGCAGGUCAUUCAUGAGAGCAAUGCAUUCAUAUCUAUCUUUGCACGGAUGGAAAAAUUAGUCUGGCGCCAUAUAUCUUCUAUUUGUUAUACUACAGAAAGACAUAUUAAAAUAAAGUUGCCCCUAAACAAGGUGGAUGGACGACCACUCAUUUUGGCAGACUGUACUCGCACAAUUCGUUUUCCCAAUAAUAAUGUGAAUGGAGAGAGUAUAAUUCACACUGUCGCUUCAUGAUUCUUUUGUCAGCUUAUUUUUUAGAGCUGCCUUUUUUUUUGCGGGAAUAUUUUUUAGAGCUGUCAGCUAUUAUAUUUACCCCUACUGCCAUAACUAUUUCCAGAGCCAUGUGUCGGCAGCUUUUGUUAUCAUAGCCGACAAAACUAUAACGAAGCUACAGUGUGAGCCAGGAAGACGUUAUAUUUUCAGGGAUAACAUAUAUAUUGUGCCAAACUCCUCUAUCCAAAACUAUUUGCCGGCACCUCUUGUUUUGUUUAUUUACAAUUUUAAUAUUGUGGAUGAUCAUGACGAUACGAAGUAAAGAGUUUUGCAUAGCAUAUGUAAUUUCAUGCAGGCAGACAACACUUUUUUAUCAGUGUAUAAUUUUGCUCUGUAAAGACAAGAUUUUAUCUUGUGAUAUUGAAAACAUAGUGUUAGAUAAAUCAUAGAUGUGAUCUUUGUGGAUAAAUUUGUGCAAGAGAAUUGAAUAAAAUUAAGAACAAGUUGUAUACCUGUGCAAUAAAGAAAACUAUCUGCAGUAGUAAAUACAUGUAGGUGGCAACACUCACAUUUUGGUUAUUCCUGUAUAAACAUUGCUAGUGCAAAUUGGAUCCUAUAUAUUGUGCACACGGUGUUCCCGUCCUCGGAUGGUUUCCCCUUGUUCGGUCUUGCUCAUUCUCGUUGCUCACAAGCUCAUGCAAUUGAGAACCUGAGAUCUUCAAUCUGGCCAUCUGGGAUUUCCGGACUUCUCCUUCGAAGGAAAACAAGGACUGGCACAUAUGGCGCUCUUUGGACACCUUGACUAGAUAGGGGCCUGUCGUGUGCACCCGCAACAUCAGCAUAACCAGCUUUACCGGGGUAUCGUGCAGCUCUGUUUUUGUUGGCACCUUGGGACAUGUCUGCACCAAGAUUCCCAUGGGAUCAACACAUGUGGAGAAUGUCAUGGCGUGAUUGAAGGACUUGCAAGUGGCAAAGGCGGGGUCUUGGAUGCGAUGAAGACUUUGCUUCAUAGGCAGUUGUUUAGACAUGGCUUACGGGAUAUGUUCCCAUCCAGACGGGACGUGAAUUCCUGUGAGCCUAAUGGUGCGUGACUUGCAGUAGUAGCCUCCGCAAGUGGGGGUGGCGGCAUUGGAGGACUUCUUUGUUAUUCGGUGCUCCUCUGAGUACCCAAUCAGGAUUUCCAAGGUGAAAACCCAAGGUCUGGCCUUUAUUGGUUGUGCCUGGCAGUAGUCUUGUUGAAGGCAUUAUUGUUGGGAACCUCAUCUUUCUCCAGGGUGAAAACGUAAUAUCUUUGAUCAGGCAACGACAACGCUUGUGCUUUGUUUCCUUCCUGGAGGCAUUGCUUUUGGAGAACCUAUUUUGUAGUCCGGGUGCCAUCUUUGGUGGUGGUUAGAGUGCGGCUACUUCGGGUAUUGAUCACCGUGGUGGGAUAUUUUUUCUUCUCUUUUUAUUUUGAUUUUUAGUUGUGUGCAUCCUGGAUGUUUUUAGGCAUCUUGUUGUUGCAGAGUCUGGGAGUAAUUGGUAUCUGCUUGAUAUUAAUACAUUCUCCUUUACAAAAAAAAAUUACAUAUGCCUUUUCUAGAAUUUUUUUCCUAAAACUUCCAGGGAUGAUUCUAUCAUUUGUUUAAUUUUAAUGGAAAAAUUAAACCAAAACCAAAACGUCAGGAGGUAAAUGUGAGUGAAUAUUAAGGUCAAGAGGUAAAUGUGUUUGAAAUAAAUAUGAGUGACACUUCUCCAUGUGAAAUUGUUAGGGAGAAAACUAGACUUCUCUCUGUAAAAAUAACCCCAAAAUUAUGGAGGAAACAAAACCAUCCAAAUAAACAAUAUAUUGAGAAGUCUAUGAAACGAACAACCACCAAGAUAAAAGAGAAUUCGCCAUACUCAUCAAGACGCCCACAUGUCAAUAGCUCAGUCAGUCAACAUUAUAGCAAUUAAUUUUGAUAGGCUCAAGGAUCAUAGUAGAAGCAUGCAUGAAUCGUUGCAGGUCAUUGAUGAGAGCAAUGCAGAUCACUAUCUUUGCAUGGUCAGAAAAAUUAUUCUGGCGCCACCUAUCUUCUAUUUGUUAAACCAUAUGAAGGCGCAUAUCUCAUCACGAACGAUUAAUCAACAAUAUAUACUACACAAUGACACAUUAAAAUUAUUGCACAUGGGCGAGAUUGAUGGCUUUAUCCUUCAUAUGAUCCAAAUAAUCGUAUUUAUUGUUCACACUGUAACAACAUAAUGGUUUUGUUGGCUAUCUACCCCUGCUACCAUUCCUAUCUCUUGAGCAACAUGCUAGUAUCUUUUGUUUAGUUUAGCUAAAAAGAUUGGAAUGAGAGAUUUCCUUUUUUUGUGCAAUAACAUGAUAGUACAAACUACUGAACUUUACAUAUUUAGGUACUCAAUAAAAUACUGUUAAAGAUAGCUAUAGACAUUAGUCAUAUUAAUUCAACCAUAAGAGAUUAUCAUGUACCAUAUUAGCAUGAUUACUGGUCCUGUUCAAGAAUUCGUCCGAUUAACCAGUUAACUUGGAAAUUAAUCCCUACUUGUAAGGUCAUCGUGUAGCCAAUAAACUGAUAAAUCCUCCGUUUAAUUUCUUAACAGGACAAUUAACUUGCCGAUUACCCUAUUAAUCCCCUACUCCCUAGCCAACCAAGCAGCUACCAGUUAACAAUUUCCUCAACAAAUUUACUGGUAUGUUCCUGUUUAGAUGGUUCACCAAUACACUUCCAAAGUUAUUUUUGAGAAUGAUGCACCCUUUUUACAUUUUUUUGGUAUUAUUCCAUCAAUGCUGCACUACAUCAUAGCAUCUUCUUCUUUUUGGAAUGGCUAUGAAAGGACACGAUAGGUAUGUCUGGUGAACUUUUUGUGGAGAUACUUGGGCUCAUGUGUCUGAGAAUAAGAGGAUGUCCUCCCAUAGGAUUUACAUAUACCAACAACUAUUAACCAUGUCUCAAUGUGAGAUUGGAGACUAAAGAGUCUAGAUUUUAUAAGAUUAACCGGAAGUGUUGACUUCAACCGUGUAUUACUAAUCCACUGCAGUUGAAUUUUUGCAGUUGAAUUUUGCAUAUGGCUAAUUUAUUAAUCAACACCUAGGAGGAAUAGUUUGUAGGAGUUACCUAUAGCGUUGCCCUGGCAAAAGGAAAUGUGAUUGUUUAUCAAAAUUGUUUCUACUUAUAUUGUUUUAUCCCGUUACUACUGCAGCACUAAUUUUUAGUUAACUAAUGAAAGAAAGGCAUCAUAUUGUUUUAUCCCAUUGAUACCAGAGCACCAAUUUUUAGUUCAUUAAUUAUGUUGCUAUCUUCAAGUAUUUUUAAUCUGGAGGAAGUUCCACAAAACAAAAAUGUGAGAGUCAAAAAGGUGAGGGGAAAACGAGCUGAAUACCACCUUCUUUGUCCUGUCUUGCUUAAUCCACUUGAAGCCAGAUUACCACUUCGGCAGGGUAUGCUGAUGGAACUCGAACUAGGAACCUCAGUGACAUUUGUAGCCAUACAUUCAAAACACCUCCAGGCACAUGAUUUCAAAAGAUAUUUUUGAAGCAACAGGUCACCAAGCGUCUAAUUGAGUGUUGUAGACAUGACAAUGUCUAAAAUGGCGACUUUGAGGAAGCGUAAUGGAACAAACAUUGUGUCAUGCAUGUGCUCUCUACCACACCCUCGACAAAAAUCAAGAUCCCAGUCCAGUGGAAUGAGGAGGACUAGGAUAUGGACGACGAAGGGCCCAGCAACUAGAUAGAGACAACUUAGGAGUGAGCCAUAGGAAGAUCAUCUAGUGCACUGGGUGUGUGGAUUUGAGGGCCCACUUGUAAGAGAGUGCGUAUGCGUUUAAAAGGGGCAAGUGAAUCAGACAUGUGCCGUAACUUAUCGAUGAAAUAAUAAUUGUUUGAACUCUCACCUACUCUGUUCUGCAUCUCACCCUCUUCAUCUGUUCUUCAACUUCUUCUCAUCCCCUACUCCAUAUUAUCCUCUCCAAUAUGUGAUUCUUCCACCAACACUAGUUGGACAUCACAGUUUGACAAUGGAAAUCUUGGUAAAUUUUUCUCUUUGACAGCACUCGGAAACAAUUGAUGCAGGCGCAAAUCCAUGAUAUAAGGGAUAUUUUCUGUAGCAUUGUUUGAAAAUACAUCAGUUACGCAAGGGCCCUUUUGCUUCUUUACUUCUUGUUCUGUGUGCACUCUGAUGUUCGAAGGUGCAGUGAUGGUAGACAGAUAUUUAGUUGGAAGAAAAAUAGAUAAACUCAGAUUUCGUGUAACCCGGGCUCACUCUUUUCAGUGAAUAAAUUAUUGUCACAAAAAACCAGCCUUUUGCUUCUCUUGAUGACAUUAUUCUUAGAAGUAAGAAUGUGCAUUUCUGCAGCCCAUGCUCAUGUGCUAUUUUUUCUUUUUAACUAGUGUAACAAAUGGGGUAGAUGUUUUUUUUUCUGUGCCAAUAAUGGUGUUAAGACUGCUAAAAUCUUGUAAGGGAAGAAAACAUUGAAGAGCAGAAAGAAGAAGAAAAUCAUUUAUUUAUAUAGAACUGACAUGCAUUUGAACAUCAACAGUCAUUUAUUAUUAAUAAUUCCGCAUUUUGUGAAUUCCUUUCUCCAAUGUUUUCUUCCAGGUUUAUUUACUAUGAUAGGCUCACCAGGAAAGGAACCUGAAAAUUUAAAUCGUGUCAAUUUCCUUUUCACACAAUUCUCUCAUGAUGCAAUGGUUUCAGAGAACGCUGUUGUUAUUUGCCAGACAUGUGAUGUUUAGUAUGACUUGAACUAACAUAACAUGCAUAAUACGUUUAUUGAGUACAUGAAGGUUGGUUUCUUUGAAUCAUUUUGGAUUAGCCUGUUUGCAAAGGCUAUUAUCAUUCCACCACUCAGUGAUUUAUGAAUAUCUCCCAUUCAUUUGAUGUGAGUUCCCUGCAACCACACACGAUAUUUCCCUUACUCCGUUUUCGGUAAGAUAUGGGAAACUAAACAUUCAAGGAUAUUGUUCCCACAAGUGGAGAGACUGAAAAAGUCGCGCGCGUUGCUCUCCNNNNNNNNNNNNNNNNNNNNNNNNNNNNNNNNNNNNNNNNNNNNNNNNNNNNNNNNNNNNNNNNNNNNNNNNNNNNNNNNNNNNNNNNNNNNNNNNNNNNNNNNNNNNNNNNNNNNNNNNNNNNNNNNNNNNNNNNNNNNNNNNNNNNNNNNNNNNNNNNNNNNNNNNNNNNNNNNNNNNNNNNNNNNNNNNNNNNNNNNNNNNNNNNNNNNNNNNNNNNNNNNNNNNNNNNNNNNNNNNNNNNNNNNNNNNNNNNNNNNNNGAGGCCGAACAGGUGAAGCCCGCCUCGGUGGGCGGCGGCAUCAGGGCAGUCUAUUCCCGCGGCAACUCAUCGCCCUGGACGGCGGAGCCCGCUCGCGGCACGGUGGCGAAAGUCGGCGCGUUGGAUCCCACGGUGGACCCCUCGUCAGCGUGGAGAGAUGCUUGUGUGUGGCUGACCGGGGUCGAGCACGAGGGAUUCGGGCCUUGUUCGCCGUAUCAAUCUCGCGACGACACCUAUGUCUUCAGCUGGUGCGGUCAGGGUGGUGACCCGGGCUGGCGGCGGCGACCGGUUCCUCCAUGGCUGGUGGGUUAAGUCCUUGACCUGGACGACCAUGUGACGAUGGGUGGUGGCAGAGGCCGCAGAACUAGCGUGCCAUCCAGAUCCAUCUCGGCGUGGCCUUGGCCGGCAGGCGAUGCGUGCAGGGACCGAUCUGGGGCGGCUGGAGGCCCUAUGCCGACGUUCCAGCGAUAGCUUACGUCUCCAUGGCGACGCAACUUCUAGUGAAAAUGUGCUGACUGCGGUCAUGGAAGAUGGUGGCAUCUCUAAUGUCGUUUCCUUCUUCGAGGCAUCGUCGUUUGUAAGCUGUGUCACUACGCUCGGGAUGUUCCGGGGGGAACUCUAUUUCUGGGUAUCCCGGAUCAGACGAUGACGGUGCCUUCAGCGCCAUUCUCCCUCCUAGGGGCAUUGUUCUGGAGCAGGUGCCGACUGGAAGAGACAAGUGGAGGAGCGGUGUUACAUCUACCGCAAGGAUGACGCAGGGUCUCGGUGGCGUGGCAAGGCAGAGUGUCGGCGACGAGCGCCCACGCUAGAUGGUUGAGCUAUCUGGUGUCGAGAUGGCCUGGCGAGAUGAAUACGUUGAUCGCUCCUGAAGGUGGGACAGCAGAACAUGGCGGUGGCUUAAUCUAAAGUGUGUGCAUGCUGUGCGCGCAAAGGGUCUAGCUAGACCAGUUGGUGCUCUCGAAUUGCCGGCAGACAUCUUGGUGAGGUGACCGGAAUAUAUGAUGUGUGUUGAUAAGUGGUCAGGGCACGGCAUUAAAGCUUGUAGGUGUAACGACAAUAGUUUCUAGGGAGGUGGCUUUGCCUUGAUCCAUAUAUUUGUUUUGUUUGGUUCCGUUGAAUAAUAUAAUAAAAUGGUUGUGUGCAUGGCCCGAUGCAUAGACUAGGGGUAAUCGUCUUUUUCGAAAAAAAGUAGAAUGGUACAGUCACACCAUUUUGCCAGUGACAUGCUAAAAAUGGCAUGAUAAACAAUUCCUGAAUGAUAAAUCACAUGGUGACAGUAUAUCUAUUUUAUAGGAAGAGCUGGAUAGAUUAGAGUAUACUGCCCCAGGAUUUUAAAGUGAGUGCGAGAGUUCAGAUUUAUUUACAUGUUUAGCUUCAGAGCUUCAGAACGUCUUUUUUUCACGAAUACACAAAGCUUGAAUAUCUUUUAUUGAUAGAAGAAAGAGAAUGAGUACAACAGAGGAUACAACACAUGGCAUGAACCCAAAGAGGCAUGAUCAUGGAACCCGGAGUAGAGAGACAAGGGGUGCUCAGCCCGAAUAGGGAAAUGACACAACUACACCCACAAAUCCUAAACAGAGAGGCAGGCCGAACAAGCACGGCGUCGAACAUCUCAAAAUCCAACACCAGGGACACCACGAGCGAACAAGAUAGCGCCUUCAGGAAGGGGUGCGACGUCGUGACACCGCCGCCAUCCGAUCCGAGGAACCGGAUCUAGGGUUUCCCCCAGCGCUCAAAGAGGGGCACGGAUAAAAGCCAUGGCAAAUAACUCACGAGUGUCGCCUCUGCCAACAUCGGCAAGAAGAGCAUGGAUUUCGCCUGGCCCAAGUCCGAGCAAUCCCAUAGCUGCCAAAUCAGGAUCCGAAGAUGAGGAAGACAAUCCGCUAGUCAACCACCGUCCCAGUACGGAGGUGGUGGGGCUGCACCUGCUGCCAAAAGAACACGAGCUUUGGAAAUGACAUGCCGUGGGUGUCGACGGGGUCGGGGAGGCAGCGUGGUAGACAGCUUGCAUGGAGGGUGGGAUGGUGACCGGCGCCGCUGACGAGAUGGAGCCGGAAGGGAGCACAAGUCCGAGCUGCCGGAGGUGAAGCCGCCAGAACACCGGCAAACCGAAGAUGCCGGAAGGGGACGCAGCGACCGGGGUGUUGGGGCUGAAAUUGAAGGAAAUAUGCCCUAGAGGCAAUAAUAAAGUUAUUAUUUAUUUCCUUAUAUCAUGAUAAAUGUUUAUUAUUCAUGCUAGAAUUGUAUUAGCCGGAAACAUAAUACAUGUGUGAAUACAUAGACAAACAGAGUGUCACUAGUAUGCCUCUACUUGACUAGCUCGUUAAUUAAAGAUGGUUAUGUUUCCUAACCAUAGACAUGAGUUGUCAUUUGAUUAACGGGAUCACAUCAUUAGGAGAAUGAUGUGAUUGACUUGACCCAUUCCGUUAGCUUAGCGCACGAUUGUUUAGUAUUCUGCUAUUGCUUUCUUCAUGACUUAUACAUGUUCCUAUGACUAUGAGAUUAUGCAACUCCCGUUUACCGGAGGAACACUUUGUGUGCUAUCAAACGUCACAACGUAACUGGGUGAUUAUAAAGGUGCUCUACAGGUGUCUCCACAGGUACUUGUUGGGUUGGCGUAUUUCGAGAUUAGGAUUUGUCACUCCGAUUGUCGGAUAGGUAUCUCUGGGCCCACUCGGUAAUGCACAUCACUUAAGCCUUGCAAGCAUUGCAACUAAUGAGUUAGUUGCGAGAUGAUGUAUUACGGAACGAGUAAAGAGACUUGCCGGUAACGAGAUUGAACUAGGUAUUGAGACACCGACGAUCGAUUCUCGGGCAAGUAACAUACCGAUGACAAAGGGAACAACGUAUGUUGUUAUGCGGUUUGACCGAUAAAGAUCUUCAUAGAAUAUGUGGGAGCCAAUAUGAGCAUCCAGGUUCCGCUAUUGGUUAUUGACCGAAGACGUGUCUCGGUCAUGUCUACAUAGUUCUCGAACCCGUAGGGUCCGCACGCUUAAAGUUUCGAUGACAGUUAUAUUUUGAGUUUAUAUGUUUUGAUGUACCGAAGGUAGUUCGGAGUCCCAGAUGAGAUCACGGACAUCACGAGGAGUCCCGAAAUGGUCGAGACAUGAAGAUUGAUAUAUUGGACGACUAUAUUCGGACACCGGAAUGGUUCCGGUGGUUAUCGGAUAUAUACCGGAGUACCGGGAGGUUACCGGAACCCCCUGGGGGUUUAAUGGGCCUACAUGGGCCUUAGUGGAGAAGAGGAGAGGCGGCUAGGGCAGGCCGCGCGCCCCCUCCCCCUCUAGUCCGAAUUGGACAAGGAGGGGGGCGGCGCCCCCCCUUUCCUUCCUCUCUCUCUCCUCUUUCCCCCUUCUCCUAAUCCAACAAGGAAGGGAAGGGAGUCCUACUCCCGGUGGGAGUAGGACUCCUCCUGGCGCGCCCCUCUCCUGGCCGGCCGCCUCUCCCCCUUGCUCCUUUAUAUAAGGGGGCAGGGGGGCACCCCAAAGACACAACAAUUGAUCAUUGAUCUUUUAGCCGUGUGCGGUGCCCCCCUCCACCAUAGUCCACCUCGAUAAUAUCGUAGCGGUGCUUAGGCGAAUCCCUGCGUCGGUAGAACAUCAUCAUCGUCACGACGCCGUCGUGCUGACAAAACUCUCCCUCAACACUCGGCUGGAUCGGAGUUCGAGGGACGUCAUCGGGUUGAACGUGUGCUGAACUCGGAGGUGCCGUGCGUUCGGUACUUGAUCGGUCGGAUCGUGAAGAAGUACGACUACGUCAACCGCGUUGUGCUAACGCUUCCGCGUUCGGUCUACGAGGGUACGUGGACACACUCUCCCCUCUCGUUGCUAUGCAUCACCAUGAUCUUGCGUGUGCGUAGGAAUUUUUUUGAAAUUACUACGUUCCCCAACAGUGGCAUCCGAGCCAGGUUUUAUGCCUAGAUGUUAUAUGCAUGAGUAGAACACAAGUGAGUUGUGGGCGAUACAAGUCAUACUGCUUACCAGCAUGUCAUUCUUUGGUUCGGCGGUAUUGUUGGAUGAAGCGGCCCGGACCGACAUUACGCGUACGCUUACGCGAGACUGGUUCUACCGACGUGCUUUGCACACAGGUGGUUGGCAGGUGUCAGUUUCUCCAACUUUAGUUGAACCGAGUGUGGCUACGCGCGGUCCUUGAGAAGGUUAAAACAGCACUAACUUGACGACUAUCGUUCUGGUUUUGAUGCGUAGGUAAGAAUGGUUCUUGCUCAGCCCGUAGCAGCCAUGUAAAACUUGCGACAACAAAGUAGAGGACGUCUAACUUGUUUUUGCAGGGCAUGUUGUGAUGUGAUAUGGUCAAGACAUGAUGCUAUAUUUUAUUGUAUGAGAUGAUCAUGUUUUGUAACAGAGUUAUCAACAACUGGCAGGAGCCAUAUGGUUGUCGCUUUAUUGUAUGCAAUGCAAUCGCCCUGUAAUGCUUUACUUUAUCACUAAGCGGUAGCGAUAGUCGUAGAAGCAUAAGUUGGCGAGACGACAACGAUGCUAUGAUGGAGAUCAAGGUGUCGCGCCGGUGACGAUGGUGAUCAUGACGGUGCUUCGGAAAUGGAGACCACAAGCACAAGAUGAUGAUGGCCAUAUCAUAUCACUUAUAUUGAUUGCAUGUGAUGUUUAUCUUUUAUGCAUCUUAUCUUGCUUUGAUUGACAGUAGUAUUAUAGGAUGAUCUCUCACUAAAUUAUCAAGGUAUAAGUGUUCUCCCUGAGUAUGCACCGUUGCGAAAGUUCUUCGUGCUGAGACACCACGUGAUGAUCGGGUGUGAUAGGCUCUACGUUCAAACACAACGGGUGCAAAACAGUUGCACACGCGAAAUACUCAGGUUAAACUUGACGAGCCUAGCAUAUAACAGAUAUGGCCUCGGAACACUGAGACCGAAAGGUCGAGCGUGAAUCAUAUAGUAGAUAUGAUCAACAUAAAUGAUGUUCACCAUUGAAACUACUCCAUCUCACGUGAUGAUCGGACAUGGUUUAGUUGAUAUGGAUCACGUGCUCACUUAGAGGAUUAGAGGGAUGUCUAUCUAAGUGGGAGUUCUUAAGUAAUAUGAUUAAUUGAACUUUAAUUUAUCAUGAACUUAGUCCUGGUAGUAUUAGCAUAUCUAUGUUGUAGAUCAAUAGCUCGCGAUAUUGCUCCCCGUUUAAUUUUUAUAUGUUCCUAGAGAAAACUAAGUUGAAAGAUGUUAGUAGCAAUGAUGUGGAUUGGAUCCGUGAUCUGAGGUUUAUCCUCAUUGCUGCACAGAACAAUUAUGUCCUUGAUGCAGCGCUAGGUGACAGACGUAUUGCAGGAGGACAUGCAGACGUUAUGAACGUUUGGCUAGCUCAAUAUGAUGACUACUUGAUAGUUUAGUGCACCAUGCUUAACGGCUUAGAAUCAGGACUUCAAAGAUGUUUUGAACAUCAUGGACCAUAUGAGAUGUUCCAGGAGUUGAAGUUAAUAUUUCAAGCAAAUACCCUAGUUGAGAGAUAUGAAGUCUCCAACAAGUUCUAUAGCUAAAAGAUGGAGGAGAAUAGCUCAAGAAGUGAGCAUGUGCUCAGAUUGUCUGGGUACUACAAUCACUUGAAUCAAGUGGGAGUUAAUCUUCCAGAUAAAGAUAGUGAUUGACAGAAUUCUCUAGUCACCAUCACAAAGUUAGUAUAACUUCGUGAUGAACUAUAGUAUGCAAGGGAUAACGUAAACGAUUCCCGAGCUUUUCAUGCUGGUGAAAUCAGAAAUCAAGAAAGAGCAUCAAGUGUUGAUGAUUAACAAGACCACUAGUUUCAAGAAAAUGGCAAAGGGAAAGAAAGGGAACUUCAUGUAGAACGGCAAGCAAGUUGCUGCUCAAGUGAAGAAGCCCAAGUUUGGACCUAAGCCUGAGACUGAGUGCUUCUACUGCAAAAGGACUGGUCACUGGAAGCAGAACUACCCGAAAUAAUUGGCGUAUAAGAAGGAUGGCAAAGUGAACAAAAGUAUAUUUGAUAUACAUGUUAUUGAUGUGUACUUUACUAGUGUUUAUAGCAACCCCUCAGUAUUUUAUACUGGUUGGCAACCUCUGCUUGCCUCUGCGAAGGGCCUAUCUUUUACUUUUAUGCAAGAGUCAUGGUGAUCUUCACCUUUCCUUUUUUUCAUUUUAUCCUUUGGCAAGUACCUCGUGUUGGAAAGAUUCUGAUAUAUCCAAUUGGAUGUAAGGCAUCAUGAACUAUUAUUGUUAACAUUACCCUUGAGGUAAAAGGUUGGGAGGCGAAUCUAUAAGCCCCUAUCUUUCUCUGUGUCUGAUUAAAACUUUGAACCCAUAAAUAUCGCGUGAGUGUUAGCAAUUGUGAAAGACUAAAUGAUAGUUGAGUAUGUGGAGUUUGCUAAAUCAAAGCUCUGACAUAGACUCUUCCUGAAAAUAAGAUGAAUUGUAAUUGUUUGAUGACUAAUAACACGGCUUGUUAGUUUUCAAGAAAGUUUAUGAUCUAUACUUUAACAUGUGAAUAGCUUGUUACUUGAUCAUGAAAAGUUCUAUGAGUUGAGCUACUGUUAUGACAUAUGAUGAUGCUAGAAAAAGUGAUUGAAAUUAUCAUUGAUCAAACUUGUGCACCUGCUAGCAUUCACACUUCAUAAAUUCUUUCUUUUAUCAUUUACCUACUCGAGGAUGAGCAGGAAUUAAGCUUGGGGAUGCUGAUACGUCUCCAACGUAUCUAUAAUUUAUGAAGUAUUCAUGCUAUUAUAUUAUCUGUUUUGGAUGUUUAUGGGCUUUAUUGAACACUUUUAUAUUAUUUUUGGGACUAACCUAUUAACCUAGAGCCCAUUGCCAGUUUCUGUUUUUUGCUUGUUUUUGAGUUCUACAGAAAAGGAAUACCAAACGGAGUCCAAUGGACGUCCCAAUUUUUGACGAUUUUUUAUGGACCAAAAGGAGACCCCGGAGCAAAAGGGUUGGGACAGGAGAGUCCCGGGCUGCCCACGAGGGUGGGGGGCGUGCCCUCCCCCCCUGGGCGUGGGCCCCUGCCUCGUGGACAACCCGGAGACCCCCCUGACAUGAGACCUACGCCAAAAAAUCCUAUAAAUACUGAAACCUCCAGAAAGCAGAAUAGAUCGGGAGUUCCGCCGCCGCAAGCCUCUGUAGCCACCAAAAACCAACCGGGACCCUGUUCCGGCACCCUGCCCGAGGGGGUAUGUCGGUGUCAAAACCGGCGGAUCUCGGGUAGGGGGUCCCGAACUGUGCGUCUAAGGCGGAUGGUAACAGGAGGCGGGGGACACGAUGUUUACCCAGGUUCGGGCCCUCUCGAUGGAGGUAAUACCCUACUUCCUGCUUGAUUGAUCUUGAUGAUAUGAGUAUUACAAGAGUUGAUCUACCACGAGAUCGUAGAGGCUAAACCCUAGAAGCUAGCCUAUGGUAUGAUUGUUUUUGUCCUACGGACUAAACCCUCCGGUUUAUAUAGACACCGGAGGGGGCUAGGGUUACACAGAGUCGGUUACAAGGGAGGAGAUCUGCAUAUCCGUAUUGCCAAGCUUGCCUUCCAUGCCAAGGAGAGUCCCAUCCGGACACGGGACGAAGUCUUCAAUCUUUUGUCUUCAUAGUCCAACAGUUCGGCUAAAGUAUAUAGUCCGGCUGUCCGAGGACCCCCUAAUCCAGGACUCCCUCAGUAGCCCCUGAACGAGGCUUCAACGACGAUGGGUCCGACGCGCAGAUUGUCUUCGGCAUUGCAAGGCGGGUUCCUCCUCCGAAUAUUCCAUAGAAGAUUUUGAACACAAGGAUAGUGUCCGGCUCUGCAAAACAAAUUCCACAUACCACCAUAGAGAGAAUAAUAUUUCCACAAAUCUAAUCUACUGACACAUUCUGCAGCAUGACAUCACACCAUGGCCCGGUCAUUAUUCGGACCGUUUUUCUUAACCAGCCACUGCACAUAUCGCGAGGCGGUUUUCUUGGCACGUCUUGUCGAAGCAGAGAUCGUGUCCCCCUAUCACGGGAUUGUCAUCAAUACGGGUGUGGGUAACCUAACCGCGCCAUCAAUUACAGCUCUUGGGGAAUAAGCGAGUUUACCAGGCAGGUGGGGAGGCGCAUAGUUCCUUCCGCCCUUAUAAAGAGACAAGGAUUCAUCUUUUUCACCCACGCCCUCUUCCUCCUUGCUCAUCCGUUCUUGCGCACUUGAGCUCCAACACCCAAGUUCGCAUUCUCUCCUCAAACCACUCCAAGCAUGUCCGGAGCAGGAGGCAAGUGGAUGGUCUCCUCCGUUACGAAGGAGGACAUCACAAGGCUAUGGGGAGCCGGAUACCUGGCCGCGGAUAUCGCGCACCGGCUACAAGAUGCGGGGCAGAUCGUCCCUACUCCAGAACCCCAUGAGAGGGUGAUAUUUCUUACCCACUUUGUCCGCGGACUGGGAUUUCCCCUCCACCUGUUUGUCCGCGGGCUCAUGUUCUACUACGGGCUGGACUAUCACGAUCUGGCCCCCAAUUUCAUCCUCAACAUCUCGGCGUUUAUCGUCGUGUGCGAGGCCUUCCUCCGCAUCAAGCCCCACUUCGGCCUGUGGCUGAAGACCUUCAACGUUAAACCGAAGGUGGUGGCCGGCCAGCAAGCGGAGUGCGGAGGCGCCAUGGUGGGCAAAAUGCCCAACGUCACCUGGCUAGAAGGCUCCAAUGUGGAGACCGUAAAGGGGUGGCAAUCGGGGUGGUUCUACAUCACCGAGCCGCGCGACACCAACUGGGUAGCGGCCCCCGAAUUUUUAUCCGGAAUCCCCAUGCGGCUCACCUCCUAGAAAGAGAAGGGCCUAUCCUGGGGUUCCUCGGUAGAGCUGACCGGACCCCAGACCUGCGUCAAAAACAUGAUGAGCAAGAAAAUCAAGCUUGUCAACAUGGUCCAAGUCAUGCUCUUCCGCCCGAUCCUCCCGUGUCAAAGACGGGCAUUCAAUUUGUGGGAGUUCGACCCGGCCGAGCACCAGACGCUGCGAGAGCUCUUCGACACGGCGCACAAGGACGUCUGGAAGGUGAUGUUCAAGGGCGCUGAGGUACCUCCUCCCCUUACCAAGGACCGCGGACUCAGCGCAAAGCGCCCUGCCAAUCCGGUAUGUCUUUUAUAUUUCAUAAGAUGUUCUUUUCCCCAGUAUAACCACACGCGGGAUCUAAGCCCCCACGCCAUUUAACAGGACUGGGUAGCGACAGCGGAGCAGAUCGAUUGUCCAGCCCCCCUGCCUGAAGAUCCAGCGGAUGCUCUCCUAACGGAGAUCCUGGUUUCGGCGCCUUAUGAGGUGCCGGAGAAGAAGGCCACGGGGACCAGGAAGGGUCUCCGGCGCAAGGUUAUAUCGGACUCAUCGUCCGAAAACACCGAGGCGCACUCCUCCCACGAAAACGGGGAGGAAGAGGAAAGUUCUCCCCCCCAGCCAGGGGGGACAGGACAAGGAAGGCUGCCCCAUCAGGGGAGGCCGAAGGGUCCAAGAAGGGAAGGACCCUCCUCCCGGACUGCUCCACAAAGGCCGCUUUUAGCGACGAGGAGUGGUUACCCAGGGACAAGCCCCUGGCAAAGUCGUGAGUAUCCGGAUACCAUAAUAAUUCUUGGUACGUCUUAUUGUACUGUUUCUUAUCACGCCGCGCAUGAUUAUGCAGUCCGUCCCGAGCCCAUAUCGACGUAUCUUCGUCGGAUGAUUCUUUGGGCCCGUCAGAUAUGAAUAGCGAUUCACUCCCGACUGCCUCCUCCCCCCGCCCUACGGACGACGCCGAGGUGUUGUCUCAAAGGGAACUAAACCAAGGGGAGACAGUUCCGGAGGCGCCCCAAGGCGACAUUCCAGGCGCUAGGUGCACGAGGGGCAAGACUCCCCUAGGCCCUAACACCGGGGGCAGUAAGUCUAGCCCCAAGCCGAAUACGGCGCCGGAACCUCCAGUGGUUCCGGAUUCUGUCAGGCAACCCCUCGCUAAGGGGGGUAAGCCGUCUGUGCCGAUGGCCUCUGUCCAUCCAGAGGCAUCGGACAACUUGCUAGAAGUGCUUCGCGGCGCUUCCAUUGACGAAGAGCACCGCACUAUUAUGAGUGCGGUAGUUAAGAAGGUUCAGUCCGCUAAGAGCGGACUGACUGAAGCCUGUGCCAACCUCCUAACCGGCUUUGAGGUAAGUAAUCAAAUUGUAAGAAAAUGUUACAGCAUAGACAGUAGCCCCUGAUGCUCUGUUUGGCGUUCGCGGAGAAAGGCCGAAUAGAGGAUCAAAUAAUAAUCGCAGGAGUCUAAUCAGAAUGUGUCUAUGUGAAUAAGCGGGCUUCACUGCUGGCCGCCGCCGCUCGUACUGCGGAGGUCACCGCACUGAAGCGGGACCUUGAGCGGUCCAAGGAAGAGCUCGGCCUUACCAAGAGGCAGCUCGAAGAGAACAAAGGUAAGUGACACCCCGUCUGAAUAUUGGUAAAGAAAAAUUUGGUUUUGGAAUAAUAGGAUCCUCAUGAAUUUUGCUAGGGGCCACGACCGAAGUGGCGGCCCUGCAGAAGGCGCUAUCUGAGGCCGAAGACAAAGCGGCCAAGGAGCACAUCGAGCGAGAGAAGCAAGAGGCCCGAGUAGGCGAGGUGCGGCAAGAGCUCCAGGCUCUCGUCAAGAAACACGAGUCCUUGGAGCUUGACUCUAUGACGCAAGGGUCCGAGCUUGCGAAGGCCCUCGAAAGCGCACAACAUGCCAAGGCCAAAGCCCAAAAGGCCCUCCAGGAAAUUUAGGCGGUUAAGAAGAUAGCGGCGGGUAAGGCAUUCAUUAUGCAAAGCAAGCAUGUGAAGGAAACUUUCUUUUUACUUACCCGAGUUCGGAGUUCUCCAGAAGCGUUCGCAGAUCUACCCCGCAGUGUGUCGGAUGCCACGGAGUUCUACCGGGCCGAGGAGGGGAGCUCGGCGGAGAAGUUGUUCUGGUCUCAGUAUACUGGGACCGAACAUCCAAUGCCCUUGAGCGACCAGUUGAAGCAACUGGUCGAGCUUCACAAGGCGGCCGAACAGGCCAUGAAGGGUCUUAUGGUCUGGAUGUGGCAUGGCGACCCCUGCCUGGUAGCUACUUCGGUCUGGUGAGGCGGCUUGUGAAUGCCUGCACACGGUUUGAAGUCAUAAAGCGGUCCGUCUGCAUUGAGGGUGCGCGCAGGACUUUUGCCCGGGCGAAGGUGCACAGGGCGAAGCUGGACGCCGAAAAGCUGGUGAAGGAGGGGCCGCCGGAGGGCAAGGAGCAUCGCCACCCCGAAAAGUAUUAUGAUAGUGUCCUGAAGGGUGCUCGCCUUGUGGCGGAGGAAUGUGCUAAGGAUGUAAUAUUUGAAUGAAUGUACUCAUGUGAUCCUGUAAUAUGAAACGAGUUCAUUUGCGUACGCAAUGCUUGUUAAUUUAAAAUAUUACCUUCUAUGCGGCCGUUUAUAAAAUCUGAGAGUUGGCCAGUCGUCGGCUUCUGCCCCCAUGUAACUAGUACUAAGGUGUUCGGGGUAAACCUGAGCACUCUUUAUCCCAAUUUUGGGUCCUUCGAAGGAGGUGUUUAGCACAAUGAACCAGGCAAUCGGACUAUAAAGCUUUAUCACUCUCACUUAGCCAUAGAAGUCUACAAUUUUAAAUUUUGGCGAAGCCCCUAGUAUUUCGAAGGCCGAAUUUGGGGCACUAUAUACGCCUAAGUCGGGCAAGACGACUCCUUGCCCGAAGCGGAAAGAGACUUUAAGGACUUGAGACCUCUCGAACAGCGACCAGCUCUCGCCUCAUUAUGACAGUCAGUUUUCGGCUUUCUCUACUGAGGUGCUCGUCCGGAAGAACCGGGACACAAUCGCAGUAGUUCUCCCAAGGCUACCUUAGCCGAUAUUGCGGAACGUAAGGUACCAAAACAUGGGAGCCGGGCAAACCCAACUAUUGACCCAAGACAUGAUUCGGAGCUGGUGCAUAUAAUUCUAUAAGUUCGGGGUGCCGCACUGUCGAAAGUGUUCGGACUUCUCACACUGUAUUAUGGGGUAUACUAAAGCCCCUGGCGCACUGGUCAUACCAGGAUGUACGGGUGCAAUUUGUCGUAAAUAAGCAGACAAGGAAAAAAAAGAAAGGGGAAUGCAAUAAUAGACUAACGAUAUGCAUUGUUAUUAAAUAAUACGUCAAAGCGACGGAUACAAGUAGUGCAAUAAGCAAAAAAUAAGACUAUUUGACAUGUCCUAUCCAAGGGCAAGCUGCGUAUGGGUAUGUAAAACAGGUAUUUCGAUCGUUAUCAGAGACCACCUAGGGAUUCCCUUGUACGUCAGAGCGUCUUGCUUCCUUGGUAUUUCCUUACCGCGAUGGGUCCAACAAUUAGAUUGCCGAAAAGGGCUUCCAGAGAGUAAGGUCCUGAAAGAGAGAAAAUGAUAAAGGUAUAUGGCCCCUGGGGCGGUUGAGCCACCUUGUGGGACGUGCCGUAGCUGUGCCUCCGCCUAUGCCCAUGGUAUCUUGAGUGCGUAGUUAUGUACGCGCGGCGCAAAUUUCGCCACUUGACUGGGACUAGGACGGAGGCCGAAUUGCUAGGCGAGCUCAAAACGUGCAUGGCGAUCCUCCUGCGGGGUACCCCGGACUCGCUUGAAGGUGUCCGGGGUCUUUUUCGCCGAAUUGGCGGUUUGCCUAUUAAGGCUGCUUUGCGCUUCUGCUGCGAGGGCUGCAGUGUGCUCCUCCGUGCGGAGCGAGCGCUCUGUGUUUCCAUUAACUGUUAUAACCCCGCGUGGUCCUGGCAUUUUGAGUUUGAGGUAUGCAUAAUGCGGUACCGCAUUGAAUCUGGGAAAUGCGGUUCGUCCGAGCAGUGCGUGAUAGCCGCUGCGAAAGGGGACGAUGCCGAAGAUUAACUCCUCGCGUCGAAAAUUGUCCGGAGAUCCGAAGACCACUUCCAGUGUGAUUGAGUCCGUGCAACAGGCCUCUACACCUGGGAUUACACCUUCAAAGGAGGUUUUGGUGGGUUUGAUCCUCGAGGGGUCUAUGCCCAUUUUGCACACUGUAUCCUGAUAGAGCAGGUUCAGGCUGCUGCCACCGUCCAUAAGGACGCGAGUGAGGUGAAAUCCGUCAAUGAUGGGGUCAAGGACCAAUGCGGCAGAUCCGCCAUGACGGAUACUAGUGGGGUGGUCCCUGCGAUCGAAGGUGAUCGGACAAGAGGACCAUGGGUUCAACUUUGGGGCGACUGGCUCCAUAGCAUAGACGUCCCUUAGUGCACGCUUCCGUUCCCUCUUGGGAAUAUGGGUUGCGUAUAUCAUGUUCACCGUUUUCACUUGUGGAGGGAACCUCUUCUGUCCUCCAAUGUUCGGCGGCCGAGGCUCCUCCUCGUCGUCGCUAUGGAGCCCCUUGUCCUUGUUUUUGGCAUUUAACUUGUCGGCCUGCUUGAAUACCCAGCAUUCUCUGUUGGUGUGAUUGGCUGGCUUAUCGGGGGUGCCAUGAAUUUUAACGAGCAAUCGAGUAUACGGUCCAAACUGGACGGGCCCGGAUUGCUUGUUUUGAACGGCUUCUUCCGCUGACCGGAUUUAGAGCCACUGAAUCCGGCAUUGACUGUCGUGUCUUCGGCGUUGUCGCCGUUGUUGUGGCGCUUGUGUCUGUUGCGACGUGGUCUGCCAAUAGUAUCUUUGGCGUCUGAAUUGCCGGGAUUUCUUGAUGUGCUGUUGCUGCGAGCUAGCCAGCUGUCCUCGCCCGCGCAAAAGCGGGUCAUGAGUGUCGUGAGGGCUGCCAUGGACUUCAGCUUCUCUUGGCCGCGGUGUCAGGCGAGCCACUCGUCCCGGAUGUUAUGUUUAAAUGCCGCUAAGGCCUCGGCAUCCGGACAGUCGACAAUUUGGUUCUUUUUAGUUAGGAACCGAGUACAGAAUUUCCUGGCCGAUUCCCCUGGCUGUUGGGUUAUGUGGCUCAAGUCAUCAGCAUCUGGUGGUCGCACAUAAGUGCCCUAGAAGUUGUCAAGGAAUGCGUCUUCCAAAUUCUCCCAACUGCCAAUGGAGUUUGCUGGCAGGCUAUUCAGCCAAUGUCGAGCUGGUCCUUUGAGUUUUAGUGGGAGGUACUUGAUGGCAUGUAGAUCGUCAUCGCGGGCCAUGUGGAUGUGGACGAGGAAAUCCUCGAUCCAUACCGCGGGGUCUGUUGUACCAUCAUAUGACUCAAUGUUCACGGGUUUGAAUCCUUCUAGGAAUUCAUGAUCCAUUACUUCAUCGGUGAAGCAUAGUGGGUGUGCAGCGCCUCUGUGCCGGGCUAUGUCACGACGCAGUUCAUACGAGUCUUGUCUGCUGUAUUCGGCCCCGCCGGAUUUGCUUUUAGUGUAUCCGGCAUGACGAUCAUCAUCACACAUUGGGGCGCGACCCCGUGAUCCGUAGAUCGAUCUUGUUUGUCCUGCUCUGUUUUCCUAUACGUCUCGCAGGUCCCGCGUGUUGCCCCAGGCCUUGGUAUUUAUGUUUGAAUGGCGGCGGGGUGCGGGCUGGACUUCGGGCUGAUAUGCCCCUCUGUCUCGGCCACGAGGUGGCCGAUCAGCCGCAUCAUACGCUGGUGAUGUAGGUUUUAAUGCUUCCUCCUCGAUUUGGGGUAGCAACCUGCGCUUUGGGUAACUCUUGGUUGGGCGCUCGAGUUCGUAUUCCUCUACCUCCAGGACUUCAGUCCAUCUAUCCGCUAGCAGAUAUUGAUCAGCUCGAAGCUGUUGUUGCUUUUUCUUCAGGCUGUUUGUUGUAGCUAUAAGCCGACGCUUGAAGCGCUCCUGCUUGACGGGAUCCUCAGGCACGAUAAAUUCUUCGUCGCCGAGGCUCACCUCGUCUUCGGAGAGAGGCAUGUAAUUGUCAUCCUCUGAUUCUCCGUCUGCUGCCUAUUCCGGAGGGCUAGCUUGUUCAUCCUCUCGCUCGAGGUCUGGCUGGAGGGGAUUGUCGUCGUCUUUGGCACUAUCCGGAGCGUUAUUGUCUCUUGUGCCGGUAUCGCUGCUUUUGCUAUGGCGGGACUUAGAGCGGCGCCGCUGACGUCGGUGCUUGGGUUGCUUCUUGGAGGGAUUAUCCUCGGUUGUCUUAUCGCCGUCGCCUUCUUUGGGGGUGUCCACCAUGUAUAUAUCAUAUGAUGAGGUGGCAGUCCAGCGCCCUGUGGGCGGUGGUUCCUGUUCGUCUCCUGUAUCGUCGUCCAUACCGUCGAUGUUUUCGGAGCCGAAAUCGAGCAUGUCGGUUAAAUCGUCGACAGUGGCUACUAAGUGGCUGGUGGGUGGGGAGCGAAUUUCUUCGUCGUCCGCAUCCCAUUCUAGCCAGACAUAGUUCGGCCAAGGGUCUCCUGACAAGGAGAGAGACCUCAAUGAGUUCAGCACGUCGCCCAGUGGUGAGUGCUGAAAGAUAUCCGCGGAGGAAAACUCCAUAAUCGGUGCCCAAUCAGAUUCGAUAGGCACAUACGCAGGCGGCUCAGAGCCCGUGGCCGGGGAUGAAUCCAGGUGUCCGGCGACACAGGUCUCAUAGGAGGUGAAGUCAGUAUUCGGCUCUAUCGCCACUCAGUGUGUGGCCUCCGAGGCGGGGUCCAUCCACCCGUCCUCGGACGGCGCAAUCGACUCCGGAUCUAGGGCCGGAGUAGCCAUGGGUGUGAUCUCCCGAACACCGUCCGGCGGCAGAGCUAAGUCGUGCUCGUCGUGACUGUGCGGCGCACCUGACAUGGGCUCGAAUCCGUCAAAGAUAAAGUCUCCGCGGAUGUUGGCACUGUAGUUUAAAUUUCCAAACCUGACCUGACAGCCAGGGGCGUAGCUCUCGAUCUGCUCCAGAUGGCCAAGCGAGUUGGCCCACAGUACGAAGCCGCCGAAUACAAAGAUCUGUCCGGGGAGGAAAACCUCACCCUGGAUCGCAUCGUUGGCGAUGAUUGAAGGAGCCAUCAAGCCUUUAUCGCGACGGCAGAGUGGAACUCUCAAUGAAAGCACCAAUGUCGGUGUCAAAACCGGCGGAUCUCGGGUAGGGGGUCCUGAACUGUGCGUCUAAGGCGGCUGGUAACAGGAGGCGGGGGACAUGAUGUUUACCCAGGUUCGGGCCCUCUCGAUGGAGGUAAUACCCUACUUCCUGCUUGAUUGAUCUUGAUGAUAUGAGUAUUACAAGAGUUGAUCUACCACGAGAUCGUAGAGGGUAAACCUUAGAAGCUAGCCUAUGGUAUGAUUGUUGUUGUCCUAGGGACUAAACCCUCCGGUUUAUAUAGACACAGGAGGGGGCUAGGGUUACACAGAGUCGGUUACAAGGGAGGAGAUCUACAUAUCCGUAUUGCCAAGCUUGCCUUCCACGCCAAGGAGAGUCCCAUCCGGACACGGGACGGAGUCUUCAAUCUUGUGUCUUCAUAGUCUAACAGUCCGCCUAAAGUAUAUAGUCUGGCUGUCCGAGGACCCCCUAAUCCAGGACUCCCUCAGGGUAUCCCUCACCGGUGGCCAUCUUCAUCAUCCCGGCGCUCUCCAUGACGAAGAGGGAGUAGUUCACCCUCGGGGCUGAGGGUAUGUACCAGUAGCUAUGUGUUUGAUCUCUCUCUCUCUCUCGUGUUCUUGAUUCAGCACGAUCUUGAUGUAUCAUGAGAUUUGCUAUUAUAGUUGGAUCUUAUGAUGCUUCUCCCCCUCUACUCUCUUGUAAUGGAUUGAGUUCUCCCUUUGAAGUUAUCUUAUCGGAUUGAGUCUUUAAGGAUUUGAGAACACUUGAUGUAUGUCUUGUCGUGCUUAUCUAUGGUGACAAUGGGAUAUCACGUGAUCCACUUGAUGUAUGUUUUGGUGAUCAACUUGCGGGUUCCGCCCAUGAACCUAUGCAUAGGGGUUGGCACACGUUUUCGUCUUGACUCUCUGGUAGAAACUUUGGGGCACUCUUUGAAAUACUUUGUGUUGGUUGAAUAGAUGAAUCUGAGAUUGUGUGAUGCAUAUCGUAUAAUCAUGCCCACGGAUACUUGAGGUGACAAUGGAGUAUCUAGGUGACAUUAGGGUUUUGGUUGAUUUGUGUCUUAAGGUGUUAUUCUAGUACGAACUCUAUGAUAGAUUGAACGGAAAGAAUAGCUUCAUGUUAUUUUACUACGGACUCUUGAAUAGAUCGAUCAGAAAGGAUAACUUUGAGGUGGUCUCGUACCCUACCAUAAUCUCUUCGUUUGUUCUCCGCUAUUAGUUACUUUGGAGUGACUCUUUGUUGCAUGUCGAGGGAUAGUUAUAUGAUCCAAUUAUGUUAUUAUUGUUGAGAGAACUUGCACUAGUGAAAGUAUGAACUCUAGGCCCUGUUUCCUAGCAUUGCAAUACCAUUUACGCUCACUUUUAUUAUUAGUUACCUUGCUGUUUUUAUAUUUUCAGAUUACAAAAACCUAUAUAUACCAUCCAUAUUGCACUUGUAUCACCAUCUCUUCGCCGAAUUAGUGCACCUAUACAAUUUACCAUUGUAUUGGGUGUGUUGGGGACACAAGAGACUCUUUGUUAUUUGGUUGCAGGGUUGUUUGAGAGAGACUAUCUUCAUCCUACGCCUCCCACGGAUUGAUAAACCUUAGGUCAUCCACUUGAAAGAAAUUUGCUACUGUCCUACAAAGCUCUGCACUUGGAGGCCCAACAACGUCUACAAGAAGAAGGUUUUGUAGUAGAUAUCAGGGGGAGGGGGGUGAAACCGCCCCGCCGCCGCCGUCCCCGAGCGCGGCGCGGCUUCGCUGGCCGGCCCUCCGGCGGCAGCGAUGCGGGGGGAGGGGGGCACUGGCGGAGGAAGGCUACCGGUGGCGAUGAAGGUUUCCCCCGUAUCGCCUGUUGCGGGCGACGCGGGGGCAGGGUUGACCAGCUCGAGGAUUUCGGCUGAGCUGUAGAACGUAUGAAAUAUUGAAGGAAAACAAAAACAUGAGAAUCAACAGAUAUUGGAGAAGUUGGUACAGAGUGGUACAUGGAAAGGAAAUUUUACUUUUACUGGAGGUUGAAUGAAGUUAUGUUUACACCUUCCAUUUCACUUUGUGGGCACUCCGAAGUUGCAAAGAAAAAAUAUAUAAAAUAUCAUCAUUCGUACGCAUUUAUAUGCAGGUAAUGAAAAUGGCUCCACCUAAUUAUAAGAUUAUUAAGCACUUUUAGUACCCGGGAGUCCCUGGUACUGUGAAGAUGAUAUUAAGACUAAUUAAUGGACAUGGAUUUGUUCUGAUCACACAAAGAUAGCUCAAACACCCAUCCGCUUACUUGCUUGCAUUUCAAAAGAUUGAUAACCACAUUUCAUCAUUUUUCCCCACUUCUCCACCUUGCUGGUGAUAUAUAUCCAGCUUCCGCAUAUAUGAUAUUUUUCACUCUAGCACUUUCAGCUUCUUUUUGAAAUGAAGAGUACUUUUCUUGCUGAUGCAGCAACAAUAGUAAGUCAGAGCUUUCUUAGGCCUUGUACAAUGCAAGGUGCUUUGAGAAAUAAACUAGGCUUUCCUUAAGCACCGAUACUUAUUUGUACAGGAUACUUUAUUAAUUUUUCUCACAAGAUCUUACAAAGUCAUACAACAGUAAGACUAAAGCCGCCGUCUAAGCAACAAACUGUCGCUACACCUAUCCAGUUGAUGAAGGGACGCAGAUAGCCUGGGCCUAAUACCAAACAGACAUCGCAUCCAAGCCUAACAUCUAAGACCUGAGACCCCAACCUAGCCACUUGCCGGGUCUGGGGCACACACUGGUCCGGCGUGCUCUCAGAGGCCGCCGCCGCCAACUGCCACCGCUCCAUCUUCAGAAUUGUACUGAUGCAUCAACCUUACUCGGUCUAGCUAUCGUCGACGCCACCACUGCGCCCAGCGGCACCUCCUCCCUGCCCGCAAACAACUGAGCACAUCGCGGUCGCCACUGAUACACCUCAGCACCAUGCUGCCAAGUACCACCAGCUGACACAGCUUGAAGUCCUUGGAAGAUCUUUCAUGCGUAGCACCUGCCGACCAAGUAUGACAAAGUGUAGCACCUGUCGGUCAGGCAUGACUUGACAUCUCCACCGAAGCUCCGUGCAAGACGAAGCCGCUCCACCUCCUGCCUCUGACUUCCAGCGCUGCUCCACAAACGAUGCUCCCAAGAGAGAAACGAGACAGCGGUGCCACAAUCGUCCGAUCUGGAACACCAGAUCCUAGAGUUUCCCGUGGAGCAGCACGAGUGGGUCGACAGUAGUUACACGAUGAUGCCUCCAUCAAGGUAACGACGAGAACGCCGCCAUCGCCUACCGUCGGCUCGAUUUUCACCGGCAACCAUGUCUCCCCUACUCGCAGUCGGGACUAGAUGAUGGAUCUCGAGAUCCGAUCACCAAGCCUCUGGCCGGCCAUCUCUGGAAGAAGAUGACCACCACGUCCACCAGCGUCACCACACCGGGCACGCGUUGCCGCCGGCACCCCCAUGGUGCCUAGAGGCCGACAAGCCCCGACGAACACCACGCCUCGCCAGCCGCCAUAGCCCAGGCCCAAGCACCACCAGAUCCAGAUCAGAUCGGGGUCAAGGGCCCCAAGCCGCAGCCGUCGCGGAGGCAGCACCACUAGACGGUGCCCUGCCCUCCACCCCGCUGUAGGAUCGAGUCAUCGCCGGAGCUCCGCCACGCCACGCCGCCAAGACGCCGCCGGAAGAACUCGCGCCGCCGCUAGGGGAGAGAGAGACGCGCUAGGGAGAGGCCCCGCCGCUGGCACUGCCUUGGCUUUGCCCGGCUGUGUCCCUCGGCGGCGGCGAGGGGGGAGGGAGGGUGGAGGAGGGCCGGCGGCGGAGGGGGCUAGGGUUCCCCCGAGUCGCCUCAGAGAGGGACGCAGGCGACGGGGUGAGAAAACUGAGAGAGUGGAUAUGGCCUUUACUCGAGCUCAUGGGGUGGCCCGACUGCUGGUGAGUGUUCUCGAUAUUGAGUUCGUGCCUGAUGUGGUUAAGUGGACAUAUAGGGGACAGAUUUUCAACCUCGAGAUUGAGUUUGAGGAUGCCGCUCUCUUCGCUGAGGCUAUCAAUGGGACUGAUGUAGAUAUGCACGAGGGUGAUGACAGCUCGGGUGCUAAGGAGGCACCGGUUGAUGAUGUUGGACGAGAGUUGUCCAACUAAUCGGGGCCCGUUCCUCAGACGCCCAGGGACGGGACGGCACCAUCCUCUUCGGUGCCUAUGAGUUCUCUGAGAUUUGGGUCGUUUGAGCCAGCUUCUGCUCCUCCCAGACUCUGGAGUGACCGGGUGGAGUCCGAUGACGUGUUUGAGCGCACGCUACCUACCCUGGAUUUUGUUGCUGCUGAUAGUCCCGUGCUUGGAGGUUUGGAGGGGAUUAUCUCUGUGCAGACCUCGGUAAGGGGAGGGGAGGCGGAGCUUGGGCAGGUGGCCCCUCUUUCCCCCGCUCUCCCUGCGGUGUCACCUCGGGAGACGGAGUCGACUAUGGAGGCUGUCCCUAGGGAGGGAGUCCAUGGCAGGUGGCCUCGGCUCCUUCUUCUCUUCUCGCGGUGCCGGAGCUGCAGAUGGCGGUUGUGCUUAGGGGAGGCGGUCCAGGGCAGGUGGCCUCGGCCCCCUCUUCACCUCUGGCGGCUAGGGAGGCCACACCCCCUAUGGCGCCGGAGACCUCUUCUAGCCAGAGGGCUGGGGCGGGAGGAGCGUACGGGCAGGCGGCCCACGCGCUUCCCUCUCCCGGCGCGCCAACGUCCCAGGGCCUCGGUUCGAGGUGGACGUCAGUGGGGCCGGGGAGGUCCCCGCCGCUGCCCCCGGCAGCUCCCGCCGACUCUUCGACGUGUGCAGCUUCGCGGUGUGCUGGGGGUGAGGCCGGUGGCUUUACUCCGAGCGGGGUCACUCGGGAGGAGGUCAUCGCCUUUGGAGGGAUUCUAGAUCCUGUCUCUGCGGGGCGACGGAUGAGCUGUCGUCUCUAGGAUCAUCCGGAGGUUGAUGACAUGCAGCAGCGGUGCGCCAUGAGGGCGGCCAAGCUUCGUGACAUUGAGGUCACUACUGGUAUGUCGGUCAACACUUCUAAUUCCAUUCUGCAUUUUUCUAAUAAUGAGAUUAUUAAUAAUUCAAAUCAAUUGGGAGUUUCACUAGGUAGUAAUGAUAGUGAAAUUUCUAACUUUGUAAAUGAUAUCCUGGAUUUGGAAGCGGAACGCGCUUUAGAAAUGAUUCAAAACUUAGCAGCGGUUAAACCCAUGAAUGAUGCAGAUAUCGAUGCGUUGGGGGUCAGGGUGCUCGAUAAUUUUUGUGCAGAUCUUGCACCAUCCAUUCCUGAGUCAGAGGAAGAGGAUAACACUUUUGAGGCUGCCGUAGAUCGAUCCAUGGAGCCCGGUUGUGAGGACUGGGUGGAGGAUCAAAACAAACCUAAACGCAAGUGGAAGCGGAAGAUCUACCCUGCUUCGGCGGUGCGUAGGAGUGCUAGGAUCCGUACUAUUAAAACAUUUCAUGAUGAAAUAUGAAAGGAAUCUUUUGGAAUAGCAGAGGUCUGAAAGACUUGGCUAAAAGAAGGUUUCUUGCAGAUGCGUCUAUCGAGCAUAGGUUGGAUUUUAUCACUCUCUCGGAAACUGGUAGAGAUAAUUUUUCGCCCCAGUUUCUCAGUACUUUAUCGGGAGGUGUUGAUUUCAAUUGGCACUGCCUGCCUCCGAGAGGAAGAUCGGGUGGGAUCUUACUUGGAGUGAGAUGCGAUUCGCUAGAAGUCUGAAGUGUAGUGAUGGGAGAUUUCACAAUUAAGUUCCGGGUUAGGUCGAAAGCCAACGGGUUUAAUUGGGCUCUGAUGGCGGUUAUGCUCCCGCGCAGCCCGAUCUCAAACCAGAGUUCUUGGCGGAUCUUGUUCAAAUUUGCGGCUCUGAGCAGCUCCCAAUCCUGGAUGGGGGUGAUUUCAACAUCAUUAGGAGGAGAGAGGAAAAGAAUAAUGAUAAUUUCGACGGCAGGUGGUCGUUUAUGUUUAAUACCAUUAUUGAAAGCUUGGAUCCUAGAGAGAUAGAGCUUUCGGGUAGAAAAUUCACCUGGGCUAAUACUUUGCCAAAUCCGACGUUUGAGAAGCUGGAUCGAGUCCUAGUGAGCGUCGAAUGGGAACAGAUAUUUCCUUUGGUAACGGUCCAGGCUCUUUCGCGUGGUAUUUCUGACCACACGCCUUUAUUUGUGGACUCUGGUGAGCCAACCCACAUGGGGAACAAAAACUCCUUUUCUUUCGAGCUGGCAUGGUUUGAACGAGAAGGCUUCUUGGAUAUGAUAGCCAGGGAAUGGGCUAAGGAUGCAGGAGGUAGGACUUCGAUUGAGCGCUGACAGAAUAAGAUAAGGCACUUGAGAAGUUUCUUGCGUGCGUGGGCUAAGCAUCUUAGUGGGGUUUAUAAGGUCGAAAAGGAAAGGCUCCUUACACUUAUUCAGUCUCUAGAUUUAAAAGCCGAGUCCACAAUUUUGCAAGCCACAGAGCUUCAUGAUAAACUGGAGGCGGAGAUGAGAUUGAAAGAGCUUCUCCGUGAAGAGGAAUUAAAGUGGGCGCUGCGGGCUAAGGUUCGCAAAGUUGUCCAGGGGGACGCGAAUACUCAAUUCUUUCACAUGAUCGCUAAUGGCAAGCACAGAAAGAAUAGAAUCUUUCAGCUUGAACCAAGAUGAAGGAACGAUUUUAGGACAGGAAAACCUAAAAUUAUACAUAACCGAAUACUACAAGCAGUUGUUUGGGCCUCUGGAGGAUAAUUGUGUAUCCCUGGAUGAGUCUAGGAUUGAGGAUGUGCCUCAACUUACUGCUGAUGAGAAUGAUAUUUUGAUUGCCCCUUUUUCGGGGAAAGAGGUGUUUGAAGCCAUUACACAGAUGAAAAACAAUAAGGCUCCAGGGCCGGAUGGAUUUCCGGCGGAAUUCUAUAAAAAGUGUUGGCAUAUUAUUAAGGGGGAUUUGCAACCAAUGUUCCAUGAUUUAUUCUCUGGACAGCUUCAGUUAUUUCACUUGAACUUUGGAAUGAUAACAUUGCUUCCUAAGAAAACAAAGGCUGUGAGAAUUGAGCAGUUCAGGCCGAUCUGUCUUCUCAAGGUUAGUUUCAAAAAUUUCACAAAGGUUGGGACUAAUAGGCUCACGCAGACUGCGCAUUCUGUGGUGCAGCAUUCCCAAACUGCUUUCAUGCCGGACAGAAACAUCCUAGAAGGGGUUGUGGUCCUUCAUGAAACGCUCCACGAAAUUCACACGAAAAAACUAGAUGGAGUUGUUUUCAAGGUGGAUUUCGAGAAAGCGUACGAUAAAGUCAAAUGGCCUUUCCUUCAACAGGCCUUACAUAUGAAAGGUUUUGAUGAAGCCUGGCGACGCCAGGUAGAAUCUUUCACGCAAAAAGGGAGUGUUGGAAUUAAAGUGAAUGACGACAUAGGUCAUUAUUUCCACACACAUAAGGGCCUGAGACAAGGGGUUCCGAUGUCUCCUAUUUUGUUCAACAUUGUAGUUGAUAUGUUGGCAAUUCUAAUAGGAAGGGCUAAGGAGGUUGGUCAGGUGGGUGGCUUGGUGUCUCAUCUAGUUGAUGGAGGUGUGUCUAUCCUACAGUACAGCGAGAAAUAUGAAGCUGGUGUUAUGCUUAUUUGAACAAUUGACCGGGUUAAAGAUUAACUUUCACAAAAGCAAAUUGUUCUGCUUUGGAAGAGCCAAUGAGGAACAAGAGGCUUAUAGGCAAUUGUUUGGGUGCGAAUUGGGGACCUUACCAUUUACGUAUUUAGGUAUACCAAUUCACCAUCGUAAGCUGACAAACACAGAAUGGAAGUGUAUCGAGGAUCUCUUUGAGAAGAAACUGAGUUGCUGGAAGGGCAAGCUCAUGUCAUACGGAGGCCGAUUAAUUCUGAUUAAUUUGGUUCUCACGAGUAUGCCUAUGUUUCUCUUGUCUUUGUUCGAAGUCCCAGUUGGAGUUAGGAAAAGGCUGGACUUCUAUCGAUCCCGAUUCUUCUGGCAGAGCGAUGAACUAAAAAGAAAAUACAGACUCACCAAAGGGAUAUUAUCUGUCGACCGAAAGACCAAGGGGGUCUUGGCAUUGAAAAUCUUGAGGUCAAGAACAGAUGUCUUCGCAGCAUGUGGCUGUCUAAGUUAUCUGUAGAGAUCGAUGCCACAUGGGCGCAGAUUCUUAGUAGUAAGUAUCUUCAUUCCAAAACUUUGUCCCAGGUGACAGCGAGGCCGACAGACUCACCUUUUUGGAAAGGGCUUAUGAUAGUCAAAUUAGCCUUUUUUAAUAGGACAAAGUUUAUUAUCGUCAAUGGCGCUAGCACGCGAUUCUGGGAGGAUACUUGGCUCGGAGAGACCCCCUUGCACUUCAAUACCCGUCUCUGUAUCGUAUUGUUCAACGACGUGAUGCUUUCGUUGCAACGAUACUUCAAUCCAUCCCCCUUAAUAUUUAGGUCAGGAGGACGCUAGCCGGUAAUCGUUGGGAAGAGUGGCUCCAUCUAGUGAGUAGACUGAUGGAGGUUCAGCUGUCUCAACAGCCCGAUCAAUUACGCUGGAAACUUACUAGGUCUGGAGAGUGUACAGUUAAAUCAAUGUAUCUCGAUGUGAUCAAUUCUAGCUCUAUUCCUAGUUCCAAAUAUGUUUCGACAGUCAAAGUUCCAUUGAAAAUUAAAGUGUUUACGUGGUUUGUACAUAAACAAGUCAUCUUAACCAAGGACAAUUUGGCAAAGCGUAACUGGACAGGACCUACUAAGUGUAGUUUUUGUGAUCGGGAUGAAACUAUCAAACACCUUUUUCUUGAUUGCUCGAUGGCCAAAGUUCUAUGUCGGACAGUCCACAUAGCCUUUGACAUUUCCGAGUUCUGUUAGCACGUUAUUUGGAACGUGGCUUAAUGGGAUAGAGUCCGAAACAGCGAGACACAUUCGCGUAGGAGUAUGUGCUUUAUUGUGGGCAGUCUGGAACUGCAGAAAUGAUUUGGUUUUUAACAGAACAACAAAUAUUCAUUUUUUGCAGGUUAUCUUCCAAGCCACUGCGUUGAUCCGUACGUGGUCACUACUCACUCCGACGGAGGCCAGGGAGCGUUUGGUUACUGGAUCUAUCCGGUGGGAGAUGGUAGCACGGGAUAUCUUCAACCGGUUUGAAUGGCGGUCAUGUAAUAGGAUAGGCAAUUAGUUUACCUAUCUUUCUUAUGCCGGCCGAUUGUGGCUUUUUGGCUAGUUUGUUAUUGGCCCUUUGGCUCUUUAUGAGCUUUCCUUUACUUUCGUUUGAGACUUUAAGACCUUGUUAAACCUAUUUGCUUUUUUAUAAAGUUGGCCGUAUGCAUCGUUCUGAUGCAGAGGCCGGGGAGCCCCCACUUUUCGAAAAAAAACCUCUUGUUAUCUUGUAUUCUUGUGUGACAAUGCUCGAAGAAUAUAAAAGGGCUAGGUGGAAAGACCCCCAUAUCGAAAACUUGCCUACCUACGAGUUUUAUAGACACAGAGCCUCAUUGGAUUGUACUAGAUGGAGCCUCCAGUGAGAGCUGAAGACGAGGCGAUGAGCACGGAGGAGCUGCUCCAAGCCCAGACGGAUCUCUACCACCACUCCCUAGCCUACAUCAAAUCUAUGGCGCUCGGUGCCGCCACAGAACUCAGCGUCGCCGACGCCAUCCACGGCCGUGGCGGUGCCAUCACCUUGUCUGACCUUGCGGCCGCGACCGGCGUCCACCCGACGAAAGUCCAACACUUCGGGCGGCUGAUGCGCGCGCUUACCGUCACUGGUGUCUUCACCUCGGAAGAAAAAGAAGGCGGUGGUGGUGCCCUGUACAAGCUCACUCGGAUUUCACGCCUCCUUCUCGGAGUCGGCAAGCGUCGGCUCUCCCCGAUGGUGCGUAUGCUUGUCAGCGAGGUCAGUUUCACUACUCCCAUGAGCAUCUGCGAGUGGAUCACCACUGAGACGCCGGCCAGGGCCAUGUUCGAGGCCCAUUUUGGCUCUACGCAAAAUGGGUUGUGGGAGAAGGACGACGCGUAUGGUGCCCCCUUCUACUCAGCAAUGGCUGCGGACAGCCGUCUCGUCAUGGAGGUUCUGCUGAGAGAGUGCAGCAGCGUCUUUGAGGCCGUUGCCGGCUCACUUGUCGAUGUCGGCGGCGGCAGCGGAGGAGUCGUGGCUGCCGCCAUUGCCACAGCGUUCCCUCACAUCAAGUGCUCCGUGCUGGACCUCCCCAACGUGGUAGCCGCGGCUGACGACACCACCAACGUGCAGUUUGUCUCCGGCGAUAUGUUUGACUACAUUCCACCAGCGGAUGCCGUUCUACUCAAGGUACGUACUUACAUAGUACUCCCUCCGUAAGGAUAUAUAAGAGCAUUUAGAUCAUUAUUAUUUUAGUGAUUGAUCCAAACGCACUUAUAUUUCUUUACAGAGGGAGUAGCACAUACAAAUGCAGCAAGCUAUCCAUUUCUUAUAUAUAUAAUGAACCAAAUUAAUCAACCAAUCCUUCCUAUAAAUUUUGUAGUGGAUUUUGCAUGACUGGGAAGACCAAGACUGCGUCAAGAUACUGCGCAAGUGCAGAGAGGCCAUCCGCACAAGAGGUGCUGGGGGGAAGGUGAUUAUAAUCGAUUUCGUCGUCGGUGCUGGUUCUUGCAAGGAGACGGAGACACAGGUUCUGUUUGAUCUUUACAUGAUGAUGGAGAAUGGGGCUGAGCGGGACGAGCAAGAGUGGAGCAAGAUUUUCUUUGAAGCUGGAUUUAGUGACUACAAGAUCAUGCCAGUCUUAGGCGCUCGUUCACUCAUUCAAGUAUUCCCAUGAAUUCUGGCGGUUUGAUGUCCAAAUGUACUUCCUGUUUCCAAAUGUUUGUUUGCUUUCACAUCAGAAUAAUGCCUAGGACUAUACUAUAUAGUCUCGACUUUGAAUCUGAAUAAUGAAACUGUUUGUUAUCCUACGUGUUGUUUUCGUUCAUAAUUCAUAUGCUCACAAUGAAAUACAGUCUGCUAUUUUUGUUUACAUUAAAUUAUACUUUACCUAGCAAUAUGGUAAACAGGCUCACUUAGCAGAGGCUGGCUUGUUCGCUUAUUCGCCGCCCUAGGAAUGCGAGCUCCUUGCCGAAAUGAAAUUCUAGUAGCACUGGUUACUAUCGGGUCCUGCAUGUUCGUCAUUUGUGCAAGUAAACACAAUGCAUACGAGUACUCUACUGAAUUGAACUUUUUUGUAUUGUUUUCAUUGGACCAUCCACUGUAUAGUAACAGAGUAUUUAUUGCACACAGACUAUUUUAUUCUUUCAACCCAUAGUUCAUCCACCCACACUUUUAGUCUGAUUCUAAAAUUUGUAACACUUUUAAAUUUUGAACUUGUUCUGAACAAGUAAAAUUCCAAAUUUGACACCAUAAUGAAACUUAUGUCAAAUGUGAGAUCAUAUGAAAUGAAACUGAAGUGAACCAAUAAUAAAAAAUGCAAAAAUAAUUUAAUAAACCAUAAUAAAACUUAUAUCAAAUUUGAGAUGAAACAUAGACGAAUUGUGGAUUGAAACAAUAACGAAAACAAGCUAAGGGGAAUCUAUGAAUAAAUAAUGAGAACAUGUAAAAUUACGAUGACACGGAAAUGAUAUCGUAUGGAAAAUAUGCUAAGAGAACACUUUCAUUGGCCAGCCCAACCAUGAAAGGUAAUUUAACAAAAUGAUAUGAAACUUAUUUGAAAGCUCGAAAAAUAGAAAUAAAACCAGAAUGAAAAUAAUAAUGAAACAUGUAAAAAUACGAUGAAACACAUAUGUAAAAAUAAGGCCGCGAGAUCGUCGUCCUCUGAGUUGGAAGUUUAUGGUGAAGGUGACGUGGGAUCCAUUGCAGGCGCGCCCGGGGUCUGGUGUGGUUGUGGAACACAUAUGUGGAGAUCAUAGUAGCGGUGAAUGACGAACGUGAGCGCUCCGAAGAAUAUGGUGCAGGAAGGAGAAGUCGGUCUGUUAGUGUAGAACCGGCCUUCUGCGAUGAAGGUGAGGAAGCCGAUGGUUAAGCCGUGAGAUUGCCAGCCGUUAUUGAGGAUCUGAUCUAGAGUCGGUCCCCAGCUGACAUAGCCCCUUCCUGUGCUAACUGAUGGUAUGGGAAUUUGCGAGUAUCCUUUGUAGGGUGGCGAACAUGUCCGGAAGUACAAGAAGGGAGUUCGCCAAGGGGGUUUUCCAGAUUUGCGCCCUCAUGGCGAGGAAAUACCUUACGUCCUGCUAUUUGUUUUCUAUUGAUGAUGGAGAACGUUGAGCGAGGGGUUACAAGGGACAUAAAUAUGGCCAUAGGAGUAUAGUCUACGGGAGUAGAUUGGAAUCGCUACCCCUAUCCUCACCUUAUAUAGGUGACGGGGCUAGGUUUUACAUGGCGCCUACAUGAUCUCACACUGCCAUCAUCUUGGCUUCCACCCAAGAUGGUCUUCUGGCUUCCAGGACCCCCGGGCUGUCUCUUGAUGCCAGACCUCCUUCAAGACUUUUGGGCCCGAAGGCCGGCCCACUAUUGGGUUCAUAUCUAGUGUGCCAUCCACGUUGUAAUGCACCAUCACCAACCCCGAUUUCUGGGGCCUUAAGAGUGAAGCGAUUCCUAAUUCUUCUUGGUAACAUGCCAAAGUGUUGUGUCCCAAAGGCUCGACUGGGUAUUUUCGUCAUUGCGGUUGAUAUGGAGAAGGGGUGGGUCGCAUGGAGGCAGAAAUGGGUAAAUGAAGACAGAAACGAGGGGCUGGCCUGACAGUGGUUCAUGUAGACGACGAGCAAGAGCAUGUGGCCAAUUUUUCCGCAAGCGUUAGAAGCAUAGCCAUAAUUCCAGAAAUUUUAGUGGCGGCAACUGAAUUUGCCCUAUUAUAAGAAGGUAUUGCCCCACAACGGUGCGCACACGGGUGACCUUCCUCUUGGUCCAAUGACAGGUGGGCCAUGGACUCGCCGGGGGCCAUAUUAAUGGGACAUUGUCUAUCGUGCUCUUGUGAUUUCUCUCUCGGGUGAUGGGCGGGCUAGACCCACCUGUCGGUUUUUUCGGACACCGUUGGGCUGGCUCAGGUGUGCCAGGGGGCCAGGUCAGACUGUGGUGGGCCUAGACCCCGGCGGGUGUGCGUCGUUCAGGAUGGCCGGCCACGCGGGUGUGCCAUGCUGUUUGAUCGCGAGAGCUGGCAAAGCACGGGCACCAGGUUGUUCGGCUUGUGUGAGCGAAACAGGCGACGGUGAGUCUAUCGUCCAAGAGACGGGCCGAAUAUACCGACAGGCGGAUCAGGCUUCCUGCUCUUGUGCAAUACGAUGAGAAAGGGUUCUCGCGGGAGCACCGAGGCCGCUCCAUGAGAGUGGCCCUGCACGCACCCGCGGUCCACCCGUCAUGGACCCCCGAGUGCACGUCCACUAGUUGAAAACGGAGUUUUAUCACCGGUUCGUAAGGGCCUUUAGUGCCGGUUCUGCAACCGGCACUAAAGAGUGGGGACUAAAGGUCCCCCUUUAGUACCGGUUUGGCACGAACCGGCGUAAACGUGCCACCACGUGGCACGAGCCAGGCCUGGGUGCGUGUAGGACAUUAGUACCGGUUGGUAACACAACCGGUACUAAAUGUUUGGGUGUGUUUUGGUUUUAAUUUUUAUUUUUCCUUUAGUUUUGUGUUUUCAAUUUAAUUUAGUGAUUGUUUUACAUUAUAAUGAGUUGUUAAAUCAUUAGGUGAAAGUACCGCAGAUUAGUUUCGACUGGAUGCAUGUGGAUCCUAGCUAAGUGAUAAAGUAUAUGCCAUAUCCAUAUUACUUAGAUCUAAGUAAUAUGGAUAUGGCAUAUAGUUGAUCACUUAGCUAGGAUCCAUCCAGUUGAAACUAAUAUGCGGUUUCUUUCAUAAAUGAUAUAAUAACUCAUCAUCAUCAUCAUCAUAUUAAUAUAAAAACUCUUGCAUCAUAUCAUCACCAACAACAGUAUAUACUAGCUAGCAAAGAUAUCAUCGAGUUCAACAUGGUCAUGAUAUUAUAAGCAUUCAUAACACCACAAAAGCAAAUCACUCUUUGAGAUUAAGUUCAUGACGAAGAACACGGACACGCAUGAGAGGACAAGAAGUACUAAGAGCAUGAUAACUAGCUAAAUCACUCCUGCUGCUCUCUCUCAGGUAAAAUAGCAUAGAACAUGUAUAGCUCUCCUGAUUCAUCAUAUUGGAUCAUGCAGAUGAACCUGUCUCCUAAUCGUGGGCUGCGCUUCUGAUUGCUGCCCCCUAGUACUUCUUUGCGAUCGUUAACAAUUUUGCUCCAAUCUUUCACUAUUAAGCAUUCAUCGCUUUCAGAAAUUCUGAAUGCACUCAUGUGCACUGUAGGAUAUCUUGGCCGUAAGCUAACAAUUGACAUGCGACCUUUAGUCUUGAUCCACUGAGGCACAACUAUUAAGCAUUCAUCGCUUUCAGAAAUUCUGAAUGCACUCAUGUGCACUGUAGGAUAUCUUGGCCGUAAGCUAACAAUUGACAUGCGACCUUUAGUCUUGAUCCACUGAGGCACAACUGUCAUCGGGAGUCCCUGUUGAAGAACAUCGUAUAGUAAUUAAUAUACUUAGCAAUGAAAGUUUAGCUUGAAAAAUAAUGUAUGCAAAAGAUGCACUGAGGACUAAUAGUAAAAAUCUUACCAUCUUUCCUAAAUACAUGUGACCGUAGUUCAAUACGAUCACUAUUGGUCGCACGUUUUGAGUACUAAGAUUUUCAAAUUCAGGAAAAUGAUUUCUCUUAACAGCAUCAAGAUCCUCAAGCCAUGAAACAUAAUGACUUAUCUCCUCGCAGUUUAGUUCAGCCCCGGGACAGUGGAUGGUCCUGUCUACCAAGCGCCGAACAUGUUUGCUUGAAUCAAAAUAAGCUGUCAAUAGAAAUUACUUGUCAACUAUUUUUGAAUAAACAAUAUCGAAGACAUAAAUAUGGUUGAGAAACUCACAUAAUGGUAGAACUGGAGGCAUCUGCACAUCGACCCAGAUAUCUCUAUUACCUUCAAUAUCAUCUUCCGGACGAAUAUCAAAGGUGAUAACCAUAUCAGGCUCAAAUGCAUAAGUCUUGCAUAGUGCUUGCCAAGUUUUGCAUUCAAAAUAGGUGUAUGUGUCUGCAUUGUAUAAUUUGACGUUGAAAGUAUAACCAUGCUCGGUCUUCAGGUAAACUCUCUUUGCCUCCAUAGUUUCCAUAGCACUGAAACCUAUCUUAUCCAAGACAAAAAUUCUUGCAUGGCAGGGGAUGCGCUACUACAAUAGUGAAAAUUAAAAAUUAUAAGUUGAAGCAAAUGAAGCAUAAGUCAUGCUUAAUUAUGAAAAAAGACUUGUCGUUGUGACUUACUGUAUCCACUUCGAAGGUCUCAUCCAGCUUGAUGCUGAAGCGCCUAUCAUCAACAAGGAAAUUUCUGUCGCACAGGCCGCGCUGGUCUUCACAGUAUUCGCACUUAAUGAAAUCUUUUUCGUCGUCAGACGACAUUUCCUAUGUUCAUAUAGGUGAAACAUUAAACACUUACUAGUUCUAUUAAUUCAACUAGUUCAACUACUUCUAUUAAUUCAACUAGUUCUAUCAAUUCAACUAGUUCUAUUAAUUCAACUAAUUCAACUAAGCAUUUACUAAAAAUAAACUAGUUCUAUAUAUAUAUAUAUAUUAAUAUUUUAAUUAGAUCAUCAAAUCUCAAAUACCUAAAUUUUCUUACUAAAAAUAAACCAGUUCUAUUAAUUCAACAAAUUCAACUAAGAAUUUACUAAAAAUGAACUAGUUAUAUUAAUUUUCUUACUAAAAUAUAUAAAGUAGCUAUGUAUAGUAAUAUUUUAAUUAGAUCAUCAAAUCUCUUAUACCUAAAUUUUCUUACUAAAAAUAAACNNNNNNNNNNNNNNNNNNNNNNNNNNNNNNNNNNNNNNNNNNNNNNNNNNNNNNNNNNNNNNNNNNNNNNNNNNNNNNNNNNNNNNNNNNNNNNNNNNNNNNNNNNNNNNNNNNNNNNNNNNNNNNNNNNNNNNNNNNNNNNNNNNNNNNNNNNNNNNNNNNNNNNNNNNNNNNNNNNNNNNNNNNNNNNNNNNNNNNNNNNNNNNNNNNNNNNNNNNNNNNNNNNNNNNNNNNNNNNNNNNNNNNNNNNNNNNNNNNNNNNNNNNNNNNNNNNNNNNNNNNNNNNNNNNNNNNNNNNNNNNNNNNNNNNNNNNNNNNNNNNNNNNNNNNNNNNNNNNNNNNNNNNNNNNNNNNNNNNNNNNNNNNNNNNNNNNNNNNNNNNNNNNNNNNNNNNNNNNNNNNNNNNNNNNNNNNNNNNNNNNNNNNNNNNNNNNNNNNNNNNNNNNNNNNNNNNNNNNNNNNNNNNNNNNNNNNNNNNNNNNNNNNNNNNNNNNNNNNNNNNNNNNNNNNNNNCUGGGGCGGCGAUGGGGGCGGCGACGACGGCGGCGACGACGACGGCGACAGGAUGGGCUGGGGCGCGAUAGGGGCGGCGACGGGGGCGAAGAACAAACUGAAACGAACUGAAAAUAUUCGUAAGUGGUGCUUAUAUAGCGGUGGCCAUUAGUACCGGUUUGAUACUAAAGGCCUAUUUUGGCCAGGCCAAGAGGCGGGAAGAGCAGGCCUUUAGUACCGGUUGGUGGCUCCAACCGGUACUAAAGACCCACCUUUAGUACCGGGUUGGGCUACCAACCGGUACUAAAGGGGGUGCGCUGCCACCCGCGGUGUAGAAAGUUUAGUCCCACCUCGCCGGGCGAAGGGCAGCCGCACUGGUUUAUAAACCCAGCCGCGGCUGCUACUUUGAACUCCCUUGUAAAGCAGGCUUCUGGGCCUAACUAUGGCACGCUGCCCUGUGAGCCUGCUGGCCCUUGUGGGCCUGAAUUUCCACGCCCGUGGUCUUGUAGGCCCAUUGGGAAGCGCCCCAAUAAUUUUUUAUAUAGUUUGUUUCUUUUCUUCUUUAUUUAUUUUCUUCUAUUUAUUUCUGAGUAGUUUUUUAUAUAGUUUUUUCUUUUCUGCUUUUUUUUAUUUUCUUCUAUUUAUUUCGGAUUAGUUUUUUAUAUAUUUUUUUCUUUUCCCCAAAUCGGUAAAUGACUGAAAAAUAGCAAAUGUUGUCAGAAAGUGUUGAAAAUUGAUGACGUCGCUUUGAAUGGUGUGUAUGGAACGCAAAAAAGUCUGGAGUUGUAAUAAGUUUAAAAAAAUGAAGUGCCCAUGUAACAGAUGAGUUCUCGUCAGAAACCCUGAUACUACAAAAAAGAUAGUCCAGUUUGUACACGAAGUGCGUCCAGUUUUUGCCAUAACCCUCUCUACUCUUUUGCACAUGCUAUGUGGGUGAAAUGAUGAUACCAUGCCAAGUUUUGACAUUUUCAGAGUUUAUUUUGUAGUGAUUUUCAAUUUCACGGUCAUUUAACUCUCUAAACAAAUCGGUAAAUGACUGAAAAAUAGCAAAUGAUGUCAGAAAGUGUUGAAAAUUGAUGACGUCGCUUUGAAUGGUGCGUACGGAACGCAAAAAAGUCUGGAGUUGUAAUAAGUUUAAAAAAAUGAAGUGCCAGUGUAACAGAUGAGUUCUCGUCCGAAACCCUGAUACUCCGAAAGAGAUUGUCCAGUUUGUACACGAAGUGCGUCCAGUUUUUGCCGUAAUCCUCUCUACUCUUUUGCACAUGCUGUGUGGGUGAAAUGAUGAUACCAUGCCAAGUUUCGACAUUUUCAGAGUUCAUUUUGUAGUGAUUUUCAAUUUCACGGUCAUUUAGCUCUCUAAACAAAUCGGUAAAUGACUACAAAAGUGCAAAUAAUGUCAGAAAGUUUUGAAAAAUGAUGACGUCGCUUUGAAUGGUGUGUACGGAACGCAAAAAAGUCUGGAGUUGUAAUAAGUCUGAAAAAUCGAAGUGCCAAUGUAACAGAUGAGUUCUCGUCAGAAACCCUUAUACUUCGAAAGAGAUUGUCCAGUUUGUACACGAAGUGCGUCCAGUUUUUGCCGUAACCCUCUCUACUCUUUUGCACAAGCUAUGUGGGUGAAAUAAUGAUACCACACCAAGUUUCGACAUUUUCAGAGUUGAUUUUGUAGUGAUUUUCAAUUUCACGGUCAUUUAGCUCUCUAAACAAAUCGAUAAAUGACUGAAAAAUAGUAAAUGAUGUUAGAAAGUGUUGAAAAUUGAUGACGUCGCUUUGAAUGGUGCGUACGGAACGCAAAAAAAGUCUGUUGUUGUAAUAAGUUUAAAAAAAUGAAGUGCCAGUGUAACAGAUGAGUUCUCGUUCGAAACCCUGAUACUCCGAAAGAGAUUGUCCAGUUUGUACACGAAGUGCGUCCAGUUUUUGCCGUAACCCUCUCUAAUCUUUUGCACAUGCUAUGUGGGUGAAAUGAUGAUACUAUGCCAAGUUUCGACAUUUUCAGAGUUCAUUUUGUAGUGAUUUUCAAUUUCACGGUCAUUUAGCUCUCUAAACAAAUCGGUAGAUGACUAAAAAAUAGCAAAUGAUGUCAGAAAGUUUUGAAAAUUGAUGACGUCGCUUUGUAUGGCGUGUACGGAACGCAAAAAAUUCUGGAGUUGUAAUAAGUUUAAAAAAAUGAAGUACCCAUGUAACAGAUGAGUUCUCGUCAGAAACCCUGAUACUCCAAAAGAGAUUGUCCAGUUUGUACACGAAGUGCGUCCAGUUUUUGCCGUAACCCUCUCUACUCUUUUGCACAUGCUGUGUGGGUGAAAUGAUGAUACCAUGCCAAGUUUCGACAUUUUCAGAGUUCAUUUUGUAGUGAUUUUCAAUUUCACGGUCAUUUAGCUCUCUAAACAAAUCGGUAAAUGACUAAAAAAUAGCAAAUGAUGUCAGAAAGUGUUGAAAAUUGAUGACGUCGCUUUGAAUGGUGCGUACGGAACGCAAAAAAAGUCUNNNNNNNNNNNNNNNNNNNNNNNNNNNNNNNNNNNNNNNNNNNNNNNNNNNNNNNNNNNNNNNNNNNNNNNNNNNNNNNNNNNNNNNNNNNNNNNNNNNNNNNNNNNNNNNNNNNNNNNNNNNNNNNNNNNNNNNNNNNNNNNNNNNNNNNNNNNNNNNNNNNNNNNNNNNNNNNNNNNNNNNNNNNNNNNNNNNNNNNNNNNNNNNNNNNNNNNNNNNNNNNNNNNNNNNNNNNNNNNNNNNNNNNNNNNNNNNNNNNNNNNNNNNNNNNNNNNNNNNNNNNNNNNNNNNNNNNNNNNNNNNNNNNNNNNNNNNNGACUAAAAAUAGCAAAUGAUGUCAGGAAGUGUUGAAAAUUGAUGACGUCACUUUGAAUGGUGCGUACGGAACGCAAAAAAAGUCUGGAGUUGUAAUAAGUUUAGAAAAAUGAAGUGCCAAUGUAACAGAUGAGUUCUCGUCAGAAACGGUGAUACUCCGAAAGAGAUUGUCCAGUUUGUACACGAAGUGCGUCCAGUUUUUGCCGUAAUCAUCUCUAUUCUUGUGCACAUGCUGUGUGGGUGAAAUGAUGAUACCAUGCCAAGUUUUGACAUUUUCAGAGUUCAUUUUGUAGUGAUUUUCAAUUUCACGGUCAUUUAGCUCUCUAAACAAAUCGGUAAAUGACUACAAAAGUGCAAAUAAUGUCAGAAAGUUUUGAAAAAUGAUGACGUCGCUUUGAAUGGUGUGUACGGAACGCAAAAAAGUCUGGAGUUGUAAUAAGUCUGAAAAAAUGAAGUGCCAAUGUAACAGAUGAGUUCUCGUCAGAAACCCUUAUACUUCGAAAGAGAUUGUCCAGUUUGUACACGAAGUGCGUCCAGUUUUUGCCGUAACCCUCUCUACUCUUUUGCACAUGCUAUGUGGGUGAAAUGAUGAUAUCACGCCAAGUUUCGACAUUUUCAAAGUUGAUUUUGUAGUGAUUUUCAAUUUCACGGUCAUUUAGCUCUCUAAACAAAUCGAUAAAUGACUGAAAAAUAGUAAAUGAUGUCAGAAAGUGUUGAAAAUUGAUGACGUCGCUUUGAAUGGUGCGUACGGAACGCAAAAAAAGUCUGUUGUUGUAAUAAGUUUAAAAAAAUGAGUUGCCAGUGUGACAGAUGAGUUCUCGUUCGAAACCCUGAUACUCCGAAAGAGAUUGUCCAGUUUGUACACGAAGUGCGUUCAGUUUUUGCCGUUACUCUCUCUACUCUUUUGCACAUGCUAUGUGGGUGAAAUGAUGAUACUAUGCCAAGUUUCGACAUUUUCAGAGUUCAUUUUGUUGUGAUUUUCAAUUGCACGGUCAUUUAGCUCUCUAAACAAAUCGGUAGAUGACUAAAAAAUAGCAAAUGAUGUCAAAAAGUUUUCAAAAUUGAUGACGUCGCUUUGUAUGGUGUGUACGGAACUCAAAAAAUCUGGAGUUGUAAUAAGUUUAAAAAAAUGAAGUGCCCAUGUAACAGAUGAGUUCUUGUCAGAAACCCUGAUACUUCGAAAGAGAUUGUCCAGUUUGUACACGAAGUGCGUCCAGUUUUUGCCGUAACCCUCUCUACUCUUUUGCACAUGCUGUGUGGGUGAAAUGAUGAUACUAUGCCAAGUUUCGACAUUUUCAGAGUUCAGUUUGUAGUGAUUUUCAAUUUCACGGUCAUUUAGCUCUCUAAACAAAUCGGUAAAUGACUGAAAGAUAGCAAAUGAUGUCAGAAAGUGUUGAAAAUUGAUGGCGUCGAUUUGAAGGGUGCGUACGGAACGCAAAAAAAGUCUGGAGUUGUAAUAAGUUUAAAAAAAUGAAAUGCCAGUGUAACAGAUGAGUUCUCGUCCGAAACCCUGAUACUCCGAAAGAGAUUGUCCAGUUUGUACACGAAGUGCGUCCAGUUUUUGCCGUAACCCUCUCUACUCUUUUGCACAUGCUAUGUGGGUGAAAUGAGGAUACCAUGCCAAGUUUCGACAUUUUUAGAGUUCAUUUUGUAGUGAUUUUCAAUUUCACGGUCAUUUAGCUCUCUAAACAAAUCGGUAAAUGACUAAAAAAUAGCAAAUGAUGUCAGAAAGUUUUGAAAAUUGAUGACGUCGCUUUGAAUGGUGUGUACGGAACUCAAAAAAGUCUGGAGUUAUAAUAAGUUUUAAAAAAUAAAGUGCCCAUGUAACAGAUGAGUUCUCGUCAGAAACCCUGAUACUUCGAAAGAGAUUGUCCAGUUUGUACAGGAAGUGAGUCCAGUUUUUGCCGUAACACAAGAAGUCCGGAGUUGUUAUAAGUUAUUAAAGAUAAAAAAGAGGCACAAUGCUCGUUAAUUAGCUUCAAGCCUUUCGGAAUAGUGCAAACUGCACUGCACAUAGCUCCGUGCAGUCUACACUAUUCCUCAAGGCUUAAAGCUAAGCAACGUGUAGAUGAGCAUUUCACGGUCAUUUAGCUCUCUAAGCUAAUCUAGUAGCCAUGUUAAGUCGAUAAUGACGUGGAAUUGUUAUAUGACAUGCAAAUACCUUCUGAGUUAAUGGCACUAGUCAUCAACCCGUGCAACUGCAUGGGCUAGUUUUUUAAACGGUUCAUAGUUACAAUACUUUUCAUGACCACUUGUUUCUUUGCAUCCAGCAAGAAUAUAAAUUUGUUGUGUGUGAACCAUUAAAUGAACAAUUAAUAUGAAAAUAGAAAACUUAUAUCCUGAAAGUUUACAAUCUUCAUAAAAUAUUUAUAUUUUAUUUUAAGACAAACGGGAAAUUAAAAAUCCUACUUAUAGAGAUCCUGAAACAUAAUUCAAAUGUCGCAUAAAUUACGUAAUUUUGAAUGAUAAGUACUAAAAAUGUAAUAAUUUGUUUAGUUAAUAUUAAUCCUUUUUUUAUUUGGGAGUCUACUUAAUCAUGGGGUAUUUUGCAUAAUGCUUAGGCUUGUCAAAUGAAAUAAGCAUUUCAUAACAACAGUGUACCUCCCUACAGUUUAAUAACAAACUUACUCUACAAACACCGAAAACCGAACCAAAGACUGAAGAAGCAAUCAUAAGUGUCAUACUUCUUAAAUUCUCCUUUUUUUUCCCGGCACCACCCAUGGAGUAGUCUUUCCACCGUGUUUGACUCUCGUUGUGGUAGCAAAUGAUGGGUCCAAGUUUUCGCAUAGUAUUGUCCGUUUGUUUUAUCAUGAUAGAGUACUCCAUUAGUUGGCACCGCUCUUAUAUUUGUGUGUGAUCUUUUAGCAGUUCAACAUUAUAGUUCUUCCACCCAUAUGUUCGCAAUGUUAAAUCUAUGGAGAAAAAGAUUCAAAUCUUCACUAUUGUACCACAAAAGCAAGUCACAUGAAUAGCUCGCAAUUAUUUAACUACUGGUGGUUGGUGCCAGGUAUAUUAGCGUUAGGAAAGUAAAUGUACAUACUGAACAUUUGACUGUGGAAGAAAAUGAAUUUUCUUAUUUACUCUUAUUGAAUUCUAAAUAUAUUUUGGAUAUUUGUUUUCAGUAAUACACCUAAUUUUGGAAAAUCUAUUUCAUAGCCUUGUAUUUUUGAAAUAUUUUACAAAACAUGACACAAAUUGUUGUGUUUUUUCACAUACAUAUUUAUAACAUUAAUACACUCUUUAUAUGUAAUGUGAUAUUUAUUAUAUAAUUUUUUAAUCAUACAUAACUAAAUUCUUAUUAUUUUCAAAUCACAAAUUUUAAAUGAUAUGAUAACUUACAUUUUAAAAGCUCUAUUUCGGGACAUUAUAACUAAAAACUAUCUGAGCGAAUCGGGCACCAUAAUGUAUUUGGUGUCUACACUUUGUCGCAUACAUAGCCUUUUUUAUUUUUAAUGUAAUUGCUAAAAUAUGUAAUUAUGUAGAACUUAAUAUUACAUUCUAUUACACAGAUUGGACUUAUAUAGGUUGGAAAAGAAUUAAAUCUAUGCUGUCAAACCUACCGAAUAGCAUUCCUCCGGCACAUUGUAUAUCUGGCAUUUAUUAGUAAUGUGUCUAAAUCAGUUCGGGAUAAAUUCACUCUACAUCGUCAUAAUGGCUUGUUGUUAAAAUUUGGCAUCCUGACGCAUUACUUGGAAUUUUUAUAAACUCAGUGUAAACAGUUAUGUUAUCUUUUUAAACAUAAGUUAUUUAGUUCAAUUCGGAGUACUAUAUAGUAAUUUUCAACAGUAAAUCUAGCCUAUUUCAACUCGGUCAUUAUAAACAAUAAAUCUAGCCUGUUUCAACUCGGCCAUUAUAUUUAACUUAUUUAAGACAUAAGGUAAUCUAACUUUUGAACAAUCUUUAGAAAUCUACAUAUGUAGAGGUCAAGUAGGACAUACAUAUGUGAAAUUCCUUAAAAUAAUUUGAUAAUUGUUAUAUUAAAGAAAAUAAUAUUAUAAUUUAUUAUCUGUACUUACUAUAAUUGCAAUACUUUUUGAUAGCAUGUUCCCGUUGCAUAGUGUCGCUUACUGCACAAUAUCUUAAUUUGUUAUGUGUCUCGGAUAGAAAAAUAUUGUAUUUCCGCGUAUGUAUAUGCAUGUCUAUAUAUGUUUCACACACAUGAAAUUUUUUUAUAUAUUAAAAAAUGAUUUCGCCUGAGUUACAUCCAUGCAUGCUAAUUUCCUGUCUAUCAUUGGAGUUUAGAUCUAUGCAUGUAUGUGCUUGACUAAGCUCUGCACAUAUAUACGUGCCGGUCAAAUCAUAUACAUGAACGUACAUCACUCUAUUCUACUAUUAAGGGAUUCGUUGAGCACCUCGUCAAAGAAACAAACCUUUCAGAUCAACUUGUAAAUUUUCUUUUUACAUAUUUGCAUUUUUUUAGCAUAUUUGCAUUUCUUUCCUAAAAUAUUGCAAUAUUUGCAAAUAUCUGAAUCAUAUUCUUUUGAUUGACAAUAACACAAUGGCUUACCAGCAGAUCAAAACAGAUAUCUAGCUAGUGCGAAGGUUGUGCCACCUCUUGAUUGUUUCCUCCAUGAGCAAGCAAGCUUCUGGUAACGGUAACAGUCAUGGCGACGGAACAUGAUGUGCCGGCGAGCCGCAGACAUUAGAAAGAUCUGAAAAGAAGCAGAUAGGCAUGAUGCAUAAAUCUGGAAAGGAAGAAGAAUAUGCAUAACUCAAAAGCAUUGAAGCCGUCGGUUUUUGCAUUGCUCUACGAUCAGUUAAUGUACGCAUGCAUCGUAUAUGUACGCAUCCAGCCGCCGGAAUUUACUUCUCCUGCCUUCGUUUGUCAAGGGCAAAAAUACUGGCCAGCAGCACAAAUUGAAGACCAGCUUUCGGCACCUCCAUAACGCUCGUAGAAAAGUUCUCAAUGACUUGCAUCGGGAAUAUCUCUCCAGACCAGGGCAUGCGCCAAUUAAUGCUUCUUGCCGUGUCAUGUAUGCCGGGUCAUGUAUCUCUACGGGGACAACAAAAUUCAACUUGUUUAUUUUUGGAUAAUCAUUGGGAGAUAGAGACCCAGCACAGGACGUCUCCCAUGCGUGGGACAACCGAGGUUUUUUUUUUCAAUCUUAGGCUUCAUCAACGGCUAAAAUAUAUUAUAUUUUAAUCUGACGGAUGUAAAUCUUUAACUUAUAAAAUUGACGUGAAUCCUCGUAUGGCUCUUCCAAUUAGUAAAUAUAUAAGAUAGUAGUAGACGUGAAGAAUAAAGGGGCAGUAAUGGGAUAUUAAAUGUGGCAGCUAACUUGCUAGGCCUUCGAGUUAUAUUUUGUUCAGCAUUAAGUGGAAAACAUAUUUUGGCAUCCUUUUCCUCCUCUCGACUCUGACAAAAUGUUAGUGAUAUUCAAAUGGAAAAGCUUAGGCAAGAAAUAUUCCGAGGAAAAAUAAUGCAUCUACUCUAAAAUAUAUUUUCAUCAAUAGUAGUCCACUACUACCAUGAGCCAAUGGCCAUGGUUCUAUUCAAAAUUUUAAUUUAUCAAGAUCAGGCGUAGACUUGAUGUUGACAUCAAUGGCUAUCUAGGCUUAGAGAGAUGAGAGGAGUGAAGAACAAAAAAGGAGCGCCAAUAAUGGUUAUAACCCAUAGGGGAUAAAAUAAGGACGCCGCUAGUUGGCAUGAAUUGAUACAGGUAGACAUCACUUACUCUGCGUCCCUGAAUAGAGGCCAUAAUUUGUGUUGCUCUAGGGACCCAUAAUUUAUGAAUUCUGCUCACAAGAGAUCCGACUGUUGUGGGGAUCAAACUUUAGCACGCUGCCCUUAGAGCAACUCCAACGCGUCAACCCAAAUGGACGGCGAUUUUGUUAUAUUUUCGUCUGUUUGUGUCGACCGUCCACUCGGUGUCCGCCUAAUUUUCUUUUUGGGUCAGCAGUGCGCCCAAUGCCAGCGACUCAUUUCAUGUCCGUGCACAAAUUUUAAAAAGGCCCGCGGCUGUAGAUCAUGGCAGCGGCCAAGCCGUCACCCAAAGUUCAUGCCGGCACCAUGCCAGCAGCCGACAUACAAUGCCAGCUCCAAAAAAGCACCACACAGUUUGUGUUGGCGCACUUGCCAGCGACUGGCAUAGAUGCCAGCAAACAAAAAAGGGGCGGGAGUUCGACCACGCCAUCGCGACCGUAGUCAUGCCAACACACUUUUCGGCAUGCAAAAAAGGAUGGCGCUUUCCGCCAUAAAUCACUCGUCGUCGAACUUGAGCAUGUCGGCUUGCAUCUUGUCGAACCACGACCUCUUCCUCGGCGACAUGGUGUUGAGGUCCACCUUCAUGAUCUCCACACCCGUCAUCAUGCUAGCGAGAACCACUUCUUUCGCCUUGGUCUUGACAUUUGCGGCAUCGAUAUCUAGCAUCUUGGCUUGCACUGGUGCAGAACCGGGCUUUAGCACCAGUUCGUAAGGCCCUUUAGUGGCGGUUCUUGAACCGGUACUAAGGGGGGGGGGGCUUUAGGGAUUUUGGUUUUAUUAUUUAUUUUUCCUUUAAUUUUGUAUUUCCAUUUAUUUUAUUUUUCAUUUGCUGGUAUUUUACGAACUACAUAUUGUACACGUUAUGCAUAUAUAUAAAUAUAAUUUCUCGUAGAACCGAUCAUAUANNNNNNNNNNNNNNNNNNNNNNNNNNNNNNNNNNNNNNNNNNNNNNNNNNNNNNNNNNNNNNNNNNNNNNNNNNNNNNNNNNNNNNNNNNNNNNNNNNNNNNNNNNNNNNNNNNNNNNNNNNNNNNNNNNNNNNNNNNNNNNNNNNNNNNNNNNNNNNNNNNNNNAGCUAAUCAUUGAUAUAUACUACAUACUAAACGUACAUACUCUCUAUUUUGACGGAUACUACAUACAACAUACAAAAUGCAAGUGGUGGUAAUUACCACCGCUUGGAGGAAGCAUUUGAGGCACCACCAUUUGAAGCACCGCCAUUCACACAUAGAGCAGAAAAGAGUACCGGUUGGAGCGACCAACCGGUUUAAAGGGGUGUGCUGGCCCAGGUGCGAUGCACAAAGUUUAGUCCCACCUUGCUGAGCGAAGGGCGGCCGCACUGGUAUAUAAACCCAGCCGCGGCUGCUCCUUUGAGCUCCUCCCUAACGCAGGCCUUCUGGGCCUACUUGUGUUGCGCUGCCCUGUUGGGCCUACUAGCCUUGCGGGCCUACCUCCUGGCCCGACUACAGGUUGGGUUUCUAGUCGCAUGCAGGCCGCUGUGGCCCAGUAGGCGGGCUUUUAAAAAAAUAUUGUUUGCUUUAUUUAUUUUCUUUUAUUUAUUUCUGAGUUGUUUUUCCUGUAUUUCGAAUUUCUUUGUGAAUAUUUUUGCUUUAGGUACAAAAAAUUACAAAAUUUCUGUUAGUGCCAGUAGUUUUCAAAUUUGAAUAGUUUAAAUUUGUCUCCUUUAUUUAUUUUUAAGUUGUUUUUUGCUGUAUUUAGAAUUUCUUUGUGAAUAUUUUGCUUUAGGUAAAAAAAAUUACAAACUUUAUGUUAGUGCCAAUAGUUUUCAAUUUUGAAUAGUUUAAAUUUGUCUGCUUUAUUUAUUUUCUUUUAUUUAUUUGUGAGUUGUUUUUUGCUGUAUUUAGAAUUUUUUGUGAAUAUUUUUCUUUAGGUACAAAAAAUUACAAAAUUUCUGUNNNNNNNNNNNNNNNNNNNNNNNNNNNNNNNNNNNNNNNNNNNNNNNNNNNNNNNNNNNNNNNNNNNNNNNNNNNNNNNNNNNNNNNNNNNNNNNNNNNNNNNNNNNNNNNNNNNNNNNNNNNNNNNNNNNNNNNNNNNNNNNNNNNNNNNNNNNNNNNNNNNNNNNNNNNNNNNNNNNNNNNNNNNNNNNNNNNNNNNNNNNNNNNNNNNNNNNNNNNNNNNNNNNNNNNNNNNNNNNNNNNNNNNNNNNNNNNNNNNNNNNNNNNNNNNNNNNNNNNNNNNNNUAAGUUGUUUUUUGCUGUAUUUAGAAUUUCUUUGUGAAUAUUUUUGCUUUAGGUACUAAAAAUUACAAACUUUCUGUUAGUGCUAGUAGUUUUCAAAUUUGAAUAGUUUAAAUUUUUCUGCUUUAUUUAUUUUCUUUUAUUUAUUCCUGAGUUGUUUUUUGCUGUAUUUAGAAUUUCUUUGUAACUAUUUUUGCUUUAGGUACAAAAAAUUACAAACUUUAUGUUACUGCCAGUAGUUUUAAAAUUUGAAUAGUUUAAAUUUGUCUGUUUUAUUUAUUUCUGAGUUGUUUUUUGCUGUGUUUAGAAUUUAUUUUUGAAUAUUUUUGCUUUAGGUACAAAAAAUUACAAACUUUCUAUUAGUGCCAGUAGUUGUCAAAUUUGAAUAGUUUAAAUUUGAAUUAUUUGAAAUUUUUGUGAAUAACUAGUUUCGGAAUAACUUUACUUUAAAAAUAGAUUUUUCAGUGAUUCGUUUUUCUUAUGUCUAACAUUAGUGUGUUUUAUCAUUAUAUUCAAUUUGGUAAUACUUAGGUUAUUUAAAAAAUGAAAUGCCAUUGUAACAGAUGAGUUUUCGUCUAAAAACUCUGAUACUUCGAAAGAGAUUGUCCAUUUUGUACACUAAGUGCUUCCAGUUUUUGCCAUAACCCUCUAUACUUUUUUGCACAUGCUAUGUGGGUGAAAUGAUGAUACCAUGCCAACUUUCAACCUUUUCAGAGUUCAUUUGUAGUGCUUUUUAAUUUCAGGGUCAUUUAGCUAAAAAAAUCAUUAAAUGCAUGAAAAAUAGCAAAUGAUGUCCGAAAGUGUUGAAAGUUGAUGACGUGGCUUUGAAUGGUGCAUACUGGACGCACAAAAAGUAUGGAGUUGUAAUGAGUUUCAAAAAUGAAAUUCCUUUGUAACAGAUGAGUUUUCGUCCGAAACCCUGAUACUCCGAAAGAGAUUGUCCAUUUUGUACACGAAGUGCAUCCAGUUUUUUCCAUAACCCUCACUACUUUUUUGCACAUGCUAUGUGGGUGAAAUGAUGAUGCCAUGCCAACUUCCAACCUUUAAGAGUUCAUUUGUAGUGUUUUUCAAUUUCAGGGUCAUUUAGCUAAAAAAUCAAUAAAUGCAUGAGAAAUAGCAAAUGAUGUCAGAAAGGUAUGAAAGUUGAUGACGUGGCUUUGAAUGGUGCAUACUGAAUGCACAAAAAGUUUAGAGUUGUAAUAAAUUUAAAAAAUGAAAUGCCUUUGUAACAGAUGAGUUUUCGUCCGAAGCCCUCAUACUUCAAAAGAGAUUAUCCAUUUUGUGCACGAAGUGCAUCCAGUUUUUGCCGUAACCCUCUCUACUUUUUUGCACAUUAUAUGUGGGUGAAAUGAUGAUACGAUGCCAACUUCCAACCUUUCAGAGUUCAUUUGUAGUGCUUUUCAAUUUCAGGGUCAUUUAGCUAAAAAAAAUCAGGAAAUGCACGAAAAAUAGCAAAUGAUGUCAGAAAAGUUUGAAAGUUGAUGACAUGGCUUUGAAUUGUGCAUACUGAACGCACAAAAAGUCUAGAGUUGUAAUAAGUUUAAAAAAUGAAAUGCCUUUGUAACAGAUGAGUUUUCGUCCGAAACCCUCAUACUUCGAAAGAAAUUGUACAUUUUGUACACGAAGUGCAUCCAGUUUUUGCCGUAACCCUCUCUACUUUUUUGCACAUGCUAUGUGGGUGAAAUGAUGAUGCCAUGCCAACUUUCAACCUUUGUAGAGUUCAUUUGUAGUGCUUUUCAAUUGCAGGGUCAUUUAGCUAAAAAAUCAGUAAAUGCAUGAAAAAUAGCAAAUGAUGUCAGAAAGUGUUGAAAGUUGAUGACGUGGCUUUGAAUGGUGCAUACUGAAUGCACAAAAAGUCUGGAAUUGUAAUAAGUUUAAAAAAAUGAAAUGCCUUUGUAACAGAUGAGUUUUCGUCCGAAACCCUGAUACUCCGAAAGAGAUUGUCCAUUUUGUACACGAAGUGCAUCCAGUUUUUGCCGUAACCCUCCCCUACUUUUUUCCACAUGCUAUGUGGGUGAAAUGAUGAUACGAUGCCAACUUCCAACCUUUUCAGAGUUCAUUUGUAGUGCUUUUCAAUUUCAAGGUCAUUUAGCUAAAAAAUUAGUAAAUGCAUGAAAAAUAGCAAAUGAUAUCAGAAAGGUUUGAAAGUUGAUGACGUGUCUUUGAAUGGUGCAUACCGAAAGUACAAAAAGUCAGGAGUUGUAAUAAGUUUAAAAAAAUGAAAUGCCUUUGUAACAGAUGAGUUUUCGUCUAAAACCCUCAUACUUCGAAAGAGAUUGUCCAUUUUUUUCUACACGAAGUGCAUCCAGUUUUUGCCGUAACCCUCUCAACUUUUUUGCACAUGCGAUGUGGGUGAAAUGCUGAUACCGCCAACUUUUAACCUUUUGAGAGUUCAAUUUUAGUGCUUUUUAAUUUCAGGGUCAUUUAGCUAAAACAAUCAGUAAAUGAGCUAAAAGUAGCAAAUGAAGUCAGAAAAGGGUUGAAAAUUGCUGAUGUGCCUUGGAAUGGUGCAUAUUGAACACACAAAAAGUCUGGAGUUGAAAUAAGUUAUUAAAAAUAAAAUCCUUUUGUAAUAGAUGAGUUUCGUCCGAAACCCUGAUACUUCGAAAGAGAUUGUCCAGUUUGUAGAAGAAGUGCAUCCAAUUUUUGCCGUAACCCUCUCAACUUUUUAGCACAUGCUAUGUGGAUGAAAUGAUGAUAUCAUGCUAAGUUUCAACCAUUUCAGAGUUGAUUUGUAGUGCUUUUCAUUUUCAGGGUCAUUUAGCUAAAAAAAUUCAUUAAAUGCAUAAAAAUAGCAAAUGAAGGCAGAAAAGAGUUGAACAUUGAUGAUGUGACUUUGAAUGGUGCACAAUGAACACACAAAAAGUCCGGAGUUAAAAUAAGUUAUAAAAAUGAAGGAGAGGCGCAAUCCUCACUGGCACAUUGCUUAGCUUCAGGCCUUGACAAACUACACAUAGCUCUGUGCAAUCUACACCAUUUCCUCCAGGCAUGAAGCUAAGCAACGUGCAGGUGAGCAUUGCGCCUCUCCUUCAUCGUUCCUCGUCUCUGCACUCAGGGCUUAUAAACCGCUGAUACGUCUCCAACGUAUCUAUAAUUUUUGAUUGUUCCAUGCUAUUAUAUUAUCAAUCUUGGAUGUUCUAUAAUCAUUUUAUAGUCAUUUUUUGGUACUAACCUAUUGACAUAGUGUCAAGUGCUAGUUGUUGUUUUCUGCAUGUUUUUUACAUUGCAGGAAAUCAAUACCAAACGGCGUCCAAAUUCAAUGAAACUUUACGGGGAUUUUUUAUGCACCAGAAGACACCUAAUGGGCCAAGGCUGCGCCUAGGGGGUGCUCCGAGGAGAGCACAACCCACCAUGGCGCGCCAGGAGGCCCGGGCACGCCCUGGAGGGUUGUGCCCACCUCGGGUGCCCCUCGGGCCGCCUCUUUGCUCUAUAAAUAUCCCAAUAUUCCAGAAACCCUAGGGGAGUCGACGAAAAUCAAUUCAAGCCUCCGCAGAGUCCAGAACCACCAGAUCCAAUCUAGACACCAUCACGGAGGGGUUCACCACUUCCAUUGGUGCCUCUCCGAUGAUGCGUGAUUAGUUCUUUGUAGACCUUCGGGUCCGUAGUUAGUAGCUAGAUGGCUUCCUCUCUCUCGCCAAACUCUCAAUACAAUGGUGUCUUGGAGAUCCAUAUGAUGUGACUCUGUUUGCGGUGUGUUUGUUGGGAUCAGAUGAACUUUCAGUUUAUGAUCAGAUCUAUCUUUUUAUAUCCAUGAAAGUUAUUUGAGUUUCUUUGAACUAUUAUAUGCAUGAUUUCUUAUAGCCUCGUAUUUCUUCUCCGAUAUUUGGGUUUUGUUUGGACAAAUUGAUCUAUUUAUCUUGCAAUGGAAAGAGGUGCUUUGUAGUGGGUUCGAUCUUACGGUGCUUGAUCCCAGUGACAGAAGGGGAACCGACACGUAUGUAUCGUUGCUACUAAGGAUAAAACGAUGGGGUCUAUCUCUACAUAGAUAGAUCUUGUCUACAUCAUGUCAUCAUUCUUAUUGCAUUACUCCAUUUCCCCAUGAACUUAAUACACUAGAUGCAUGCUGUAUAGCGGUCGAUGUGUCGAGUAAUAGUAGUAGAUGCAGGUAGGAGUCGGUCUACUAAUCUUGGACGUGAUGGCUAUAUAUUGAUCAUUGCCUGGAUAUCGUCAUGAUUAUUUGGAACUCUAUCAAUUGCCCAACAGUAAUUUGUUUACCCACCGUUUGCUAUUUUGCUCGAGAGAAGCCACUAGUGAAACCUACGGCCCCCGGGUCUCUUUCUCACAUUAUUUGCCUUCGCGAUCUAUUUUAUUUGCCUUUUGUUUGCAGAUCUAUUAAACCAAAAAUACAAAAAUACCUUGCUGCGUUUUACUCUUAUUUAUUUUAUUUGGUGUUCGAUCUAUCAAUCUACUACAAUUAUCUCACGUCUGUUUGCCAAUUUCUGGCGCCGCUACCCGAAAGGGAUUGACAACCCCUUUAACACGCCAGGUUGCGAGGAUUUGUUAUCUGUGUGCAGGGGCUAUUUACAUUCUAUUGCUAGGUUCUCCUACUAGUUCGAUAACCUUGGUUUCAUAUCUGAGGGAAAUACCUACCGCUGCUAUGCUGCAUCAUCCCUUUCUCUUUGGGGAAAUACCGACGUAGCUUCAAGCCGCAUCAAAAGGAAUUUCUGGCGCCGUUGCCGGGGAGGAUCUUCAACAUAUACGAGGUUCCGAAUCACAAAUCUCAUCUCCUUGCAAUUUACAUUAUUUGCCAUUUGCCUCUCAUUUUCCUCUCCCCCACUUCACAAAAAUUUGCCAUUUUAUUCGUCCUCUUUUUCGUUCGCCUUUUUCUCGUUUGAUCUUUUGUUUGCUUGUGUUGCCAUGUGCCUUCUAUAUGCUUGCGUCUUCGCUUGCUAAAAAUAUAUUGAUAUGGAUCCUCAUCCACUUGCUAAUCUUUUUAAAAGAUCCAAUCAUGUUGAACCAGUUGCUAGUGAGUUGAGUGCACUAGAUUAUCUUUAUGAAGUUUUUCUUGAGAUUCGUGAAUCUAAAAAUUGCGAUGAAGAAAUUUAUGAAGUGAUUCAUGAUAGCUCCUUGAAUGAAAAGCAUGAUUGCAAUGAUUUUACUAUAAAUCCUAUUAAUGUCAAUUGUGCUAAUAAUAUGCAAAACCCCAAACUUUGGGAUGCUAAUUUUGCUAUGUCCACUACUUGUUGCAAUGAUCAUGAUUGGGGUGAUUCUUCUUAUGAGCUUGAAAUUUUAUUUAAACCUCAUGAUGAAUAUGAUAUUGAUAAUAAUGUUUGCAAUAAUAUUGAAAGUGGGUAUGGAAGAGCGUCAACUUUAGGUAAAAAUAAUCCCACAUAUUUGGAGAGUGUUCAAUCUUAUGAUUUUUUUUAUGAAAGUGGGUUCGGAGGGGUCAUGACUUUAGUUGAUGUUAAUCCCACUAUCUUGGAAGAUUAUAAGACUUGUAUGCAUGUGGAUCAUGAAAAGAAAGUUUUAUAUGAUUGCUAUAUUGUUGAAUUUGAGUAUUAUCCUACAUGUAAUUAUUAUGAGAAAGGAAAAUAUGGUUGUAGAAAUUUUUAUGUUACUAAAUUACCUCUCGUUAUGUUGAGAUCGUCAAUGUUUUAUUCCUCUUCUUUGCAUAUGUUAGAUGUUUCUUGUCUUGAUAUUUUGUUUUCUUAUAAAAUUCCUAUGCAUAGGAAGUAUGUUAGACUUAAAUGUGGUUGUCAUAUGUUUCAUGAUGCUCUCUUUGUGUUUCAAUUAUUAUCUCUCAUGUGAGCAUCAUUGAAAUUUUAUGCCUAGCUAGGGGCAUGAAACUAUAGCGCUUGUUGGGAGGCAACCCAAUGAAUAAAAUUUGUUUUUACCUUUUGCUUUCUGUUCUUGAAUGUUUGCACAAUUAUGCUAAUGUUAUGAUUGUGUGUUUUGUGUUUUAAUUAGUGUUUGUACCAAGUAGAACCUAUAGGAUCUUCUUGGGUGAUAGUUGUUUGAUCUUGCUGAAAAAACAGAAACUUUUGCGCUCAUGAAAACAAUUCUUAUUUUUUACCAGAGCGUGAUAAAAUGCCAAUUAUUUUUGCAGAAGAUUAAUAUACAAAUUUCUUAGGUCUUCCUAUUGUUUUAGAAUUUUUGGAGUUUCAGAAGUAUUCGAACAAUUCAGAUUGCAACACAUUGUUCUGUUUUUGACAGAUUUUGUUUUCUUUGCGUUGUGUGCUUGUUUUGAUGGCUCCAUGGUUUUCUUUGUUGAGUUUUUGCCAUAGAAAAGUUGGAAUAUAUUAGAUAUAAUGCAAGAAUAAAAUAUGAAUAGGUUGCAACAGUACUUAUAGUAGUGAUUUAUUUUCUUAUACUAAUGGAUCUCACGAAGGUUUUGUUGAGUUUUGUGUGAUUGAAGUCUUCAAGUUUUGGGUUAUCUUACGAUGGAUGAAGGAAUAAGGAGUAAGCAAAGCCUAAGCUUGGAGAUGCCCCGGCAACCCAAGCUAUUAUCCAAAAGAUAGCAAGCAAGUAAGCUUGGGGAUGCCCCGAGUGGCAUCCCCUCUUUCUUCUAACGACCAUCGAUAUUUUACUCGAAGCUAUAUUUUUAUUCGUCACAUACUAUGUGUUUUGCUUGGAGCGUCUUGUAUGAUAUGAGUCUUUGCUUGUUUUAUUUUGUGUUUUAAGUCUUGAUUCCUUGCGGGACACACCUAUUUGAGAGAGCCAAAAUUAUGCAUGACUUAUUAGAAUUGCUCUCUAUGCUUCACUUAAAUUUUUUAUGAGCCAUGGACUUGCUCUAGUGCUUCACUUAUAUCUUUUUGAGCACGGUGUGCUUAGUUAUUUUUUAAGAAAUGCUCUCUUGCUUCACUUAGAUUUGUUUUAGAGGUAGUAAAUUUUUCAGGAAAUUCUCUCUUUCUUCACUUAAAUUAAUUUGAAAGAAAGAAAUAUUAUGCUCAUGAUCUUCACUUAUAUUUGUUUGAGCUUAUCAAAAGCAACAUAUGAAAAUUAGUUCCAAAGUGAUAGAUAUCCAAGAAGGAUAUAAUAAAAACUUUCAUGAAGAUCAUUGGACAAAAUAAACUUGAUUCUUAGUAAUAGUUUUAAGAUAUGAUGAUGUGAUAUGUGAGUCAUGUUGAUGAGUAAUUAUGCUUUACUAAGAAUAUUGGUGUUAAGGUUUGUGACUCCCUAUGCAAGCACGAAAGUCAAUAAUUAUGCAAUGAAAUUAUAUCCUACUUGUGGUGCAUUAUUCGGUGUUAAUUAUGCUUAAUGCUCGCUUAUGAGAUUAUUCGUUUCUUGGUUGGUUGCUUCUCAAUCUUUUGCUAGCCUUCAUUUUGCACUAAGUAUGAUCUCUACUUGUGCAUCCAAAAACCUUUAAACCAGUUUUGCCACAUGACUCCACUAUAUCUACCUAUAUGCGGUAUUCUUUUGCCGUUCUAAGCAAAUUUGUAUGUGCCAUCUCUAAUUUUGAAAAUAAACUUCUCUUUUGUGUGUUCGUACCGCUCGCAGAGCUGUGAGGGGUGGCUAAUAUUUUCCAUGCUAGAUGUGUUAUUCUCACGAUGAGUGUUUAUUCACUUGUCAUUGCACGAGAGUAAGGCAAAGGUAUUAGGGAUGCCCAGUCCCGAAAUGAAAAAUGAAUUUACUUUAUGUUGUCAAAUAAUAAAUUCCUUGGAAAGUGUUGGUACGGAGGGAAACCGUGGAUACGGCUAGCCAAGGAAAGUGAAAGUAUGGUUGAAAAAAGAAUAAACUUUAUUUUCUGUUUGGGAACCGCCUAUGAUAUAUCUAGCAUGGAAAGUGUUGGGAACUCUAAGUCGUUUUCGUUGGUGGGAAGGACACACCUCCUGAAAUGUUCUUAUCUCUAAGUUUUUUCGCUUUGAGCUUUGGCACGUCUACAAAUCCCUACUUCCCUCUGUGAAGGGCCUUUGUUUUACUUUAUGCAAUUUUUAUUAUUGAAUUUGAAUCUCCUUAUAAAAGCACCAACUCGGAGGCACUAUGAUCUUACUUGAGCAUUGGGUGUAGCUAAUAUGCAAGUGUGUUUCAUGAAUGGAUCAAUGAUUGAGCAUGAUGGGCUAGGGAUAACUUAUUUUAGCGUUGAUAUUUUGAAAGACAUGGUUGCUUGUUGGUAUGCUUGAGUAUUUAAGUUAUCAUAUCAAAACUAGACUAUUGCUUUGAACAAUAUAAAAGUCCAAAUGUCCAUGCUAUAAAGAAAACAAUAUGAUAUGACAUGUUACGCAGUAUUCCACAUCAAAAAUUCCGUUUUUAUCACUUACCUACUCGAGGACGAGUAGGAGUUAAGCUUGGGGAUGCUGAUACGUCUCCAACGUAUCUAUAAUUUUUUAUUGUUCCAUGCUGUUAUAUUAUCAAUCUUUGAUGUUUUAUAGUCAUUUUAAAUAAUUUUUUGGUACUAACCUAUUGACAUAGUGCCAAGUGCCAGUUGUUGUUUUCUGUAUUUUUUUACAUCGUAGGAAAUCAAUAUCAGACGGAGUCCAAAUGCAAUGAAACUUUACGGAGAUUUUUUUAUUGACCAGAAGACACCUAAUGGGCCAAGGUUGCGCCUGGGGGCGCUCCGAGGAGAGCACAACCCACCAGGGCGCGCCAGGAGGCCCAGGCGCGCCCUAGUGGCUUGUGCCCACCUCGGGUGCCACCCGGACCACCUCUUUGCUCUAUAAAUACCCCAAUAUUCCAGAAACCCUAGGGGAGUCGACGAAAAUCAAUUCCAGCCGCCGCAGAGUCCAGAACCACCAGAUCCAAUCUAGACACUAUCACGGAGGGGUUCACCACUUUCAUUGGUGCCUCUCCGAUAAUGCGUGAGUAGUCCUUUGUAGACCUUCGGGUCCGUAGUUAGUAGCUAGAUGGCUUCCUCCCUCUCGCUAAAUUCUCAAUACAAUGGUCUCUUGGAGAUCCAUAUGAUGUAACUCUUUUUGCGGUGUGUUUGUUGGGAUCAGAUGAACUUUAGUUUAUGAUCAGAUCUAUCUUUUUAUAUCCAUGAAAGUUACUUGAGUUUUUUUGAUCUCUUGUAUGCAUGAUUUGUUAUAGCCUCGUAUUUCUUCUCCGAUAUUUGGGUUUUGUUUGGCCAACUUGAUCUAUUUAUCUUGCAUUGGGAAGAGGUGCUUUGUAGUGGGUUCGAUCUUAUGGUGCUUGAUCCCAGUGAUAGAAGGGGAACCGACACGUAUGUAUCGUUGCUACUAAGGAUAAAAUGAUGGGGUCUAUCUCUACAUAGAUAGAUCUUGUCUACAUCAUGUCAUCGUUCUUAUUGCAUUACUCCCUUUCCCCAUGAACUUAAUACACUAGAUGCAUGCUGGAUAGCGGUCGAUGUGUGGAGUAAUAGUAGUACAUGCAGGCAGGAGUCGGUCUACUAAUCUUGGAUGUGAUGCCUAUAUAUUGAUCAUUGCCUGGAUAUCGUCAUGUUUAUUUGUAGUUCUAUCAAUUGCCCAACAGUAAUUUGCUUACCCAUCAUUUGCUAUUUUUCUCGAGAAAAGCCACUAGUGAAACCUAUGACCCCCGGGUCUCUUUCUCAUUUUAUUUGCCUUCGCAAUCUAUUUUAUUUGCCUUUCAUUUUCAGAUCUAUUAAACCAAAAAUACAAAAAUACCUUCUUGCGCUUUAUUCUUUUUUUUUUAUUUGGCGUUCGAUCUAUCAAUGUACUACAAUUAUCUCACGUAUGUUUGCCAAUUUCUGGCGCCGUUACCCGAAAGGGAUUGACAACCCCUUUAACAUGUCGGGUUGCGAGGAUUUGUUAUCUGUGUGCAGGGGUUGUUUACGUUGUGUUGCUAGGUUCUCCUACUAGUUCUAUAACCUUGGUUUCAUAUCUGAGGGAAAUACCUACCUCUGCUCUGCCGCAUCAUCCCUUCCUCUUUGGGGAAAUACUGACGUAGCUUCAAGCCGCAUCAACCGCUGCGAGUCCCUCUUGCUAGGCGAGGUGGGACUAAAUUUUAGCCAUUGCCAGGACAAGGCCUUUAGUCUCGGUUGAUGGCUCAAUUAAAAUAUUUUGUUAUGAUCCACUUAUAGAAAGUUAUAAUAUUCUUCAAUAGCAAAAAGAAUCAACUAAAAAUCUCUAGUACCGGUUCGUGGCAUGAACCGGUACUAAAGGUGCUGGUGGGGGGCCCAGCCUGACAACAGCCUGCCACCACCUCUUUAGUACCGGUUCGUGGAACGAACUGGUACUAAAGGUUCGCCACGAACUAGUACUAAUGAGCACCGCCCGCCUAGCUGUUGGAACCGACACUAAUGGUCACAUUAGUGCUGGUUCAGUUACAAACCGGGACUAAUGUGCUUCACAUUAGGCCCUUUUUCUACUAGUGUUGCUUCUCCGCCUCCAUCUCAAGCAUCCUCAUUUGCUUCUCUGCCUCCAUCUCAAGCCUCCUCCUUUAGAUCUUCAUGAAGGCGUUCAUUUGUUCUUCCUUGUCUUGUCGGCGCUUCUCCUCCCUUGAGUCCUUCUUAGUCAUCAUGCCCUCCAUGGUAGCGAUCAAGGCAUUGGACGCCGCAUCCCUCUUGUCCUACUUCUUGGAGUUGGUCUUCCCCCACGGCCGUGGCUUCUCGCCCUCCCCAACCUCCUCCACGACUUUCUCUCCCCCACGCAACAUGAGGGCGGCAUAUUGCACCUUGAACUUCUCCUCGUCUUUGAUGACCCUCCAACAAUGAGAGAGGUUGAAGGACUUACCAUCAUGUUGGACCUUGAAUGCCUCCAAAGCUUGGAAUGCCUACAAAUGAAAUGCAUGCAAGCAUAUUGGCAAAUGGAUAUGAAUAUGGACUUGCAAGAAUAAACGGAAGAGGGGCGCAUGCAUGCAUACCAUAUCUUGCAUGCCGAUGCCGCUCACCGGGCGUGACUUGAUGCUCUCAAAGGUGGCACAAAACUUGUCAUGCUCUUGUUGGAUCACCUUCCAUCGGUUCGAAAUGGACACCCACCCGCGCAUGCUUUAUAUCUGGUACGGCAGAAACUUCUUGCGUUCGUGGAACUCACGAUGGACACGAGUCCAAAAGGUUGAUUCCUUUUGUUCGGCACCGACCAUGGGGUCUUGCCCAAUGUCCCUCCAAAACUCACAAAGGAGCUUGUCCUCGACCGUGGUGUAUGCCUUCGUCCGCCUGCUCUUGUGCUUUGGCUUCAGCCCGGCGGCUUGGCUGGCGAGCCCGUCCUCUUCCUCAAGGCCGUAGUCCUCCGGAAACUCGUGGUCGAACAGGAAGUCGUCUAGGUCCAGGCCGAAGUGAUCUUGCAUGAAGGCGUCCUGCAUGCUAUCUUGAUCAUAGGUCGACGGCGUGAACGGCCCUCAGCCGUCCUGGCUUUGUGUCUCCUCUGAAUCGUAGGCAGCCGCGGCGGCACCACAGGCGGCCGACGUACCACCCUCGAAGAUGAUGCUCACCAUGAAACGGUCGGCCGUCUUGUCUUCGCCGGAUGACGAGGCACCGACUACCGGUGUGGCGUUGAGAUCGAUGGGCGCGGGCGCGGGCAUGGAAUGCGCCACCACGCUCACCUCCAGCGAGCAUUCCCUGAAGAAUUGGGAGGCUUGCAAGUAGACGUGGAAGCCGGGAAUCGAGUAAGACGCCGACGCGCGAGGCGACUCUGGGAGCACCAUCCGAGGAAACGCGGACGAGUCGGAGCUGGCCACGGCCACAGCGGCGUUGACGAGCCCGUGCUGGCCAGGGUUUAGCCCUAGGUAGAUUAGCGCCUCCCUCAUUGCCGCGGCGACGUGGGCGGCGGUGUCCUCCUGCUGCGCGGCGGCGGCCAUGGCGAUGGCAGCGGACGCUGCUUCGUCCCACGCGUCCGCCGCGUGCCUUCGGCCCUUUCGCUUCGGUGACUCCGCGGCCCGCUCCUCGGACGUCAGCUGCUUCUUCUUCUUGGGCACGGUGGCAGUCUUGCGGGAGGCGCGCGGCUUGCCUUUGCCGAAGGGGGCGGCUGUGAUGCUGGACGAGGCAAGGGCGACGAGGCCGCCGACAGUAUCGAGGUCCUCAUCCAUGGCGUGCGGCCGGGAGCGAGCACGGGCGGAAGGUUUUUGAGAAAGUGGACGAAAAUGUUGGAGGCUUUGCCACCAAUUGGCAGGUCAGGGGUAGUUGGCACGCAACGCGCUUCUCCGUCUCGUGUCGCGCGCCAACGCAAAUGAGGCUCAAAAUUGGGCUGAGAAUGGGUCGGCAGGCGAACGAAAAGCGGACACGCGUCCAUUUGGGUCGGCACAUUGUGCCGACUUUUCUGUCCGCACCGACCCAAAUGAACGCGCGCGAACGAAAUGGGUCGUCACGUUGGAGUUGCUCUUACGUGGCACUGUAACAAGAAAUGAGGACCAGUGGAAACCAGCAUAUGCACCUAGAAGAAUCGUAUGGAUCUGCAUAUGUAAUUGAUCUAUAUCAUACGGACCCAUAAAUGAUAGGAAGGUCCUAGCUACCAGGUACCAGCUAUCCUGGUUACUCCAUUUGCUGCCCCUCCAACCUGGGUUCCGGUCAUGUCCUCGGGGUCUGUCGGUGGUUCCGUGUUCUUGUUCUGGACGGACGCUUGUAAGAUCAGGUUUUCGAUCGGGAGCCUUCUGUUGACAUUAUAAAAGUGCGUGUAUUCAAAGGAGAUGUAUGCAUUUCUCCGUGACAAAGCAAAUUAAGUUCUGCUGCUAGCUAUUUUCAAAAAAGAGUCUUGCCCCACCACUUGCGUCGUUUGCAAAGCCCUUAAAUAUACUGAUAUGUUAUACACACACACAUAUACACAUGAGAUUUAAUUUUAAAGAGCACACGGACAUGUUCGUUCUCGUGUUAAUGAAAUCCUAGAAAAUCUCAUUAAUUAACCAUGGGAUCUAUAAUUCCGAGAUCUUUAGCUGUUGGAUGUAUGUAAUGCCUUAAGAUGCAUUAAAACAAAUAUACGUGAGAUUUAAUUUUAAAGGCCUUAAGGUGCAUAAAAAAUACGCAUGAGAUUUAAUUUUAAAUAGCACAAGGACAUGUUCAUUGUCGUGUUAAUGAAAUCCUAGAAAAUCUCAUUAAUUAACCUUCGGAUCUGUAACUCCGAGAUCUUUAGCCAUUGGAUUUACAUAAUGCCUCAACCUGCAUCAAAAAAAAUAUACGCAUGAGAUUUAAUUUUAAAGGCCUUAACCUGCAUAAAAAAAUAUACGCAUGAGAUUUAAUUUUAAAGAGCAGACAGACAUCUUCAUUGUCGUCCGCUGGCUGUAUGAAUUAGAAUAACAUAUAUUUACUUAGUUGGAUUAGAGAGAAGAGAAAAGAGAAGAGAAGUGGGCUCUGGAUUAAAGCAAGUACAAUAAAAUGACGUAGGCGGGCUAUAAAAGAUGUCAUCUUAAAUUUGUGCUUUUUUAGUUAACCUUAAAUUUGUGCUUAGUUGAAGGAGAGAGAAGCGGGCUACAAGUGUGACAAAAGCCUUUUUCAGUAGGCAGGCUACAAACUUACAAUCGACUGUAGCACGAGCUCAAACAACCUUUGUAAGAAGAUAUGGGCCAUAUAUUAAUUCACAGUGUGACUUAAUGUUGACAUGAAUUGAUACAGGUGGACAUAGUUAGAGCAACUCUAGCAGACCCCGCAUCCCGCCCCGACUGUUAAAAUAACCGCCAAAAUGCGGGUCGGGCAGGAAAACCAGCCCGAUCAGACCCCGCAUCCCGCCCCCGCCCGCAAAAAAAUUUAGGGGGCGCGGCAAAAUCCCAACCCCAACCCGGGAAAACGCGGGUUUCCCUCUCGCGGCUGCGGUGCCCUGCAUAUAGGAGGAAGCGGCUGGUGAGGGGACAUUUCAUGCCGCGCUUUCUCCCACCAACCACCUCUCCUCUCCCCCCUCGCGCCGCUGCCGGCCGCCGCCCAAGAUUCUGGCGAAAGCAGCCGGCAGGAGCACGCCGGAAGGCCGCCACGCACACGAGGCCUCCCCUUCCUCCCCCUGCGUCGGCGGGCCACCGGAUUUGCAGAUUUGCAGCACUUCAUCGCGGGUCGCCGGAUUUGGCUUUUUCCGGCCGCCGGUUGCUGUCCCAAGCUAUGGAGUGGUCGGGGAGCCUCUCCCACAGCCCAGGCAAGGGCGCAUUGCCGCAUGCAGGUACGGGUUCGUCCGCCCGCCGCCGCCGAAGGUUUGCGGGCUUGGACUCAUCCGGCCGUCCACCGGGCUCGGCGCUCACGCAGCGUCUUUGUGGCAUGCCGAUGCCGCUCAUAGAGUGUGACGACUGCACGCGGAAAGUGCUGCGGCUCACUUCGGGCACGCCGAAGCACCCUGGGUGGGUGUUCUUCAAAUGCGAAAAUGACGGGGUACGUGCACUUGCGGUAGCUCGUUUCAUAGUUCAUUCUUUAGUUCAACUGCGGUAGCUCACUUCGAGCUUGCUCACUCUUUUGUGUAGGACGAUGGAUGCUCAUUUUGGUUUUGGGAAGGCCAAUACAUUUAUUUGUUGAUAGAAAGAAACUUAAUAGAUGUUAGUGCACUCCUUAGUACAAUCGAAGGCAAUGAUGCGGCUGCAUGUGCAAAUAGAGGGGAAGCAACGUCUACUUCUUUCGAACCAAAGAUGAAGAAAGAAGAAUGCAAAAUCAAGAAUCCACAGAUCAACAACGAAUGCAUGGAGAAGAUAUUAGUCCAACUAGUGGGGGCAGUUAUGGAAGUUGGAAAUCUUCUAAAAUGCAUACUUGUGGUUCUUAUUUUCUUUGGUCUUGCUAUUCUAGCAAAGAUUUGGUGAUGUCUUUUGUAUCCAAUGUUGUUGAUAAAGCAAAGCAAUGCAAUAUGCUAGAUCAAAUUAAGGUGCAAAUUUAAGUUUUGCGGGCCGGGAGAAGUUGCACCAGAUCAGACGCGGCAACCCAACCCGUAAAAAAGCAUAUUCCAGGAAUAUCGUUUUUACGGAUCCAUUAUGCGGGGUCUGCAACUGCGGCCGUCCGCGCCGGCCCGCAAAGCCGUUUUCCCGCGAACUGCAAAAACGUUUAGCGGGUCGGGAGGAUGUGGGGUCUGCUAGAGUUGCUCUUACUCUGCGUCUGUAAAUAAAGGUCAUCAUUUUUAUUGCUCUAGGGACCCAUAAAUGAUAGGGACUGUCCGCUACCAGCUACCAGCUAGUAGCUACCCUGGUGACUACAUUUGCUGCCCCUCAAACAUGGGUUCCCGACAUGUUCUCAGGGUCUGUCGGUGGUUCCAUGUUCUGGCCUUUGGGGUUGGUUUAACUAGUGGUAUGGGGGUUCUUGCAUCGCCCUGUACUCUCGAUCGGGACCCUUUAAUUCUAGGUGACAUACAGUGCGUGUAUUUAAAGCCGAGGCAUGGAUCCUCCGUGCCAAAGAAAAUUAAUUCAGCGGCUACUCGGGGAGAGUUGUGGCAGCAUAUCCGGGAUGCCAGCUUUUUAUUUUGGGUUUUGAUUGUCAAAGUUUUAGAUCUUAAAAAAAACUAAAAUUAAGUGCUGUUUUCAUAUUCGUGUUUCUCGUGACCAGCGCCUUGAAAUAAUAUCCAUUUUGAAUAUAUUUUGACGACUUUGAAAAAUGUUAAGUUUCAAAUGUUGAAACUUAGUAUGAGCAACCAAUAAAAAUCAAUUAUUUUGUACCUACGCCUGACAGAAAAAUGCUUACAGUUAUAUCCCUGAAACUUGCUGAAACUUUGCAUUUUUCAUCAUUGAAACUUAAAACUGUUUAAGGGAUUUUCUUUUUUACUGUGCCCUCAUGUGGGAUUCAACUACUCUUUUCUCUCCGUGAGAUCCACAUAAAAAAAGCACAAAUUUAAGAUGAGUGCCCUGCACUUACAUGCCCCUGCGAAUUUCCGCAGCUACUAGCUAUUUUUGGAAGAAAAAAAUCUUGCCCCGCCACUCCCAUCAUUAGCAGAGCCCUUAAAUAUACUCACAUGUACCAAAUUACGAGUCAGAAUCAAACAUGCGUUGGCAUCAUUACCUACGAACUCUACUAAACAAUGUUCCAACUAUCCUGCGAGUCAAAUCUAAUAACUCUUGUCUUGCACGUUGCAUUGUCCAUUGGCAGAUCUUUUUAAGAAUUUUACGUCAGAUCUAAUUUUAUUUGAACGAAUGAAAGAUAAGCAAGUAGUAGUAAAAUCGACCCAAUUUGCACAGCCGAAAUGUGGACCAGACAAUUUACUCUUUGUUACGGGACUAAGAAAUUCGGACCGGCUAAUNNNNNNNNNNNNNNNNNNNNNNNNNNNNNNNNNNNNNNNNNNNNNNNNNNNNNNNNNNNNNNNNNNNNNNNNNNNNNNNNNNNNNNNNNNNNNNNNNNNNNNNNNNNNNNNNNNNNNNNNNNNNNNNNNNNNNNNNNNNNNNNNNNNNNNNNNNNNNNNNNNNNNNNNNNNNNNNNNNNNNNNNNNNNNNNNNNNNNNNNNNNNNNNNNNNNNNNNNNNNNNNNNNNNNNNNNNNNNNNNNNNNNNNNNNNNNNNNNNNNNNNNNNNNNNNNNNNNNNNNNNNNNNNNNNNNAUGUCUCCCAUUUCUCAAUCCCAUCCCGACGGUGUGUCUACCAUGUUUAGAGGGCGCAUGGGGGAGUUACUCCAUUGGUUCUCGCGGGAUUUGAUCGAUGAUGGUUUUCCGUGGAUUUCCUUGAAUCCAGUUUUUGUUCAUCCUCAUCCGUGCGUUUAAAUAUCCCAACAAGGCGAAGAUUUGGUUGUGCACAGGCAACUGAGGAGGUGACCUACUUCUUUACUGUCUCCUAUGUCCCUUGUUACCCACUGAUCCUAGAUCCACAGCUCGAGACCCCCUACCCUGAGGUCUACCAGUUUUACCACUGACAACCGGCCACAAGGGAGAAAUCCCUUUGAAUUUAGAGAUAAGAUCUUAUCUCUAGAUUUAACCCUUUAAAUUUAGAGAUAUGACCUUAUCUCUAGAUUUUAAAGACAUGGAACUUAGGGACGAUGCGGCCAGCCCAUGUGGGUUGUUGCCCCACCCCUCGGUCUAUGUGGGGACUUUUCGGGUCGUUGGGCCCCAUGGUGGAACCCCGGAACAUUUCCGGUACUCUACCAAAUAUUCCCAAACUUUUCUGGAACCCAUAAAACCACUUUCCUUACAUAACUCUUUACCUCCAGAGCUCCUCGUGAUGUCCCGGAUUCUAUCCAGGACUCUGAACUACCUUCAGACUUACCACUAUGAAUGUCCCAAAACUAUCCAAUAGUGGUAAGUCUGAACGUUAAGUGUGUGACCCUGCGGGUUCGAGAACAUGCAUAAAUGACCGAGACACCUCUCCAAUCAAUAAUCAAUGAACAUCUUUAUCGGUUUGAACCACGAUGUCAAUGAUUCAGUUAAUCCCGUAUACAAUUCCCUUUGUCCAAUGAUUUGUUAUUUGCCCGAGAUUCGAUCGUCAGUAUCGCCAUACCUAGUUCAAUCUCAUUACCGGCAAGCCCCUUUACUCAGUCCUUAAUACAAGAUCCACGUGACUAAACACAUUGGUCACAUGCUUCCAAUCUAUUCACGAUGUUGUAUUACCGAGAGGACCUAGAGAUAUCUCUCUGUCAUAUGGAGUGACAAAUCCUACACUCGAUCUAUGUAACCCAACAAACACUUUCUGAGAUACCUAUAGAGCACCUUUCUGAUCACCCAGUUACGAAGUGACGUUUGUUUACCCAUAAUGUAUUCUUCCAGUAUUAGGGAGUGGCACGAUCUCAUGGUCUAAGGAACAGAUUCUUGACAUGAAGAAAGUUGUAGAAAAUAAACUAAGUGAUACGAUCUGAUGCUAAGCUUAUGGUUGGGUCUGUCCAUCACAUCAUAAUCCUAAUGAUGUGAUCCCAUUAUUAAAUGAUAACUCGUGUCUAUGGUUAGGAAACCUUAACCAUCUUUAAUUAAUGAGCUAGCCUAGUAGAGGCUCACUAGGGACACGUUGUCUAUUUAUGUAUCCACACAUGUAUUUAAGUCUCUGGUCAAUACAAUUCUAGCAUGCAUAAUAAAUAUUUAUCAUGAACACGGAAAUACGACAAUAACAUCUUUCUUAUUGCCUCUAGGACAUAUUUCCUACAGAUUAGUAGGAUAAAAGAUCAAGGUGGCCUUGGCAUUCAUGGCAUGAAGGUCAAGAAGGAUGCCUUACAUAGGAAAUGGUUAUUCAAAAUACUUACUAGGGGUGGCGUUUGGCAAACCUGUUGCGAAAGAAGUAUCUAAUACUAUGCCAAAAACUUAUCUCUCACACAUAUUGGAAAGCUGGUGACUCACACUUUUCGGGUGGUGUCGUGGAAUUCUCACGGCAGAUGUCCUAGUGUGAGGACUUAGUCGUGAGGCCAACGCAUCUAUGUGGUAGCUUGAGAGGGGUUGAUUGGGACGAGAGACGCAACACACAAGACAAGAAUUUAGACAGCUUCGGGCCCCAGGAAACAUCAUCCAAUAAUAGCCCUACAUGCUGUUUGUGGCUAGGUCUCAUUAUGAUCAUGAGAGAGUCAUCGGUAAGCCGGCUCUUUGUGUCUAGCCCUAGAGAUUGUUUCUUGUUUCUUGUCCCUCUUGGGGUGCCCUGCCCCUCCUUAUAUAAGUUAGAGGGGCGGGUUACAUAUGGAGUCCUAGUAGGAUUAGGACUAGUCUAUCUUUCUUUACAAGUUGAAUACAAGUCCGGGUCUUGCUUCCUUGUGAAGGAAAUAAUCCUCACGCCUUUCAUCUUAAACCGGCCCACCAAAGUAUAAGCCAGCCUGCUGGGCCUUGGGCCUUGUCGUCCGUCUGAUCAGCCCGCCGGGUCUCCAGUGAAUUACAAUGUCCAGGCGGGUUACCCUGUGAACCGCCAUGUUCGGGCGGAUCGCCAGUGAGUCGCCAAGCUCCAGCCAGGUCUCUGGUGAGUCGCCAAGUCCGGCCGGGUCAUACCGCGGGGUAUAUCCCCGACAUUAGCCCCCAGUUUAAUUUGGAUUUAUCCAUGUUAAACUGAUCCUGCAACAUAAACACAAGAACAAAUUUGACAGGUUGUGCUCCGGGUUAAAUAUUCUUGUAAGCCGGCACCUGAUCAUCCUUAAGUCCUUGACAUUUUCUCCUGAAAUAUCCGGGUCAAUAUUGGUCUUGAAAUAUCCAGCUUCAUAAUCCAUUUGCUGACAUUGGCUCUUGUAAAGAAAUAUUAUAAGAAAUAAUCCAUUUGAUUCGGCCUUCAAUGCUCUGAUUUGACAAAAAUAUUGCUCUUGAAAUAUCCAACUGAUAUUCAGCCGGCUUAAAGAUGUAGAUUCUUGCCGACGAUUGCCACAAUUGUCGGGUUAGAAAUAAAUGAUGCCGGGUCAUGAUUGUUGCAGACACCGGGUUAAUCUGGUCUACUCCAAACUGAGAAUUUGAAGAUUUUUUUCUCCCUUAUAUGCAUAUUACCUGUAGCCCCUAAGUCUUAAGGGGAGAACAUAGUGAUAACUUAAGACUUGCUUCAAUAUAAGUGUUGCAACCUUGAAGAAAUCCGGUUUAUUCAUCUCAAUCAUUAGUCAUAAGCUGAAUAUUCCACAUUCCACAUAUGUAGCCCCCAAGUGCCGAGUUGUCAUGCUUGCAGCAACCUGGGACUUGUAAUUGCCUUAUGCUCAUAAAAACUUCAACUAGUGUAGCCCCCAAGGGCCGGGUCAUUAUGCAAUAAUGAGCAGGGACUUUGUAAAUAUGAUCAUGUAAACUUGACCAGCAACGUGUAGCCCCCAAGGGCCGGGUCAGUAAGAUAUUACCGAGCUGGGACUUUGUAUAUGAUUCAUCGAUAAUAACAGCAUAUGAUGUGAUCUCCACCAUGGGGUUUGAACCCACGUCCAUAAGGUUAAGAGCUUUGUACUCUACCAACUGAGUAGUGGAUCUUUCAAUAUAAUGGAUUAAGGCUUGUGUACCUUGAAUUUUCGACAAGAGCAAUUGGUAGCCCCCAAGGGCCGGCUCAUUUAGAAUGUGAUGAGUCGGGUCUUCAAUAAGUUGAACAAAAAAUGACUUUGCAUUAGCCCCCAAGUGCAAUGGUACAUGCUGGCAGUAACAUGGGACUUGCAUAUUCGAUGUAAUAUCAAUUUGAAUAAUGUAGUCCCCAAGUGCCAGGUCGUAAGCCUGCAGCGACUCGGGACUAUUCCUUACAUUAUAGAAUAAAUCAUAUCCAUCGAUAAAAUAAUAGCCAUUGCGCCAAAGCGACUUUGAAUACCUCAUCUGUUGAUAAGUAAAUCCGGAGUUUAAAUACCCGGCGGCUCUUGGCCGAUGGCGAUUUAAUACGCCUCCAUUGUAAGCCGGAAUUUUUAUAAUCCGGCGGCUUAUAGCCUUUCAGAACAUCAAGAAUUGAUAACCCUUCUGAGACUCCAAUUUCAAUCUAUGAUGAUGGGCUUGAACUUAAUCAUUUAUGUAAGUCAUAGCUCUGCAAAUCCUGCAUAGAGUUUAAACAACAUAUGCCCUGGCGACUUAACGUCAAGCCAGGGCGGGUAACCACCCAAAUGUAGUAUCCUGCACACAAGUAGAUCACAAGAUCCCUUGGCGGUUUACCGCAGGGCGGGUCAUAAUAUCUCACUGUUGGAAAUAUGCCCUAGAGGCAAUAAUAAAAUGGUUAUUAUUGUAUUUCCUUGUUCAUGAUAAUUGUCUGGUGUUCAUGCUAUAAUUGUAUUAACUGGAAACCGUAAUACAUGUGUGAAUACAUAGACCACAACAUGUCCCUAGUAAGCCUCUAGUUGACUAGCUCGUUGAUCAAUAGAUGGUUAUGGUUUCCUGACCAUGGACAUUGGAUGUCAUUGAUAACGGGAUCACAUCAUUAGGAGAAUGAUGUGAUGGACAAGACCCAAUCCUAAGCAUAGCACAAGAUCGUGUAGUUCGUUUGCUAGAGCUUUUCUAAUGUCAAGUAUCAUUUCCUUAGACCAUGAGAUUGUGCAACUCCCGGAUACCGUAGGAAUGCUUUGGGUGUACCAAACGUCACAACGUAACUCGGUGGCUGUAAAGGUGCACUACAGGUAUCUCCGAAAGUGUCUGUUGGGUUGGCACGAAUCGAGACUGGGAUUUGUCACUCCGUAUGACGGAGAGGUAUCUCUGGGCCCACUCGGUAAUGCAUCAUCAUAAUGAGCUCAAUGUGACUAAGGAGUUAGCCACGGGAUCAUGCGUUACAGUACGAGUAAAGUGACUUGCCGAUAACGAGAUUGAACAAGGUAUUGGGAUACCGACGAUCGAAUCUCGGGCAAGUAACGUACCGAUUGACAAAGGGAAUUGUAUAUGGGAUUGAUUGAAUCCUCGACAUCGUGGUUCAUCCGAUGAGAUCAUCGUGGAACAUGUGGGAGCCAACAUGGGUAUCCAGAUCCCGCUGUUGGUUAUUGACCGGAGAGUCGUCUCGGUCAUGUCUGCAUGUCUCCCGAACCCGUAGGGUCUACACACUUAAGGUUCGGUGACGCUAGGGUUGUAGAGAUAUUAGUAUGCGGAAAUCCGAAAGUCGUUCGGAGUCCCGGAUGAGAUCCCGGACGUCACGAGGAGUUCCGGAAUGGUCCGGAGGUAAAGAUUUAUAUAUGGGAAGUCCUAUUUUGGCCACCGGAAAAUGUUCGGGAAUUUUCGGUAUUGUACCGGGAAGGUUCUAGAAGGUUCCGAAGUGGGGCCCACCUGCAUGGGGGACCCACAUGAACGUGGGUAGUGGGGGCAAGGCCCCACACCCCUGGUCAAGGCGCACCAAGAUCCCACCUUAGAAGGAAUAAGAUCAUAUCCCGAAGGGAUAAGAUCAAGAUCCCUAAAAAAGGGGAUAACAAUCGGUGGGGAAGGGAAAUGAUGGGAUUUCUUUCCCCCACCUUUGCCAACGCCCCAAUGGACUUGGAGGGCAAGAAACCAGCCCCCUCCACCCCUAUAUAUAGUGGGGAGGCGCAUGGGAGCAGCAACCCAAGCCCUGGCGCCUCCCUCCCUCCCGUGACACCUCUUCCUCCCCGCUUGCGCUUGGCGAAGCCCUGCCGGGAUCCCGCUACUUCCACCACCACGCCGUCGUGCUGCUGGAUCUCCAUCAACUUCUCCUCCCCCCUUGCUGGAUCAAGAAGGAGGAGACGUCCCCGCUCCGUACAUGUGUUGAACGCGGAGGUGCCGUCCGUUCGGCGCUAGGUUCAUCGGUGAUUUGGAUCACGACGAGUAUGACUCCAUCAACCCCGUUCUCUUGAACGCUUCCGCUCGCGAUCUACAAGGGUAUGUAGAUGCACUCCUCCCCUCUCAUUGUUAGCAUCUCCUAGAUUGAUCUUGGUGACACAUAGGAAAAUUUUGAAUUUCUGCUACGUUCGCCAACAGUGGCAUCAUGAGCCAGGUUUAUGCGUAGAUUCUAUGCAUGAGUAGAACACAAAGUAGUUGUGGGCGACGAUUUGUUCAAUUUUCUUACCGUUACUAGUCUUAUCUUGAUUCGGCGGCAUUGUGGGAUGAAGCGGCCCGGACCGACCUUACACGUACUCUUACGUGAGACAGGUUCCACCGACUGACAUGCACUUGAUGCAUAAGGUGGCUAGCGGGUGUCUGUCUCUCCCACUUUAGUCGGAUCGGAUUCGAUGAAAAGGGUCCUUAUGAAGGGUAAAUAGCAAUUGGCAUAUCACCGUUGUGGCUUUUGCGUAGGUAAGAAACGUUCUUGCUAGAAACCCAUAGCAGCCACGUAAAACAUGCAACAACAAUUAGAGAACGUCUAACUUGUUUUUGCAGGGUAUGCUAUGUGAUGUGAUAUGGCCAAAAGGAUGUGAUGAAUUAUAUAUGUGAUGUAUGAGAUUGAUCAUGUUCUUGUAAUAGGAAUCACGACUUGCAUGUCGAUGAGUAUGACAACCGGCAGGAGCCAUAGGAGUUGUCUUAAUUUGUUGUAUGACCUGUGUGUCAAUGAAAAACGCCAUGUAAUUACUUUACUUUAUUGCUAACCGUUAGCCAUAGUAGUAGAAGUAAUAGUUGGUGAGACAACUUCAUGAAGACACGAUGAUGGAGAUCAUGGUGUCAUGCCGGUGACGAAGGUGAUCAUGCCGCGCCUCGAAGAUGGAGAUCAAAAGGCGCAAGAUGAUAUUGGCCAUAUCAUGUCACUUUAUGAUUUGCAUGUGAUGUUUGUCAUGUUUACAUCUUAUUUUCUUAGAACGACGGUAGCAUAAAUAAGAUGAUCCCUCACUAAAAUUUCAAGAGAUGUGUUCCCCCUAACUGUGCACCGUUGCGAAGGUUCGUUGUUUCGAAGCACCACGUGAUGAUCGGGUGUGAUAGAUUCUAACGUUCGCAUACACCGGGUGUUGACGAGCCUAGCAUGUACAGACAUGGCCUCGGAACACAAGCAAAACACUUAGGUUGACUUGACGAGCCUAGCAUGUACAGACAUGGCCUCGGAACACAAGAGACCGAAAGGUCGAACAUGAGUCGUAUAGUAGAUACGAUCAACAUGGAGAUGUUCACCGAUGAUGACUAGUCCGUCUCACGUGAUGAUCGGACACGGCCUAGUCGAUUCGGAUCAUGUAUCACUUAGAUGACUAGAGGGAUGUCUAUCUAAGUGGGAGUUCAUUAAAUAAUCAAAUGAACUUAAUUAUCAUGAACAUAGUCAAAAGGUCUUUGCAAAUAAUGUCGUAGCUUACGCUUUAGUUCUACUAAGAUAUUUUCCUAGAGAAAAUUUAGUUGAAAGUUGAUAGUAGCAAUUAUGCGGACUAGGUCCGUAAACUGAGGAUUGUCCUCAUUGCUGCACAGAAGGCUUAUGUCGUUAAUGCACCGCUCGGUGUGCUGAACCUCGAGCGUCGUCUGUAGAUGUUACGAAACAUCUGACAUACAUGUUUUGAUGACUACGUGAUAGUUCAGUGUGUGAUGCUAACGGUUUAAAAUUGUGGCACCAAAGACGGUUUUGAAAUGUCGCAGAACAUAUGAGAUGUUCCAAAGACUGAAAUUGGGAUUUCAGACUAAUGCCCACGUCAAGAGGUAUGAGACCUCUGACAAGUUUCUUAAGCCUGCAAACUAAGGGAGAAAAGCUCAAUCGUUGAGCAUGUGCUCAGAUUGUCUGAGUACUACAAUCACUUGAAUCGAGUGGGAGUUAAUCUUCCAGAUGAGAUAGUGAUGGUUCUCCAUAGUCACUGCCACCAAGCUAUUAGAGCUUCGUGAUGAACUAUAACAUAUCAGGGAUAGACAUGAUGAUCCUUGAGCAACUCGCGAUGUUUGACACCGCGAAAGUAGAAAUCAAGAAGGAGCAUCAAUUGUUGAUGGUUAGUAAAACCACUAGUUUCUAGAAGGGCAAGGGCAAGAAGGGAUACUUCAUGAAACGGCAAAUCAGUUGCUGCUCUAGUGAAGAAACCCAAGGUUGAACCCAAACCCGAGACUAAGUGCUUCUGAAAUGAGGGGAACGGUCACUGAAGCAGAACUACCCUAGAUACUUCGUAGAUGAGAAGGCUGGCAAGGUCGACCGAAGUAUAUUGGAUAUACAUUAUAUUAAUGUGUACUUUACUAGUACUCCUAGUAGCACCAGGGUAUUAGAUACCGGUUCGGUUGCUAAGUGUUAGUAACUCGAAAUAAAAUAUGCGGAAUAAACGAAGACUAGCUAAAGGUGAGAUGACGAUAUGUGUUGGAAGUGUUUCCAAGGUUGAUGUGAUCAAGCAUCGCAUGCUCCCUCUACCAUCGAGAUUGGGGUUAAACCUGAAUAAUUAUUAUUUGGUGUUUGCAUUGAGCAUAGACAUGAUUGGAUUAUGUUAUCGCAAUACGGUUAUUCAUUAAAGGAGAAUAAUGGUUACUCUGUCUAUUUGAAUAAUACCUUCAAUGGUCUUGCACCUAAAAUGAAUGGUUUAUUGAAUCUCGAUCGUAGUGAUACACAUGUUCAUGCCAAAAGAUAUAAGAUAGUAAUGAUAGUACCACAUACUUGUGGCACUGCCAUUUGAGUCAUAUUGGUAUAAAACGCAUGAACAAGCUCCAUGUUGAUGGAUCUUUGGACUCACUCGUUUUUGAAAAGAUUGAGACAUGCGAACCAUGUCUAUUAGUAUAUAUGCAUGAAGAAAGUCCAUACAGAUGGAUCAUUUGGACUCACUUGAUUUUGAAUCACUUGAGACAUGCAAAUCAUACCACAUGGGCAAGAUGACUGAAAGGCCUCGUUUUCAGUAAGAUGGAACAAGAGAGCAACUUGUUGGAAGUAAUACAUUUGAUGUGUGCAGUCCAAUGAGUGCUGAGGCACGCAGUGGAUAUCGUUAUGUUCUUACUUCACAGAUGAUUUGAGUAGAUGCUGAGAAUAUUUACUUGAUGAAACACAAGUUUGAAUUAUUGAAAGGUUCAAGUAAUUUCAGAGUGAAGUUGAAGAUCGUCGUGACAAGAGGAUAAAAUGUCUGUGAUAUGAUCAUAGAGGUGAAUAUCUGAGUUACGAGUUUGGCACACAAUUAAUAAAUUGUGGAAAUUGUUUCACGACUAAUACCGCCUGGAACACCAUAUUGUGAUGGUGUGUCCGAACAUCAUAACUGCACCCUAUUGGAUAUGGUGCAUACCAUGAUGUCUCUUAUCGAAUUACAACUAUCGUUUAUGGGUUAGGCAUUAGAGACAACCGCAUUCACUUUAAAUAGGGAACCACGCAAUUCCGUUGAGACGACACCGUAUGAACUAUGGUUUAGAGAAACCUAAGCUGUCGUUUCUUAAAAGUUUGGGGCUGCGACGCUUAUGUGAAAAAGUUUCAGGCUGAUAAGCUCGAACCCAAAGCGGAUAAAUGCAUCUUCAUAGAAUACCCAAAACAGUUGGGUAUACCUCCUAUUUCAGAUCUGGAAGCAAAAGUGAUUGUUUCUAGAAAUGGGUCCUUUCUCGAGGAAAAGUUUCUCUCGAAAGAAUUGAGUGGGAGGAUGGUGGAGACUUGAUGAGGUCAUUGAACCGUCACUUCAACUAAUGUGUAGCAGGGCACAGGAAGUUGUUCCUGUGGCACCUACACCAAUUGAAGUGGAAGCUUAUGAUAGUGAUCAUGAAACUUCAGAUCAACUCACUACCAAACCUCAUAGGACGACAAGGAUGCGUACUACUUCAGAGUGGUACGUAAUCCUGUCUUGGAAGUCAUGUUGCUAGACAACAAUGAACCUACGAGCUAUGGAGAAGCGAUGGUGGGCCCGGAUUCCGACGAAUGGCUCGAGGCCAUAAAAUCCGAGAGGAUCCAUGUAUGAAAACAAAGUAUAGACUUUGGAAGAACUACUUGAUGGUCGUAAGGCUGUUGGGUACAGAUGGAUUUUAAAGGGAAGACAAACAAUGAUGGUAAGUGUCACCAUUAAGAAAGCUCGACUUGUCGUUAAGAUGUUUUCCGGCAAGUUCAAGGAGUUGACUGCGAUGAGACUUUCUCACUCGUAGCGAUGCUAAGAGUCUGUUAGAAUUAUAUUAGCAGUUACUGCAUUAUUUAUGAAAUCUUGCAGAUAGGAUGUCAAAACAUUGUUUCCUCGACGAUUUUCUUGAGGAAAGGUUGUAUGUGAUACAACCAGAAGGUUUUGUCAAUCCUGAAAGAUGCUAACAAGUAUGCAAAGCUCCAGCAAUCCUUCUAAGGAUUGGAGUAAGCAUCUCGGAGUUGGAAUGAACGCUUUGAUGAGAUGAUCAAAGAUUUUGGGUUUAUACAAAGUUCAUGAGAAACUUGUAUUUCCAAAGAAGUCAGUGGGAGCACUAUAGAAUUUUUGAUGAGUAUAUGUUGUUAACAUAUUGUUGAUCAGAAAUGAUGUAGAAUUUCUGGAAAGCAUCCAGGGUUGUUUGAAAAGUGUUUUUAAUGGAAAACCUAGAUUAACCUACUUGAACAUUGAGCAUCAAGAUCUAUAAGGAUAGAUCAAAAAUGCUUAAUAGUACUUUCAAAUGAAUACAUACCGUGACAAGAUUUUGAAGGAGUUCAAAAUAGAUCAGCAAAGAAGGAGUUCUUGGCUGUGUUACAAGGUGUGAGUAUUGAGUAAGACUCAAGACCUGACCACGGCAGAAGAAAGAGAAAGGACGAAGGUCGUCCCCUAUGCUUUAGACGUAGGCUUUGCAAUAUGCUAUGCUGUGUACCGCACCUGAAGUGUGCCUUGCCAUGAGUUAGUCAAGGGGUACAAUAGUGAUCCAGCAACGAAUCACAUGACAGCGGUCGAACUUAUCCUUAGUAUCUAGUGGACUAAGGAAUUUUCUUGAUUAUGGAGGUGGAAAGGGGGUUCGUCGUAAAGGGUUAUGUCGAUACAAACUUUGACACUAAUCCGGAUGACUCUGAGUAGUGAACCAGAUUCGUAUAGUAGAGCAGUUAUUUGGAAUAGCUCCAAGUAGCGCGUGGUAGCUGCAUCUACAAGAUGACAUAGAGAUUUGUAAAGCACACACGGAUCUGAAUGUGGCAGACCCGUUGACUAAAACCUCUCUCGUAAGCAUAACAUGAUCAAACCCUAGAACUCAUUGACUGUUAAUCACAUGGUGAUGUGAACUAGAUUAUUGACUCUAGUAAACUCUUGGGUAUUAGUCACAUGGCGAUGUGAACUUUGAGUGUUAAUCACAUGGUGAUGUGAACUAGAUUAUUGACUCUAGUGCAAGUGGAAGACUGUUGGAAAUAUGCCCUAGAGGCAAUAAUAAAAUGGUUAUUAUUGUAUUCCCUUGUUCAUGCUAUAAUUGUAUUAACUGGAAACCGUAAUACAUGUGUGAAUACAUAGACCAGAACAUGUCCCUAGUAAGCCUCUAGUUGACUAGCUCGUUGAUCAAUAGAUGGUUAUGGUUUCCUGACCAUGGACAUUGGAUGUCAUUGAUAACGGGAUCACAUCAUUAGGAGAAUGAUGUGAUGGACAAGACCCAAUCCUAAGCAUAGCACAAGAUCGUGUAGUUCGUUUGCUAGAGCUUUUCUAAUGUCAAGUAUCAUUUCCUUAGACCAUGAGAUUGUGCAACUCCCGGAUACCGUAGGAAUGCUUUGGGUGUACCAAACGUCACAACGUAACUCGGUGGCUGUAAAGGUGCACUACAGGUAUCUCCGAAAGUGUCUGUUGGGUUGGCACGAAUCGAGACUGGGAUUUGUCACUCCGUAUGACGGAGAGGUAUCUCUGGGCCCACUCGAUAAUGCAUCAUCAUAAUGAGCUCAAUGUGACUAAGGAGUUAGCCACGGGAUCAUGCGUUACGGUACGAGUAAAGUGACUUGCCGGUAACGAGAUUGAACAAGGUAUUGGGAUACCGACGAUUGAAUCUCGGGCAAGUAACGUACCGAUUGACAAAGGGAAUUGUAUACGGGAUUGAUUGAAUCCUCGACAUCGUGGUUCAUCUGAUGAUAUCAUCGUGGAACAUGUGGGAGCCAACAUGGGUAUCCAGAUCCCGCUGUUGGUUAUUGACCGGAGAGUCGUCUCGGUCAUGUCUGCAUGUCUCCCGAACCCGUAGGGUCUACACACUUAAGGUUCGGUGACGCUAGGGUUGUAGAGAUAUUAGUAUGCCGAAAUCCGAAAGUCGUUCGAAGUCCCGGAUGAGAUCCCGGACGUCACGAGGAGUUCCGGAAUGGUCCGGAGGUAAAGAUUUAUAUAUGGGAAGUCCUAUUUUGGCCACCGGAAAAUGUUCGGGAAUUUUCGGUAUUGUACCGGGAAGGUUCUAGAAGGUUCCGAAGUGGGGCCCACCUGCAUGGGGGGACCCACAUGAACGUGGGUAGUGGGGGCAAGGCCCCACACCCCUGGUCAAGGCGCACCAAGAUCCCACCUUAGAAGGAAUAAGAUCAUAUCCCGAAGGGAUAAGAUCAAGAUCCCUUAAAAAGGGGGAUAACAAUCGGUGGGGAAGGGAAAUGAUGGGAUUUCUUUCCGCCACCUUUUCCAACGCCCCAAUGGACUUGGAGGGCAAGAAACCAGCCCCCUCCACCCCUAUAUAUAGUGGGGAGGCGCAUGGGAGCAGCACCCCAAGCCCUGGCGCCUCCCUCCCUCCCGUGACACCUCUUCCUCCCCGCUUGCGCUUGGCGAAGCCCUGCCGGGAUCCCGCUACUUCCACCACCACGCCGUCGUGCUGCUGGAUCUCCAUCAACUUCUCCUCCCCCCUUGCUGGAUCAAGAAGGAGGAGACGUCCCGCUCCGUACGUGUGUUGAACGCGGAGGUGCCGUCCGUUCGGCGCUAGGUUCAUCGGUGAUUUGGAUCACGACGAGUACGACUCCAUCAACCCCGUUCUCUUGAACGCUUCCGCUCGCGAUCUACAAGGGUAUGUAGAUGCACUCCUCCCCUCUCGUUGCUAGCAUCUCCUACAUUGAUCUUGGUGACACGUAGGAAGAUUUUGAAUUUCUGCUACGUUCCCCAACACUCACAUAUAACCACUAUGAUAUUGAAUUUGUACUGCCGGUUUACAUGACCUGUGCAAUAAGGGUGAUAACCCAAUCUUUAGAAAUCAAGACUUCCAAAUGUUUAUGAUUGUCAUAUGAUGGCGACUUAUCAACCAAAGUCAAGCCGGGUUAAUCGAAGCCACAUAUAUACUUCAGAUAUGAUCAAAAGAACUUCAAAUAAAAUACAAAAUUUUGUUUGCAAAAAGAGACUUCAAAAAUUUUGAGGCUUCUGAUUCGAAUACUAUCAGAAAACCGUCCCAAAGGGGUUAAGCUAAGAUUCGAAUACGAUCAUAUAGCCCCCAGUGGCUUUGGCGUUGCCGAUCAAGAGGGUACCGACAGCUAUGUUCUCUUUGGUUCGAAUACGACCUAUGUUUGAACAGGAAGCCCCCAAAUGACCUGGAGAGUUGUUUAACGACGCUGAUUCGAAUACGAUCCAUGUCGGUUCCCAAAAGGGGUUGAGCUAUGAUUCGAAUACGAUCAAGAAGCCCCCUAGUGAGCUCAGCAGUGUGCCGAUCAAGAGGGUACCGACAGCUAUGUUCUCUUUGGUUCGGAUACGACCUAUGUUUGAACAGGAAGCCCCCAAGUGAUCUUGAGAAUAUUUAACGACUCUCAUUCCAAUACGAUCAGGGUCACACCAAAAGGGUUAAGCUAAAUUUGAAUACGAUCAGCUCCCAACGGUCAUUAAAGCAGGUAGUUAUGUUUGAGUUGUGCUUUGUAACAGACUCUCCUUGGUCCCUUUAAUUUUUCUUGAAAACUUGAACUUUGCGAGAGAUAAAAUCUUUUUAAAACCGGAAGUUCUUAAACCGGAUAUUAAGAGUUUCAAAGCAUGGUGAUAGACAAAUUUACCUUGAACCGGGUUUUGAACCGGAUUUGAGAUCUUCAAAGCAUUGUGGCAGAUAAAUUUCAUUUGAACCGGAUUUUAAACCGGACAUUAAGAGCUUCAAUGCUUUGUGGGAGAUGUCAAGUCUCUUGAUAAGGAUCUAAACCGGAAUCCUUCUUUUUAAGCCAGAUAUUUUUCUGACGGUCUUUAAAUUUUUACCAAUAUGGCGGUAGCCUCCGGGACCGGGUUAUUUUUUUCCUCCAAUGACCCAGAGUUCUUGAAUGCAUUGAAACCGACCAAUGUUGCCGAGUCAUAUCAUUGUAACCCCUGAGUCUCAAAACGACUCAAGGAGUUGGCUUUGAGAUUCUCCAUAUUGACCAUAGCAUAAGGUGUAUAUCAUUGGUGUUGAUAGUGCGAUGUGAAUCCACAGAAGGUUGAGGUGACUGCGGCGGAUUAUAAAUGAUCAUGUAUGAGCCGUGUCAGCAACUCGGCCAAUGGUCCCUUCCAACUGGCUGUUUGAAGUUAACCAAACUAUAGUGGCGGCGACUUGUGCGCCUGCCCAUUUAAACCAUCCAGUGUAGACGGCGGCUGAUAAUACAUGAUAAUUUGCCUCCAAUUUUGUUGGAAGAAAAACCAGGCUUCCCAAGCAGUGACUUGCUCAUACUCGAUGAUCAGCUCACGCAGACAGGUGCGGCCCGGUAUGUUGAUAUAGACCAGGCCGCAAGAGACAGAUGGUAAAAACAACCGUGGCAUCAAAGGUGGUACAGACAGAUGAGUUGGUCACGACGUUGUAAACCGGUGUGGUCGGGCGAGUCAAUCGCCGGCGCGGUAAGCCGCGCGGAUGGGCGAGUCAACCACGUCGUGUUGAUGUAGUGAACAAUUGUCCUACAUCAAAAACAUCGCAAGCAAGAGUAAUUGCUCUUUUUUAAAGAAAACAAUAUAUAAUAUAUAAAAAUUUACUGGAUUGAUUUCACCUGAUAUGUUAGGCCAGAAAAUAUCCACCGCGGAGUUGAUCAUCACGACGGUGAAGCUGAAAUCAAUCACGGCCGAGUCGGCCGCGGGAACAGACAGACGGGUCGGCCGCGGCGUUGUAAGCCGGUGCGGUCGGGCGAGUCAAUCGCAUGAGCGAUAAGCCACGCGGACGCUGAGUCGGCCGCGGGGGCGGACAGGUAAGUUGUCCGUCACAUUGUAAGGCGGCGCGUUGAUGUAGACCGGACCACAGGGGCGGUGGCUUGCGCCCACCUGUUGACCAGUAAGCGGUCGCAGAUGCCGUUGCAUGAUGAUGCUACCGCACACUCCAUGGAUACGGCAUUACACCAUCUUUAUGAUGAAUCCUUGUCCUGCACAUAAAAGUGUACAUAGCAAAGCGAUUGUUUUUUGACAAAAAACAAUAUGCGCUUAAUAAAAUAAUCUUAGAUGGAUAUCACCUGAUUUGUUCGGAUGACCGAUGAUCCAUUCAAUGCAACAAAAAACGGCUCUGGUAGACCGGUAACCCAUGGCGAGUCAACACAGCAGAAGCGACUCAACGCAGCCCCGGCAGCUCGAGGCACGGCGGGUCUCAGCUCACGGCGGGUUGAGGUGUGGCGGUUCAAGGUCACAGCGGGGGGACUCGCAGGCUCAGGCGAGGCCGUUUUGAAGAUGGUUGGCAGCGGCGCGGUGACUCGCCACGGUGCGCCGAAAUAGCAGCAGCGUAGUGGGAGAAACAGCCGGUCUGUUGAUUUUGACCGUGAUGUGAAGCUCGCGGGGCAGCCACGAAGGCGCUGGGACGGAGUGGCUCCGAUGUGCGAGACGUGCCACCACAAGGACGCACGUAGGAGAAGACCAGAGGGGCAUCGAAGUCGGGUCCGCGGCGGCUCUGGAGAUGACAAGUGUGCGGGAGGCAAGGCCGUGCUGGCCAGCAGAAAACGGCGAGGUGCCGGCGACUUAGCGUAAAACCGCGGGUCAGAGGCGGCUCGGAGUUGAGUCCAUGUCCUGCUCUGGUCGUUGUUGGUUUGACAAUUCCCUUUAAGUGCUCCUUUAAAAUUUCCUUCAUCACACGUGGUGUCGUGCCAGGCAACAGCAUGGCCGGACUAAAAAUCCACUAGACCUUGAUUUUUAAUGCUCCUGUAGAUCUUGGGGACUGCGUGUGAGCUGACUAUUAAAACCUUCAAAUUCAUGCACGUACAGUGGCUGUACUAGUUGAUGCUACGUGCAGAAGGUAAGGUAAUCUAUCAGGCUUUGUUUUUCGCGUUGAUCAGCACUUGGACCCUUGAUCAACAGUUGGCUUGAUCCGGAGACUUCACAGGGCUGAAGCAAACUGUCUUGAUCGCCGCUGUACCAACAGAUGGCGCUCGUGACGCGUGUUUGGCUGUCUUUGAUCACCUCGGACUUGGACAGCUAUAUAUGGACCAGCAGAAGCGACCUGGCGAAUCGGACACGGCGGCUAGAUUUGACAGCGGCACAGUAGAAAUUCGAGUCGGCCUCGGUGUACUGCUGCAGCAGAAACUAACCCGGACUCGACGGAUCAUCUAAUUGUGGCGGCGCUCACCAUGCAACUCUAAUCUUUCUUGAAUUCAGACCUCGUACGAGUAUUAGAUCUGACUGCUCGCUUUGGAGACAAUGUAAAUCCUUCCGCGACGAUUCUUCUUUCAUCCGAAGAAAUUGUCAACUUCUCGACCCUUGAAAGAGAUCCCUCCAAGAACUCAUCACCACCGUGCGCAGCCCCACGGUGGGCGCCAACUGUCGUGGAAUUGUCACGGCAGAUGUCCUAGUGUGAGGACUUAGUCGUGAGGCCAACGCAUCUAUGCGGUAGCUUGAGAGGGGUUGAUUGGGAUGAGAGACGCAACACACAAGACAAGAAUUUAGACAGCUUCGGGCCCCGGGAAACAUCAUCCGGUAAUAGCCCUACAUGCUGUUUGUGGCUAGGUCUCAUUAUGAUCAUGAGAGAGUCGCCGGUAAGCCGGCUCUUUGUGUCUAGCCCUAGAGAUUGUUUCUUGUUUCUUGUCCCUCUUGGGGUGCCCUGCCCCUCCUUAUAUAAGUUAGAGGGGCGGGUUACAUACGGAGUCCUAGUAGGAUUAGGACUAGUCUAUCUUUCUUUACAAGUUGAAUACAAGUCCAGGUCUUGCUUCCUUAUGAAGGAAAUAAUCCUCACGCCUUUCAUCUUAAACCGGCCCACCAGAGUAUAAGCCAGCCUGCUGGGCCUUGGGCCUUGUCAUCCGUCUGAUCCGCCCGCCGGGUCUCCAGUGAAUUACAAUGUCUAGGCGGGUUACCCUGUGAACCGCCAUGUUCGGGCGGAUCGCCAGUGAGUCGCCAAGCUUGUCCGGCCGGGUCAUACCGCGGGGUAUAUCCCCGACAGGUGGUCUAAUACGGGUAAAGAAACGCAUUUUUCGCUUUGGAUCCUUUACAAUAAAAGAUGGGUCAAAAAUUCGAUUCUGGGAAGACAAGUGGCUAGAAAAUGCUUGGAUCCAAUAAAAAUAUCUAUCUUUGUACUGCAUCAUUCAUCACAAUAAUGAUACUCUUGUGCUAGUGCUUAUUUCUUUCAUGCCAGAUAUUUCUUUCAGGCGAGAUUUGAUUGGCCUAUGUCUUAUGUGAUGGUAAAAUCAUUAUCCUGAUUGGAUUUAAUUAACCUGACACAAGGGCGGGGAUGUGUUUCAUUGGAAUCUCUCUACAUAUGGGUCCUUCAAGUCAACUUUAUGUACCAUGCACUAACGCAUUCAGAGGUCCUAGUGGAUAAUAAAAUAAUAGAAGAAGAUAUGGGCCAUACUCCCUCCGUCCAGUGAAGAGUGAAAUCUAGAGAUUUUAGGACAAAUUAUGGAGUAAAAUAGAAAAUGCAUUGGAAAGGUGCAAGCCACCAUCUUUCUUCUCUUUAAUUAUCCAAUCCCUAAUGUGUUUAGUGCAUGUAAAAAUUAAGAAGACCAUGUGUAGAUUGUUAUUGGUCUUGGUUACCAUGUGAUGAGAGAGAAAUAUAUUUUUUUCUACUUUAAAGUGCAUUGAGAAGAUAGAAGUACACUCUUUUGUGGACAAAUUUUAAAGCCAAACGUACACUCUUCACCGGACGGAGGGAGUAUAUUAAUUCCUAGUGUGACUUAAUGUUGACAUGAAUUGAUACAGGUGGAUAUAGUUACUCUGCGUCCGUAAAUAAAGGUCAUCAUUUUUGUUGCUCUAGGGACCCAUAAAUGAUAGGGACUGUCCGCUACCAGCUACCCUGAUGACUCCAUUCGCUGCCCCUCAAACAUGGGUUCCCGACAUGUUCUCAGGGUCUGCCCGUGGUUCCAUGUUCUGGCCUUCGGGGUUGGUUUAACUAGUGGUAUGGGGGUUCUUGCAUCGCCCUGUACUCUCGAUCGGGACCCUUUAAUGCUAGCACUUCUGGUGACAUACAGUGCGUGUAUUUAAAGGCCAGGCAUGCAUCCUCCGUGCCAAAGAAAAUUCAUUCGGCGGCUACACGGGGAGAGUUGUGGCAGCAAAUCCGGGAUGCCAGCUUUUUGUUUUGGGUUUCGAUUGUCAAAGUUUUAGAUCUUAAAAAAACUAAAAUUAAGUGUUGUUUUCAUAUUCGUGUUUCUCGUGACCACUGUUUUGAAAUAAUAUCCGUUUUGAAUAUAUAUUUUGACGACUUUAAAAAAUAUUAAGUUUCAUAUGUUGAAACUUAGUACGGGCAACCAGUAAAAAUCAAUUAUUUUGUACCUACGCCUGACAGAAAAAUGCUUACAUUUAUAUCUCUGAAACUUGCUGAAACUUUGCAUUUUUCAUCAUUGAAACUUAAAACUUUUUGAGGGAUUUUCUUUUUUACUGUGCCCUCAUGUGGGAUUCAACUACUCUUUUCUCUUCCGCGAGAUCCACAUGAAAAAAAGCACAAAUUUAAGAUGAGUGCAGGGCUUGGCAGAUGAGUGCCCUGCACUUACAUGCCCCUGCGAAUUUCCGCAGCUACUAGAUAUUUUUGGCAAAUUUAUUGUUUGCUCUUUUACAGGUGUGCCACUUAAGUAUUUAAACCUAUAAGGAUUUCUGCACUGGUGCUAAACUCACUUAUGAGAGCAUACCGGAUUUUCUCAUAUGAGCUAACAAAGAAUCAAACAUAGUUAUAUCUUGUAUUAUUUUCUCAUUAAUUACUUACCCACUGGGCUGAAGCAGUUAUUGUAGCAUAUCAUGCAACACUCAUGGUUUUCCAACAUGUUUCCUUAAGGGGUCUUAAUCAAGAUGAUUUACAUUCAAAAACAAUCAUUGAGUAUGGAUCAUUAAGAAUAAUUUGAUCCUACUUAAUCCAUGCUUAGGAAAUAAGAAAAUGGUUACUCAAUGAGCAAACGCUGCCUGUUGCUGCCUCCUCACCAACAAACUUUGGUUCUUCACAUCCCUUACCGAAGAGGCACCUUUACAUUGCAUCCCUUGUAUACUACUAUAUAUAUGUGAUCUUCAUAAAGAGUUCAGCGAUUUCUCCAUUGUUGAGUUCCUUACACUCAAUAUUCAAUAAUAGUUAUUUCCAAAUUCACAUAAUCAGUUGGCAGGAUGGUCACCAAAGUACAUUCAUCCAUCGAAAGAAACACACAAAAGAAAACAGUAACAGCACCAAAAAAACUACACGUUGUCCAAUUAUGAAUAAUGUUUCGUCCGUGUAACAAGAGCUUCGACGGUCAUUUUCUUAAGCAUAAUUAAAUAAAAAACUAAUCAUAGACUCUGAUUGUAAAGCAUUCCAAAAGAAAUUCAUAUGUCAGUUCUUCAACGCUUAUUGUGUUGGAAGCCUGUCCUCAAAUAUUCUCUCCUUCGCCUUGUCGGCCUGCAAAUAAAUAUCAGUUAUUUUUUCUUACUAUCCUUGGUACCAGUGCUUAGGGUUUUGAUAGACAGGUCGCUAGUUAUUGAAAUGAAACAUUUAAGACAAGGAGAAGCAUGCAUUAGGGCAACUCCAACUAUGUGCAUCAAAUCGGACACAUCUAACAUUCAUGGGCACGUCCGGACGUGUCCACAAAGAGCAUAUAGGGGGCGGCCAUCCAAGCCUAUGCACCAAAUGUCCGCACCUUUUCAAAGAAAAUAAAAUAAAGCUAGACCAAAUGUUGGCUCACUUUAAAUCAUCGAUCGAUAGCAAUUCAAAAGUGUUGGAUGAAAGUACUUCUCGAAAGCAGCCUUCAUUACAUACUUUCUCUCCUCGAGUUUGCACUUCUUCAUUACAAAUGUUGUUCAUCCAGAUGUUGUGCCCUUUGAGCUUCAUCCAACAGUGCAUAAAUGCGAAGAACUUGCCCUCCGUCCUUUGGUAUAGCAUGGGCUGCGCGUCUGGGCUAUACAAUGACGUGAUCAUCAAGUGUAACAUUGAGCAAUUUGCCAUUUGUGCUUGCUUCAUGUUAAACAAGGAGAAAGUCAAAGAAAUUCUCAAUGGUAUUUGGCCGAACACUUGCCGGGGUUGGCCUCCAUUAUGGAGGGCAUCGGCAAGGGGGCGGCCAAUGCAUGGGCUGCCGCCGGAUACUGGGUGCAACCGCGGCGAAGUACAAUGCGCCUGGUGGAGCAAUGGAGGUCUAGCAAGGCCUAGGCGCGGGACGGAGUGGUAUAGCAGCGGCGGUCUUGGUGGGUGCGGAUACAGAUUAAGAGUGGGACNNNNNNNNNNNNNNNNNNNNNNNNNNNNNNNNNNNNNNNNNNNNNNNNNNNNNNNNNNNNNNNNNNNNNNNNNNNNNNNNNNNNNNNNNNNNNNNNNNNNNNNNNNNNNNNNNNNNNNNNNNNNNNNNNNNNNNNNNNNNNNNNNNNNNNNNNNNNNNNNNNNNNNNNNNNNNNNNNNNNNNNNNNNNNNNNNNNNNNNNNNNNNNNNNNNNNNNNNNNNNNNNNNNNNNNNNNNNNNNNNNNNNNNNNNNNNNNNNNNNNNNNNNNNNNNNNNNNNNNNNNNNNNNNNNNNNNNNNAUAGUCCGACCAGGCGGGCGUCCGGACUCCCAAACCUCCAAUGAGUUUGCUUCCGGUUUGGCUGAUGUUGGACGUCCGGAUUAGGCCGCGGGCAUUUGAUGCAUGGCAGUGGAUGGCAAAAAAUGUACAGGCAGCGCAGUCCGGACCUUGCGGGCAAUUUGAUGCAUGGCAUUGGAGUUGCCCUUAGCAAUACCUAAGGCAUGUUCUGAUCACGAAUCAUCAGGCAUAAAAACUGAGAAAGGACUUACCAUCUUGUUCCAGUUUGUGGUAGCCGUAAUAACAGACAGGAGAGUGACCUGUGUGGCUCCACCAGCCAGUAUGCCAAUCCAAAACCCCUUUGCUCUUAGUUGCAUUGCAAAACCAAAGUAGAGUGCAACGGGGAUACCAACAAGAUAGAAGGCACCCAGGUUAACAUAAGCCCCUAGAUGCUGCCAUCCACAGCCCCGAGACACACCUGAGUGGUGCAAUGGAAGCAUUCAGUCUAUUAGUUUAAUUUAGUUUAUGAUGCUAUAUGCCAAAAGAAAGACAUGUGGAUACCUUGAAGGACUGCCAUGAGGCUGUCUGUAAUUGCUGAAAUGGAAAGUAGGGGUACCAUUCUUGUGACAUAACGCCUGACCUCUUCCUCAUUGCUGAACGCAAUUCCAAUAAAGUGGCGCAGUAAUAGAAGAGUUGUGCUCACUAAGAAUGCUGAGCAGACCACAAUAGACAAGGCAACACACACCACCAAGCGGGGACCUUGUGUGUUGCCGGCGCCUAAUUCAUUUGAGACGCGCACACUGGCACACGGACAACAUAUAUACGUAGCAUGUUAAAUUCUGUAGAAACAGGUGAUACUGACGAUAUAUAGCAACAAAUGCACUAGCUAGUAGCUACCCACCUGGUAGCUAUUCCAAUGCCGUAAGGAAGGUUGGCCAACAGUAUCAUUGUAGAUACGCUGUUCCAAAAGGACAUCAGUAUGGUAAACUUCAUAGAAUAUGAUGGAUUCAAGUAUAAUCUUAUUUAGGGUUCUACUAAUGCAUACCAUAUAGAAAGCACAGAGGUUUCCAGUGCAGGAUUUGGUAACAUCCCGGAAAGCAGAACAAGCAGCUCGUAAGACCACCACUCCAGACUGUGGUCAAGGAAAGCUAGGUUAAUAUUCAGAGGUUUCCGGGAUGUUUUGAUGCUAGAGAAUACAUAAUUAGAAGCUAAACUUAAAGUAAUAUAUGUGCAGAAAUUAUCCAGUUCAUUUCAAGAGGAGAGGGAAGAAUAUAUCCAGUGGUAUUGCGAGCGGGUGGCAAAAAAACAAAAGGUAUCUGAUCAGGAUCUGCUCACAACAAAGGCGAAGACGAAGACGGACUUUCUUUUGUUGAAAGAUGUCUUCACAACAAAGACGAAGAGGAAAACAAACUUGAUUUGGACAAUCAAUCCGAGACGAGCCGACAUUUCAAAUUUUCAAAUGGUUUGUAAAAGACCAUCAUCCUUUUCUGACAGUAUUCUAACAGACCAAUCAAGUGUGCAAGGGUGCUGUGGCAAGAACAACAGAAAAAUAGUAUUUCCUCCAUCCGAAAAUAAGUGUCGCUCAAAUAGAUGUAUCUGGACGUAUUUUAGUGCUAGAUACAUCCGUUUGAGCGGUACUUAUUUCCAGACGGAGGGAGUAGGUAUGAACGAACAUAAGUAGAAAGAGAUAUAAAAAAUAGCAACAAUGCUUGGAUCUUAUGGGCUGCAAGUGCACCACUAUUAAAAAGGUUUUGCCACGUACUUGUUAUUAUUAAUAUAUUUUUUGAGAGGAACGUACUUGUUAUUUUCCAUGCUGACACCUUUAGAAACGUUGGCUACUGAUACACAAACUAUAUAGAUUUGUCACAUGAAGAUACCAUUAGUGUUAUGAAUGAUCACAUCAUUAUAAUUAUAAUCUUAAUUAUUUGCCAAAAGGUGCACGUUGGAAACUAUAUUAAUGUCCACAAGAACAAGUAAAAGUGAAUGAAGAGUGCAUAAGAGUUUGCUGUAUUGGACAAUAUUUUGCUUGCCAAAAUAUGAAAUACUAGAUAAAAUAGCAUAUGUUAUUUUUUGUGCUAGAGGUUAAAACAACAUCAUUAUAGAAACAUGGCAAAUAACAUUUACUUACCAAAUCAUAAGAGCCGAUGGUACAGCCAAACGCAUGAAACUGCCAAUCCCUCUAAAAGCUUCCCACGAUGGUGGAGCGCGUGUUUUCUCACAAGAGGGUGAGAACUUAAUGUAAAGGCCAAGAAAAGUCACUUCAACCCAAUCACAAAUGCUAACGGAUAAAGCAGCUCCAGCAUUACCCAUCCCAACUUUGUAAACCAUGAACCAGCAAAGAGGAAGAAAUACCGCAAUUGUAAUCAAGGAGCUAAGAACCAUUGGAAAUAUUAGGCUUUGACAUUGCAGAAACUUUGAAAAGCAUUGAGUAACACCGAAGGCAAAUAAACCAGGGAUAAGCCAUAAUGCAUAUUUGCCAGCCUCAUUUGCAAUUUGUGGUUCCUGGCCCAUGAGAGGAAGUACUUCCGGGAUGAAACACCAAACAAUGGAGAUGGGCACACUCACAACAAGAAGUGCAAUGAUGGACCUGUAGGUACAUAAAGAUAAUGUAUGAUAUUGUUCUGCUCCAUAGGCCUGCCCACAAAGAGUUUCCAAUCCGCCUGCCAGUCCAAUCUAAAAGGGAAACUGCAUCAGUAACAAAUUAUACAUAUUGUUGCUGAAUAAAUGGAAGUUAAACUAGGAUAAAGUGCAUCGACAUUACUGAAAGAAGAGUUUUGCUACACCUACACAUUAAUCUUAUGGAAUUAAAUUUACAGGAUGAGGUGGCAACAUCUGAUUGGAAGGGAGGAGACUCAUAGUAAAUUCGGGGAAGACGGGUUACUUGGAGGUUAGGGGGGAGGGGUGGCAGUCCAUACGGGUCGCUCAUAAGUUUGGAUUUUCGCUGAAAGAAUAUCAAGAAUAACAAACGUGGCUUGUGCAAGGUGGGCAACAGUUGCUAUGAAGAUUUUGUUUCAAUCAUCACUGCAAAGAAUGCGAACAUCACCCUGGCCGAAUUUUCUCAACACCCAACUCAGUCGGAUCAAGUGACUGAUUAUAUUUUUCGCGGGAAUAUAAUAGAUCGAUAUUGCCCACCGAAACUAGCUAUAUGUACAGCGGGGUGGGGUGAAUCAAGCACCACAGGUCCAUUGUAAAAAAGAUUAAUCGAACGACCUAGCUAGCCGCGUGCGGUCGGCGCUAAUCAGAAAGGUUGAGAAAUGGAACCAUCUGAUUUGAUUCAUUCCCAGUAGUCAUGAGAUGAUCAUUUUUUUUUAGAAAAGAGGGGAGAUCCUGAAUGAUCCACACAACCUUUUGUUUAUCAUAUCAAAGUACAUCAUCUGACCAUAACAAAGUUCAUCUUGCCAACGGAUGCUUCUAUUACACUCGUGGUCUCUAAAAGAUGAGAACCCACUAUGUAGCAUCCACAUCAAUAAUUCAAGCAUUUAUGUCCUUAGUACGAUUCUUUGUAGGAACUAUCCGUAAUAACAAAGAACAUCAGAAGUAGCAGAGAUCUCCGCACGAUGCAACUGGAUAAAUGGCGGUCGCAUGGAGGGAGAAGACACUGAGACAUCUGGACCGGUCGCCGAUCUUGUACACAUCCGGAUGGGAUUCAGGGGCUGCUCUAACGGAAUUGAAAGUACCAAUAGCUAAACAUAAACGAAAUAAAUUAAUGUGCGCUGCAUGCUUGCUCACAAGGACGCUGAAGCCGGAGACGUUGGUGAGGGAGUUGGCGAUGGCCGCACCGGCGAGCGCGACGUCGCCGAGGUGCCCCACCAUGACGGUGGAGAUGAACUGCAUCGUGACCUGCAGCAGCAUCACCACCACCAUCGGCGCCGCAAGCCCCGCCAGCUGCGCGGCUUCCCUACACCAGCGCCGGCUGGUACUGCCGGGCUCUUCCCACCUCGCGGCCAGCAGCGGCGCAUCGGAAGAAGAGUCCAUGGAUCCCCCCGACCAAAGCUCUGCCCAAGCAACGUGGGUGUGGUUAAUGAAAAUGGUAAAUGCGGGAGCUACCAUCCGUCUAGCUGUCUCCCUUUGCACAAUGCAUGGAGCUCGAACUAUAUAUAGAGUAUUACUCCAGUCGUAGUAGCUACGGAAACUAUUUCCUCUGUCCAGAUUUAUUAGUUUUGUCAGAGCAUCGGUAAUUGAGGAGCUAAUUUGAUUUCAUAUACAUCCACUGACCCGUCUUGGCGCUGUUCAGGCAUAUUCACUUAAGCCCACAUUUAUCUGUGCACGCAGUGGUAACCCCACUUUUCUCCCUAUUAUAUGCCCGAUUACAUGCAUAUGAAUGGUAGGGACAGAACCUCAAAAAAAAAAGAAUGGUAAGGACAAAAAAAGAAAAUAAAAGAAAAUAGUGAAGGUGAAAAAGUGGUCCGGACUCUGGAGUGUGCCAAAUUCGACGUGGCAGACUGCUCAGACAUACCACAACAUCUCAUACCCUUUCCACGUAUGGGCUCGGUAUAAGGGGUGCCAGAAAGCCCGCGCCCAUGUAUAUAGUUUUGAGUUAAUGAUACUCCCUUUCAUCCAUAUUACUUGUCACACGGACGUAUUUAGACGUUUUUCAGUGCUAGAUAAAUUCGUUUGAGCGACAAGUACACUAGUAGAAAAAGGACCUUACGUGAGACACAUUAGUCCCGGUUCAAUUUUGGCUCGGUACUAAUGGUAUUAGUCCCGGUUCAAACGGCUAUGCAUUAGUCCCGGUUCAUGUUGAACCUUUAGUACCGGUUCGUGCCACUAACCGCUACUAAAGGGGUGGUGGCAGGCUGGCGUCAGGCCGGGGCCCCACGAGCCCCUUUGACUAAAGGGGUUUAACCUUUAGUCCCGGUUGGAGACACAAACCGGGACUAAAGGGCAAUUAUCAAACUCUACCCCCCUCCCCUCUCCCUGUCUAUCGCCAUUUCAGUUUUGAAAAAAACAAAACAAAAUGAUAAAAACUUCAAAAAUUAAGAUCCUUCGAGAUGUAGUUAUGUUACUACAUCUACUAGUUAGGAAAAUUUAAAAACUUAAAUUUGGACAUGUUUUGCAAAAAAAUAUGAUGAAAAGGUAAAACAACUAUAUCUUUUGCAUCCGAUAUCGGAAAACAACGUAUAAUAUAUCAAAAUGUUCAGCACGAAAAUACGCAUCCGAUUUUGACGGCUGUAGGCCGUUUUGCAAAUUUUUAGAAUCCUCAAACUCUAAAAGGAAAAAAGUUAUGCUCACAUUUCAGUUUUUUUUUUGAAUUUUGGUCAAACUGUGGUCAAACUACUUAUUCAAGAAAUAUUAGUGUUACUAAAUAAUUAUUUCAGUUUUUUGAAUUUUGGUCAAAUCUGGUCAAACUAUGGUCAAACUACUUACUCAAGAAAUAUUAAUGUUACUAAAUAAUUAGUGUUUUUUAGAAUAAUAGUUUCAAACUCAAACGAUGAACGUGUGACUUCAUGCUCAAGCUAAACUCCUGAGGGUUAAUAGGAUUGACAGCUUAAUAUUGUUAGGAAACAACAAGUGCGGACUUGGAAACUAGGGGGAAUAGAACUCAGAAGUUAAGCGUGCUCAGGCUGGAGUAGUAAGACGAUGGGUGACCGGCCGGAAACUUAGGUGAUUUGGGAUGAGUGAUCCACACUUGAGCAGUUAUGAGUGGUGAUUAGAGACUAAAUCGUCAAAUAAUUAAGAAAAUUGAAAAUCGGGAAAAAAAUCAAAGUUUUUUCCAAAAAAUUCAAAAAAAAAACCUUUAGUCCAGGUUGGUGUUACCAGCCGGGACUAAAGGUCCCGCAUACCACGGCGCGGGCUCGUGCCACGUGGUGGGCCUUUACUGGCGGUUCGUGUUGAACCGGGACUAAAGGGGGGGCCUUUGGUCUCCAACCUUUAGUGCGGGUUCCGAACCGGCACUAAAGGCCCUUAAGAACCGGCAUGAAAGCUCCGUUUUCUACUAGUGGUAAUACAUAUCAGAUGGAGUAGUGGAUUUAACUAGACGGGGAAGCAACGGAUGGGCGGCGGCUUUCAGAUAUGACGAUGGUGGUCCUACCGGGGUGGCUUGUUCGGCGGAGCGGGUUGGGAUGGCACGGGCCAGAGGCUGCUUCGCUGCCUCCCAAAGGUGGUGGUGGGCUGCGGGUGUAUGCGACAACUCAGAUCCGUCGUGGAUCAUCUGGUUGAUGCGGGAUCGACUCUGGCCUACCUUGGCUUCUCUGACGCGGCUCUGGUGGGCGGAGGGCUAGGUCAUGGCAGGGAGCUCCCCCUGCCUUGGUCUUGUUCGGCCGUCAUGGCAGCGAGCUCCCCCUGCCUUGGUCUUGUUCGGCCGUCAUGGCAGGGAGCUCACCCUACGCGUUUUGGCUCACGGGCUCAGAUGAGUCCGGGAAUGAACAAAAAAUCAUUAAAAAUUACUAAAUAAAUUCAAAAAAAAUCUGAAUUUUUUUUGUGCAGAAAUAUAACUGAGUGUCUGAUGUUCGUACCGAAUUUCAGAACACUUGAAUGUUUGAGUAGCUCUCAGCAAAAAAGGACGAAUUUAAUGUAUGUGAAAAAGGUUACUAUUUGUGCAUUGUCUGGACCCUUUUUUUACUGAGAGCUAAUCCGAUGUCCAAAUGUUUUGAAAUUUGGCACGCACUUCACACACUAAAAUAUCUUCCAUUCAAAAAAAUAGAUUUUAAAAAAAAAAUCUAUUUUUGCUGAAUUUACUGUUCACCAGGUGGAGCAGCGUCGAAGACCACAGACAUGGUGUCGGGCGAGCGCGCUCGGAGACAGAUGUCUGUAGUUGUGUCUCCCCCGGUCCACCGGGACUGGCUGGAGAUGCAGGCGUGGGUGCCUCCUACCAUGGAGGCAUCGAUCCAGACUAUGUGGCUGAUGUAUGGCUAUGAUUGUAAGGGGACGCCAUUUGCUUCUCCUACCGUGGUGGGUGCACCGUGAUGUGGGCGGUUGGUGGUGUCUCUGAUAUGGAUGUCGAGGUGGCAACCCUGGAUGGCGGUCUGAUGGUUCGCUCUCUAGCGGGCCCCAUGGCAGCAGUGAUAGGUGGAGCGACGGGUGGCUCGGGUGUGCUCUUUGUCUCCGGCAGUGGUGACACCUAGAUCCAGAUCUGGAGGUCUGAACUCGUCGUGCUUACCCUGGAGACCUCGUGGUGUCAUGGGGGAGCUGUCGAGUAAAGCCCCAUGCUUUGCCGUCAACGAGGGUGAUGCUCGCGGGUGCCGCUUUGCUCUUAAAGAUAUCACCGUGGUGCUCUUCUUCUUGUCUGGGCUCGGAGUAAAAACCUUUGUUCGGUGUGGACUCAACAACGCUGACACUUAGGGCUAUUCGCUCUCCUAAGAGUGUUGUCGUUGAGCUUAGAUGUUAUAGGGCAUAGUGUGACGUUGCUAUCGGUUCUUCCUAUGCUCACUUUGGUAGUAUAGCUGCAUGCGUUCUGUGUGAUCCGGUUAUCCUGGGAUCUAUUAGAAUAAUCCGAGGCAUACCGUUGAUCAUCCGAGGACCAAGGAACCACACGAGCACGACACCGAGAUUUGUUAACGAGGUUCACCUUGGCUACAUCCCCGGGGCUUGACUAUGGGCGCUCCUCCCCAUGACAUCGCUACAAUACCGCACCCCGUCGCCCUGCACGCCGGCACAUGCCGCCGGCUUCCCUUGCGUUCCUAUGCUAUUAUGUUGGCAUGGGUUACAUCGUGUGUCUACCCCCAUUAUAUAUGAGAGGCCUAGGAUACAAGUGUCCUAUUAGGACACGACUCUAUAUCCUAUCUAAACACAAUACUACUCAAAGUCCAACUCUAACCUAUCUUAUACGCAAUAUUCGACACAACUCUAACAGGAUCUGCAUUGUAUGAGGACUACCUCAUCACCUUGUAUUGGUCAGCCAUGCACUUUGUUCGGUUGUUGCAUUAUACUCUCUCUGUUCAGAAUUAUUGGUCGCAGAAAUGGAUGUAUCUAGUUAUAUUUAUAUAGUUCUAUAUACAUCAAUUUCUAUUCAUUUUUGAGACAGGUAGUCCCGGACGGAAGGAAUAUAUAAAGCGGGGCGCCUGGUUCAAACUUUAAAGAGAGACAUAACCACAAAGGAGACGUAAGAAGGCAAAUAACUACAGCGCAAUUGAUGUCAUGUCAGCAAGAAAUGUUCUUAAGGGCCACUCCACAGCUUCCCACUACGAACCUAAAUCUUCAUGAAACUUGAGAAAAUCAUACUCGACGAAAAUCAUACGCUUGUUUUAGAUGCCUGUCGUCGUUGGUUGCUACAGAAGAUGGAUUUAAAUAAUUGAAAUUAAGUUUUUUUUUAGCACUCUCUCUGAGCCAAAUUAAUUAACAUAGCUCUAGUACAACUUUUUCUUUUUGAGUUUGGACUUGGUUUGGCUGUGUGCAUCUUUUUUUUUGAAAUGUUGGCUGUGUGCAUUUUAGUUAUGCAGAAGCCAGAUAAUACUUAAAAACUUUGUAAGCAAUAAAGCGCCCCUUAUCGAACAAUAGAAUUAUGCAGAGGACUAACACUUAACUCUCGAGUAGUAACUGGUUGAAACUUACCAGCUCUACGUGGUUGAUGUUGACAUCCAAUUUCGAAUACAGAACAUAUUUCCCAAACCAUUCAAAAACAUCACAUUGCCAUCUUGGUUAUUACCCUUUAACCUCCUCACAGCAGAUUCCAUCUGCAUACACUCAGUGUAAGAACGCAGCAGAUCCAUUAAAACAUGUAGUACGAAUUAUCACGUUAUACUAAAAUUUUAGAAUCAACAAGACAUUAGCUACAUAUUGACUUCUUUAAUUAUUUAUGAAGACUGCCUCUAGAGAAUUGUUGGCAUGUCUAUGACGGUAAAUUUGCAGCUCAGUUAAAGUGUGCUUGGUUGGUUAAACAAGGUAUACUAGAUGAUUUUCCCGCGCGUUGCUGCGGGAUUUUAAAGAUUAAUUUUGGAUAUAUUAUAUAAGAAUGAAAUGAUCUAAAUCAAAAGCUAUUAUUUUCAAAAGUAAUUAUAUGUGAACAAAGAGUAUGCAUGUACGUUGGACCAUUGGAGAUGGAACAAUUAAAUUGGAGUAUGCAUGUGCUACAAAAUAAUUCUAGUGGGUGAUGAUAUGUGGAGGGCUGCAUGUUGAGAUAAUUAGACUUAAUGGGAUCAACUAUAUAUUUAUUAUAGAUGGGAUAGGUUGUUUGCUUGGUUGGGUGGAUGGGAGUAUCAAAAAAGAUUAAUUAGCUAAAUGAUACCUCCUAACUUCUACAUUAACACCAUCAAGACCUAGUGAACCUACUUAAGUCAAACCAGAAAAACAUGUACCUGUUUCAGAUAAUCAUCCAUGAACAUGAUUGCAUGGUCAUCAUGCCCAGUACUGAGUUUGAAAACAUGAAGUACAUUGUCUUUCUUCAAUGACUGCAAAAAUGAUUUCUAUAUAUGUUCAGAUUUUCAUCAAAGCAAGGAAAAUUUUCUCUGGUGCAGUUGAAGAUUACUACACAUUGGUAAACAAUAAUCACCAACAGUUUAACACAAGAAUAGCUAGAAAAGAAUCCAAAGGUAAAACACAAACUCAUCAUUGCAUUACAACAGUUGUGUAUACAUAAAGAAUUAUUGCAUAAGUUCAAAACAAUACCUUGAAAUCUCUGGCAGCUUGUGUCCUGUCCUUCACGCUAUUAUAGUUUGGGACUGCAAAAUGAAUGGUUGUGUCACAGCCUACAAGUGAACACAAGAAAAAGGUGAAUUUCGGAUCUGAAUCACCAUUAAAAAAGGAAACAGUUAGAGAAGAAGCACACACUGAGUUUAUAUAACCAUCUUUAUUAUAUAACAACAUGUUACAUGGGAGUAUUGUUACAUCCCUCCAUUAAGAGGAGGAGCAAACAUAAGUACAAGAGUUUAAUAGUGGCCGUGUCCCCCAACCCACAAAUAACUUUGGCACAUGCACGCACAGACCAGAAUUUUGCAACAGAAAACAUCACUAACCUAUGCACACGGUGGCUCUCGCAGCCAGUGAUGGUAGGCCUGAAUCGUCGCUCCACCUCUGCCUUGAUGUUGUUGGCCAUUGUCUGAAGGUCCUGGUUCUCUCCCUCGAACACCAGGUAGCUAUGUUCUCUCCAAAAUCCCUACGGGCCAAAUUUGUACAAUCACUAUCGAGUCCAGGUCUUUUUGCCGAUCUUUUGGCAGUGCUUUUCACCUAGACAGCCACCAAAUUCACCUGAAGUGGCGAGCUGUUCAUUUUAAAAUGACUUGCCACAGUUAUGUCAACCAGGAUCAUUGCUCUCUUUCUCGGCCUCCCGCAGAACUUCACAAGUUAUGAGUUUGCUGUAUGAGUAUAUAACUGAAUGAAGUAGUCUUUGAACCUGCAAACAGAGCACUUAAUCUACUUCUCAACGCACUGGAAUUUUUUGCAAUGUCUCUCUGUACUAAUUGUCCACUGCUACCCUACCACGAAGAAGUAGCGAUUUCUCCACCAAUCCAGCUCGCAAUCGGAUUAAACACUAGGCAAAGAAAUUCCUCUCUGCAACUAUAUAUCCAUACAAAAGUACCAUUUACUCCUGGAUCGAGCACUAAGCCACUAACUGACGGACGGAGAAUGGAUGACUAACCUUCUAGUUGCAACCGCAUGACCUCUGACCUGCCCUGCCGGCGGCUCACAGCGAUGGAUAGCGGACUAGCCUGCCAUCUAGGGUAAUUGCAGACGGCCAGAGUUGCAACGGAGGCCUCAUCGUGAUACACGACGACCUCCGUAGCUGGGAUCAGAUGUAUUUUCUAAUUUGAAUUGAAUAUGUAGUGUCACCAUUCCAGAUUUUUGGUACAUAUGAACAAAAAUAAAUUUAUUCAUGGGCCAUUCAACACUUUUCAACUCAUCGGAUACUGGCUCAGAUCGAGUUCACAUAUCAUUAACAUAUUUCGAACCAAAUCCAUAAUCAUAAAAUCCUCUGGUUUUAUUCAAACAAGCGGUGGAGAUGCCCCAUCCCUCCUAGCAUUGUUUUUCCUUAUCAUUUAGGAUCUCUUCAUUCAGCCUUUAAUAGAUUAAUAACAAAAAAACAUAAGUAUGGCCUAGAUAUAUAAGAUGCUUCAGAAUAGCUGGGCACAAACAAGUUGGCAUGAAACGGUCUAGAACUUCUUUUGCGGGAAAAAAUCUAGACCUUCUCAAAAUCCAACAAAUAAAAUAUGCUCGUUGUCCAUGAUCUAGGAGGGUAUCUACGAAUAGGUACUUAAGGUUUGUUCAUGAAAAGUAUUAAAAUAUUUGGCAAUUUUCCUUUUGGGUAGACAAAGUACCUAGAAAUAUGUAAAUUCAUGCUUAUACACCUGAACAUGCACCAUAGUAGACCAAAUUAUGUUGCCAAAGUAUAACGAACAUAUUAUAUUUUUGAAUAGGUUAUCUGUGUAAAUGGUCUACACAAUUCAAAUAAGUAUCAACUUCAUGCCCAAAAGAUUUAGUAAAAGGUACCGGGUGGUCCCAAUGAAAUAUUUACAUAACAUUACAAACUUAGUCCACCAAAAGAAUGAUUUGAUCCAGAAAAAUCCUUCUUCACACAUAGAUCGAACUGAUGAUGACGUAUCUAGAGUUAGGACCGGAUAUAUGCUAGUAACUUGUAAGCAAUUACCAUCCUUUACAUGUAAGGGAAUUCUAUGAGUCAUGUCAUGAUCUAUACCUCUCAGUUCAUCUUAUCAUCUUAGAGAACAAUACAAAGUUAGUUUUAUAAAAAAGCAACCGAGUCUAGACGAACCCUCCACAUACAAGGCUUUAAUAAUCGAGCAUAUCUUAACAGUCCACACACGAUUGCAACUUAGUCCUACACAGGUUUUGCCUUUCUUGUUUAUGGUUGACAGCCUAUACAAGGUUCCAAACUCGGUUGCAAAAGUGAUACUAUCCUGAUAAAUGUGUGACAUGUAAAGUGAAUAAGGCGAGUCAUAUAUACCACACAUCAGGGUUUCUAUAAUUUGUGUGUGAUCAUAUGCACAACUAAAAAGCAACUUUGAUGAUCAAUCCAAAAGUACGCUUGUAGCUAGUGCAACCUAACACAAUGUACCAAAAAAUCAUUUCUGAUGCAUCCAAAUAGAAUUAUUUAAGUUGAUGCAAAGAAGGAAAGAGGUGGUGCCCGGACUACUAUAAAUAGGCAUGAAGUAUAAUGAUCAUCACAAGCACAAGCAUCAAAACCAAGCAAAAGUAGUUAGCACCAAUCCAUCAUGAAGACCUUCCUCGUCUUUGCCCUCAUCGCCGUUGUGGCGACAAGUGCCAUUGCACAGAUGGAGACUAGCUGCAUCUCUGGUUUGGAGAGACCAUGGCAGCAGCAACCAUUACCACCACAACAGUCAUUUUCACAACAACCACCAUUUUCACAACAACAACAACAACCAUUACCUCAACAACCAUCAUUUUCGCAGCAACAACCACCAUUUUCGCAGCAACAACCAAUUCUAUCGCAGCAACCACCAUUUUCACAGCAACAACAACCAGUUCUACCGCAACAAUCACCAUUUUCGCAGCAACAACAACUAGUUUUACCUCCACAACAACAACAACAACAACUUGUGCAACAGCAAAUCCCUAUUGUUCAGCCAUCCGUUUUGCAGCAGCUAAACCCAUGCAAAGUAUUCCUCCAGCAGCAGUGCAGCCCUGUAGCAAUGCCACAACGUCUUGCUAGGUCACAGAUGUGGCAGCAGAGCAGUUGCCAUGUGAUGCAACAACAAUGUUGCCAGCAAUUGCAGCAAAUCCCCGAACAAUCCCGCUAUGAAGCAAUCCGUGCCAUCAUCUACUCCAUCAUCCUGCAAGAACAACAACAGGGCUUUGUCCAACCUCAGCAGCAACAACCCCAACAGUCAGGUCAAGGUGUCUCCCAAUCCCAACAGCAGUCGCAGCAGCAGCUCGGACAAUGUUCUUUCCAACAACCUCAACAGCAA
This 276760-nucleotide long non-coding RNA is filed under the name Triticum aestivum (bread wheat). Its description in RNAcentral is "long non-coding RNA (TAES_LNC012640)". The record is from RNAcentral. Lineage: Eukaryota; Viridiplantae; Streptophyta; Magnoliopsida; Poales; Poaceae.